GUGCUUCUACUUCUGGUUAUGGUAGCCGGGGGCCGGCUAACAACAGCUCGGGACACAGUCGGAAGCAACUCAUCUGCUACUACUGUAAUAAACCUGGGCACGUGGUAAAGGACUGCAGGCAGCUUAAAGUGCUGAAGCAGUCGUCAAUUUCUGGAUAUAAGGGUGGCUACAACAACAGGCAGGCGGCUGGCAGAGGUUAAGGCCUGGCUUCUGCUCCCGUCGCGUCCCGGCGCGUCCGGGUUCAAAUCCGCCUGCCGACCUCUCGGGGUGUUUGAGAGGUGAUGAAAUGGAAGGUGGCCCCCCAUCCAGUGGACGGUGUAGGACGUGAUAAAAUCAACUCGCGAGCUGACCAGGAACUAAGAUGACGCGCCGUUGAUCCGCUAGAUUUGGUUGGAUGCUGGUGGUGAGUUGCCAAACUCAAAGAGUACAUUCCGAAGUCGGAUGGGGUGAAUGGCUCAGGGUGCCCCUCUAGCAGGGGAGAGCAGGGAAUUGCCUCGGGAAGGAGGCCACUGGUGAAGCUUAACCACCCUGUCAAUUCUCCAACACGAACUGCCUUCUUGUUAGCGCGUAAUGUUGGCAAGAACCGAUAAGUCACAGGACGGAUUCGCUCCGCCAAGGUCUGGGCUCUUGUCUAAAGAUAGAGUAAUAAAAACUCUGUCUCUUUUGUUAAUAAUCCAACCCAGGCUCCCUCCCGAGUAUAUAAUAUAAUACUCGUUGCUUAGGAGGCUGCAACGACUUCUGUCGUAGAGUGUCCCUUCGGACCACCUGACGGCUGGUUAGACCGAGGUGUCUGUUCGAUUGGGGUAGGAACCCUGAAAGAGUGUCAAUCCUUAAUUAGGAAACACUUAUUCAUCUCAAGGUAUUCAAAGACUGUUCAUAGAUCAGUCUUAAUCAAACCAUGCCUUCAUCGCUUUGCGAUUUGGCUCUGUAACGCUAUAAGGCGCUACAACAUCUGCCCACCUUUCUAGAUGGCUGCGUCCACGCAGCGCACAGUCCAAUAGGCAUCAAUAAGAGAUCUGUCGGGGAAAGCAGGUUCUUCAAUCCAACUGUUAUUCUCAUGUCCAUCCAACCCAUUUCACGAGAUACCGUGUCAGGGUUCGGUUUCGGAGCUUUCGUUGAUCAUGAUCUAAGAUGCGUUCAGGUAUCCAUACAGAGGUAGGAAACCUUCAGGUUAAAUUCCGACUGCAGGUCGAGGGGGUUGUACGGUGCCAUUUCCGUAACAACGGUACAUGGAACACGUUAUGGAAACGAUAUUCCUCUGGAAGGGUCAAUCUAGCAGCAGCUGGAUUGAUCAUCUUCUCAAUCGGGAAAGGUCCAAUCCAUCUAGGCAUCAGCUUCUUCGAACCUUUCUGGAGGGUCAAAUUCUACGUACUGAGUAAGACUUGUUGUCCUUCAGUAAACGACACAUCACGUCGUCCUUUAUUCUCUUGCUUAGUCAUUCGAUCUUGCGCAGCCAUCAAGGCAGAUUUAGCAGCAGCAAGUCUCUUGGCAUACGUAUCGACAUUACCCUUAGCAACGGGAACUGCGUCACCGAGUUCGAGUUGUACAGGGGUCUUAGGAUGAUAGCCGUAGUUCAGGAAGAAUGGACAAACUCCUGUCGAACGAUUCUUCGAGUUAUUAAUCGCAAAUUCAGCAGGUCCAAGGUAUGUCUCCCACCGUGAAGGUUCCUGAUCACAGUAGUUUCUCAACAUGUCUCCAAGGACGCGAUUAACUCGUUCUGUCUGACCAUCAGUCUGAGGAUGGAAAGCAGUACUCAUCGCCUGCUUCACCUCUAGCCUCUUCAUGAGAGAGGUCCAGAAGGCACCAGUAAACUUGGUGUCACGACCUGAGACGAUGGUGUCUGGUAAACCGUGAAGCCGUACCACGGUGUCAAAGAAUAAUCUGCAGUUUCUUCUGCGUCUAUUUCUUCCUUGCAUGGUCGUACAUGCACCAUCUUAGUCAGUCGGUCUACAAACACCACAAGGGAGUUGUAACCUUUUCUAGUCGAGGGCAGUCCGAGUACAAAGUCCGUUGAGACGCUGCUCUAAGUCGUUCAGGAAUCGGCAGAGGUCGAGAUAGACCCAGCGGUUUGCCUGAUGAAGCUUUAUUCCGUUGACAAAGAUGGCAACACGCGACAAAGUCUGCAACGUCAGCUUUCAACGUAGGCCACCUGAAAUUCCGUUCAACCAAAUCAAUGGCGAACCAUCGAUCUCGUCCAGGGUGCCCUGACAAGAUAUCCGUGUGGCUUCAUUCAAUAAUCUCUCGUUUCAAGGCGGGGUCAUUGGGCACCACGAUGCGGUACUCGCACUCCCCCCUUCCUAUCUGAAAGAAUCCGAGAGGAUUCGUCAGAAAGAAACGAGUAUGAUCUGGGUUCUGGAAAUGAACGUCUCUUUUUGUAGCAUCGGCAAUACAUUGGAUGAGUGGGUCCAGCGUAAGUCCCUGAGAGCGACGUGUAGUAACCGCAUUGAAUACCACGACAGAUGCCAUGGAGGGAUGGCGUGACAAAGCGUCGGCGACCACGUUCAACCGUCCUGGUCGGUAAAUCCACUCAAAAUUUAGUUGAGCCAGGAACUCAAACCAACAGGCUUGUCUGUGGCUUACGGUCGACUGAGUCUUAAGAAAGAUCAGUGGAUGGUGGUCGGUGACGAGGUUAAAUGGAAUGGAACUCUGUAAAUAGCAUCGCCAUUCUUGCAAGGCGUUGAUUACCCCAAGUAGCUCCUGUUCACCCGUACUGUAGUUCCGUUCAGCAGGGGAAAAUUUCUUACUGGUAAAGGCGACCGGUCGGUCAUUUUGCAGGAGUACGGUGCCAGUUCCGUUCAGCAAAGCAUCUGAAAUCACUUCGAAGGGCUUCAUAUAUCCGGGUAAUUCAACAAAACGUCGUUCGAUAGUCGAGCUUUGAGCGUUUCAAAGGCUCGUAUGGCUUGUUCAGGCCAUUCAUCUGGUAAUCUUUUCGCACAGAAGAGAUCGGUCAGGGGUGCAGCAAGGGAGCUAAAACCUGCGAUAAAUCGCCGGAAAUAGUUCACAAGGCCAACGAAAGAUCGAAGUUUAGAGAUGUCCUUUGGCAAUGGCCAAGUUCGAAUAAUCUCACCUUCUUGGGAUCCAUACGGAUACCAUCUGCGUUCACGACAUGUUCAAGCUAUUGGACUCCGAUCUUCCAAAAAUCGCACUUGGAAAGCUUGACAUGAAACUGAUUUUUGGGCGGGGCCCCAGCGCGAAGCGCCCAGGGGGGCCCCGACCUGUAGGGGGGCCCCAUGUCCGUGUGUGUGUGUGUUCGUGUGUGUGUAACGGACCAAACAUAAUAUCUAGUCCGGCUGAAACGCGUUAUCGGUACUAUACAGCAUUCUCUAUUGCAAGGUAUCUCGCAUGUAGCCAACAAAAAUUGCAUGAGCACAAACAAGUUUGGCUGCCUGAAUUGACCGAGGCCAAAGUCACAUCAACGCCUCUCGCGCUAAAUUUCAUCCCGAAAGGUACCACGUAUCUCAUAUUUGAAUUCUUAGAUGACGGCGUAUGAUAACUCGAACACCCAGGCCUUGAGUGUGUAACGGACCAAACAUAAUAUUUCACCCGGCUGAAACGCGUUAUCGGUAGUAUACAGCAUUCUCUAUUGCAAAGUAUCUCGCAUGUAGCUAACAAAGACCGUAUGAGCACAAACAAGUUUAGCUGCCUCCAUUCACCGACCUCAAAAGUCACAUCAACGCCUCUUGCGCUAAAUUUCAUCCCGAAAGCUGCCGCAUAUCUCAUAAUGAAAUUCUGAGAUGACGGCGUAUGAUAACUCGAACACCCAGCUUGUGUUACCAUUUGCCGGCAUGGGCAAUCCGACUUGCCACCAGCAGGCCAACAUAAUUUGCUUUCAUUUUUUUUCAUUUCUAUAUGAAAUACACAAGCUGCUUGUUUGUACAUUUACUUUGGCCAAUGCACGGGGCCUCCGAAGACUUGCGGUGUGCCGCGAUGAAGCUCGCGUGUGGGGCGGAUUGCUUAGGACGCUGGCGCUUCGGGGAUAAACAUCACAGACAGCACCGAACUUCACUCAGCUUGCGUUACCAAUUUGCCCGCUCGGGCAUUCCGACUUGCGGUCUGCCGCACUGUCCAUGCGGCAUGCACCAGGGAUGGAUGCGAUUCGCGUGGAGCCCGCAGGCGGUGCUGACGAUUCCGCCGGUGCAAGCUUCGCUCCCACACCAUCAGUACUGCUGCAACAAAGCACAUCUCCCACCGCAGUGACACUAUCCAUCAAUUGUCACACGUGCCGUGCUAGCUACCGGCCUGUACGGAUGCAAGGGGGGCCCGCCCUUUUUCCGGCUUCGAGGAAGCCGACACCCGACUUGUCCUCAGGGACCUUUAACACCACCCUUAAAUGGCGUGCGUGUUCUUAAGCAAUGUCAUGUAUGCUGUUGAACGUAUUUUGGACUAUCGGACCCGGCGCGUGGGUAAGUCUAGGCGCAAGCGCACUGUUCACGAGUAAUUAGUCAAGUGGGUAGGGUACUCGUCCGAACACAAUAGCUGGGAACCGGCGCGCAACUUCACCCCGGAUCUCAAAACCGUUGCUUGAUGCAGCUCGUCUGCGGGCUCAGUCCAAGGUUGCAACACGUUAGCUGGUAUGGCCAAUCUUGUUUUGCGCAGCGAUCUGUAUGCGGAUUUAUAUCUUAUAUAUAUAUAAAUAGGGGGGUCCUUGUGAAGCAGCUGCCCGCGUUUCCAAAGCAUGUAUGGUGUCGGAUUGUAAGGUGCCCAAGUACGUUUGCGAGGAAGAGAAUGUGGCCAGGCUGGAGAGGAAAGUGCAGUGGCAUAUUGGAAUGUGAGAUUAGCGUAAGCGAGUUACAGGGCGUUUGGCGCACGGGCGAAUUUACGUGCAUACCUUUCACCGUAGCAUCAGUCCCCAGUUCACUUCUUGGAACGAACAUCAGCAUAGGUCCAAGCCCUUUCGCUUGGAGGGAUAUGCAAACAAACAUCCUGAUAGGGGUAAACUCGCACGCUACCGAGCAUUCAACCGAGCACAUGCAUGCUUAGUUGAAUGGUGAGAUGCGACCUCUCUUCAUUUCGUGCUCGGCAAGCCUGCCACCGCGUACCGGAUAUGUUGGCGAUGUUACAGAGACGCUGCACCUUGGUUUCUGUGCGCAAUGCGUACGAUGCUCGACCCCGCCGACCAAAACUACACGUGCCCAACUGAAGACAUUCCUGGUGGUUGUGCAGCAGCUCUUGAGGCUGUUGCUGGCUGAAAUUCAUCCUGAGCUGUUGCAACACGGCUAACGCGGGCACGUCCCUAUGCACAACAAAUAGCUGUUCCAAGCCAACAGCGGCGUCCAUGUCACCGACAAGGCUCUAAACGUCUUAUCUGUUCUUAUGUUUAAAUAAGUUUAUGUAUGUUAUACUUUGCGCAACUUUGUAAUUUGACUUUACUCUGAACAAGGUGCUGUAUACGUUGCGCUACCAAAAACGCGACCGUUUGCUUGCACAAAAGUGUCGCUUCGCUCAACGCUUCCUCUUCCUGCGGCCUUGCCUGAGCCAAGCUUUGCAAGCUACGUUGUAUGAUUUUCGUUCUUUUAAUUGCGGCACAGGAGCCACCCACAUUUCCGGCCUGCAUGCCGCGUGCGGCUGUGGCCAACAUGCCCACCUGCGCAACGCGCUGGCGCACCUCGUCCUUUCUUCGCCAAAGAAAUUAUAUACGCUUGUACAGGCGCAUUUUGCGAAUCCCACGCGCGCAUCCGCGCGGCAAAUUUCGCUCCUGGCUUUUUUGGACGAUGUACGAACCGUUUAUUCGGCAGAGUACGACCGCUCACAUUUGUGCGAGGGGCUGCUUAAACAAUUGAAUUAUGCAUAUAUAUAUCUUAGAUAUAUAUAUAUAUCUUAUAAUAUAUAUGCAUAAUUCAAUUGUUUAGUGCGCCGCGGGGAGGUCUAUUGGGGGUGAGGGAGAGCGAGCCUGGCUAUCCUGGGGCGGGGUCUACCGGGCUGCGCCAGUGCGGCAGGUUCUGUACAAGCGCCUGGACUGGAUAUAAGAUAUAAAUCCGCAUACAGAUCGCUGCGCAAAACAAGAUUGGCCAUACCAGCUAACGUGUUGCAACCUUGGACUGAGCCCGCAGACGAGCUGCAUCAAGCAACGGUUUUGAGAUCCGGGGUGAAGUUGCGCGCCGGUUCCCAGCUAUUAUAUAUUAUAUAUAUUUAUAUUUAUAUUAUAUUUAUUUUUAUAUUUAUAUUUAUAUUUAUAUUAUAUCAGAGAGACGGGUGUCUUACAUGGCUGGUGUGGGAUAACUGUUGAGAUCCGCUAUCGCAAGCCGGUAGUAUUCCAAUGGGCUUGGUUAGCAGGACGUUAUGACUAUAGUACUGACUCUGGGGGAAACCUUUCGGAAUACUUCAGACAUAUGAAUGAGAGAUAUAGUCCCUGCGGAGGAUAGACGGACGACAGUAUGAAAACCCUAAAACCCCGAAGAUGAUGAUCUUAACCAGGUAACUUACGCAGUAGAAACAAACUAUAUCGGAGAUGUAUACUUGGGCUGUAUUUGGCCUUCGCUUGACGGCCCGGGUUCGUUUUCUUUGAUCACCUCUCCCGUUAAGGAGGCAGGAUUCCAGACCCGGAUUUCAAGAAGCAAUUGAAUUCAAAGAGGCUUCUGUACGGGAUAACCUUGCCGUUUUAUGCAGGGUUCACCUGUGGACCUCUGGGUGCAGCCUGGAGGUGGUUCUGAAAAAUCCCCUGACAAGGCAGUUGAAGAAGCAACAUCAGGGAGGUUAAUUGCCGUUACGUCGAUCCUUGAGGCACCAGACUUGUCUUUUGCCCAAGGGGGCCUGGAUAUUCGGUGGCAUGAAAAAUGGGGCGAGCUGAUUCUGGACCCCUCGGAAGAUCCCAUAGCCCGUCCCAUCGGUACAAUCAAAGGACAGCAGGACGAAACCUCAGUUGUAAGCACACCAGAACUACAACCACCGUCCCGACCCAAUGGCUACCCCGCGGAAUCGGAAUUGGGAACCGCCAAGACAUUACUGCAGCAGGGCUGGUCGAGACUGCAGGAACUGGAUUCCGUCGCUGCAGUUGACGGUACCCCCGAUGAAGAGUUCAGCAGCAAUUGAAGGCAAUUUGUCCAGAUCCUGACGACUUCACGGCGGGCAGGCUGCAGGCUCACUCCGACGUGUGGGAAACAUAUUUCCGCUUGGCAAGCGAGGGAACCCUACGAACCCCAGCUAAGUCGGUGCUGAAGAUGGUGAGGGAGGGAGUUUCCUUGGAUUUUGUUGGUGUGUACGCCCCUGGACAGGAGGCAGCCCCACAUAGAGCCGCCCCUCCAAUAUACGCUGGUGAUUCCCUCCGGGCGGCUUCUUGCCGGGUAGUUGGGGGGAAAGAAGGAAGGAAAGAGUGGGCAGGAGGGGUGGGAGUGAGAGGAGAGUGCGCGCGGGGCGCAGGUGGCUGGGGCGGCGAAGCAGGCGGCACAGGAAGUGGAGCAGGGGAUUUACCCUAGAUGCUGCCCUCGUUGCUGGCGUGCGCCCAGCUACUUUGGCAGUGUAUGGUGGACGAACGAUUAGUCUUCAGUAAUAAAUACCCUACAUACCGCCGGCCGGCGCCAGCGGCAAACCCAUGGGUCGCCAUCGUGCAUCCAGAUCUACUAGCUACUCGAUCACGGUUGUAAGACAGUGGCACAGAACCAGACUUGGAGGCUCGGAUCGCUUCGCUCCAUCGCAUCUAUUAAGGUGCCUUUCCCUGCGUUCUCAGUUGUGCCCUAAGUUGAGGAUCUCUGCUGGAGCACCGUUCCUUAUGGUCUUAUGUUAGAGCAAUGUGUGCCGCGUUGUGUUGUUUUAGGGUUUUCUUAAAACAUCGAGAGUGCGUGGUGCACCGCGGGAACCAGCGAUCUCAUUUGCGAGUUUCACGGGUGCAGUUAUUGUUUGCUGUUUUGUGGUUCAGUAUCAGCUACGUUGAUAUUUUUAGAGUUUGUAGUGCGGCGCAUUCAGUCACAGACUCCCUGGUUUCUCACUCAUUUUCGAUACAAAAUUAAAAUAUCACACCGCCAGGAACACGCUGAUCGUCCUUAGAUUCGUCGUCUGGACAAACAAGGGACAUGGAGUGGCGGGUGCAAUCUUGGCAAAGCUUCAACACGCAAGAAACGCCUCACCUGCCCUACAUGACGCUACCACUACCCGCACACAACCUGCCAGCCACCGCGGUCUCAUAUCAGCACCAACAGGUGAAGCAACAAAAUGUACGCACUAAACAGCAGCCGAGCGGUAGGCCGGCAGUAUAAGGCCACCGUCAAUUUGUCGUGCAGCCGUACCGCCGCGCCAAGAAUGUUGGCUGCGAAGGGCGGGCAGUUCCCUCUGAGCAGCCCCGAGAGGGGCUGGAAGGUGGUGGACGCCCCCUGUAGUUACCGAGGGUGCGGCAGGCGGGAACAUGGAAAGGUGUGUAUGUGCAGCGCUGAUGAGGGUGUGGCUUUUAAGGUAUCGGAAUUCUCACGAGGACACGAAAGUUGAAAUCUACAUGUGGCCACGCUGAAGGAACAGGUAAGGGUACUACUGGGGAGCUUGGGUGUCUGCCCCUCUGUUUCCCCGGUGCUCUAGACCCUUGCCGGGGAUCAAGAUCUCCUAGGCAAAAUGAUGCACCACAGAAUGUAUAUCGUUUCACGUAUCGCACCUGCAGCACUGCAUUUUCCGGGUCGUACACCCCUGCCAACUGCGAGGCCAUUUCGUCGCGCUUCUUAUCAGCUGCCGCCCCCGGGUUGCCAGUGUUGGACGAGCCAACCCCAGUGCCGCUUGCCGGGCUGCUUAAGCCGGGCGGUACGAUGAUGCCCACAGCCGCCUGCUGGUUGCGGCGUUGCUCCGCACGGAGGGCCAUUUCCAGCUGUGUGCGGGUCUGUCGGAGCGUCUCGACCUCCGCCAGCAGACCAUCCACCUGGUUGGCCCUGCGGGGCAGGUUGUUGCGACGUGAUGGAUGGCGAUGCAACAUUGUGGCUUAGCCACGGUUAAGGGUUAAAGCAUGCGGCAAAAGCGUGCUGGCAAGUUAAGACACGUAUAACCGUUGUCAAUGUAUUCUAUUCCAUCCUUGUGAGAAGCAAACACAACCCCAUAUCGGCUUGGAUGGCCGCAAUCUAGUAAUCAGUUGCGACCCCUGGCAAACGCUAUGGCCGUCCCUGUGCCGAUGGGUGGGUUGAGAUGCAGGAAGGCGAAUCUAGGAUGUCGGCAUGCGCAUGACAAUUGAAAUCAUGGCGCUGACCUUGCGGCAAUAUCAUUUUGCGUUCAUCGUCAGGUGCAGCGUUGCGGCAGUGUCAAUAUGUAACUUUUGCGCACGAAGAAGUUGGCGACCAGACUCCCCAACCCCCGAUAGGCCCAAUGUCGACCUACCUCGACACUAGUCCCACUCGCUCGUUCUGCAGCUCCAUCACCUGCCGCCGCAGCUCGACCACCGCUGCUGCCCCGCCUGCAUUUUCCCCAGUGGCCGCCCCUGCCGCCAUACUGCGCAACCUCUCCACCUCCGCCGUCAUUGCCGCGUGCUGUUGCUGCAGCUGCUCAUGCGCCCCCCGCAGCGCCGCGACUUGUUCAGAGGAUGGACCAGGUGCGCCCUGGUGAUCACCGUGCACAUGCUGCUGAAGCUGUCGAAUCUGCAUCUGGGCCUGUUGUAGCUGCUCAUGGGAAGCUGCCAGCUGCUGCUCUAAGGCGCCAAUUCGAGCUCGCUGUUCCUGAACGGCCGUUUCUAAGCGCUGUGCGUGCUGCGAUGACGCAGCCCCCUGCCUGACCGUCUCUUCCAGUUGCCUUCGCAGUUGAUCCACAGCCCCCUGUGCCUCAGCCAGCGAGCGGGAUGCUGCUGCGGCAUCCGUUAGCUGGGCCUGCAGGCCCUGGAUGUACUCCUGUGGCAAGAUGGGGGGAUGCAUGGGAGGUGGGAAAAAAGCACACAUGCCUGCCAUGGGAAGGCAUACAUGGCGACCUGCCGACGUGGCGGAGCGAGCACUGGUAGUCAGGGGCACGGACAAAACACGGGAUGGAAAGGAGAAAACCCUUUCGCCAUUGAUCCCCAAGCUGACCGGCCUUGCCGUACAGGUAUUGAAACUUUCGGCGUGCAUUUCUGAAAUCGUUAUUCUUCCGAAGCAAAAGGCGCCGUACCCUGAUCACGUCGGCUAAGAGCCUUCCAUAUGCGCAUGACGGCGAGAAGGCGAACUCCCUGGACAUCCGCAACCAGAUCUAUCCCCUCAUGACAGCCGUUCUCUACACAUAUUUAUAGCGGUACCUAAAAACGUCCUAAUCCAGCUUCGCUACACCACACAAGAGCUAAGCAAUUCUGCUGUUGGACGCACUCUACCGCUUAGGCCCACCAACUACCAUUAUGAAGUUCUGGCUCAACCUGCACUGACUUACAGAUUUCCAUAAAAGCCGCAUGGUUGGAUUACGGGCAUUCAUACAGGAUUGCUAGAUGUCCCUAAGUUCAGCGAAAAUCCGUCGGGUUAAGCCCGCUGUGCAUGCUCUGCACUCAAUCUUACACGCGAGGCGCUGUGAAAGACCGGUUGUGCAUUGUAUAAUAAUCAUACAUACGUGCCCGCUCCUGAGGCGCAAUAUCGUCUCGGUUAACCUUGACACAGCCCUCACCCAUGCUACCCUGCGGUCGAGUCGAAGGCCGUCGCCCAUCCGCUAGGCCACCACCGCGUUUGGUGCCAAGGGACCGACCCAGGAAGCAGCCAUUUUACGUAUCUUGUUGGAUAACAUGCUUUCUUAAUAAAUCUACUAUGUAUGUUGGAAGCAGCAUGGUGAAAGACGUUUCUGAAUUCGCUUCCAAAGCCAACCCGGCCUCCGAACAUCGCUUCUUCAGACCCCUUCCUGCCCCUUUCUCCUCCCACUUCUUCCAGCCCCAUUUCCUCUCCCGCCUUGCCUGUAAGCGAUGUAGCUGUUGUCCUUGUUGCUGCAGUUGCUCAACCUGCUGCUGACUGAGUGCCUCCAGGCCCAGACAGCGCCCCUCGAGUUCCUCAUUCUCCAUGCGAAGUCGGGACAAUUCCGCCUGGGGUCGAAAUGGCACGGUGUAUGCUUCAGAACCCGGCCGUACCCCAGGUGGUAGGUUGCCGCAGCAAGCGCGAACACUACUAAUAAACACGAAGGUGAGAAGCAGUUUGGAUUCUUCGCCCCAAGCACGAAGUAAAUCGUUACUGUCAGUGAAGAACGAGCGAGUUCCGUGAAGAAGAGUCCAAUAUACAGGAAAGGUCCCUCCCUCUCCAUGAGUGAUCCAAAAGCCUUCCCGAGCCUCUCAAGAGCCCCUACAGGUAUUCCACCGCACCUCAAGUUCUGCGCUCCGUUGCUCCAGCGCCGCAGCUCGUGCGGUCUCUGCCUCAGCAGUCCUGCAACCCACUGCUACAGAAGCCACCUCUGCAGCUAGCUCCUGCUCCUGGUCCCGCGCCACUGCAGCCAGCCGCUGCUCCAGCUCCUCUGCACGCCGCACCGCUGCUGCCAGCUGCACCCGCUCCGAGUCCAGAGCUGACUGGGUCUCCCGAAGCUCCGACAACAAGUGCAUGUUGCCGUCACGCAACUCCCCCAGCUGACUCCGGAGAACCUCUACGUCUGCUUCAAGCUUUGUCCGGGUCUCGUGCGACUCGUGUAGCUGGGAUUGCAGCUCAUCAUCCGCCACGCGUGCCGCCUCUGCAGCCUGUCGGAGAGCCUGCACCGCCGCUGUUGCAGCUGCCUCGCGCUCCACCGCGGCUUCCGCGGUCAAACGCAAGCUUGCCACCUCCGUUUGCAGCGCUGAUACCACCUCAGCUUGGCUCGUCGCGGCUGCGGCAGCAGAUUGCAUCGCCGCCUCCCUUUCUAAUUCCGCAUGUUGCAGGCGCUCCUCUGAAUGUCGCAGGUGCUCCUGAAGGGUGAUGAGCUGCUUUGUUGCGCUGGUGUCGGCUGCCAACAGCUGCACCCGCAGGGCCUCCACCGCAGCCUGGGCCUCCGCUUCGCGACCCUGACUUUGCAAGAGCUGCGCCUGCGCCUGCUCCAGUAGUUGUUCCAGCUCGUGGCGUUGCGUUUCCAUCUCAGUCACCCUGGCAGAGAGCUGGUCAACGGCGGAUCGCGCCUCCUCCAGCUGCGCCUGCAGGUCUGAAUCCGCGACCGUCAGCUGCAGCUGCGCCUCCUCCAGCUGCACUCGCAGCGUCUUGCACGCUUCCUGCAGCAGCUCGCAGCGGUCCACUGCAUCGCCGGCAUCCAUUGCUGCCGCCUGGGCCUCCUCCAGCUCCGCCUGCAACUCGGAGACCCGCCCUUCAAGCUCUGAAACCCUAGUCUGCGAGGCUUCCAGCGCCUCACGUAAUGUCUGUGCUUCCAGCGCCGCCGGCUCGGCCUGCGCCCUCUCGGGAACUGCCGUAGAUUGGUGAUCACUGCUAUCGGCGGACCCCGUUACCCUGUGCGAACUAGCCUCGGCGUCCCCCGGAUUGUUGCCACCCAGCUCGUUUGCAUCCCAGGAACCCCCAUCCGCCAACGCCGCUUGUAGACGCUCCGCCUCGUCAACUGCCGCCGUGGCUUCCGUCACCUGCCCAGACACUGCAGCCGAAGGGGCGACAACUAAUGAUGAUGCCGCUCGCACCUCUUCCAGCUGCCGCUGCAGUUCGCGGAUCUCGGCUGCCGUGUCUUCCGCCGCUGUCCUUGCCGAGUGCUGCACGGCAUCCAGUUGCCGGCGGGCCUCCUCAAGAUGGGAGGUGGCCAGGGCGACCUCUCUGUGAAGGGCUUCAAUGUUGGCCUCCCGCGUUGUCACCGCCGCUCGAAGCUCACCUGAGUGCGCCUCCGCGUCCGCUAGCGCCUGCUGCAGCGCGGCCACCUCAGAUCUGGCCUCCUCCAAAGCAGCUUGUACGGCGGCCAGCUCAGCUGUACGCGCUUCUGCUGCAGCCUGGUCGCCCGCCGAGUCAGACGCCCUGGCGGACGCCGCAAUUGCCUCCUCCAGCAGAGUGCGCAGAUGUGCUGCUUCGGCUCUGGCCUCUUGGCCCGAAUGCUGAGACUCAACAAGCUCCUGGCGUGCUGCCUCCAGUGCGGCAGAUGUCUCCAACGCCUCCAAGCGCAGCGCUACCGUGCUCGACUCAUGUGCCGCUGCCGCUGCUUGCAGCUCACCCGCCUGGGCUUCCGCUUCCGCGAGCGCCCUCCGCAGCUCCGCCACCUCGGACUGCGUCUGACCCGCCGCAGCCUGCGCCUCCGCCAGCCCGGCCGCCCGUGCCUCCGCCAGCGCCUCGGCGUCAGCGACGCGCUGCUCCAGCUCGGCAAUGCGCGCCUCGGCCUCCGAACGCGAUGCUGCUGCCGCCUCAGCCACCUGCUGUGCCGCCUCCAGCUGCCAUUGAAGAGCCUGGACCUCCUCUCCCCUUGCCUCCCGUGUAGUGGAUAGCUGCGUCCGCAGCUCCGUCACCUCCUGCUGCAAACCUUCUGUGCGCUCAAGCAACUGGCUUACCUCGGCUGUCCGCGCAACUGUUUCGGCCCUCGCCUCCUGUAGCCUUGCCCGCAGCCCAUCAGCCUCAGCUCGCGCCUGCUCCAGCUCCAAUUGUGUGGCUUUCAUCGUCGUCGUCGUCUCUUCCACUUUGCGCUGCAGCUCUCCAAUCUCCUCCUGCUGGUCGCUCACAACCUCCUUCAGUGCAGCGACCUGCUCACGAGUCGACUCGAGCCGAUUUCGAACCGCCUCCGCAUCUGCUUCUGCUGCUUCACGCGCCUCCAUCUCAGCCUGCUGUGUAGUGCGUGCGGCCUCAAGCUCCGUUUGCAGCCUCCCUUGCACCUCUCGUGCCUCACCCAGCUGUAAGUCCAAUACCGCAGCACGCUCUGCCUCGGACGCCAGCUGCGCCUCGACAGCACUGAUGCGCUGUUGCGCAGCCUGAGCGGCUGCUUGCGCCUCGUCGAGCUGGGAUUGCAGCAAGUCGGCGGCUAUCAUGAGCUCCCCGCAUCGCUCCUGCAGAUGCUCCACCUGGCUCGAGGUGUCCGCGUCAGCAGCUGCCACCUGGGGGUUGUUGGGUGAGAGAACGACUGCUGACAGAGCGCCGCGGAACAGCCCCUCCAGGCCCACACGUGGCGGAGUACCAGCACACAGCUGUAAACAGGUUCCAUGUGACCACGGCUCCUCCGGGGGAACAGUGCAUUUGUGCAGCGAGCCGUUACAUGCGGACGAGGAUAACCUCGCGUGCGAUUGCUAACUUUCAGUUAGCUGUCCUGUACCUUUGGCGGGUAGUUGGCGUCUGCAAGCUGCAAACGACGCAACAGGCAAAGAGCAAGCUCCAACACUCGUGCUUUCCCCCACGUGGACACAAGCAGCAAGCUCAAGAACUUACUGACCCCUCCACAUGUUUCCUUGCAGCUGCCUACCUGCCGCAGUCUUUCCUCCCAGCCCGCGCAAUCUUCCCUGCGGUCGCUGGCCCCCCCUCCACACACACCUGCGCCCGAGCCAGCUGCUCCUCUAGUGUUGCUUUGGCGCCAUUCAGCGCCUCUACCUGGGCGCCCAACUCCGCCACCCGCUCCUUGAGGUUGGCCUUCUCCUGCUUUAUUUUCCCGUAUUGGGAUUUAGCUAUCGCCAUACGACUCGACUGCUCAGACAGUUUGGCCUCCAGCUCUCCCACGCGCGACUGCAGUUCCGUUGCCACCUGCUGGCCCUGACGUGACUCGAUCAGCUGCGCCUCGGCUGUAGCAAGCGCCUCCCGAACUGCCUCCGCCUCCGCCCAUGCUGCAGAAGCCUUGGCCUCCGCCUCCUUGAGCGUCGCCUCCAGAGCUGCCACCGCGUCCUCCUGCACUGUUCGCUGCAACUCCAUUAAGUCCUGCGCCUCCGUCAAUUGCUGUGUGAGGCGGGCAACCUGGCUCUCAUGUGCCGCUGCCGCUGCUUGCAGCUCACCCGCCUGGGCUUCCGCUUCCGCGAGCGCCCUCCGCAGCUCCGCCACCUCGGACUGCGUCUGACCCGCCGCAGCCUGCGCCUCCGCCAGCCCGGCCGCCCGUGCCUCCGCCAGCGCCUCGGCGUCAGCGACGCGCUGCUCCAGCUCGGCAAUGCGCGCCUCGGCCUCCGAACGCGAUGCUGCUGCCGCCUCAGCCACCUGCUGUGCCGCCGCCGACUGUGACGCGAGCGCGCCGAGCUUGUCUGUGCUCUCCUGCAGCUGGGUCCGCAGGUUGUUAAUUUCGGCUGCCUGCUGGAUGAUCUUGGCCUCCAUCUGGUCUUGCGACUCCAUCUGCUCGCUGUAUUGCUGCUGGAGCUGCUCGUUAUCUGAGCUCAGCGUCUCCACCUGUGCCCGGAGCUCAGCAGCGGACGCCUCUGCAGCCUAGAGUCACGGAGAGAAAAAAUAUGGAGCUGGUUCGGUUAUGUGCGCAGGUAAACUUGACGACGUAGAACGUUCGUCAAGGACACGAAAGCGAGCGCAGAGGCUGAAAAGUUGGGCCGAUGCACUGGCAGGUGUUUCCAUGCAGACGACAGUAUCCGGUAACGCGUUUUCUGCCAACAAGGGAUCUGCAUUGCCCGGCGGGCCCCCCCAAAUUGCCCCAUGAUCCCGCCCUCGUGCGACCGCAUAUACUACGCACUAUACCGAGGCCUUAUUGCAAAAACAAAGCCCAAGCUUGUAUAAUCAACUCCCCACCUGCAACCGCUGCUGCAGCUCAUCCGCGUGAGUUCGCGCCUCCGCCAGCUUCGACUUCAUGUCUUCCAUCUCGGCCGCCCACUUAAGGGCCGUUGCCCGCUCCUCUGCCGCCGCAUCAGUUGCUGCUGCUGAGGCCGCAUUAACCACCGCGAUGUCCUCCCUAACCUUGGCCAGCUCCUCUUUCAGCCGUUGGUUCUCCUCCUUUGCCUUCUUGAACGCCGCCUUCCCCUUCGCCAACUGCGCCCGUUCCUUGCCCAGUUCAUCGACAGUGCGGCCUAAAUCCUCCUCCAACGCUGUCACACGCGCCUUCAACUCUGUUAUCGCAGCCUCGUGGCGCUCCUCUGCUGCCGAUUCGGCUGCGGCCACCGCCAAAGCUGCCGCUGCUUUUGCAUCCUCCCUCGCUGCCAACUCAACACGCAGCUCUGCCAACUGCUGCUGCAGGGUAUCGGCUGCUGCAGCACCGUCAUCCAGUUCCCGACGCUGCAUCGCGCACGCCUCCGUGAGCCGCUGCACCUCCCCCUCCAGCUCUGACACCUGCGCAGCAGCUUUCGCCUCCAGUGCUACAAUGUUAGUGCGCAACGCAGCGCACUCAGCCACCAAAGGCUCCAAGUCCGCCACCUUCGCUGCUGCCUCCGCUGCGGCCCGGUGUGCGCUCUCCAGCUCAGACUCCAGCUGCGCUGCCCGGCCCUCCGCCUGGGCAACCGCCUGCGCCCGCAGUGCUGAAGCAGUUGCUGCGUCAUCGCUGCGGCGCGCCUCAAUGUCCGCCAGCGCUGCCUCUGCCGCCGUUCGGCGCUCUGCCUCCGUGUGCGCUGCCAGUUCUGCCGCUGCCACAGCGUCUCGCGCUGCUGAGAGCGCCGCCUGCAGUUCGCGGGUGAGCACCUCCAACUCCGGAACCCGACCAACAGCCACCCGCAAUUGAUCGCGCUCGGCGACGACGUCGGCCAGCUGCUGCUGCAGCUGCGCAGCAGCACUCUCUGCAUUUGCGGAGUCCGCCUGCAACUUAGCCUCCAGCUCUGACUUCUCCUGAGCAAGGGCUAGCAGCUGAAAUGCAAAUAAGGGAGGGAGACAGAGCGUCGGAGAUUGCGAGGGAGGGCAGGCAAUGGCGUGGGGUCGAGGCCGGCCCGCAGGAUAGCGUUUCCAAGGCCUUACAUUUUUGCCUGCCGCGGGGUCUCCGCCGCACACUGCCUGUAUCCCCUGCCGCGCAUUACAGCGCACAUCCAUAUCCAUAUCAAUAGGCACAUCAAGGAAAGAAGAUAUCGAACACACCAACGCAGCUCUUCUCCCAUCCGCGAUCCCGCACCUGCUGCCUUGCUUCCGCAAGCUCGAUUUUGCGGUGGUUGCUCUGCUCCUUCAGCUUAUCGAACCGCACCUUGCCCUCCUCCUUCAGCUUCUCGUACUUGACCUCCAACACGGACGCCUGGUAUUGAGGCACCGGGACCAUGAUACGACGGGAAGCGAAGCACGCGAAGCAGUGGAGCUCAUCCAAAAGAAGGCCCGAUCCCCCGCCCUCACGCCCAUUCCGGCCCGACGCACCUGCUGCGCCCGCGCCACCAGGCUGCCGACAUCCUCGUUCCCCAGCUGCUGCCUCAGCUGCUGAAGCUCCUCCACCGCAGCGGAAGCAGCCGCCAGCUCUCGAUCCUUGGACUCCAGCUCCGCCCGCAGAUCGCUGUGCAGCGCCUCCCAGUGUGACAGCUCCUGGGGGAGGAGGGCAGCGAAAAUUACUUAGGCGCAGGGUUACUGCACCAAACUCAGCGCCCAACCUGUCCCGGCCACAGCGAGGCGGCCAAAGCGGAUAUUCAUUUGGGACAUGAGGUUUCCAAAUACUGUGGUGCAGCCUCCAAACGUAUCGAUGCAACGGAGAAUUAAUGCAGGGGCCAUCUUUCGCAUCAUACCCAUCUUGCUGUCCAGGUACAGACCUAGCCAGUGCACGGGGUGUCGAUCUUCCCUUUCCUUGGUAGUAGCUCCCCUAUCCUACAUGACGUGUCCUGCCCUGCUGAACCAUCUGAGCCCGAUCACUCUCGACUCCCUCAACAUGGUCCGGUGUCGGGCCCACCUCGGGCCCACCUCCCCCCAAUCUACCACCAAGAUGCCCCACCUAGCAUCGCAUUCCGUUACGUUACACACACAUGACAAGCGACAUACACAGCCCGACCUCCUUUGUCUUCCGCUGCAGCUCCCGCAGCUCCUCCAGCUCCGCCACGAGCGCAAGUUGCGCCUGUCGCGCCAGUUCCGCCUCCGCAGCUGAGGCGGCCUCCGCAGCCUGCGCUUUUGCGCGCUCCUCCAAAUGCUCUCUUAGCUGCUGCACCUCAGCCUCCAGUGCCUCACGCUCCGAAGACAGUCUGGCCACAUGCGCCGCCAACUCUGCCUUGCUAGCGCCUACUUCCGCCACCUCAUGGCGUAGGCGCUCCACCUCCGCACGAAGCUCCACAAGCUGGGCAUCGCGUUCUGCCAACGCGGCGGCAGAGGUAGCAUCUGUAGCCGCCCCUGAACACUCUUCACCCGCUCCGGCUGCAGUAGCGAUACCUUGCAGCCGUCCUGGUGUGGAGGUGGAGGGCUGCAAUGAAUCAGCGAUUUGCUCAGCCGGGGCCACCCCUGGCAUCGCGGUUGACGAAGGCUCGGCCAUUUCACCCGCAGAAACAAAGUCAGCCGGCUCGACAGUCGCAAUAAGGUGUGCGUUACCCUCAUGGCGUGCGGACUGCCCUGUUGCUAACUCGUCGCUUUCCGAUACUGGGGCAGAGCAGGGCUGCUCGAAUGCCGCAGACUCUGCAGCUGCAGCCCGGUCAUCCUUAACAUCUCCCACGGCACCAUCAGGGACAGGCGCCGUGGGAGGCGGCGUUGAAACAGCCGCUGGGGGGGUCGACUCCAGGCGGAUACCGGCAGCGGAGGCAGGCAGGUCCACCUGACCCAAGAGCUCUGCAGCCGCGUCAGGAAGUGCCUGUAGAAUGGAGGGACGCAUCAGGAAAUUAAAGGACUGACGGGCGUGCGCGUUGACCCAGGUAACACCCACCGGGAGGGCUGCCGCCGUUGCAUGUGCUACAGCAUGGUUGGAGCCGCCGUUAGCCUGCAAGAACGACCAAGACUCUUAAGGACUUCAAAAAAGGGAGCGUCGUCGGCUCUCUUUCGAAUUGCACCUGAGCAACGGACGCAGAACCCACGGGCACCGGCCGAGGUGUGUUUGGUGACGAGCUCGCGGCCUUGUGUGUUGCGCGCUUGCUCUUGAACUUGGCCAACUGCGUACACAUUUCCUGGAGAUCAGAUAUGGUGGCGCCUACCCUACAGACUAUACCUCUCCCGUGAUCGCUCAAGUUGCGCCCAUUACAGAUACGAGCAGAUAUAGGGCGCAAAACAACUGAGUUACUCGAAACUCUUGCACAGUUGUGCUCACCACGUCGGCCCCCAAAUUCUUUAAUUCUUGCGUUUUUUGUGACAUGUCUUAAUUUUAGAAGCUAUAGUAUUCACUUGGUGUGGUCAUUCACAGGAAAAUUUGCCCCAGGCAGCUCGGUGCAUAAAUCUAGCUCAAAUUGUUGUCACCUACAGCGUCAGCUUUCGGUGUAUAUUACUUUAACGGAUGACCGCAAAGGUUGUCUUUCCAUCGAUAUGCAAGGCUACUGCAAUCACUAGCAGAAAGUCAGAAAGUCAAGGUUGUGCACGGGUACGACGGGCUAGUGUGUGUCCACUUGAGCCGUUUUGUGCCCGGGAUUUUACAGCACGAUAUCUCUAAAAUGUUGGCAACCACCUGUUACCUUUGCCCGAGUACUGCCGCCUUUCCCCGUUGUUGGGCUCCAUUCUUUUCGGCCCUUUCCUGUCUUUCUUCAAGCCAAGCCGCCGCUGGAGUCCAAACAUGGUAGCCUAUAUCGUGACGUCAUUGCCUCAGCUCAAUUUUAGCAGCAAUAAUCACAGGUUCCUUUGACCACUUUGAAGCCGUGGCUUGAUGCGAGUCGCCAAACACGAACCUGGAGACGCGCGGUGCCUGGACACAGGCAAAACCUGAUUCCAAAUGAUUUUUAAUGUCCCAAUGCCAUGUUUCGUUUGCUGCGUCAACGGCUGCACAAGAGCGAACUGUCGCUUGCGCGUCGUGCCAUUUUUGCUUGCGCAUUGGCGAUUUUCGCUUGGAACGCAUGCUUGAAUCGGAGCGGCUAAUGCCAUGACAGCUUGACUAGCUGCCACAUCCUGUCACGCCUCUGGGGGUUUCAGCACCAUGUGGGGCCCCAUACGUGUGCGGUGUUGGUGGUUGGGUGUUGGUGUUUCAGCACUAUGUGGGGCCCCAUACCCUCGUGCGUGUUGAGCACCGGCAGCUGACGGAGCACUGGCUUGGGAAUGAAAGGCAGCUGCAGGCUCUGGGAAUGGGAGGCAGCUGCAGUGCUUCAUGGCGCUCUGUCACAGUGGGCUUGUUACAGGCGCAGCGGGGAAAAAGCGAACCGGGGGCCCCCUUCCGCCACCGGAAAAUUGUGCAGUGUUCUACUGUAUUUCGACACGGAGUACCAUUUGUUCUGGAUUCCUGUGCUAGCCCGCGAGGUGGCGGCUGGGAACCUAUCCAUCCGUCAUCCAACCGCCGCUCUGAGCAACAUGUCUGCUGCUCCCACUCCCAACACCCGCUCACGCUCAUUCUUAAAACACCGUCCCCCCUUACACACACAUACACACACAAAUGCGCGUACUAUCUCAACAUGCACACGCACACAUCCUGCAUUUGGACCGUGUCCUAUCGACUUCCGCGCUGGGACCCAGCUCCUCGCAUGGACACUCGGUCAAGACGCUGGCCAUGGGUGUCUUACCCUUAGCGAAGCUUCCAUUCACGACGUCUCUCUCGUAUUCCGCCUCAAGCCCAAGGUGCCUCUUUGCAGCCGCGCCAUUCGUGUACGGCAUCCUACCACGUGUGGCUACGCGAGAUGAGAGCGGGGCCCCACGGGGUAUCACUGAGGGCGGGGCCGCCAUCACACACAGGGCCGCUACGCUUCCGCCUCCUCCUUCGGCUCUUAUUACCAGCAAGGGCUCCUGCUCGAACAGCCCGUUUGCCCCCUGUCACCCCCCUCCGUGCACCCACCCUUGGCCACCAGCCCUUCGUCACCGCCAUUCGACCGCCUCUGCCGCCUCCUGCCGCAGCCGCCACCAGAAGUGGCCCAACGCGUCCAUCUCCGGAGCCGACCAACCCUGCGCCCCACCGCCACCACCCGCCACAUUAGCCGCAUGGAGCCGCCGUAACUCCGAAACACGAACCAACAGCAACCCCCGACGAGCCGCCCAGGGGCCCCCGGGGCUCUCCCCUGCCUGCAGCGCCCGUUCUUCCCUCCGACCUCCCCCGUCCGCCUCCCGCCCUGGGCGCCCUCCUAGCUGCUCCCCAACGCUCUGGCUUCGCGCCACGAACGCAUCCGCCACCUGCUGAGCCCUCCGCAGAAGCUGGCGGGGCAGUCCGGCCAGGGCAGCAACCUACACCGCCGACAGAGCAGCAGCAGUAGGAUUAGUUUGGGUGGCGGCCAGGGGCCAGGGGCCCGGAGGGCGUGUGGAGGAUACCGAGAGCCAGCUUGUAAGGCCUCGCCGGAGCGCACGUCACUGUUUGUUGUUGGCCAUGCGGGGCCGACCAAACACAGGCACAAGUUGCCAGUCAGAGGUCUCUGCCGGUCCGGGGAUUAUGCUGGCCUAAUAGCUGCCAUCAUCACACCACAUGCCAGACACCCGCCUAUGAUACUGCGCCGCACCCGCCAUGUUGCGGGUAGCAGCUGCCUCAGCGCAUUGGAGCACCAGCACCGGCACCGGCACCAGCAUGCAAGCUGCACACGGACACUCACGUGAUCCCUCCAGGCGUCAAAUGGCACCUGCCAGUACCUGCCCUGCCCUCUUCCGUCCCCUCCUUGUUUGUCCCCGCCGGGUGAGAACACACAUACAGACAGGCAUACAGACGUACCUGUAAUCCGCAGCUUCCGUCCGGUGCGGGUCUCGGUCUCAGUGUGUGCAGCGGCACGAAGGCCCCCUCCGCACUCACGGUGCUGGCCAUGUGAGCCACUGCCACUCGACCCGCCAGCCCCGAACCACUGCUGCGGACACCACCACCGCCGUCACCAUCACCACCGCCUGGCCGGGCAGGACACUGAGUCGCUGCUGCUGUUGUUGCCUCGGUGGCCAGCCCGUGAUAGUGUGUGGCAAACAGCGUCCUGCAUGACCCCGGGAAUUAGGAUUCGGGGUUUGGGUAGUGGGGAGGAAGGUGGGCAGAGACGUCGGUAGGGCUACGGGAUGUCAUGCGUGGAUAUGUAAUGCCGAGAAGGCCGUACAGCCACGUGUUGUACAGAGCGGAGCGGAGCGAACUAUGACGGUUUGGUAUGCGGAGCCCUCCCAACCGUUUUCGUCCAAUCCUGACGAAUUAGGAUAAUCCAUGCCGGCAAUGGUGAGGGUGGGGUUCCACUCCGGUUCCGGAAUCCGGUCUCGGAAGUGGAGCUAGCCGUCCGCCUGUGCCUCCCUCCCUUCCCCCUCCUCACCUGCAACCCCCCUUCCUUUCCCCCUCCUCACCUGCAACCCCCCUUCCCUUCCCCCUCCUCACCUGCAACCCCCCUUCCCUUCCCCCUCCUCACCUGCACCCCCCUUCCCUUCCCCCUCCUCACCUGCACCCCCCUUCCCUUCCCCCUCCUCACCUGCACCCCCCUUCCCUUCCCCCUCCUCACCUGCAACCCCCUUCCCUUCCCCCUCCUCACCUGCACCCCCCUUCCCUUCCCCCUCCUCACCUGCACCCCCCCUUCCUUUCCCCCUCCUCACCUGCAACCCAGCUCAUUGGUGAGGUACUCCAGCACCGCCCCCGCCACUGCCUGGCCGUCAUGAGUUGCCGUACCGCGACCCAGCUCGUCCAACACCACCAGGGAGGCCCUGCUGGCGGAGCACAACCCCGCGGCUGCCUCACCCAUCUCCACCUGGGGGCGGGGGCCGGAAGGGGAGGGAAAGGGGGGAGAGCACCGUGGCAAGAGGUCGUCCCGUUGAGCAGGACUGACGGCAGCAGGUGAACAGCAGCCAAGGAAUGGUGUUAGGUAAGUAGGUUUCUGUGUGGCUGGGUACGUUGGAGGACAUGAGGCAAGGGGUAUGACGAACCACUGACUGAGGGGGCAAGGGGGGUGCUCAAGGCCCCUGGAAGAGGUGCCGACAAGGAGCAUGUACAGCGCCAUGGAGGGGCACAUGGCCGCGUGCGUGCGUGCGUGGGGGCAUGUGUGAGAGUAUUGUUUCGUGUGGUAUGGCCUUGCCGUGGUGCCGCAUUCCUUCGCCCACUCGACCCCACUCCACCCAGGGCAUAGGGCCUCUCAAAGCAGUCGUACAGAGAUAGUGUGCUCCCCUCCUCCCCGCCCCCCUCGCGCACCUGAUUGCCAACAGCGAGAGGCGGCCGCGGCCCCGCCCGCUUCAUUAUGCACCGUAACCCUCUCGCCCGCUCUCUCCACGUUGAGCUUCACCCUCUCCUCAAGCCCCUUCCCUCACCCACCCCCACCCCACCCCACCCCACCCCACCCCACCCCACCCCACCCCACCCCACCCCACCCCACCCCACCCCACCCCACCUGGAAGGUGCUCUCACCCGACAUGAUGCGGUCGUGUGCGCCUGCGGGGAAUGUGUAUGUGGGUGGGGAGGGGGAGGGGGGUGUAGUAGGCUCAAGGGGGCGCUCAAGCGGGAAGAGAUGUCGUUCACGCUUACCAUGCGCGGCAUAUGCUCCGGAGGGGGGCCGCACCACGCCUUGAUCUAGACACACGUACAGCCGUACGGACCCCCCCCCAGCAGUGUGUGUGCCAGAGGGCUGUCCCAGAGGCGUGCCCCGCUCUUGCCUACUUGCCUCUCGAACUCGUGCAGUACAUUGCGGUACAGUGCCACGCCGUGCUUUACAGUGCCGUGCAGUACAGCGCAGUGCCACCUUAUCCUACAUUGCAGCCCCCCCCCUUUCCCCCUGCCCCUCCCCCCCCUUCCCCCUUCACGCCCCCUUUCCCCCUGCCCCUUUCCCCCCCCCUCCCCCUUCACGCCCCCGCACCCAUCCUUGUGAAUAUUCUGUCCACGGGGUCCAUUCUGGCUCCCCGAGCGGGCACGUAGCAGCCCAGCUGGGCCAUCAGCACCGCGAGCCCGGCGGCCCGCAGCAGGGUGCUCUUGCCGCCCAUGUUGGCGCCGGUGAGCAGCAGGGAGGGCGGCAGCGAGCCGCCCAGACGCACGUCGUUGGGGGUCACCGCCGCCACCUGCCCGCCUGGGAGGUAGCCGGGGAAGGAGGGGGGAGUAGCCCGGGGGGGAAGGGGAGGUAGGGAAGCAACGCCGGGUGCCAAGAAGCUGAAGAUCUGUAUGUGUGUAUGUAUGUAUGUGUGUUGUGGACGAGGGGACGGAGAGGUACUCGGAGCACAGAGUGGGGGUUUGGGUCAAAUGGCUGAGAGAUGUAUGCAUGUAUGUAUGACUUAGAUUACACUGUGGGCCGCGAGGGCCUGGGGCCGAAGCCGAAACACAGCGCAAGGGUCGGGAGCACACAGCACAAGUCGGUUAGUCUUGUGUGCUCCCGACCCCGACUCAGACUGCCAACACUCUACGCAGCCACUCCGCCGCCCCUCCAUCCGGGGAUGGCGCUGCAGUGAAAACACCACGAAGGGUUCUCAGGUCCCGCUAGAGCGAGUCCACAAGUCUCAGCUAGGGCAAAGUCAAAGGCUCUCAGAAACAACCCCUCAAAACACCACCAACGAAAACGGGAUCCUAAGGGAGGAAAACAAACAAACAAAAAAACGGUUAGGGCAGUCCCGGCAGGGGAGGGCUCCUGAUAUACCUAACAGGCCAACAAAAAACCUCCAAGAGAGAAAGGCUAAGAGAGCUCGACACCACAAGACGUCUUGCAACCACCUUAAAAACAACUGACCUCCACCACCUGUCCCUUCCUGGGCUGGUCCAGGGGAGAAGUAGCCUUAUAAAGAAAAGGGAUCCCGCACAAGCCUGAUCACCACUGCAGGGGCCCGGGAUAGUCCGGCGAAACCACCAAAGCGUUAGCGUUGCCACGACACACAGCUCCUAGGCCCUCCAGAAAACCGCAGGGGGAGGAUUGUAGCCCGCGCGGCGCCUCCCCCUUACCGCCACUAACCUGAACGGUUGGUCCUCCAGAAACCUAUUCACCCUGUCUCGUACUGCACCGCUCUCACCUUCGUCCCUCACCAAGCAACCCAGUCCCACAGAGAAGACGUGUCUAAAUAGAAUGGCCCUCCUCGGGCCACAUCUCCCCCUCAUCCGAGCCCCGCUACCACCACCAGACCUCAACUUCCCAAACACCAGAAAACCUACGUCCUUUUGGCGCUCUCACCGCCAUCUCCCCCCUCCCCUGUCCGAGCGACCCCAUGUAUGUAUGUAUGAUUGAGGGAUGGAUUGAGGGAUGGAUCGACUGAUUGACAAGCAGAGCACCAACAUCUUCAUAGUGUCUGUGCUGACCCUGCCUGGUGUCGUACAAUUAUGUGGUGUCAUAUACUUAUGGUGUCGUACAAUUAUGAAGGGAGAAUGACAAUACGGAUUGAGUGUUCAAUUGCAUUCAAUUGGCAAAGAAGCCUUCCACUCUGUAACCACAUUUCAACAUUAAUAAGGAUUGAGUGACGUUGAUGGAGGGGUGUUGGCGGCGACAACGGCCACACCGUCUGAGUGCGCUUGCCUGAGUGUUGAUCCCGAGUGCUGGUGGUGGCGGAGGUGGUGGUGGUGGUCGCCAGCAGCAGCAGGGGGUGCCACAGCCCCUCCAAGACCAACUCGGGCGGUGUGGGGGUGGAGGUGGGAUGGGGGNNNNNNNNNNNNNNNNNNNNNNNNNNNNNNNNNNNNNNNNNNNNNNNNNNNNNNNNNNNNNNNNNNNNNNNNNNNNNNNNNNNNNNNNNNNNNNNNNNNNNNNNNNNNNNNNNNNNNNNNNNNNNNNNNNNNNNNNNNNNNNNNNNNNNNNNNNNNNNNNNNNNNNNNNNNNNNNNNNNNNNNNNNNNNNNNNNNNNNNNNNNNNNNNNNNNNNNNNNNNNNNNNNNNNNNNNNNCGUUGGGAGGGAGGGGAAAGGGCCAGGUAAGGCACAGCAGGUGGCCUGCCGUACAAUCCAAGGGAGGUCGGACGUCCUGGCGGCCUCCGCACCAUCACGCCUGCCCCACCCCUACUGCAACAACAACAACGACAAGAAGGGGAGGAGCGUAUGGCACAAUCCCACACUCAACACCGCCCUCAUGUCCUCGUGCUGCUGCUGCUGCUGCUGCUGCUGUUGGGUUACUCGGGCACCUCUUCCCACAACACAAAAGUGUUGUGUUGUGUUGUGUACCCCGGGUUGCCUCGACGGCUCCAAACAACUACAGCACAAUUGCUACUGCGGUUAGGACCGUACGAUACCGUACAGUGUACUGCACCAGCUGGCGGCGCCACCACCCACCCGGUGGCGCUUGGGAGGGGUGAGUGGCGACUGCCCAGCCCGCCAGGACGUCCAGGGAGGCCACCGCGUCCACGAGACGUACGAACUCGCCGUACGACGCCCUGAAGGCAGCGGCCACCUCCGCCAACGCCGCUCCACAAUGUUCGUCCAAACGUUGCCGUACCUCCGCGAGCUGCUGGCCCAAUGCCUCCAGUCGGGGACAUAUGGCUGUGAGCGUGGCGGGGGGAGCCAGAGGCCGGGGAGCAACCAGCACGUGGCCCUGGAGGGGGCAGCGGCUCGUUAGGCGGGUGGUCGGGUCGGGUCGGGGUAUGUGCAGGUGGACGCAAGGGAUGCUGGCUGCUAACCCGCAAGGGGAGGGGGGAAGGGGGGGGAAAGACGAACCACGAACGAGUGAAGCUGCUGUCAGGGCAAGGGGAAGGGGGGAAGGGGGACUGCACCGCAAUGCCCUCAGCGGACACAGAGGGUGCAGCGGCAAUGACUAGGGGAUGGAUGUUCCCCAUCACAUGCCCAUGCCGGCCGACUGCACGUCGAGGGUGCGCUGCCGCCCGCGCAGCCCCUGCAGGAUCCCGACCCCCUCCGACCUCCUGGCGCCCCCUCGCUACGUCACCCCCCUCCAUGGCCCCCUGCCCCGCAGGUGCCCGCCCUCCAAGGAAGCCCCAACCCCCCCAACCGCCCCCCCCUCCCGCGCCCACUUGUGCCUGCAGCCAGGUCCCCAGCUGGUGCGGCCAGUGCAGGGCCCCCGCCCUCUCCUCCGCCACGUCCCCCCCGGCCGCCACCAGGCCAGGCGGGACACCGGCGGCCACCAGCCUCCGCCUCUCACCCGCCACCGCCCCCUCCCACUGCCCCUCCAGGGAGCCCAGCUCAGCGAGGACCUGGUCGUAACCCGCAUGCACACCUGCAUGUGGGGGGUGAGGGGGUGAAGGGGGAGUGUGUGUGUUUUAGGGGCGUAUACGAGUGUGAGGGGUUGCAAUGCGCGUGUCACUGGCGGACGUAUACGUCCGCUGCCGGACUUUUCAUCCGCGGAUGAGCAGGCCAUGCCGCUCAUCCGCUCAUCCGCCUGCCCCUCCACCUCCCAGCCCCGCAAUAGUAACAUAUGGAGGGUAUGGUACUUCCCGUGGUGGUGCGGUCACUCACCCGGCGGAGGUCUCAGCAGCGCCUCCUCCCCCUCCCCCCCCGGCUGCAUGCGCUGCUGCCCUCCGCUGCCGUCGUCCUCGAACCAGGCGCUCAGCAGCCUCAGGGCGGGUAUGGACCUGGCCGCCGCCACCACUGCCCGACGUACGGGGGGAAGGCUGGCAGCUGCGGGGGAGCCGUCUGCCUGCGGACAACGUGGAGAGGGGGCAGGGGGGAGCCAUACACAUGCGGGGGGAGAACGGGGAAGGGAGGGGUGUGGAUUUCCCACCAGUCUGACAAAGGUGCGCGAGCUGCAUACACACAUACGUACACGCACAUGCACACAGGGAAGAGAGGACAGCCCUACUGUCUGGCUGCCCCUGGGCUGGGCCCCCCCCCAGUUGACCUCUCCUACCGCCACAGAUCGGGUGCCUCAGCCCCCCGCCCCCCCCCGCCCCCCAUAUCCUCCCAACCACCCAGCCCCACGCAGUCAACCUCUCCCCCACCUCACCCCCAGCCGCUGCCUGAGCUCCCCUGCCGCCCGGCACAUGCCCAUAAGCCCCGAAACCAGCUGCCGUACAGUCACACAUUGACUGCGCCGGGUGCUCACUGCCCACGCCACAUCGCAAGGGUCCCCCUCCUCCUCCUCCUCCUCGCCCUGCUGCUGUUGCUGCAAUGGGUAGUCCGCCCCCUCACCACCACUGCCAUUACCACCACUUCCCCCCGCUCCCGCUCCCGCUGCCCCGGCCGGUGCUGCUCCCCGCCUGGCUGGGGAUUGACAGCCCACCUGGAGGGGCAGGCGCAGUAGCAGACAGCGGUAGCAGUAAGGCCCCUCUCACGUGUCUGGGUACGGACAGUAGUGUGGGAGCAGCAAGAGGGGGAAGCGAGGGGGAGGGGAGGGGGCAGAAGAGCGCCGACCGACGUGCCGCACGGGCUCAGCUCCUCAGGGGUGAGCAGCCCCCCUCAGGGGGGACCGACCAGCACGUGACAGCCCCGAGGGAGGGAAUAAGUCUGUCAGUCAGUCUGUCUGUUCGUCAACCGGGAGACCCAAGAGCAGCGCAGGUCUUCAAAUGCGGAGGGAGGAGAAGAUCGCCGGAGGGGGGGCUGGAGGGCGGGACGGUGGGGGGGAGGGGCCGGAGGGGGGGGGCCCCGGAGGAGAAAGCAGGACAAGCGACUGAGGCGCUCUCCCAGUGCCCAUUCCUAGGCGCUCCCACCCCAAACACACCGAUGCGAAGAACUGUGCCGUACGGGGCAGCAGUUUAUCGCAGUCCGGCAGCUGCGCCAGGGCCCCCUGGAGCGCCUCCCCCGCGGCGGGGCACCGCAUGAAGGCCUCCACCACCGCCAGCCGCUCCUCAAUGUCCGCGGCUAUACACAGCGGCCUGAGGGCGAGGGGGGGUUGAGGGGGGGGAAGCCUGAAGGGCGCGAGCUGCCUGCACGCCCCUCUCCCCCCUUCCCUCCCCACUCCCCGGGGGGUGCUGCGACUUGGCCAACACAGCGGGCGGGGGCCCCGGAAGGCACAGGUCCACAACUAACCGUGCAGUGGAGUGCCGUACAGACUUGCGCUCUCCACGUGACCGCGGUCCCUCCAAACCCCAGCGCCCAUUCCCCCUUCCACGUAACCCCCCAGCGGCCGCACCCCCACCCUGUGCCACCAGUCGGCCCCACGUAGNNNNNNNNNNNNNNNNNNNNNNNNNNNNNNNNNNNNNNNNNNNNNNNNNNCCAGGCCCCGCCCCCGGCCCCACUCCCACUCCCGCUCCCCCCCUCGAGCACCUCCAGGGUCAGCAGGGCCCGGUCGUCCAGGAGGAGGUGCCGGCAGGCUGAAGGGGGAGGGGGAGGGGGGCGGGGGAUCAAUCGACGGUACGGCACCUGCUCGUGGGCCCAAUGGUCCUCCUGGGUACCCGAGAGAAGGGAGCCUACCCCUCCCCGGGCGGGCUGCUGUGUGCACAUCGGCGAGUGUACGGCAAUGAGACGCUUCGCAGCGCAGUUCGCAGGAGGUGCACCACGAGAGCUCUCAGGCCCCCCAGGGCCCGAGCCCCCACCCCGCCCCCCCCUUACCCCCCACCCCACCCCCGCCUCAGCCGCUCACAUGGAUGCAGUCGCAGGCCCACCCCGACAACAACAACAGCCGCCACCACUCCCUCACCUUGGGCUGCUGCUGCUCCUGCUGCUGGUCGCCCCCCUUCCUCCCCCCCCAGCGGGCCCCCCCGCCCCAGCUGCUCCACCCGGGCCGCCCCCGCCGCCGCCACCUCCCGCAGCACCCGGCACCGCCGCAGGUGCGCCACCGCCACCGCCACCGCCUGCAGCACCAGNNNNNNNNNNNNNNNNNNNNNNNNNNNNNNNNNNNNNNNNNNNNNNNNNNGGCGCAUUCCGGCCCCACCUUCCCCCCUUUUCCCCUUCCUCCUUCCACGCACACGCACGGACGCCGUACAUACACCACAAAGACAGGUACACGCUCCGGCCCUCCAUACCUUAGCAGCAGUGUGGCCAGCGCCGUACGGCUGGGCGUGUCGUGCAGUUGCCCCACCGCCCAUGCCCCCAGCGAGCAGUCCACCACACACACCCCCAGCAGCCCCCCCGGACCCUCCACCAGCGACAGCAGGGAGCGGCUGGCGGCACCACCCACCGGCCCCUCCAGGGAGCCGUCCUGAAGGGGGGCGGGAGGGGCCCACCAGGCAGGAAAGCUUGGAUGGGGGUUGCGGGUGGCGGGGAAAUGCCGGGUGGGACACGAGGUGGGCGACGGGGGCGGCAGGUGGUGACACGCCGCACACGUGUGCUGGUAGGAUGAGGUCUCGGGGAAAUGAGGUACAUGAAGCCAUGCAAGCGGAAGUACGCACGUGACGUGUAGUAAACGGUGCAGCCCCCAGCUGGGGCCCUCCCACUCCAGCUAUACACACACACGGUGUCAACCCAGUGCUUCCCCUCCCCCGGCCCUCAACUCCUCCCUCAUGAACCCCCGGAGGCAAUGUCCCCGGGAGGAUGUUUGUAUUCGCUCACAUACAUACAUACAUACAUACAUACAUACAUACAUACAUACAUACAUACAUACAUACAUACAUACAUACAUACAUACAUACAUACAUACAUACAUACCGAAGGCGCCCAUCCCCCCCCCCCGGGGACCCACCGGGAAGUACGGGUCCACCGCAGUCCCCGGUGUGUAGAUGCGCACCAGCCGCCGAACCAGCAGCCCGCCUUCCUUCCCCCCCCCUUUGCGGCCCCCUUGCCUGCCCCUCCCGCCCUCCGGAACCCCUCCGCCCCCGCCCCGAAACUCCUCCACCCGCCCCACGGAGUACCCCAGCGCCAGGACCUUGGCGGCCCAGGAGGGAAAGGCGUCGCGGUUGCAGCCGACCUGGGAGGGGGAGAGGGGGGUGCACCGGGAGGGGACAGGAGAGGUGCCUGUAUGUGUGUGUGUAAAAUAAGCUCAGCCGCAGAAAGUGGGGGUGGUAUGAGUGGAUGGAANNNNNNNNNNNNNNNNNNNNNNNNNNNNNNNNNNNNNNNNNNNNNNNNNNNNNNNNNNNNNNNNNNNNNNNNNNNNNNNNNNNNNNNNNNNNNNNNNNNNNNNNNNNNNNNNNNNNNNNNNNNNNNNNNNNNNNNNNNNNNNNNNNNNNNNNNNNNNNNNNNNNNNNNNNNNNNNNNNNNNNNNNNNNNNNNNNNNNNNNNNNNNNNNNNNNNNNNNNNNNNNNNNNNNNNNNNNNNNNNNNNNNNNNNNNNNNNNNNNNNNNNNNNNNNNNNNNNNNNNNNNNNNNNNNNNNNNNNNNNNNNNNNNNNNNNNNNNNNNNNNNNNNNNNNNNNNNNNNNNNNNNNNNNNNNNNNNNNNNNNNNNNNNNNNNNNNNNNNNNNNNNNNNNNNNNNNNNNNNNNNNNNNNNNNNNNNNNNNNNNNNNNNNNNNNNNNNNNNNNNNNNNNNNNNNNNNNNNNNNNNNNNNNNNNNNNNNNNNNNNNNNNNNNNNNNNNNNNNNNNNNNNNNNNNNNNNNNNNNNNNNNNNNNNNNNNNNNNNNNNNNNNNNNNNNNNNNNNNNNNNNNNNNNNNNNNNNNNNNNNNNNNNNNNNNNNNNNNNNNNNNNNNNNNNNNNNNNNNNNNNNNNNNNNNNNNNNNNNNNNNNNNNNNNNNNNNNNNNNNNNNNNNNNNNNNNNNNNNNNNNNNNNNNNNNNNNNNNNNNNNNNNNNNNNNNNNNNNNNNNNNNNNNNNNNNNNNNNNNNNNNNNNNNNNNNNNNNNNNNNNNNNNNNNNNNNNNNNNNNNNNNNNNNNNNNNNNNNNNNNNNNNNNNNNNNNNNNNNNNNNNNNNNNNNNNNNNNNNNNNNNNNNNNNNNNNNNNNNNNNNNNNNNNNNNNNNNNNNNNNNNNNNNNNNNNNNNNNNNNNNNNNNNNNNNNNNNNNNNNNNNNNNNNNNNNNNNNNNNNNNNNNNNNNNNNNNNNNNNNNNNNNNNNNNNNNNNNNNNNNNNNNNNNNNNNNNNNNNNNNNNNNNNNNNNNNNNNNNNNNNNNNNNNNNNNNNNNNNNNNNNNNNNNNNNNNNNNNNNNNNNNNNNNNNNNNNNNNNNNNNNNNNNNNNNNNNNNNNNNNNNNNNNNNNNNNNNNNNNNNNNNNNNNNNNNNNNNNNNNNNNNNNNNNNNNNNNNNNNNNNNNNNNNNNNNNNNNNNNNNNNNNNNNNNNNNNNNNNNNNNNNNNNNNNNNNNNNNNNNNNNNNNNNNNNNNNNNNNNNNNNNNNNNNNNNNNNNNNNNNNNNNNNNNNNNNNNNNNNNNNNNNNNNNNNNNNNNNNNNNNNNNNNNNNNNNNNNNNNNNNNNNNNNNNNNNNNNNNNNNNNNNNCGCUGGCGCUGCUCCCCUUCGUUGCUGGGGGUACCUUGUUGCUGGUGCUGGUGGUGCUGGUGCUGGUGGUGCCGCCCAGUGCUGGCAUCACGUGCCGCCACCGCCGACCCGGCCGGUGCUGCUGCUACCGGUGCUGAACCCCCCUGGCGCAUCAGGCGCUUCCGCAUCAGGCGCUGCAUCAGGGUCAGGUCAGGGCCUCCCUCACCCCCCUCACCGCAGUCCGCAUCACUGCGCCACGUCAUCACCGCAUGCUGCCCGGCAGCAGCAGUGCCACCAGCCCUGUUGUCAUCACCAUCAUCACCGGCUGCUGCUGUUGCUGCUGCAACGGCCGGCGAGAUCUGCCCCAGCCCCUGGCCCUGCUGCAUCCGCCUGGCCAGGGGCUGGUCCACCAGUUCCCGGUCACCCCCACACAGCCCCGAGCCGCCCCGAGGCGGCCCCUGCUGGUCCAGGACGAGGGAGCCGCGGUCCAGACGCAGUCGCUUGGGUGGCGGCAGCGGCGCCGCCGGCGCCUCUGAGGGCGUCACCUCCAUCGCUUCUGGGCCCCAUCGCUGGGGCCCCGAGGAGGGCGGCUCCAGGGAGGGCGGCUCACUGCGGCAGCGGCUACCCACACCACCACCGGUACAGGAAAGGCGGGCGGCCGAAGCAAUCGGCUGUCCAACGGCUGCCGGUGCCGGUGCUGGUGGCGGUGGUGAGUCUACAACCAGGUGGUGGUCAGCGGGCCGGAUGGGAGUGGGGUUGGGGUUGGGGUUGGGCUCACCGCUGUGUCGGAAAUGGUGGUACGUGCGGCUGUUUUGGGCGCCGCCGCCGCCACCGCUCUGUAGCUGAUUGUAGCGAUGGGAGGGAGGAGGGGGAGGAAGAGAGGCUAGAGAGCCGUGCCGGGUUUGCUCUGCGGUUGGAUGCUGCUGCUGCUGCUGCUGAUGAUGAUGAUGGUGAUGAUGGUGAUGAUGAAGGGAAAUGCGGUGGUCGUGGUCGUGCUGCAGUUUUGCAGCGCUGGGUCCUCCAGUGCAGGCAGCCGAAGAUUCAGCCGGGCCCCUACAACCAUCUGCUGCUCCUCGCCACUGCCCGGAAUGGCCAUCCGGUUGCAUCCCGCGGAAACAAGUCGGUUGUCGCUGAGGCAACUGUAUGGAAUCAUGAUGACGGGGUGAGAAGAUCAGCCGCUGCUCGGGUGCCGUUUGUAGCUGCGGCAUUGGAGGAGUCUGGUCUUGCACGGGCUGACACGCAUUCGCGCUUGGUGGCUGACGCCGAGACGCCGGAGCCUGAGCAUGUGCGCUGCCAUGCAUAGGUUGCAGGAUUGCGGAUGAAGGCAGUCUGGGUCCUUGACGUGCUUGUCCUUCAGGGAACCGUGCAGGAGGUGAUGCGACUGCAACAACAUUCCCAAGCACGAGGGCAGCUGGGACUUCCUUUUCCAAACGCUGCGCUCUUUUAGCGAUACGUUUGACGACAUCCGCUUCCCAUAGCGGCGGCGCUGCAAAAACAUCCAUCAGCCAUUGUGCACCGUUAACCUGCUCGUUGGCCAUGCAAAGCCUACGAUGUGAAAUAGCCGGCAAAAAUCAUAGCAAUAAAAUAUCCGUGGUUCGCUCCUUCACAGGACGUGAGAGCUUUGCAGCUCCAAAGCUCCUCCCGCCCAAAAGUAUGUCACAACCACCUCAUGAUGAAGCCACACGCGAUCUCAGCGCCGCUCUAAUGCAAUAAACACAAAGGUAGCCUGCUACGUGGUCAAGCAUCGGUCGAGCGUCAAGGGGAUCGGAACCAUGGCAGUGCGGUUUGCUCGUCCACCGGUUCCACCCUCAACUGUUGCGUCAUCGAGCGUCGAUUCGUCGAUGUCAUGUAUCCAGUUGAACGAAGCUCAUCAGAUGUUAUAUGAAAAAUGAUGAUUAUCUAACGUUUCUUGGAUUUGUAAAUUGAAUAACCUGUUGGAAAUUUUCGGUCAUUACCAGAACAUUUGUCAUACAAUCAACUUAGCAAUCAGGUCGCAUUUUCAGUAUGCUCUGCCCCGGCAUGAACGGGAACAGCAAGACAAGCUUGCCCUGAUGCCCAGACAAACAUGGCCCCGCAAAGACCAAAGGUGGCGCCGGGCACAUAUAUACUGCUGGAUCGGUUGAAGCGGCCAUCUGUCCCUCGACUGUAGUUCCAGACGCGUUGGACCUGCAGUGACCUGCCGGGUACAUGCACGGCUGAGUUAGCCAGGAGGAAAGGAGGCUGAGUUAGCCAGCGGGAAGUUAGCCAGCGUGAAGCUAGCUAAUACGGGCUGUAGGAGGUUGUGGACUGGCUUUUUAUGCAAGCAUUGUUCGCGGGAUAUCGGACCCAGGCGUCUUUGCCCAGGUGCGUGCUGCCUGCCCGGCUAUACGCCUCUGGUCCUUACGGUGCAUCGUUUAGGCCUCGAGUGCGCCGCCUGGCGCUCCGAUUCCCAACCCCUGUUCCUCAACCCGCAUGUAACACAUAGUCUGUGCGUCAUAAGAAAACCGCGCACCGAUAGCGCUAGUGGCUGUGCAAACAGCUGCGUCUACGUCCCACACCGCCAACAGCAAGAAUUUUGAUCUGGGACCCUUUUCCAAUCACUGAGGCCGGACAUCAUUUACAGUGAACGACCAAAACGAGGUGAAGUGCGUAGGAGGUGUGUGUAGCAAAGCAUCCGCAGCCAGCAGCAGCAAGCCCUAAUGACAUGCAGUGUUCAACGAUGGAAAUGUACAAAUGCGAAAUGAAGAAUGAUGCAUAUGCAUAUAUGUGCACAAUCACGCGGUUCAGAAGCUAGGAUGAGAGAAACGAGAAUAAAAUUGGACCCGAAUGCAGCAGUAGGGUAGGGUAGGGUAGGGUGCAAGUACAAGUCGGAAUAUGGAUAUGUAUGCGGCAACGUUUAAACCACACAAUCACAAAUAAAACCGCAAAACCUCAACACGCCCCAUAGUUCCACAGCAUGGUCACAGAUUUAAACGUGACUGGAAGUCAGCCAAAUCAAAGGCGCCUAAAAACCAUGUGGGAUCCUACCUGUGGGCCUCGACAACGCCAAUACAUGAAUUAUUGCUACCUACGCAUCGUAUGUAUAAUUCAACAAGCACUACACACCGCACAUCAAUGCAUCAACAGCUACCUUGUACCCGUCCUCUGUACACAAGCCCGAGCCGUGUGCAUACACUACCUUACUCCUCGAUAGCUCGCGCAUACAGCGACAGGAAUAAUACGCUCCAGUCCCCUUGACAACCCACCCUUGACAACGCACGCCAGGCUUGCCCCGGCCAGUGUUCACUUAUUAACACCACCAUGAUGCAUCAUCAUCACCAUCUCACACCUACACCUGCACACCCCCGACACCUACACACGCGCGACAGCAUUCCUCAUUCAUCACGAAUCUAGGGACGUCAGUAGCGCAACUCCUCUGAGGAUCCAAUGUGAUUCAGGCUGGGAAGAGGGGAGGCCCACAUCACAAACGAAGUUCGUGGAGUGGCCUGUCGUCGACAGAACUCCGCGCCGCUCGCUGGUUUUGUAGAGUGGGCACGAGUACAGCACCCAACCCUCCUGCAGCUGUGGCCAACAACAGCGGCGGAAGGCAACAAGGAGUGAGAAUUAUCGUACGGCAGAUGCACGCUGCAGGGCACUUGCUUUCAGGCAUCAACCACACAGAAGGCAACAAGGUGCAACUUUACCUGUAGGUUCUCGUUCUCCUCCCCAAUCUUAGCAGGGCAGAAGUGGACUGGCGGCAGCUGGACGAAAAGGGUUCGCGGUUCGCUCUCACAGAGGCGAUGCCCCACGAUGUCCCACGCAGCUGCCUCCAAGAACAUGCCGCUGCACAGGACGCCAUCCUCGGGCGCCCUCAAGGCGUCGUCAGGCCCAUCGCAGACCACGUGCUGGAAGUCGAUGAGAUCUAUUGGUAGACGAUGCUUGCGUGCGUAGUUCUGCUUAGCUCCGGUCAGGAAAGCCUGUGAUAACAUUUAAAACCAGGGUUCAAGCCCAAUCUAGGCACCCAGUUCGCAUACAUGGCUUAGCAUUGUUGCGUGCCCUAGCAGGUCCAGCGCCAGCUGUCAGCUUACUCGCAUGGCGGUACAGAGCGGCGUACCUGCGUGAAGAAGAAUCCACUGAUCCAAAAGACGACCGGCGGGCCCUCGUGAAGCCACGUGAAGAAGAAUUGGACCCUUUCCAGGAGCUCCUUGACGUACGGGCCCAAGGGCUUCAAGGAAGGGAAGGACUUGGCCAACCACAGCUCCGGCACCUUACCCGCAUUCAAGGAAUGCGAGACGCGCUCCAGCUCACUGCUCAUCAAGACCUCACCACGCAAAGCACGCGUGAGCUCCUCAAGGCUGGUGCGGAUGACCUUCAAAAUUAAAUAAACAAAGCGGCAGGUUUGAGCCUAUGGGGCUCUAUCGCGACAAGCUCUCUAUGUUCAAAGCGGUCAUGACAGGAAGGAUGAUGGGACUGGCGGAUCCCCAACCCCACCUACCUGUAAGAGCGUAUUGACCCGAACCAGCUCCUGCACGAGCACUGUGUUCAUAGACUCGAGGUAUGUGACAGGGUACUUCUUCGAAGCCUCCUCGAUAUCAAAGUUAGCGGGAAGCUUUGCAAGAAUUUCUGCAGUGAUGGCUCUCAAAACCCCCCCACCAUGGACGACAUCCCCUCCAGCAGGAGAUGCUGCUUCUUCACCGUGCUGCAGACCUGCAGGUGAACAAACUUCAAACAUGUUGGUAGCUGUGCCAAAAAAACAACAGAGAAUCUAGCCCCCUAAUGUAGUUCAUUGAUAUGGCUCACAUCCCAUUACAAGUAGGCCACUCAUAUGGCUCACCGUGAUCUGCAGCCGUGUCGCUGGUCGCUGCCAACGUGGCAGUCGUCAGCGCAAGGCUGUCCAGCAGCUGUCGGGCCUCCGCCAAAUCACGCGUAAUGGCCGCAUUCUGAUGGAGACCAAACACCUCCGGAGGUGCCUCUCCAAGGGGUAAAGAUGAGAGCACUGAAAGGUAGUGAGCGUAGUCACCUAGUCACCAAAAAGUGUCGGUACACGCACUCGGUUCAGUACAGUUGGUUGAACACGGCUUUUAGCAGUGGCUAUAUACUCUAUAUCGUGGUGUAGGUAUACAGGAGCAAAGAUGCCCAAUUUCCUCCCUUCCCCCCUUUUACACGCACUGCAACGACGCGUUAACAGGCGCUCAAGUGUUGCCCCACACAGUAGUGUCCGGCCGCCACACCGUUGUUGUCCCUAUUAUCUUAUGUGUGUAACAGGGGGUAUAUCUUCGCCCGUGGCAGCUACCCUGCGAAACCCUGCCUUCCCCGGUAUUUCGGGGCACCCUCAUCCAGUCACCCUAGUCAACUUCUCAGUGGAUCGCUCAGGUUCCGCACCCACCACCAGCAUCCAAUGGAAUCUGCCGGGUCGACAGCGGCCCAACUCCAUUCCUGGUCGGCUCGCAGGUUAACUUUAUCCCAGGUCACCACCGUCAUCAACUAGGGGCGCACACCUUCCACCAUCGGAAGGAUUUUUGACCCUAACGGGUAUCGAUCCCGGGAUCUCCCGGGGGCAAUGGUCGCGCGUUACCAGUAGUGCCAAACCCUAUCUAUUACUUCUAUGCUACAGGCGAGUGCCAACCAGCUGCUGCAGUCAUAGAACCACAAUCUAUGAAUGAACACCCGGUAAUAGCAAACUAGGUGCGAGGUGAAAGGGGCACCAAACCCCCACCCAUAUAGCGACGACUGUGGAUACGACACCUCCCCCGGCAGCGUUUGGCGGUGCACUCCACAUAGAGGUGCACAUAUGACGGCCGACAGUUCUACGUAAGAAGGCGUUCCCAACCCAGAAGUUGUUCAAACAACCCAUUUCUAACCGUUGUUAGGAUUCGUUACAGAGAACAGCAAAGGGGCAAAAGGAACUGCUUGGCGCUCGAUGCCAUUCCUACCCACCGAGGCGAGGGAUACGGUACGUUCCACUUGGAGUAAACUUCACGUCGCCAUUCCCAGCUUGCCCCACAUUUGCUGCUGCAACCUCCUUCCGGUAGUACACCGCCAGCAGGGUCAUCAGCGUCCGCCUAUCCUUGGCGUCCGUGACCUGUUAUACCGGAAUGGACCAGACGUGCAGGAUGUAAGGGAAAUAACGUUGCCGCCCCAUGGAGGCCCUUAAAGCGGCAUUCCAGAAGGAUUCGUCGAGGUAAGAGAUGCAUAGGCACUUUGACGUUACAGACAAACAUACACAGAGACAACACCGUUUGUUCCGCUUGCAGAAUGAGAGCCAUCAAUCCCACAUCCGAUUACCUUCCCUCCGUAAUUGCACUCUCCCGCUGUGUACAUCAGCAUCCGGAGCGGCGGUGUCUCCGACUCGUCCAGGAAUGCCUUCAACUGGCGCAAGCUGAUUCGCAGGUCAUUCUCAUUGAAGGCAUAGGGGAUGUUCCAGCCUACAGGGCCGUAGUUCCUGUGAUGCGCAGAAAACGUCCAAGAGUCGCACACAAGCGAAAGGCGGUAUACACCCCCCAGGUACACAACUCUUACAUACAUACAUGCGCACACUAUUGGUAAGGGACGGACCACUGCCCCCGGGAGACCCCGGGAUUGAGACCUGUCAGGGUCGAAAAUCCUUCCGAUGGUGGAGGGUAAAGUGCCCCUAGUCGAUGGACGGUGGUGACCUGGGAUAAAGCUGGCUUGCGAGCUGGCCAGGAAUGGAGUCGGGCCGCCGUCGAUCCGGCAGAUUCCGUCGGACGCUGGUGGUGGGUGCGGAACCUAAGCUAUCCAUUGAGAAGUUGACUAAGGUGACUAGAUGAGGGUGCCCCGAAAUACCGAGGAAGGCAGGGUUUUGCCAGGUAGCUGCCACGGGUGGAGAUAUACCCCCCUGUCCCACACAUCAUACAGGAAAGCAGAGCCUCACCUCCUGCCGACAGCAACACAGUGGAAGAAUGCCAAAGCAUAAACCAAGUUUUUGAAUGCUUGCGGCUGCCGUAUGGGUCCGUCGAGGAAUGUCUUGUCAGACAGUGGCUCACUCUUGUAGAUGCGCUCCAUCCCUGGGACAGACAUGUCGCAGUCAUUAGCUUAGAAGGCCCCCAUCGGUAAGAAGGCUCCUAGCCCGCAACCUAGGAAACCCAUCCGCCUCAGAGCUGCUUGCCGUCUCGGCACCCGACGUUGUGGUAAAGCCCAUAGCCCACCCACUUGUGGUAGUUAUUAUUAGGUGGGCUAUGGGAUUUACCACAACGUCGGGUGCCGAGAUUGCGGCUAUCAGCACACUGUGGCCUCACGUGCCCUUGCCUCGAUAUCCACACAUACACACACACACACACACACAGACUGACAGCCAAACCUGCCAGUGUGGCCUUGGCCCGAGCUUACCAGCCCUGAGUCCUUUCGGUGGCUCGUUAGUGAUCUUUAGGCCAUUUUCCAGUACCGAGGCUGGGAAGAUGUCAGACGGGUACGAUGUAAGCCAUAAGCGGAAGUCUGGGUGGACGUCUCCAGCUGUUAGCUGCUGCUCACAAACGAUCUCAAGCCGAGGCAGGAAUGACUUGGCCAGAUGACAGUUCUGUAGGAUAAUAAUAAUACACAAGCAAGCAACCGGCGUCAGUUACGGGACGAUCUCAAAUCCUCCCGUUUGUUAGAUAUACACCUGGGACAUCCGUCUAGCCAAGGGCUGUAAAGGAUUCCGCCCCUUUGUUCAGCGAGAGUCCAUUGGCCACGUGCCUUGGGUGUGUGUGUCCAUCAUUGCAGGAUUGCAGGGCAUGAAAGGGACGGCGGCAACUACGUAACAAUAUCCUGUUCACAGCUGCACCUGCCUUACCUGCAGAACAACCCAACGCCCAUCCUUGAUGCCCUGAGAAAUGUACCGUUCCGCGAUUGGCCCUUGGCCCUGCCCAAGGCUCACGGCCUCGACCUGCGUACACAUGACACAACGUUCGCUGUGUUAUUUGUUGCUUGCGGCGCCGAGGUUGGUGUCCUAGCAAGCUGCUCCUCUGUUUAGGUUAUCGUAUGUUUUGCAUUUACAACCGUCCGUCGGCCGACACACCUGCUUCCUUUUCUCCUCCGCAAAAGCAAGCAAGUCGGCCAUUGGGUCCGUCCCAGGCGAUAAAACAAACACAAUUGGCACAGAUGACGUACUGUCCAUGAAUAUGGAACUCAGCUUGAAAUCCUGGGGCUCGAUGUACCUGAUGUGAUGGGGCCAAAGUGGUAUGCAACAUCAACAUCAGCUGGGCUCGCCGCAGGAAGCAACACACAACUCCUUUUAGGACCACGGCAUGGGUGAAGGGGCACAUUCAGACAUAUUAUCCAAGCUUCCAGUGGGCAACAUCUUCCGAUACGUACCGUGUCCCCAUGCUACCCGCCACGUAGGCAGCGGCAGCAGGUAACAAUUUGUCAGGUGAGAGGCACCGGAUUAGCAGCAAACGCUGGAACGGGUCCAGCCGCUCUUGCAUUCCUCCAGGCAGUUCCUGCAAACAAAUACGGCAGCAGCACUAUUGAUGACGCAGGCGGAUGACCAAAAAAAUGCUUUGGAACAGAUUUAACAGCAUUCAACACAAAAGGACAGCAAUCCAUGAACGCGUAUCUUUGGUUGGACGUGGGACGGGCGUGAUCAUAUUCGAUUCGGUCGGCCGGGGGGAAUAAACUUCCAAUGACUCAGGGUUUUACAGAUACAAGAUAGAGCGGACCUAUAAUAUGACGGACCUAUGCGCCGGAGGCGACCCUUUGGAAAAACUGCAUACAUGCACACCUGCUGAGUGCCGUUAUACACUGCGUGCCACUGCUCAUUGUGGACAGUGAUGCUCUCACGAAGCCCACUGAAGGCCUCUCCAGUGCCUUCCAGCUCGCAUAAGUUCGACCAAGCUUGGUCGCUCAGCCAGCCAGACGAAGGGUUCGCAUGUGGAUUGUCCAUGGAACGGGCCCCUACAGCAAUAUAGGGCAAAGAAGCUCACAAUCAGUAUUAGCAACCCACAUCAUCGUUGUAAACCGCCCACGCCCGUGAAAUUACCAUCAUGCCAUCGUGCAUGUGCACAACGCAGGAUUGCCGAAGCUAUGCAUGCCACCGCACCUGUCACCAUAAACUGCACCAGCUGGGGUGCCAGUGUGCCGGCCGCCACCUGGAUGCUCAUUGCCAGCAACAAGGCAAAUAGCAACUUGUCCUUCUCGAACAGUGCUCUGCAACAAACAGGGAUGUCACUGGGAUCGGAUCGAGGCGCACUGGCAGUGUGCUAUGAUUCAUGCCUCCACAUCCCUGGAUCUGCCCCCCGACGGGAACGGGACACUGUGGAGGCGCUAAGGCCGCCCGGUGUCGCGGGUUGAGUGCAGCCGACCCGCGUGUGCCGGGCCAGUAUGGAUGAGUAAGAGUAAGCCCCAGCCGGGUGGUAGGCCACGUGUGGGUUAACCCAGCUCUCGCAGCCUUCAUCCUAGAGUGCUUCUAAGGUGGUUUCGGUGUCCGUAAGUCAUCGGCUGGCCUGAUCCAGGUGAUUCAUGCCGACCUCUUGACCGGCCAAGUUUCCGAGAGCCCUGGGCCUUCCAAUUGUUAGGGGAGUUUGGUGGUAGGUCGCUAAUAGGGCUGGUUGCUUGCGCGUGGCCGUUUCCCCGAAAGUCUCAUGUUGAUAAGGCAUAAUAUUCAUGUACGAUCGACCCACCUGCAGACAUUCGCGUACAGGAAGAAAGUGAAAUGGUCCUGCAGAAGCGCCAGCCGCUUCGGCACCAACGUGUGAUGUUGGCUCUCAUCGAUAGAACGAAGGAACAGCUGAAUGAAGUAGGUGAGUGAGAACGCGUACAUGGGAUCGAUGUUGAGCAGCUCAGCAACGCAGAAGUACAGCACAGAAACGUGCUUUGCGAUCGGCUGGUAGGCAGUGCGCGCCUGCACAGAGACGCCGAGUUAGACCCAUGAAGCCAUCCAGUUAGGGUGUACCGUCUGCGCACACAAACCUUAUCGAUAGCUUGUUCUGUUUUUGCAGCAUCUUGUUGCUUGCUGGCAAUCUCGUCGCUGAGCUGCUUUGCUUUCUGCAGGACUGUGACUGCCUCUCCAUCGUCGAGGAUUGACCCUUGGUUGGCUGAUAAGACUGCUAAGAUUUGAUCCUCUAUCUCAAGCAGCUUACGGGAGUUCUCAGCACCUGCGCAUGAUUACCACACAUUAAGCAUUUACACUUUACGGUAGAAAGUUUCUGCCAUGCAUGCUCUGUCUGGGGCUUCUCCCAUACCAUACACGCAGAUUCGUGUCAAGGAUCCACGCAGCGCACCUGCGACGAUGAGUUUGUUUUUUUCCUCUUCGAGCUCUGGUCUCUCUUUAGCAACCACAAUCCCAAGAAGCUGAUCUUCAAGUCCAGCUGGCGUGAUGCAGAAGUUCAGUAGGACCACACGUGUGCACACCUGCGUAAACACAAUCAUGCCAUUAUUAGUGAGCAGGACUACGCUCCUACCAUAGCAAAGAACGUUCAGCACUGGUUCCCAGCACGCUGAGCCUGACUUCAAGAGUAAUCGCGUCUUCUUCGAUAAGACGGACUCAUUACACGUGAUGUGCAGCAGGCGUCACGUACCUCCGGGGGGUAGUGAGGAUUUCGGAGCUUCGUUGUCAUGUAGAGUCGGAAGCCUGAACCCCACUCAACGACUUGGUCGCCGAGUUUGACGCAUUGUAUACCAGACUGCAAGCAUGCAAAAGGCAUGAAAACAAAGAUGCUGUCUUGCAGGGGCACACGUACAUCGCGUCCCUAGGAGACAAACACACGCAGUACACAAAAGACUGAAGUAGUGGCAAGUGGCCUUAAAGUUUCAUCAAACUAUAAGAAAUGGAUUGAAGGGGGGGCAUAUAUACAUUUCAUUGUCGUCCCCAGACCAAACCAACGGUUUACGUUGCCACCAAUUGGAUGGGCACGUCCAUGGACGUAUCCCACAGGGGGCUUCCAACUAGGUUAUCCGGCAUCCACUGGCGGCUUGCCUCGACGGCAAUGUUAUCAGGGUUAGGGUUGGAGAAAACUGCCAGAUGGAACACCCUAACGAACAAGUUUUAGGAGCUCAGGCGCUAGAUGCUAAGGCAGCUCUCGUAGGUGAAAAAGAUACUGCAUAUGGAUGCAAACCCAGCAAAGCUCCCACAGUAAGAAAACUUACACUUUUGAAUGUGUGUUUCAGCAAGACUGGCUCCAGCGAAGCAUCAAGUCUUUCUCCUAGGCCUUCAAGGAGCACCGGCGUACCCAAGGGCAGGGCUGCUGCCAGCGAUCGCAGGUAGUUGGGAUCAGCAGCAGGCUUAAGCACAAGCAAAUGGCGAGUAGCCUCCAUGUUGCGGAUCCAUUUGUUUGCUUGGCCCUGAAGCAGAAGUCGGAUCCCAACAACAAUUAGCAGGGGUGCAUCAGCAAGUGUGUGACCGGAAUGCUUUUCGAUAUUCAGGCACCUCAAUCAAGUCCACCGCAGCGUUGCAGGACUUGGAUUCCGAACAAGAAAUCGUCAAUGCCCAAUAUUACCUGGGGGUCGAUGCACAACGGCCACCGGGAGCUCUCCAUGACAAUAAUGCCGUUUGCCGCGCUGACAUCGUCUUUCGGUAGGCCCCAAAUGGCCCAUUGGCGCAUGGAGACCGGGUUACCCAAUGCACUUAGCAGCGAGAAGACUUCCGAGCAGGGAAUAGCUCGGGCCGCACACUGGGUCACCCAUGUGCUAACAGCUUGUGCACGGUACUCUGAGCUGAAGGCGCCCAAGUACGCAAUUACACCAGCAGAAAGAAGCAUGUCACCUGCAAAAAAAUGAUAGCAAAUGGCGCCGGUUGCUGUUCGGCUGCUAUAGCAGCUGUCGUACAGUAGGCCACAUCUACCACAGCUGCUGAUGCACAACAGCCGCGGGACAAGCUACAACCGCGCAUGUGUGCGUUUGCAAAACGUUCGGAUUUCCGCAGUAUGGGCGCCGCCAAAACCUUCACCGUUAUGGGUGGGAGAUGAGGUUGAAAUAGGUUACGCACAUUGUUAUCCUGGACCUAGGAUACUGGGGCCCAGGAUACUGGGGCCCAGGAUACUGGGGCCCAGGAUACUGGGGCCCAGGAUACUGGGGACACAUGGACUAUUCGAAUCCACCGCUGGCUUUACUUCCAAAGUGACACACUAUCGACCCAACAUUUAGAUUAUUUACAUAUCCCCCGAAUCCUGUAUUGCAUUGUAUCAUCACACGAAAAGGAUGCGUCCAGUCCUGCGCCGAUGUCGCUUUGAUGCUGUGUUUCAACAAAAGCUUCUGGGAUCCGGCCGGCCAGCUUAUGGCCGGUACAGGCGUGCUGUAAUAUCACCUACCAAUGAGACGGACAAACUGGUCGCCCAGUUCGUCCACUUUCUGGUUCCACCUUGCUUUCUCUCCGCCAAGCCCGGCCAUCAACUUCGUUGCGCGAUCCAACUUCUCCUCACAGAGCGCUACAUCCGCUUCAAGCUCCGCCUUCCUUCGUUUGGCUGCCUCGAGCUUAGCUUGGAGACCUGCGAGCCGAUCUGCAACAGCUUGCAACUCUGCUUGUUUUGCAGCAAGCUGCUGUUUGACCACCGCUAGCUGCUCUUCCGCAACCUGUGAGAGGCAGACGUGGCAUCGAAGAGCAGAGGGACGAUGAUUACACAAAACAUCGUGAUAUUGAGUACAACUGCAGCAUGGCCGUUUCAAUAAGCCGCCGUUGCGCCCAAAAGCCGAGUACGGUAUGGCACAUUGUCAACUAGUAAACAAAAACGGACGUCGCUGUCUUGUAUGCACGACUUCCCCUCGACUGGCAGGCAACCGUAGCCCACACUGCCAUACAAUAUAUCCACUCACCUGUAAGGCUUUACGCUUUGGGGCAACAAUCUUUGCAACGCGGUCAUACGUGUCCAUAGCCCGCACCCAGCUGCACAAUCCAAAUGCCGCUUGCGAGACCUUCUUGAUUUUGGCAGGUUGAAAGUCUGGGUGUGAGAGGAGGGGCUGUAGUGCUUGAAUAAUCUCCGGGGCGAUGGUAUCCUGCGUAAAUGGUUCGAUACCCAUGGGGCCCAAAGGGAGGUCACAUGUAAGGACACGCAGGCAGUUGUCCGCUUGCCUCCGUCAGGCCUUGUGCUACAGAUAGGCAGGGGUCCCCUCUACCUUGUCAAACGUCAUCAGGCUGUCCAAGAAGCCCAUGUCGCUCAACAUGCGCUUCGAUGUCUCCCACCAGUCCAUGAUGAACUUGCCGGUGUUGGUGUCCUUCACCUUGGUAGGCUGCAAGCCCUUCAGGAGACACACAGCCUGCAUGACAAGCCUUACAGGCAUUGGUGGUGCUUUCAUGCCCUUGACCUCGCUGAUGUCGUUCUUGGUGAGCGUGUUCAGGGCCUGCAUGUUAAGAAAGUACGGCGAAACCACGCCUCGUCAGGAGUAUUAUCAUGUCAGGCAUUUUGGUCAUACGCAAACCCAGGUCGGCGUACCAAGCUUUUUGGGGUGUUCCUGUCUACAAAGCCAGUGCUAAAAGGCAAGCCUGGAACCUGAUUGGUCCCGACCUUGGCAGCAAACGUUUCACCUCACCUUGAUUGCAGCAUUGUAAGCGGGCAUAGCUUGCGCAAGGUCGUGCUCACAUUCCUGCUUUAUCACGCCGACUUUUCGUGCCUCCUCUUUGGCCUUGGCCUCCUCAGCCUGCCGUUGCCAAACAGGUUAGGGAAAACCAUAAACAGCUAUGGCCAGCUUCUUGAAGCUCUUUUGUGGGUUUGAUUGGUAAAAAACAUCCACAUGGUACUGAUUUCCCCAUACUCCCGUGCGUGUAUGACGUGUGUAUCCCCAGGGCAUGCGCGACUCACAGGGCGAACAUAAAGGCGGGCGAACAUAAAGGCCGUCACUUUUGUAGACACCACAAUUCUUACCUCAACCAUGGUCUUGACCUUAUCCGCCUCCACUGUUUGCGUUUCCACCAGCGCAAUUAGCUCCUCCGUCUCUUUACCACUAAUAAUCAAUCGUGGCUGCUUCUCCUCCAAUUCCUUGCGCAUAAGCAGGACCUGCGCCAUAAGGAAUAACAUGUCUAGUCGAUGCAGGGUAUGUAGACAAUAAAUAACAGAAUUCGCACCUGCUCUUCAGUCGCGGCGAGCUUUUCCAACCCGACCUCAUACCGCCGCCGCUGAGCAGAUACUGCCUGUUGCUGGCGACGAAGAAGUGCCUUGAAGCAAUCAAGCAACUGAAGGUAGCUGGUCGGUGUCACGUAAUAGUGGCGCUUGGCCUCACGGCGGUACCUGAGAAGACAGAGACAAAGAAGCGGAGGGUCUUGCCUCUCCUUCGCAGCUCCGAAGUGGAUGCUACACAUGACACACAAUCGAUGUCACUUCAAAACCCUAGAACCUCAAACCCUGAAAAGUUGGGACGUGGGCAGACGAUAUGGUGUGCUCACAUCGCUGUCAGGCGUCAAUGAAUAAUACACAACCAUUUCGUACCACAACGAGUGGAUGAGCCCAAUAACACUAUUCUUUCGGUGAGGACGGGUUCAUCAAUGGCGCAAUCAAGGUGAGAAGAAACGGACCCGGAGAAGAAGGUAGGGACCCGAACAAUUACAAAAGGGCGGCAAAAAACAAAGAUGAUACCCAAAGGAGAAGCAUCCACAAACCUCGCGAACGGACAGGACAGGAGUGAGCCCGGAAAGAACCCGGGGGAAAAGCAAGCAUAACCACAUGGAACAGGAACCCGAAGAGGACGAAACCUUUGCUAUUGCUAGCUACUAUGGCACAUGGGGAACGCAUCCUAUACAGUUUUGCCUUGAAGCAGACAGGAUGCGCAGAGGCACCUGGUCCGAGGGGAAACCUAUACCUGCUCUAGGAACACGUAACAGUAACGGGAGAGGCCGCCGAUGGACGAUCAGCUAUCACCUAUUUUUUAUUCUUUUUUUGGUUUCUUUUUAUUGGGAGGCUUUUGGGGCUCAGGCCUCAUCUAGUAACAACGUGCAAGUUCUUAUCAGUAUUUCCUCAUGGGCCUUCUGGUGGGGGCCCGAAGACUUUUGCCACUUAGGAGUCUAAUGGCAAAGUCCCCAGUGGUUGCGGGUUCUGAGCCUUUCCUUUGGGUUUGGUUUUGGCUGUCUAGGUGACUUGCGUUGCCUGGUCUGGGUGGGAGUCUUGUUUGCCCUCAUCGUAACAGGUGCAUUGCACGGCCCGCUGGCCCGCUGGCUCUACUCUUUGUGAGUCUGGAGCCACUAUAACAACCACACAUACACACACACACGUAACCGCGGUCAGCAGACGGCUCGAACCGCGAGCCUUAACCCGACCUGCCCCGCAUCGUACCUGUCAGUCAAUGCUCGUGCCGUAAGGUGGAAACGGACGCACUGAUCGGCUAGCUGAUGACGCAGUUGUUGCUCAAGUGCCAUUUCGCCGAGGGCCUGCUCCGCCACUGAAGCCAGGGCAUCAUUUGGCCAGACCGUAAACCAGUCUAUAGUUGUGCAGGUAGUCAGUGAUGGAAAUCGGCGCAGGCGCUCUCGAAAAGCGUCACCGACCGGGCUGAAGCAGAGCACCACACGCAAGUGUUGUCGAACCUGUGAACGCAAAAGCAGCCCUCAAGUGCGACAUUUCCUUCUUAGUGUUCCCAAUUGCCCGGGUUAGUGAGUAGCCAGACACUGACCUGAUUCACGAAAAAGUUGUUGAUGUCCGCACGGCUGCCGUCCAUUCGAGCUGUUCGGGCGCGUUGGCGCAACGUCUCGCCUAUGGCAAUCAGCUCAGAAGCAUCAAAGAGGUUUGGAACUUCGCCCGUGUUCAAGAGGCUACUGAGCUCCUCGACCUGGAAGAGGGUUAGGGACAACCACAUGCGUUUCGGGUAGGCAGCAGGUAGGCACGGGCGACAACCUGCAAACAUCUCAAACAAUCUCACCCACCAUUGUUUCGUCCAAUAUCUGGCUGUCGCUGAACAUGAAGACCGCAUUUUUGCCCUUCUCGCCGGCCGUCCGCAGGGCGAGUUUAAGGUCGUCAUGCCAGUUUGUCAUUCCGUAGGUGCUGCUGACCUCGAUAGUGAAAAGCUGGACAUGCAUGGCACGGGGUCAAUCGAUUAAAUAGGGUUUGAAUGCAAGUUCAAACAUUUGCAUUUCCGAUAGCGUACGGGUUGAGGCGCGUGACACCUGGGUGUCAGGUGAGGUUGGCGGCGUACAGGUGGUAAUUGCAGACGCCCUCCACCAUCUCAUGUAGCUGCAUCUCUAAGUGCUUGCCACAAGGUGCAAUGCUUCGCCGCCCGUAUCACGCAACCCCAAGCCUAGACCUACCAGGAAGUCUUCAAUGAAAGCUGCUAGCUGCGUCACACUCUGACGACCGCUUCCACCCACACCGACGAGUAACGCAUGACCUCCAGGCUGGCGGAUGGUACGUGCCACUCGGCAGACGUGUUCCAAGCAGAACUGGAAAAGAACCAAGCUCAGUGGCUUCUUGCUGCCUGCAACACAAAGAAAUUAGAUAAGAUUUCACCAUUAUGCCAUCAUCCAUGCACCACCCAGACAGGUAUCGUGUUUGGUACAAUCUGAACGUCAUUGUGGUUGCACGUACCUGCAUUAAGGUCUGCCAAAUACUCGCCGACUACCGCCGUCAACCGCUCGAAGUCCAUGACCUCGUCAUAGCGGCGUGGCUCCGCGCCGGGGAUGAGGAAAUCAGCAAACAGAAGGCGGCGGAGCUGGGGGGCACCUACGUGUACCGUGCUCUCGUGGCCUUCAUCCGCUAGGCGUGACAGCAGCUGCACGGGUUCCAGAGUCGGUUACACCUUGCUGCCACAGGGCAGUAUAGCUUAAGCAGUUGUGCUGGACCUACCAAACUGCACGAUAGCACAUCGGGCCCAUUCUUACCUUAUCAAAGCGACUGCCAAAAUGGUCCUCGACAUUUGCACGUAUCUGCUUUGCAAUCCAGUUACGAUCGGCGUCAUCCACCAACCUGUCGUGGUAGACGCGUAGUGCUUCGUGGACCCAUAGUCUCUGCAGCCGCUCAGGGUCGUUGUCCAAUGCCUCGCCGACGAACGACAUACCCUACAGGGGUGUGACCUCCGUUCACAGAACGUAAAAAGUGAUGCAAGGGACGACGCUUAACCACUUGCCUGGAAAAGCUUUGAGAGGUCGCGUAGGUUGAACACGUAAUGGGACUUCAUUGGGGUCGGAAGCAGAUUUUCCGAAACUGCAAAAUGCAGCUUCAAACUCGCCGCGACGAGUUUGUCCCGCAGCCCAACCACUUCAGACUUGUACCUGGGGUGGAUCAAAACCACACAAUCUGGAAUGACUCCGUUUCAUGGACAAGAAAGAUGAUUCGUCCGCAUUGUGGAUAAUUCUUCUACGCCUUCCACCCUAGUAUGUAGGCAACCCUGUCCUUACAGAAGACACACACCCGCAGAUACGUACACUUACUUGCACCGGCUGAACCACCAGUCCGUGAGCGCGCCGAAGAUUUGCUUCAAGGACGCAGCGUCAAACUCAGUGGCGUGCACCACAUGGAAGUGACGCAGGUACCGGUUCGUAACCGGAUUCCGCCCUCCGCCCGGGGGUCCCAUGGCCGCGAGGAACUGCAGAUCCACAAGCUUGCGGAAGCUGCAUGACGUGUACAAGUACGCAAUACGACUUAGGGUUUUAUGACACGGUAAUCCACGAUCAUGUUAAUAACCUAGAGGGCAGUGCGCGCGUGUAACAAUCAGCAUUUCUGCUGUGCCUUCCAAGGCGCACCUGUUAUCUCGUCUGUCGUACCACCCUGAGUGGUCCAUGGCCUGCCUCAGAAGCUCAAUGGGAGGCUGAGCACCGUAACGGUCUAGCUGUGGCAUGUUUAAGUCGUCCACAAAUAUGGCGCAGCGCUUGCCCACAGGCGGUCCGUAAACACCCUUGCGGCGUUUAUCUAGUUUACCAUCAAUGAUAUCCUGUGGUAAUGGAAAUGUCAGGUACACGCAGUCCUGAGACAACGGACGAUCAGGCGUUCUCUAGGUAAACUGCAACUGCAGUAGCAUCACUGAAGCAAAGUAAACACAACUGACCCCCCCUAAGCCAGCGUGGUGAACAGCCUGCAUGCGAAAUGCCAGCGCGACGUCGCUGCAUUGUAGACCUUCAGGCCCACCUGAGUCAUGUUCGCACUUGUUUGGGCUGAAAAGUUGAAAACCAUAUGUACCCAUGCAGACCGGUCGAGCUUUGAUGCCAGGAAGGACUUGAUGUAGACCGACUUUCCAGUGCCGGUUGGCCCAACGAAUAACAGCGGCACAUAGUUGAUGACCUGGAGUUCUAGAAGGUAGCUGUACCGUACGACAUCAGCAGUCGUGACAAUGAUUGUGCUGUAUUCGGCCUCAGGGCGUAUCGGUUCACUCUUGCGCAAAUCCAUCCACCCUGAAAGCACGAGCCAGGUGACGGGGUGGGUAAAUGACACGGAAAGGUGAAGGCAGCAGGAGGAGAACCCCUGGCGCUUACGGACGUGGAACCUGCUGUCGAAUGCCGUUCCAGCAGCAAGCCACACAAUAACGAAUGCACGUCAAGGAAUGCACACGCACAUGCAUAUGCAGUUAUGUCUUCAUGUUUGCGUGGUAACGGCGAACAUUAAAAGUUGCUAGCUAGCAAGUGUGCAACACCAUAGGAGUUGCCAGUAGCACCCUUAGCUGAUAGCCGCUUAUUCCACCACCGGGCCAUCUCGCAAAAUGUUGAAAACUCCCGCGACCUAUCACCCAAAUCAAGCCCACGCCCCUGCAGCUGCAUUUUUGAUGAUAUACCAUGUAACUAGGGUUGCAUGCAGAAGUUUACCUUUCCAGGACUCCGUCGCCGUGUCAUACACCCAGUCAUACACGCUUCCAUCGGCUGGCAUGGCCUUCUUGACCGGGCAAGCAUUGCCUGUGACGUAUGCCUUGUAUGCCCCAAAGUCUCCGCGCAAAAACUGCCGCAAGCUGUUGCUGAACGCAGACCGACCAGCCAAGUCCACGACCGCUCCAACACUCCAAACAAGCGAAAAGAUGAACAGGCAUUCUACCGUGACUAAAAGAUUCUCAGGCGCCGCACGCUCUGCAGGUCGUGUGCCAGGAGGCGGCGGUGGUGGCUGCAGGUGAGGCAGCAAUAAACCUUGGAGAAGGCGGGUCAGACUCCUGACCAUGUUAAUGUCCUGGACUGCUACCGGCUGCACGCAGUCCUUGCCAACAAGGCGCAAGCAGGGCGGGAUGAGCCAUUCCAGCAGCAUGUUGAGGUGAUCCCUACGUGGGCACCAAAGAAAGCAGAGAAAGCACAAAACAAUUUGCAGGUAUCCAAGAGAGUUGUGGAUGGGAUAUAUGAAGGGACUGCCUCAAACUUAAGCUUUGACGGACACCCCCGCACUCGUGCGGCACUUGUAACUUGUAACUUGUAACUUAAGAGGCCCGACAUAAUUAGCAACUUGCAACAAUGCAGUCCCAACCACCCCCCAUGCAUUCAGGCAUCGCCUGUGCCUGGACAUAUAUAUGCGUACACGCUGUACAUGCAGUUUGCCCACGAGGUCCUCCCUUGCGUACGCAAGGAGAAGCAUGACGCAAAUGUAUAUUAUCGGAGGCUACUUACUUUAUCUCCUGUGUUACAACGGAGGGCAGCGUAUUCAUCCAGGACUGCACAAUCGGUCUCCAGCCUAGGAGGGAAGGCUGCAUAUAAACCAUGCCACACCGUGACACAGUUGCCGGGGAUGCCACUGCCAAGUCUUGCACCUCGAAGAUCAUGUUCAUCAAACCCUGCGUAGAGUGCGCGGUACGGGAAGCAACCAAUUCAGGUUCCUAGGCACGCAGCCAACUGGUUUAGGAGGCCACGUGCACAAAGACUGACAAGUCACGGAAACAGAAAAGCCAUGCUGUAGCGAGACACCUUCGCAACCACAGAUAGCCGUACGACGGAACCACCUUGUGAUAACGUGCAUGCCAGACAUUGUAGCGAAAUAGGCUGCUGUUGUGGAGUUUAAUACGCACUUACCUGCAUCGCGAUAAUUUCACCACUGUUAAGGCACAGCUUCUUGUUGUCGUCCAGUACCGUGUUCAUGUUUUCAAUCCAAAUCGCGUCAACUGGACCAUCCAGUACCACCCAUUUCCGGUCAGGUGACGUAUCACGCGCCGCGGUCCUGCACAUUCAGGCCGGCCAUACAUGGAUUGCGCGGGGUCGUGUCGUUAGCAGGUGUUCCACGUUGUCAUUUUGACAAGCAGGCUAAACCGGGUAUACUGACCGAUAUUUCAACGGUAGCCGUUCGAAGGUCCCGGUGUGUGCGGACAGGCAUGCAGGGGUGCAUACCCAUCAGAACCACUUAAGUUUCCAUGAGGAGCCGAUGAAUAACCGCAUCAGAUCUGCAGCUGAGAUGCGUUGUCGCAACCCUACUCUGCUCACCUGAAGGCGACUGCGAGGACACCAUCCGUCCACUCCUUGGACAGCGGGUCGUCCUGCCCAUACAGCUGGCCCAUUGUGACAGCCUUCGGGUUGAUUGUGAACGUCUUGACCUUCUGCUCGCCAUGACCUGCGUGACAGGAUAGAUUGCAAACCAGUGCGCUAUCAGGGCCAACGAGGAAAAGUACACCUGGUACCCUAUACUCCACUCCAUCUUCCCAUGACACACAUACAUUUCCAAGGUGCUAUGUGCAGCCAUGCGCAGGCCAGGCUUCGCCAGGCCUAUGUUACUACUGGUGCCCGUAGCCAUGGCCUCUGAGCCAUAAUACAAGAGUUGCUACGCGAUUUCCAACCAUACGGUCAACAGGCCUUUGUGUCUUACAGUACCUGCUGCACACAUAUCGCCCAAAGCAGCCGCCAGGACACGUAUAGCUACGGUCUUCAUGCUGAAGGACCGUCCCACGAGCAUGAGGCCAUGCCGUACGACGAUCAUCUCGUAUAACUGGAUUGCUUUUUCGAUGAAGGAGGGAAGUGGCUGAAGGUUAAGGGCACGCGCGUUGCGAGUCAGAGCUUCAGUCAUCUCGCCGUAGUCAACCGCCGGUAACGAGACCCCUGCAACCCGGACCACGGGAACAGAUAAACAAGUCUGUUAACUCCUGCUCAGUGAAUGGCUGUAGGAUGAGAUCCUCUUUGAUAAUCCUCAGCCCAACCUUCCGAAUCAGGCAUGCGGCUACCAGCAGGCUGGGCGUUUCUUACCUGGGAACAAAUCCGAGAGGAUGCCUUUGAAUAGAGGCACGUCUUCGUCAAGGAACUUGGGCAAGUUGACCUCCGUAAUUGCACGGAGCAUCAAGAUUGGCUCCCCGUAGGUAUCGCCGCUGUGUCCCGCAUAUCGGCGCUUGAGGUUGCCGGCGGCCCGCAGCACAGCCAUGACAGCCCGCAUACCUGUCAUAAGAAUGGCAUCGGUAGCACAAAUCCUCCCGUGAAAACAGAAUUACCAACUUAUGAUUGAGGCAAAGUUCCUGUGCCUGGAGCAAGCUGAAAUGCAUACCAAUGGGCCAAACUAGCAGCUUACCGUAGUCGUAAUGAUCUUGGCGGGAAAGCUGCUCAGAGCAGAGACGGUAAGUCUGCACCAGCUUCUGAGCCAUGGCACGUGCUUCCAAAUAGCCGUACGAGUAUAAAAUGAUCUCGCUGAUAAGCGCGUAGUCAGGAACCAUCAUUGCAACAUCCCGGAAUAGGGCCUGGAGCGUGGCAUAUACGGGACAAGGACCGCGGCGUAGAGAAGUCAACCCAAAAAAGUUGCUUCAAUGAAGGCCAUUUUUUGCCAAAAAGCAGGAAAGCGGUGAAGAGUCGGUCCUUACAUGCGCAACCGCUCAAUCACAAUCCCUAGGGACCCUAAGUACAUAUUUCCAGCAGCCCUUCGACUUUCCAGCAGUCCCAUUCACAAAACUAAGCGACUCACCUUGAGGUUGUCAGGCAGUUCAGACCGACCCGCAUAGCCCGGAUUCAUGGUAAUGAAGACGUUGCAGGUCGGCACAAGAACCAUGUCUGUACCUUCAAAAACGAACCGCUUCUUUCCCGCAGCUUUUGCUCGCUGGAUGGUUAAGACCUGGCACCAUACAGAUGCACGGCAGGAAGGUUUUGGUGGUAAGGGUAUGGGACGGGAAUUGUUUCUAUGUGGAGUCGGAAACUAUUGGUAUGAACUAGCUCGCAACAGUAACACCCUGAAACAUGCAAUGCAUGAUAUGGAUCGCGGGACGUUUGGCAUUCUCAAGGUCGAAGCAUGCACUCGCGCGGUCCCCCCAUCCAUUAACUCCUAACAAACACCGUUCUAGACUGCACCAUCUCGUACACACCAGGGGUGCGCGGUCUUAUGCGGUGGUCCAUAUGCAGCGCGUAUCAAGCAAGUAACGGCAUAUGCAAAACGGAUGAUCCUUGAAAAGGUCUCUGCAGACGCUGUGCAUAGAUCUUACUGGAUUACAUUAUAAUUGUAAGGCCAUAUUUGUACGGCAUUCUCGAUCUUGAAAUCGUCCUCAGCAGAUACGCCGGAUUUCAGUUCUGUAUCCAAUACAGCUGUACACAGGGCACGUAGAUUAAACCAUACCUGCUGCGCCACGACGGACAAGACCUCCAGCUCAAUCCGGUUGAACUCAUCAAAGCAUGCCCAUGCACCGCUGGCGGCAAGGCCUUUGAAAAACCGACCCAUGGCCUGUAAACAGCACAAACAUGUAUUAAGCAGUGCACGUCAUGCAUUGGUAACCCUACAAACAAAUGCUAGGAAGCUUAGAGGCUCGAGUCAUGCAUAUAAAUGCACCCACCAGGUAAUCCAGGCCGUCGGAGCAGUUAAACACCACGCACUGGAUGGCCACUGCCUUAGCCAGGUCUUUGGUGGUUUCAGUCUUGCCCGUCCCUACAAUCAUGCGCCACAUGGAGAAAAGCAUACAUGUAUAAAGGUUUUUUCCAUAGCGCUGUUACAAACAAAAGCCUAGGUUUGAAUGCACGUACGGGAAGUGAGACAUUGCUGCGCUACAGCAGUCGAGCUGUCUGGUUCACUCGUAAGCACGUACCGGCAGGGCCUGCAGGGGCACCUCCAAGGUUCAUAUGAUGAGCUCCCAACAGCGUGCGGUAGCACCUGUCCGUCAGCGGUGUGAUAACGAGUCUGGAGCUGUUGCCGAGGUACUCGUAGCCAUACGUGCACUCCGCGUUCAGCAUCCGUACAUGCAUGGUGUUGUUCUCCCAGUAGUAGCGCAAGCGACUUUGCCAGCUGAAGUCGUCAAUACUGGAAACCUGAAUCACCGCAACAGGAGGUCACGGCUACUUGCUCAUCCGCUCCAUACGAAGGACGCAACGGCAUAGAGGAAAUGCUUAGGUCUGCUACACCCAGUUGUACGCACCUUGUCGUUCACCAUUUCGGCGACAACGUCGCGGGCAUGUACGUCCAACACGACCAAGGCCCCAAUGGUGGCCCGCUCGAGUGGCUUCAGGUGACCACGUACUAGCAUGACCUCCUCCAUGAGGUCACGCCGGCACUGCUCUCCGUACUCAACCAGCCCAAAGAGGCCGCUUGAUGUCAGGGCUUCCACCACGCCCAUAGUCCAGUAGGCCUGUGCCACUGCCAGGACCACCUGGCCCGGCCACUCCAAAAUCCAGCUGGCCCUCGCAGUAGUUGGAUAUGCCUGCAGGUCGGCAGAUUCACAGCAAAGGGAUCUUCCUUACAGCCGUUGAAUAAAUUUUGUUGGGGUGCGUGUUUACGAUCUCCGUUCCUCGGGACGCGGCUUGGGCCCGGUCCGCCAGGAUUGAGCGAUGUGUCGGAUGGUCCCAGAUAUUUGGGGGGGGAUUCAUGCCUCCACAUCCCUGGAUCUGCCCCCCGACGGGAACGGGACACUGUGGAGGCGCUAAGGCCGCCCGGUGUCGCGGGUUGAGUGCAGCCGACCCGCGUGUGCCGGGCCAGUAUGGAUGAGUAAGAGUAAGCCCCAGCCGGGUGGUAGGCCACGUGUGGGUUAACCCAGCUCUCGCAGCCUUCAUCCUAGAGUGCUUCUAAGGUGGUUUCGGUGUCCGUAAGUCAUCGGCUGGCCUGAUCCAGGUGAUUCAUGAGGCCCACGUGCCCAUCCUAAACAAGUAAGUCUAGGACCGUACGCGGGGUGAGGGUCUUGGUGGUAGGUGGUUAGCGUUCGGGGACAAAUGGUUAGGAGUUGCCCAUACUUGACCACCCCCUUCUCUGCUACCUCAAAACCUCAGUCCCAGCCCGCACAAUCGUACGCCGUGCCUGGGCCGUCCUUCACGAGUCUGGGCAAGGAACUGACACGGCUUGUUUCGGGCUGUAUAUGCCGUGAUACAGGCCCCUUGUGGCCAGACUGGUGUCUGGGGGUAAGAUGGCAACUACGAGGAGGCGUUUUGGAGGCACUUUGGAUGUAUUUGCCAGGAUUUGGAACUAACGAACCACGGAGGAGCAAUCCUUAAUUUUACAUAAGUCUUCGUAGCUCUCUGGCUUUAGAGUUGAAUACAAUAAAAGUUAUACAUGUAAUUUGGCAAAGUCUAUAGGACAGAACGGCGUGCCGUACGUACGACAUGGUGGGUAAGCACGAGGGUCCCUUCAUACGAAGGAUCGGCGUUGAUCGGCGUGGGAUAUGAUCAAAAGGAACUCUUAUCCCAUCCAUAUGAUUCAAGGGAUGGUUUGAUUUUAACGGAGGAAUUAUUACGGAUGGUCUAGAAGUUUCUGUAACCUCUAAAACUUUCAUUGUUCGUGCGCGAACACCCAGUACCGACCUUACCUUGAUGGCAUGCCGCAUGACCGUUGCAACGCUGACGCGCAUCUGCUCCUCCACUUUAAUGAGCCAAAACUCGACACCAGACACCAUUUCGCUGCUUGUAAUGACAGGGCGGUCGAACGGUAUCCUCUCGUCUUCCACACUGAUCAAGGCUGUAACCUCCUGCGCCGCGUUAAACUCGAACUCCCUGUCCAGGAAUGAAAACCGAGGUUAUCCUGGAACAUGUCAAGACUGCACUGGGCACAAGAACGCGAAGAUUAAUACUCCUUAACUCACUUGACAGCCUCGAUGAUUUUCUUGGCGAACGGCUGUAUACGGAGAGGCUCCUUCGCUUCGCUGAGAAUUUCGAUAAGUUCAUCAUUUGAUAAAAAGAAAAAUCGCGGAAAAAGGAGCUUCUUGGAUUCCAGGUAGGCCGCCAAAGAUCGUUCAACAAUGCUGAAAGACAUAUUGCAGCUCUGCGAGUGCAAAAUACGAAAAUAUGUGAACAACAUCAGUGUGCGUGUUCAUCCGAUUAGCUGUGAAUGGGGCCACAUGCACCCACCUGCAAGUCGCUUAGCAAAUGCUGUGUGUCUGUGAACGAAAGGACCUCUGGGCUCUUCUCCACAGCCCGCAUGAUAAGCCUGAGCCGCGCGUCCGCAGCCUGGAACUCCCAACGCUCCUGCAGUCAGCGUUACAAAGCGUCGAUGGCAGUAAUACCGCCAGCCCAAGGCACUUGCAGGGUAAUGUAGUAAACAUACGCAAGCAUGAGCCCCCCACAAGGAUCAUGCAUCAAGGCAAUGCCCCCCACAGAAACGCUGUGGGCGCCAUAACCCAAAGCCAUAUUGGCAUACUUUGGGCAUUUGCUUGGCGAUCUCCUCGCUGCCAUAGACAGGGCCGAGGAACAUCCACUUCUGCUGAGCCACCAUCCAGGCAUCUAUGACAUCCUGCGAUAAACAUGAGCAAAGAGACGAGCACACUUUUACGUGAAAUACUACCAGCACCAGCAGCGGAAACUUCGAACAUUAUUUUUUUGCUCUAACAGGGGAGUAUAUCUUCGCCCGUGGCAGCUACCCUGCGAAACCCUGCCUUCCCCCGGUAUUUCGGGGCACCCUCAUCCAGUCACCCUAGUCAACUUCUCAGUGGAUAGUUCAGGUUCCGCACCCACCACCAGCAUCGAACGGAAUCUGCCGGGUCGACAGCGGCCCAACUCCAUUCCUGGUCGGCUCGCAGGUUAACUUUAUCCCAGGUCACCACCGUCCAUCAACUAGGGGCGCAAUACCUUCCACCAUCGGAAGGAUUUUUGACCCUAAUUGGUAUCGAUCCCGGGAUCUCCCGGGGGCAAUGGUCGCGUCACCAGUAGUGCCAAACCCUAUUAUUUGCAUGAGAACGGUGGUCCAUAGCCACCAUGCUUCGAAAGCUCUACAUACCUGCAUGUUGGAGAGCUUCCUCACCCAGCCUUCAAUACGUUCCAGGAACGGCGCUGAUGCCGGACUGCUGAGCAUGGCCUGUGACUUGACCACGUGAUCAUCCAGGAGCACUUGUGCUUCCUCGACACUGCUGCCCUUGAGGAUUGUACCACCUACGGCAACCGUGUGAGGAGUAUGAGACAUGAUCUUCUUUGAACCUUCACUGAACAGAUGAAAUGCUGUCAGUCCUUGCUGCCAAUCAUGGAACUCCUAAACCUCACAAAUGGACGUAGGUGAGUAUAAAACAAGUGAUUUGAAUAAACUACCGACGCACCCGUAUUUUUCCAGGGCACGACUUCAAACUUGACCCCACCCCACUCAGCCACCAUGCGGUCCAAUGAUCGCUCAAGAGCCAUCUCCCGGGACGCCGUAUCACUCAACUCCUGCAGAUCAAAAAUGUGUUGGUUGACGAAAUCAGCAACUACAGGAAGGCGGCGGGAAAAGUUGCGAACGGUCGGAAGUACUUGCCUGCAGAAGCUCGAGGUGGGACGUUAUUCCCAAGAGCAAGAGCUUCUGGAGGUUCAGCUCGCCGUCAGCACCCGGGGAUACACGAGUGCCGAGUGCCAUGGAAAGGCGCUCCCAGUGUCGUCCACGCAUACCUACAUAGAAGCAUCCAACGUCAAUGAGAGAAUGGAACUCCGGUCAGUUUCAAAACAAUCCCUACCGGGAUUGCAGACGGCCAUUAUAAUUGGGACAUUCUCCUUAAACUCUUCAAGCCGUGCACGGGUAGUCUCUGCCAGGGUGCGCAGCUCCGGCCGCGGAAGGCUCUUGCUGAGCCGUACCAUCUGCAAAGGCAGGGGGCCACACAGUAACGGUUCCAUUCCAGCGAAGACGUGCAGUAGCGAGUACACGGCAUACAAGAAUGUGUGAAUGCCACGCGCACCUUCUUGAACCAUUCACCAACGUUGUUCUCGACCUCUUCGGCGUUAAGGUCCUUGAUAGGGCCAAAAAGCCACUCCUCGUAGCGAAGCCCAAAAUCGUUGGUUAUGCUGUACAAUGAUGCAUAGGGCUCCAGAUCCGUCGACAGUUCCCGAAUGGCAGGCCACUCCGUAACCUGAACGGAGCGUAGCCACAAAGGGGAUUUAUGUCCAAGAGAAUGCAGCCAUCCUGUGCGUGUGCAACCUGUUGUUUCCCACAUACCUCCCAACCAAGAAGCGCCUCGUCCUCGUUAAUGCUGCCGGCUGUAUCCGAAAGCUGCUGGAUGCGCGCCAGGAGCGACUCGCCCUCGUGUGCCAGCUCCGACUGCACGGUGAGGUGAAUGCGGUGCACGAAAAGCGGAAACAAAUAUUGGAAUGGUAAGGCGGUAAAAUAAACGCAACACGACAACGUGAGAUCCAUGAUCCGUAGGGGAACAUGCCAAGCAGACGAAUAUACACGUGUGCUGUCUAGGUAAGUUCGCUGAAACGGCACACGGAACACAACGUAAACAUAAUUUCGAUGAUACGUUGGUAAAAAAACAAUUUGGUGCAUCUUCUAGAUGAGUGCACCUCCCUGGGCAUUUCAAUCUAACCCUCUUAUACAAGCUGCCGCCAUUAUCGACUGGGACCGAUAACGUGCCAGAUCCUGUUGACCAAAAUCUGACCUACAGCACGAGCUCCAAGGGUAAUCUACAUCGAUUUUUAUCAGUAUUGGACGCGAUCGUAGACAACGUGCCUGCUAGGCAUGCAUUACAUAUAGGAUGUCGUACAAUACGGCACACACCGUUAGUACAUAUACGCGCUACAGCGCAUUCCCAGCAUCUCGGUAGGCCUUAAUGGGGCCCAGCUGCUAUACCGCAGCCUUAUAGUCUUGAUUCCUUAUUGCGCCGGUCGACACUUAGGAUCUGCUUACCAAGUCGGUAAACGUGUUGAUUUCCUGAAAGACUUGCACGGCAAGGCUGAUGUCCGUAAGAUCCAUGGACAUCUUGUCACGAGCGGCGCGGAGUUUGGACUGGAAGGAACGGUCCUCCUCCUUGACUUUCGACCAAGCCCUGAGUAAUGUUAGCACAGUAAGGUAGGAAUUUCUCAGCUGCGGGAACUUAAUGCAGGAUUUUAAGGUCGAUACGGCCUGUCGUUUUCCCAUAUGAAAGCCACGAUCAUUUGACGGGUCAACUGCGCCUCAGUGAGCACCCACGGCAGGAGGCGCUGCGCCACAGCGGCCUUUAGUAAUGCAUGCAUAUCGCCGCGCAUUUACCGCCCUUCACUUAAAAAAGGCAUUACCUAACUAGGCAGGUCCCCGUAAGGAGAUGCGGACCGCUCGUAUCCCCAAAGAGCAUACCUUUCCAACGUUUCAAACAUGCGCUUGGGCCACGCCUGUGCGUUCGUUGCAAUGUCGAUAUCUGCCUCCGGGGUAGAGUGACGGUAAGCAAAGCGCACAGCGUCCCGCUCGCGAGAGGUAUGAAGCCACGUCAUCAUUUCCGUCACCUCUUCCUCAGUCGCAUACAGUUGAGCCUGUAAAGAGACCACAUCAGUUAAAAAGUUGUCAAGACCCACGAACAUGUUUAGAUAAGUCACGAAGAUCCCAUUCGUGCUUAAGGUAACAGAACGGUAGGCAUGAACCCAAUAGCAGGCAUCUGUAUGGCACCACACCAAUAAAACGCACCUUUAACUCCAGCACGCUGCGGACAUUAGUACAAACAGCCAGAGCUUUUGCAGAUAGCUCCUCACAGCGAUGGCAAACACGCCUCGCCACCUCCAUGGUCUUGGCCUGCAGCUGAUCAAGCAGUGCCUGCUCCCCUGCUGCCGCCUUGGACGCAAGCGCAUGCUUGAGUGGUGACGUGUCAACGAGCAACAACCCACCGUACACCUACAGACAAGGUUGCAGAGCGUGCCGUUCGCUAAUAAUUUUUGCGAUCCCACCUUGGUAUCUAGGAUUCCGCUACAGACCUUCGUCACUAUGGACCACCCGCCACGUGACUGGGCGGUCUGUGCACACCCUUCCUCCGCACGUGGUCUCGGUGACUCUGUUCCACAUUGGGGCCGUCCUCUGAAUUUCCUCCUCUGUCAGGUUAUGUUUCGGACAUGGGUUGCCGAUGCGCUUCAUGCGCAUGGCCGAUUGUGUUUGAUGUCUGCGCUGACUGCUGCUUGUUGGUGGUUGCUUAUUGGUCGUUGGUGGUUCUUUAUUGAUUUCGCAAAGCCCGCAAUUAUCCCAUAUUACUAGUUGGUGUGCUGUUAAGCAAAGAAAUUGACCUGGAGUGCACCUGCGCCUAUCCAUAGGGAGCGCGUUAGAGCGUCUAGCAGCAGAGUCUGCGUUUUGUUAUAUAGAGUGCACUUUUAUAUUACAAGUCCAUUUGCACAACUCGGUCUUGUAGUAGUUGGGGCUCGUUCAUUCAAAAAACAUCUGAGCGACCUUUCGGCCCGCACGAUGUGAUCCUCGCGGAUUCGUACGAGAUCUUUCAUGCCCCAUGCUACCAGGGAUAUGAUGUAUGUGAUAUACGUCACGUCGUAACUCCCUUAAGUCAUUCUCCUUUGAUGCGUUGCAUAUAACACCCUCGAUGCAUUUGAAUAACAGACACCCGUUUGUUUGGCACGCAGGACCCCAGCAGAGCCUGCCCGAACUUAUAUCUGCAUCUGGAUCGCCAAGACGUACCUGUGUUGGAGCUGCGGUGCUGGCGGCAACUGCUGCCGCUCUGAACGCACCAAUCCACUUGUGGUAAUGUUCAAGCGGGGUAGAAAGCGGCUCCAGUUGCCUUAAUAUGGAGGGUAUAUCCACAGACAGCGCUUCAGCCGCUGUCCCAAACAAAACUGCGACUUCCUCCGCUCGCUCAAUUGCUAGGGCCAUAGCGGAGCGCACGCGCUCCUUUGCGUCGUCCACUAAGCGGUCAUUGAUGAGCAUUUCCGGAUGGCACAGGGGUCCGACUUCGCAUCCAGGCUGGUCAACGUCGAAGUCGGCGAACUCCACAAUACUCCGGUCAGAGGCGCGUGACGAGACGAAGAUGUUUGGAAGCUGCAGAGAUGCCGUACAAGGAACGCGCAGUUCGGCCAGCAGGGGCGGCAACCAACAAGCAGCCGAACCAGCACGUACGGCACGCAUCUAAACAAAGCUGGGAUAGACACUAAUGCAAAGUAUUAAAGCUCCCACACUGCGUUGUGAUCAGGCAACGAACAAGAAUGACAACAGGACCGGAAAAAAAGCUCGUUGCCGACGCAUAAGCAAGUGCCAAGACGCAUUAUUGAAUAAAUUAUUCCACGCACCUGGCCCAGGUCCGACACCAUGUCCUCGAAGAGCCCGACGACCACAUAUUCCAUUUCUUCAGCCGAGGGAGAGAGCAGGAUUCUGUACGUUCCAUAGCGAACUUCGGGAGGUUCAGCGUCUGAGGGCUCCUUGGUACGACCUCCGUCGUCAUCGCCGUCAUCAGAGUCGUCCGCCUCCCGUGGAGGCUUCUCAGGCAGCGGUUCCGGAUCAGUAUACUCGAGCAGCAGUUGCACGGUCAGGAACGUGCCGUAAGCAAACAUCUCGCGGAUAGUCCCAUACGGCGCCUGAACAUCUUCGGCCGUUGCCACUGACGCCUCAUAUUUCUGCAAGGGCCAUCGUUCGUGAUAUGCCGUACAGCAAGUUACAACUAUGCCUACCAUUCAGACCAUUUCACAAUCAGUAGGAUGAACGUUUGGUCGCGAACCUAAUUUACUUACAUCUCACGUUAAUCCGUAGAUGUCCGUUCUGCUAGUGCCACGAAGAGGUCUUCAGGCACCCACCCAGAUUGCACGCGCAACCCGUCUUAUUGCGGAUUUUUGACGGCAGAAACGUGCUUCAGGAUAGGUUAAGUUAUAAAAUAGCCAUUACCUGAAAGUUUUCCAAGGUUUCGGCAUACGCGCAAGCGGACCGCUGGAGGAGGUCGUGUACGGAAGCGGCCAUCUGCAAGCCUAGCCGCCGCAGCAUGCUCCUGUGAGCGUCGCUUAUCGGAUCCUGCUCCUGCGGCAUUAAGAGGAGGUAUGUGCUGGGCUUCAACCCCGCCCUCCGGUGUACGUUCGGACACACCUAGCAUGACUCCGGACAGAGAUAUCCAUACCUCUGGAGCCGCUAACAUUACGACAGGCGGACUAAAAGUGGCAAAGGCUGGUGUAAAGUGGCAAAGGCACACAAACCCUACGGCCCACCCUAGAAUUCCUCCACCAGCGAGCAGGAGGAUAGCAUGCUAGCUUGCAGAAACCCAAGGUUACUGCGCCUAUAGGAGGACAAUCAGUUUAUGCACCAAGCCACGCAACAGCACCGCGCAUGCUCGCGUCAUGUCGUGAGCACGGCUUCCAAAGUGGGAAAGACUCGCAAGAUGGGCAGAGUGGCCCUGUGCUUCCAGCUCGGCUUAACGUGUCAGCGGCUGCCUUACAGUUUGCAACCACCGACAUCCAAAGCCAUGAGAGUAGCUGGGUCGCAUAUACACGUGCUUGCAUCGCUCAAAUUAAUUUCGGUACCUACAGUUCCCUACUAAAUAUAGCAGCGCGUGCUUCGCCCACCUCAUAUAGCCUGCCGUCGUUAAGGAUUGUAGCAAGCGGCCCAUCCCGGAUGAGAAGCCCAAUCGCCUCUAUCAUCUUCUUUUCAGCGAACUUGAGCACUCUUCGAAGGUGUGCAUGCUGCAGUGCCUCGAACUUCCGCAGUGGGAAGGGCAGGGCACCUGCAUCCUUAGCAUCGAACUCGUUGCCCCCCAUGGCCUGCCGAUCAAGUGGAGAGCACCAAUCCUUGUUAACAAACUCAGCUUUCACUACACCAGAAGACCAUAUAUGUAUAGCACGGGAUGCUGCUAGCACGCCCGCUACCAACUCUUCAUGUGCUCAGGGCAUAAUCGGUAUAUGCGUGGCCCCUCCUCGCUGAGAAACGCGUAUGGCAGAUGCACCAGGGUAACACAGCGCAGCACCUCCGUCCACGACGUCUGCAGCAUGUUGUAGCCAACUUCUUUGCUGGAAAUGAACGGGCCCAUCAGCGCACAAGCUUCGUUCUCAGAUAGUGUUACUGUGCUGCAGUAACUGAUAGGCCUUACACUUGAGGCCGUGGCGUGUGUCGCUCGGCAAAGUUCAUUUCAUGCUUUCCAAGCAAGUCAUGUACGCGAAACAUAACAAGCCCAGGCUGACAAGGCGGGGGUUUCAAUGCGUGUUAUCGUGGUCCUCGUGUGCAAACGUGUCCAUAUCUCCCGGUCACUUCUCCACAAGGAUUACAAUAUAGCAGCAUGCAAACAGGAGAUCCGUAACCGUUCCAGGCAGCAGUGCAGCUGGGCGAGGUCAAGCUGCCCCCCCCCCUCUUUCUGGGGUUUGUUCAACUUGCCUGCUACUACAUCUACGGCUUGGCGGGAUAGGAUGGUCAUUAUCUGCUGCAAAGAACCUAUUCAGGUACCGCCGAUGCUCGCAGGACAAGAUGAUGGCUUCUCGCACCACGGUUGCUCGGAUCCAUGCAUUUUCACAGCUAACCAUGAGAGUGGAUAGGGCAGCUGUCCAUUUUUUUAAUACCAAGCACAACAAGAUUGUGUACUAUAUGCAAGCCGUACCUUGAAUGCUUCCGACAUGGGUGCCAUACACCAGAGCGAUUGCUCCCCGACGACAGUAGCAAGAUCCGACAGCGCCACGAGUGCUGUAUGGAGCUCAGAAAUUGCACUGAACAUGUUCGAUCUGCUCCAUGCCAAGAGGUCGCCAAAAGCAACUACAGGCUCCUCGGUGCCCUCAGGAACAACGGGGAGCAGCCCAUGAUGCGGUACGGGUGGAUUUAAACGCCGCUCUGGAAGCCGCAGCACCUUCAAACGUCCCUCUUCUAGCGGGUCAAGUCUGCGUGCGGUGCACCGGCACAUGGAGAUAAGCAGGCCCUUACGACCUUUGGGCGCUUUAAGGUGACACUGCUGGUUCACAUGCUAGCGAGUCCUCGUAGCCUUGCAGGCAUGGCCAGGAAAAACAGCACGCUACCAGGCAUUCACAAGCAUGUAAUGAAAACGCAGUGGGCAACCAUGGUCACCUGCGGUAGUCUAGCACUGCUAGCUUUACAGCCCGCUCGAAGUAGUCAGCUGCAUCCUCCAGCAAGUCCGGCGCCAAGCGAUUCAGGGUUUCAGCACUAAGACCUUUCACCUGCGCCGCAGGCCACAACAGGUAUGGCACGGAACGCCUUGCUUUGCAGUGUUUUAUUUCCUGGACUUUGCAUCCACAUACCGGUUGAGGGGCACCCAUUCGACCGAACAUACAGAAGUUGAAGAUACGCAUUCGAGUGAUUAUUGUCAGCGAUGGAGUCAAUACACAAGAGCGUGACAUCCACCCACCCACACGCAACACAGACCCGCAGGUCGGACGCUUUCUAGGACGACGCCUUUGCGCGGCCUGUUGGUGCUGUUGGCGAAGUGUUUGGCCUACACACGCAACCUCGCGUGCCAUUUCACGCGCUUAGGUGGCGCGUACCAGUACCAACGGAAAAAAAGAGGUGCUCAGUCACGAAUUUACGGGCGACGAAAAGGCGAGGCUCCCUAGGUUCUAGCGCCAGCGUACAACUAUCUACACCAACAAGCUAUGAAUUCUCGGACCUGCUCCAAAAGCUCUUUUGACGCAAUUAAAUGCUUAACAUAAAUGACCUAGGCAAUCUGCAGGGAGGAGUCAGUCAGAGGCCUAGGGUGUAGGCUUUACGUGUAUAGUGUUCGGUCGGAUGGGCUCGGGGUUUAGGAUGAGAGUUUUUCUGCCAGCUAGCGGGUGCUACUUGAACCUCAACCUCUUCCACUUUAUCGGCCUUUAAGAUAACGGAUGCUGUGUCUGGUCCUGACGGGCUUCCCAGGACAUUGCACCAAAGCACGCGAGGUAUCUACGCUAAGCUGGGAAAACUCCUCAGACGGACUGCAAGCGACUAUAAGACCCCAAGGGAAACCCCCGGUGUUUGUCAACACCUUCAAUAGUGGUCUAGUCGCUAAAUCUGUCUACGUUCCCAGGUAGGCUUUCACAAUUCUCCUCAGCGUACCUGGAGAGCUGCACGCUGCAAGGCUGUUGCAUAGUUGUACGUGUGCAGUACCUCCACCAUCGCGAGGCUGUCGAUGUAGAAGAACAGGCGGAGCUGUUCCUCCGCCUCCUCGCGUGCCGCCUUGGCGUCAAUUAAGCGCCGCUCGAACAAUGCGGGGUCUUCCUCCUUUGGUGAAGAACGCACACAAGGAGGUGCAAACCUGAACGAUCGUGCUCUGUAACGCGUGGAAAAUUCGUUCUCUAGGACGACACUAGCGCCGUUAGGACGCGCCCCAUCUUCAAGUCCCUGGACAGGCACGCAUCCGAUGCGUGUCGGUCCUGUGCGCUAUGAGUAACGAGUCGUGGCGCACAGGACUGCCCCAAUAAUCACAUUUGCCGCAUCCAGGGCAGCGCCAGGUGGAGCAGUAGCGCGUGCAAGCACCCUUUCGCAGCUCUUGGCAUGCAUGUGUGCACUGCAGUUGUUUAGUGCAUCAGAGGCCGCCGUUGGAGCCGAAACAUCUUCGCCACCCUCAAAACUACACGCUGCCCCGAUGCAGCGCAUGUGAUGGCGGCACGAAGUUUGAUUUCUCACCUUGAAGCGCAAGUUGAGCCGUUUCACCUUCUUCGUUUUGAAUCCCGUGUUAGAUGCAUUACUGAAUGUCACUAUAAACAGCCGGUCCGCUUCGUCCCAGCCCACAACGCGGCAGUCAAUCCAGAUAUGUGAAUCUGUGGCGACAUUAUACACGGUCGUCUCCGCCGGCGUUCCCUGAAGGGACCGGGUGCACGGAGACCAAGACUGAGGGAGCGGUACUGCGCAGCAGCGUUCUGCAGAUUCGUGGCCACCUAAGGCAGGCGCCUAGUAUUGAUACCAUUCAGCUUGACGAGUAUAGCAUGCAGGAUAUCCUUUCAAUUGACCUUGACUGGAACCUGGACAGGUUUCCAGGGCACGUGGCCAGUCAUGAUGGCAUUCGCGUGGCCCACCGAAGUGCGGCACUGCAUAACAUGACGGGAUGCUCCUGGCACAUGGGCUUCAGGACAAUUUGCCAGUUGUGCCAAGAUAUUAAACCGAGGCCAGGCGCUUUCAUGGCCAACAUAGCGCAAACUUGUUGCUCGUUGUCUCCCCUGCCAAAAUGUUGCCCCGCAAUCUUCCUCCUUGACCAGGGGCGUCACGACAUCUUCCCAAGCAUUGCAAGAGCGCUUGCUUACCCCCUCAGCCGCGCCGAGUUUCACCCACUCCGCAGGGGUGUGCUUCUCAUACUCGAUGUUAUCAAAAAGCUCGAGCGGCAUGUAACUCAUGUGCUUGCGUGCUGCCGUGUGGAUGCCAUCAGCCUCCGGCACACCAUCCUGAACCUCCGGAUCGUCUACCUCACGCCACGCCGGAUGCGGCAGUGGCCCCAGUGCGUUAGGCGAUAUACCACCUGGCGAAAGGAUCUCCAAGGUACGCGGUGACAAACCACGUGCCCAAGGAGAAAGGUUAUUGGCAAUGCGCUCUGACGGCGUUGGAGUGUUGAUGUCAUUGGUAUACGGCGCGCGGGGCUUGCGCGCGUACGUGGUCGCGACACCGGAGAUCGCUGUGGAAUGCCGCGGGACAGUGUACUUGCGGAGGGAGGCCGACGCAGCACGAAGAUGCUGCACGGCUCCCGCUGCCGCAUUGUCCGACGUGGUUUCUACAAGGCCAGCGCGCUUACUCGUCCACGGCCGCAGAGCCGCUGACGCCAUACCGCCGCUACCUGCAGCCACGCUGCUGCCACGACCAGAUGGUCCUCCUUUACUGCUACCCUGCUGCUGACCUUUGUUAACUGGGUAAGCGCUCCCGGGCCUGCUCCUGAAUGCCAGCUCGUUGGCAAAGCGUUCAUCCUCACCAACAUCCUGGAUGAAAGCCGCAAGGUCGCUGGGAAGAGCACUGGUGGGUCUCCCUGCUGCUGCCCUCCGAGCCACCGUCGCGGCGGCAGCAGCGGCCAAAGCUCCGCUAGGGCCAGCAGACCCGUAGCCCGCCUCAACCGUGUACGUGCUAGGUGACGGGAUGCGGGGAAGCCUAGUUCCCCCUCCGCUAACAAAAGCCGCAUCUGUCCCCGUGGAGGCUGCACCGGGCGAAAGGCUGCGCAUAGAUUUCGCUGAGCUGCCAGAAGUCACUGAAGUCACAUCCAAGCCUGCUGCUGCUGACCCGGCGGCUACGGUGUGCGCCACGGUGAUGCGGGAGUGCAGGCCCAAGUCAAGCGCUGACGUGGGCCGAACCCUGAGGCACAAAUCGGAGUUCACAAAGAAUGAAAGAGUUUGCGCUACAGCUUACGUAGGAAGCUAGGGACGACCCUACUGCUAUAGCUCCCCUAGCGGAGACUCAAAACAUCUGAUAUGGGCCCCGCCGAGCGUGAAGUCCAUUGUUAGGGACCCCUGCAAUCAGGAACGGAGGGCAAUCACUUCCGGCCUUGCUACUUCAGCACUUACUCGGCUGGAUGUCGUGGCUUGCCGGGGCUUACGGGACGGGUUUGCUUUGUGAGCAGCCAAUCCUGUCCGGGGUUGUUCAGCACUUCCACAAACUCCGCGGGCCGAUCCUUGCCACCUGGUCGAGAAAACAUAGACGCAAUGUGGGGCAUCACGAAGGACAUGCAACUGGAAUCGGAAAGCUUUUUGGGGGAAUGGGUCCUUACCAGGUGGAGGCCGGCUAAGCACGCUGCUGGGUGUUGGCCUGGAGAAUGCCCCUGGGCCAGCAGCUUUCUUUGCUGUUGGCGGCCGCGCCGUCGGCGGAAUGACAUACGUGGGAGCUGGCGCUGCUGCUACGCCUUGAGGGGGAAGGUCCGGUGGGUGCGUGGUGCGAAGGACCUGAAGCGGCGGACCGGGUUUGGGCGCAGAUGCCGGUAAGGAUGCCACAUGGGAAGUUCGGCCACGCCGAAACUUUACCAUCGUUUGUCCGGGAGCCCAUGCUGCUCCCCUGUGCAGGUCGCAACGUGUGCGGCGGCUCAGCCCUGUCCCCAGCACUGACCCUAAAAGCAUAUGAAGCUUUGUGCACCGAGCCCCUCCAGUACUCGUAGCAAGGCAGCGCAACGGCCCAUGCUUGUUUCCAUCGGGCACGGUCAGACCGACCAUGGGUGUUUCCGCCAGAGCGAGUAGCUAAUACACACCGAGGAUGCGCGACGACCUCAACGCAGUUCGCUAUGCAUUAACCUUACAACUGCGCCACCUCAUGUGUCCAGCGUGAUACCCCAUGUCCUCCUGUGCACUGGUGGCCUGCCUGCUUUGGCGACGGCAAAGCCUUUCUAUCGUCGUUCCCUCCGCCCUACCAUCCUGAGAUGUCCCCAAGAUAGUACCUCAGGAAUAAAGACGCAUUCCGAUGAGCGCAGCCGUUGAGCUGCACGGAAUUCAUCCUUGAACAGCCCCACGCUAGCUGGAUUCUGCCGCAAGGCCUGCGACAUCAAGCCACCGCGUACUGAGGCCAGGACCGAGCGAUGCCGAAAGCUGCUAAAUGCAAAACGACGUACAUUUGGAAGGAUAGCAUCUGGAACUGGCUCCACCCUAUCCGCCAAAGAUACGUUUGAAGACGACGCCAUGCUUCUAAGUCCAACGAGGGGAUCGAGCACCCCUGUAGGCGUUGGUUAACUCAUCGCUAUGUCCAUAUAAUUAGCAGACGGUGGACACCGUUCUCCUGGCCAGGAAAAAAGUCAACCUGCUGACAAAAGCAUUCAGCUCCAAGAACUUUAACUAUGCCUCCAAUAAUACAUUUUUCAAGUAUAAGCUACUUGCAAGCAGUGAACAUGGCUAUUCAGGCGAAACCGCGGUCCGCUACAACUCACAAUACAAAAGCCGUAACAUAGCUGUCUAAACUAGGGAAACCUAUAUCCGUUGUUAUCCCUUUUCGUAGAUAGGAGUGAUCCUUUUCGCCAGUAAUUUGCCAAGGCACUCUCCAAGGCCAACUAACUCAACCGGAGGUCGGCCGACGCUUGGGACGCUUGGCAACGUUUGUGGAGGGAGGCAACGCCCGUCAAUAUAACCUAUGGAUUACUUUGGCUUCCUUGCUAAGGUCUUGCAAGUUUAAGCUCGGGUACAUUGCCCUGACUACAUGCCGGAGCUGCCGUACAUCGAUAUAAACCAACCACCAAAAGCAAUUAGAGCACUUACCUGUCGGAUUUCAUUUUUAAGCUUUCAACACGACCGAGCCAUGUUUGCCAAAUAUUUGCGAUUCCCGGUGUGAUACCCUGGGCUUGUAAAACUAAACAGAUAGUAGAAAACCAUGACAGGUUGUACUAAUUUCGUUGCUAGGCUCCAAACCUGUGCACAGCGCGCUGUUAAGCUCCUUAGAUAAGCAUGACUUCCUGCUUGCUCAACUGCUUCCAGAACGCAAUACUGCUUCAUUUGAGGCCCCUGUCAGGUGUAGGCAUGAUUUGGCAUGAACUUCAUGCCACGAAUUGAAUUCGUUGCUUUUAUCCACAAUCUUUCCCUGUACACAGAUAGAAGCCUUCCUUGGAGAUGAUUUGCCACCGUGAUGGCUGCGGUGGGGUAUCAUGGCAGUGUGGUCUGUCCGGUUUGGACGGGUUUCGAAGUAACGCACACACACACACACACACACACACACACACACACACACACACACACACACACACACACACACACACACACACACACACACACACAUAGAGGCGCACAAGGCAUGUGCGCACGAAGGACUAUUUUAGACACUUAUGCAGACGUGCGUUGACGCGGGACUAGUUUAGACACUCAUGCAGAAACAUAUUUACAGUUGUGUUGUGUACUGAACAGGAUGCGUGUACGGGUGUUCCUUGUCGGCGGUGCGCGAUGCGUCGCAAUCAGUCAUGCGCUUCCAAGCGGAGCAUAUUGGUGGCGUUUUUUCGCGGCCCUUGUGGGUAGUUAUGUUUGUGAUGAUGAACGUCCAUCGCAGCCCACACUCCUGGUGCUGGUGGUGAGGGCCCAAGCACCAGCGGGGGCCAUACAGCGGUUCGAAAGCUUCACAUGGGCAGUGCAGCUACACCCCGCGAACAUAUAUUUUUUGCAUAAAAGCGUAUUUUCCACACAUCCACCAGCACAUAGUUGUUACAUAAAAGCGAAAAGUCCACAAAAUGAAGGAGGUCGCUCAGGGCGUCACAGCGGAUCUCACAGCGGACACCCCACACCGGAGCUACGGUGAUGCCCAGGGACCGGUUGGUGUGGUCGUCUUACGGGUUACCGAGAUGUCAUGAGAGUGUAAUGAGGCGCCAUGUUACGCAGGGCUGCAGGCCCUCGGGGCUGGCCAGGCGGUACUGAUGGACAGUACAUGUGUCGCAAACAACACUGCCGUUAAUUAAUCUGCUGCCGUACAACUAGCUGGUUCCAAGAUGCUCAGAGCUGGGUCGUACAUGUACUGUAGCAGGAGAAAUGGAGUUGCAGGGGUUGGCAAGCGCUGCGCUCCUGCAUUCUCCCCCCCCCCCACACACACAUGGGUAGGGGAACGCUACGCUCUGAAGCACAUUGCAGUGCAUAGUGCUACCUAGGACCCUGGGUAAGUAAACCUGGUUUGCAGUAAGCUGAUGCCCCCACGCGUGGCUAACGCCGGCGCCAGGUAAGGCGUCAGCGCGUUCAUUGCGACUUUAGCCGUACAUAUCUGGUUAGGUUCAUCCUAGUGUGUGUUUUCUAUCCGGUGCACAACCGUGAAUUGCACCUCCGUCCAGACUACACGCAGUCGGGUUGCACCCAGUAACAUAGACGGCGAGCUGCAUCAAGCGAGCAGCGGGCCACGCGACAGACAGCCGCGGUCCACGUGCCCCUUGCUGCUGGAAAUUGCUGUACCACUGUGUUAGCUGCCUGCUAAAAGUCUGCUACUGCUGGUACAUGUCGCCGGCUUCAAAACUACGUCAGCAUGCGAUAGCACGGCAACUGAAAUUGCGGAGUCCAUUGCAGGCGCUACACAAAUCCGACAAUGUACACACAUCCAAGUUCAGUUUUACAACUUUCAACUUGGGAACCCCAGGUCGGAUGCAUGAGAGCGGGAUGCUGACCGGCCAGCGCUCAACUGUCAGGGGGUACGGAGGAAAUGGGCUGCACGUUCACCUUCAGUUCGAAUCGUGGAUGCCAAUGUGUUUCUGUGCCUCGGAGUCAGGCCACUGCACACCACUAACCUGGUUUCAACGGCCGAUCCUUCAUUCCUGUCCGUAUAACACAAUUGGACCAGUGCCAGGACGACAGCGUACGAACACGCCAGAAGCGAAAUGUAAUUGACAGGUUCACCUAAUGGUGAUCACGACCGCACGGCAUUACCGUGCCAAACUCGUUACAGCGGGUCAGGGAAAUACAGACGCACGCUGUGGCAUGGACUUUCUUACACACAUAAUUAACGUCGAUCCCUGACCAAGCAAAGGAACUCCUGAUGGGGCAUCGGAACAGCUUCCCAUUACAAUUAUCCUCGUAAAGGAGGGCUGCCAUUCCGACGCGAUCCGUACUCUCAAGCCGUACGGGUUCCAGUCCGCUUCCCCAAAAGGCACUUCUGUUCAUGGAGUGGAUGCGGCUCGUUACUCACGGCUUGGCUGCUGCUGCAGUCGCCGCAGCAGCAGCGGCCAUGCGCUCCAUGAACUCCUUAUUGAUGUCAUAGCAGGCAUCCCGCUCAGUUCCGUCCAUCACAGCGAUCUCAAUGCCGGCGCGUUGCAGAGUUGCAAUGCCUUCUGAGGCGACGAGGGGGUUAGGAUCACCGACGCCGACAACCACCUGCAGGGAGAUGGCCAUGCACCUGGUGUAUGUCACACGAAAGCCAAAUAAGACCCGAGAGAUGCGCCGACAGGCAGCUGCGCGGUGACUUGUUAAUUAAACGCAUCGGGCAACAGCAGCAUUGUGAAGGAAUCUCGCCUUGCAAAUGUCGUAGAUCGCAAUGCAGCACCUGUGCACUAGUCAGUCAAAUUCCUGCCAUGGUACUUAAGGUGCACAUAUUUUUCGCUGUCGGGUGGCCUUAAGCUCGUGCACACGCACCCGUGCCACGCGCGCAUCAACCAAGGCCCUGCUGCAUGGCGGUGUCCGGCCGUGGUGGUUGCAUGGCUCCAGAGUGACGUAGGCUGUUGCCCCUUCAGCUUGGUUUCCUGCAAAGGAAUCCAUAUUGAGGACGGGCAGGAAGCACUGAGCAAACCAAGGUAAACACCUUUAGGUGUAAUUUCCGUAGGGCGCAUACUUAUUUUUGUCACCUGCUCCACGAAGAGCAUACACUUCCGCAUGGGGCUUGCCCGCUUGUGGGUGGUAACCCUCGCCGACAACCUGAGGACGCCACGCAGAAUCACAGGACCGCAUGAUGCUCUCUUAGAUGGGAACGUCAGCUGGAUUGAGGGUGCGCUGGCCGGGAUGGUUUGUGUGUUGCAGCUGGGGUACGAGCAAUGGGACCCCGACACAUACCCGGCCGUCCUUCACAAUAACACAGCCCACGGCUGGAUUGGGGUACGUCUUCCCCUCUGCUCUCCUUGCAAGCGAAAGUGCGCGACGGAUGUAUUCCCGGUCCUCAUCUGUCACUGCACACACACACAUCCAUUAUAUCACAAGUUAAAAGGCUGCACACCCGUCGUUGAGCCAUACAGACCUAUCCCAGUCAUAUUAGCUAGACGACAGCAGGUGCGGGGCUUCCGCGAACAUGGUCGAAAUGGUGAAUUAGUGAAUCUGCUGUACGUUUGCAUGCUGCGCAAUGUUAUGCUAUCAGACCAAGAUUUCUACUACUGUAUAUAGAACAGUGUACAAUUGAAUAUAAUAAGCUGCUAUAUGACCGGAUGUAAUCAUAAAGUACUACGUUGGCCCUGCGCCUUACCUCAUUCCACCAUCUUCCGGCACCCUCUAGACUCCAGGAAGUUUGGAUAUAAUUAGUAAAAUGAAACAACACAGCUUGAAGCGCAGAUUCAUGAGAAGCCAUUGUAUUCGUUGACGCAUCCAAGCUGUCUGUCACUACCUUUAUGUCAAGUCCUGUGGAUGCGUCUUAGCUGCAUUUCAUAGGAGAGGAUUUCCCCAUUGUUACGGAAAUUGAGAGUUGUCCUAAGCAGCUAAGGCGAAAUGGGUGACGGGGAGAAAGUCUUCCUUUAUGUCUAUGACUUGACAAAUGGACUCGCACGGAGUCUGUCACCGAUGCUACUUGGUCAACAGGCAGGUGCCCUACUUGGGCCAUGCAAAAACGCCAACUUUCUGCAACUCGCACACGUUUGACGCUUCAUGCGGAACCCCAGAUUGAUGCGAUCUAUCACACCGGCGUGGUAGUCGGCGGUAUUGAGUACUUUUUUGGAGGCGGUGUACAACGUUGCAUCGCUGGACAGACCCCGUUCGGGGCUCCCCUACGUACUGUGGAGCUUGGGUGGGUGGUGGGUGAAAGCGACUGUAAUGCAUCCGUUGGCGCACUCUCACGUCGUCCGCAUUUUGGCGCUGCGCGGUACACGUGCAUCCACUUCACGCGUGGCCCAACCAAGUCUUCACCCCUCCUUUGCCAGCCUUCGCGGCACUCAUGUGACCGCCAACGGGGGAUGGCGAGCAUGGCCUGAGUGACAGAUGCCUGAUAAUCUUGUUAUACUCUUAACUUGCGGUCUUGGACUGUAUGCAGAGUCACCCAUAUACCUAAGGACGUGCGGGAAGAGUUGCUUGCGGACUUGAGUACACGUUAUAAACCACAAGAUUACAACCUUAUCACUAAGAACUGCAACCACUUCUCCAGUGCCUGGGCGGAGCUGCUCACCGGAAACCCCAUUCCGGUCAGUGACACUGGCGCCGCACACUGGCGGCUUUGGGAUCAAAACGUAGGGGUACUUGCGUUCUUAGCAGCCUUACAACAUACACCGUGUUGCUUGCCUCAGAUUUAGGCGAGUAGGUCUAUGGGUCUAUGCGGCAUUCCACUCAGCAGAUUGUACCAUAGGGAUGCUGGAUCGCAUGCAAGCAAAGGAGUGUAUUGUUGGAUCAUGUAUUACGCGGGCAUGUGUCUGCAGUCCUCUGGCAGGUCCUGGUGCCAUGCAUAAGUUUUACAUGUUCCUCCGGACAUGUUGUUCUGCAUUGUAGGACGAGUAUGUCGGCCAAGCCCAGCGGAUUUUGCAAUCGCCCAUUGGGCAGAUGCUGCUGCCCAUAAUGGAGCAAAUGGAACAGCAGUACGGCAACGUGACAGCGGCUGGCUUCCAGCAACCACCAACAGGCGGUCGGUAGGGGUGUGAAGCACAUCCUUCACCUUGUGGCCAAGGCCGCGUGCGGCCCUUGCGGCUCUAGGCACGUAGGUCCAAGGCAAGAGGAACGUUAACACCAUUUACAGGAGCGUCUUCAUUCAUUCAGUAGUAUUCCAGUCUCCAUCGGACCUGUGCUGCCAGGGGCAGAUAGCCUCUGCCCUCUCGUAUGACUGCGGUGCUCCCAAAUUGCCGAGUUGUACUAGUGGUAGUGGUAUAAUGCGUCGUGUGCAGUUAUACUUAACACCGUGGCUACCCAUCGCAGGCAGGAUAACGACACAAAUUUUAGCCGCCGCUUUGUGUGCGCGUGCCAAGGCAACGCUUGGUGGCGGUUGUGGAACGGUUCCGGAUAGUUUCGGUUGUGGAAUGGUUUCCGUUUCUAACUGGGCGGCACAAUCGACGGGUAGGUGAUGAGACUUGCUAAGAGCCGGACAGGUUCUGAACAUUGAACAGGUGUUCAGACACAUCUACUUGCCGCAACUUUGAGGACAUGGCCGGCUGUGGAGGCGCGAUGCAUUCGCACCCGGAUUGGCGCAGUAACAUGUAGCAGCAGCUUGCGGCACCUGGACCGGUGCCACACGCUGGCGCGAGGUACUGCGAGGCACUUGCACUUCCGCCUUGAAAUCUUCAAACAUAUCGGACGAUGUUGGGUAUAUGAAGGAUGGAAACCUCGAUUUUGUGGUAACUGUGGUUUUGGGGGUGUUUGUGGCCAAUCAUUCGGUCAUUCGAAGAUUUCAAUUUCUUCCAUUGCCGGAAAUCAGCUAUGGCUCCCUCCCUAUCACUGAUGGUGGUAUAUAUGGGUUCGCCUCUGCAUACCCUUUAAAAACGCGCGUGACACUAUGUUCGUAAAUGCACGGCUAAGCAAUGCACUCGGCGCAACCCAUGACAGUGAACAACGUAAGCACUCUGCAGGUUUCAGCCUCUCCACCCACAUGACGUAUCACCUUACCGGUUACUUCCUUCCUAUCGAGCCGAUGAAAAGCAAAAUGUACAAAACGAUUAGGGGUCAUCACCUCCGUUACCUCAAAAAGCCGAAAAAAGCUCGUUACUGUCACUCCGUGUUAUUACUGAACGAGAGUGAACAUGGCCAUACAUGCAGAAUUUGCCCAAUAUUAUUGAGUAACCCUGCUUAACUGCACAGCUUCUGUUUCCUUCCCUGGCCGAAUCCACAUCACAAGCACCAACAUAAUAUACACCUCCAGCCGCCAGUUCAGCCAUCUAUCUGCUGCUGAAUAUCGCCAUGGCCUCCUCUUCAACCUCCAGUUAAUGGCGCUGAAUUCGCUCCUCUAGAGGUUCAAAUCAGAUAUUCUUCCGCACAUCGGCAUUCUUACCAGAGAAUCGAGGUUAUCUCAAAUGUACCCGUUUCGCGCUUAAAGCUACUGCAUCCCGCCUCCUGACAGCUAACACUCCCUAUCAUUGGUGCCAUCCAGCGAUAUGCCACCAGCACGGCCUCCUGCAUUUACAACCUCAUGACAUGGUAUCGCAUAUUUGCCUGACACUCUCUCAGCUAUCAACCCUCGCCUUUCCCGCUCGCCAGUCUCGUAUCUGACGCGCGUGCGAGCGCUUUCGACAGCGACCCUUGCGACAGCUUGCGGAGGUGUAUGAGUGCUGCGACUCCGUCCCUCAUUAGUAGGUUCACAACGCCCUCCGCACUAUGUGACAGUGCACGAAGCGCGGCCCCGGCACGGUCGGCCGCGCUCCAAGCCGGCACAUGCCCCUCAAUGAGGUCGGCCGCACACUGAGGCUUACACGACUGCGCCUGCAUCACGGCUCGGCUGGCAGCCCAGGCGGCGUGGUGGCCGGGGUCAUUGAGACCCCGUGAAAGGGCCAACAUGUACCCUGUUGCAAAGGUGUCGCCGGCGCCGUUAGUGUCCCGUACCUUAUCCACCUGCACAGGGCCCGAAAUACACACAAGUAGGAGCGGAUGGCAAACGUGUUGCGGGUCCACCUAAGGAGGUGCCAGCUAGGCGGGCUGUUACGGUAGUCCAGGACGACCACGGGUGUCCCCGGGUCACGAGUUAAGGGACAGUGUGGUCUUAAUGCGCUCCGAGCUGUCUUACAAACAUGCAAACAAGCAUGUACGCAAUAAAAUCGAGCCGCAGUGGAUGACAUGUACAAGCCAAGAGCUGAAACAGGGAUCGGCAACAUACGGGGCUGUGAUAUGUAGAAAGGGAAGGACUGCGGCAGGUUGGAUGCUCCUGAUGCUCCUGAGCGGCAACUCAGCCAACUGAGCAUGUACCCCGAUAAGCUUUUGGCAAGGGGUGACGCAUUUCACCGCCAACGUCUUUUGCUUUUGACAUGGGGUUCACCUGGUGGUUAUCAUCCCAUCCUCACCCGCCCGCAGCCCUUACCGGGACAAUAUCGAUGGUAUGCACACCGGUGUCGUUGUACUCGGUGGCACCCUGGCUACCCCGUGUUAUGAUCACACGCUCGGCACGGCUCACCACCAGGCCCAACCAGUCUUCACUCCAAGGGUCCGUUUCCACGUCCGAUAGGAACAGUGAAACUCGCUGCCAUCGCCCCAAACCGGCCUGCAUUGCAUUAUAACCCCAAAGCACAGCUAUCUGUGCUCCGGCAGGCAGGGCCCAGUGUGAUCCUAGAUGCAUCCCGAGGUGGCGUUGGUGUCUCAUGGGACCAAACCCGAGUCCCCAUUCGUGUGGCGGCGAAGGCGGAUGCUGAGAUCCCCGCACGGCCCUUCACGAAUGGUUCAAACGAGCCCAUAGAUAGCGACAGCCCAUACAGCUUCCCAAAAUCAUUAAAUCACGGAGCGCGCACCAGCACGUACGGUCCCCCCCUCCCACAGCUACGCACCAGCAGCUGCGGCGAUGGCGUCAGCAGCGGUAGAACGCGGCCGUCUGGCCCGAGGCGGCGCUGAUAGCCCUGCGCCAUGAGCCCAAUGUGCUGUCUGCCGCGGUAAAGCUGGUCCCACAGCCCUACGUGGCAGUGCAAGUAAUGCCAGGAGCAACAUGGGGUGGGUCACACACAUGGCGUGGUCUGAGAGGGGGAGCUGAAGAACGAGGCAGGCCAACGGCAGGCAAGGCUGCCAGCUCAGCUCAGCUCAGCUCAGCUCAGCUAUCCAGGAAGUCAUUAUGGCUAGCUGCUGAGAUGUGGAGUUGAGAUCACAGUCGAUGGAUCGAGAUUCGCACGCUGGAUUGGUGGCGAUUGCUGAACCCUCUAUCUCUGCGGAUGUUCGGGUGAAUGGAUGAGGAGGGAUCCUAGAAGGCAAGAUCAACCGCCUUGGACUUCCAGUUCGUAUGGCGUAGUACAGAAGCCUCCCACUCUGUAACAAUUCAAUUCAAAAUAAGAAGUCAUCACAACCCCUCUGUCGCAGAAGAAACUCAUUGGUGGCGGCGCUGCCUUACACCCGUACCAUCAUACUCGAGGAAAGAGGCGGCAUCCAGCUCAUGCUGAGUCAGCGGUCCUAAAAUGACCGUGCGUGCACGUUGACAGUGCCGCGGCACAUGGGACCUGGACAGCGUGACGUUGGGGUUGGCUGUCACUCGCAAUUUCCUCUGAUGCCCUGGAGCAGCGGGGAAACGGCACACGGUUGCGGCGUAGCGUAGUGUAGCGGCGCACAUUGACUAAUGAGUCAGCCUGCUGCAACGUCCGUCAUCCUUGGGUGCGGAUGUCUGGGUCCAAGGUCCGCCAGGUCCCGCUUCCGAUGCCUUAGAGAGGCUGUUCGACACGCUUCUGAGGAAUAGAUGCCCCACCCUACGUGCGUCGGAUAUAGCAAUGGAUUGUUUGGGGUGCAUUGUGAGGCGACUCAUGUACAUUCCCCUAAACCCCUUAACAAGGGGGGGCCCCAGCACGUCUUGUGGCGUGGGGUCCCACUGCUAGCGCCUGCAACCUCCAUCUACUGUCCACAGCAGACCCCCCCCCUGCUGCACCAAGAUUACCAAGGAGCCGACUACCGGCGGAGGGGGACGUACCAAACCAGGUGUAAGUGUGCUCAAAUGUCAAUGUUGACGCUGCGGGCACAACGUGGAGUUCGUGGCCCUCAAACACCGAUAGGUCAGCAUCCGGACCAGCCACUGUGCAGGCGGCCGACAGGGCGUCACAAUGGGUGAGAUCAAGCAGCUCGUCGUGCCACAGUUUAUGCUGUGGGAUUUGCAGCAAUCUGACCCUUGAGGUGAAACUGGUGCAGCCUCCCUGUCCCUGGGUCGCCCGGGUAUUUAAGCAGUUAACCCCGUACAAGAUACCUGUAACAACGCAAGCUUUAAUUCCAUACGCUCGUACAGCUGCUGCUGCAUAGGAUACAGCCCCUCCCUGCGGCAGGAAAGCUGGAGAUGACCACUUGAUGGCCGACAGAGAGCGAAGCCCACUCCCACCACCUACCGCUGGCCGCGAGCCAUCAUCCACAACAUCUAUUGUGACCGUUCCAACAAGCAGGAGGUCCGGUCUGCAGAAAUCCGGAUAGGUGAAGUCCUCUAGCAAAGAGCUUUCAGUGCAAAGCUGCCCCGUCUUACCUACUAAUUUCCAAAACCAUGUAAAAUAUAAAUGCUAAUAAAGAUACCAAGAUUACAGCGACAGACCUCAUCCUAAAGCGCAUCUCGCAACACCUCAACUAAUGGAUGCGCAUAGCUAACAUGUAAAAAUGCGACGAAAUCCCAACAUUCUGGCCUGCUGCAUUAGGCACAAAUUAUUACUGGGAGGUAGACUUUUUGUGGGCGACUCGACAAGCAUCAAAGCAUGCCGUACAAUACAUCGUUCGCAGAGUCAUCAUCAGACUUCAACAGUCCAGGACGACAUGCAAAGCCAGCAGCAUGAGCCGAAGACGCUCUUCCUAAUCUGUUCGGCAUGACCUAGGCAACCUAAGUAGGUUAUCCUAACACGACGUUAACCAUCAUUCGAGGUGUUGGGCUUUUCAUCACACUGCUUAUGUAUGCUAAGAAACAGGGGUCUGUAGAGUGAUCCAAGAUACGAGAAGCGGAAGAAAAGUACAAGGCGUUCUCACCUUUCGACUGACAGACCGUAACAGGCAUUGGAUGUGCAAAGCUGCACAGAGAUUACACCGUCUUUCCAGAAGCACAGAAUAAGUAACAUAUAUUACCUUCACUUCAUGUGAUUAGGACUGAUAACCCUACAUUGUCAAGCUUGACAUAGGGCUAAUCAUAUGGACGCCUCCAUUUUAUUAUCUCAAUAAACAAUUGAUAGAGCUUCCAUACGGUGGGAGGAUCGGUACUAAUGAGCUGCGGGUAGCAAAGGCAAUCGUUGCGGUGGCAGUUGCACCUUGUCGUUGCUGGCUUGCUUAUGCCUUCUUUGGGAUGGCUAACAACCUAAACACCAAUAUUUGGAUGUUUUGUAACCUAAAAGCUCAAAAAAUCUAUCGAGGUUUUCAGGGAGCGUAUGGGACGCCAGCACGUGCUCUUGGGACGCAUCGUGUUCGUGGCCAUAGCGAUACAACAAGGCUAACUUAGGAGGAGCCGCAUUUUGUUUAUGGCAUUCGUCAAAGGCAUACUGUGAUAAGUUAUUCGGACAUGUGCUCGGGCGCUCGAGGCCUGUACGGACACGUACGCAACAGGAAAAGUUAAUACGCUUGAAGCACGAAUACUUUCCACGUUAGAUACGGUUAACGCGUGCAAUAAGCAAUAACUCAUGAUUGAUGUCAGAAAUGUGACGCAACCCCUUCCCUGUUGCGAGGCUGAUGCUUUCCGAACUCGGAAGGGGUUUUAACAAAGAGUCGGUUGGUUUUCGUUAGUGUCGUUAAGCCGAAGCUUGGUGCCUUGCGCCUAGAGGCGCACAUAACCUCAAGAAAUUCUCUGUAAGAUUUAGUUUUCUCUAGAAGUCUCGGUCCAGGCCAUGUGCAGGUUGACGAUAGCUACCGUAACGGUGUAUCCGUCUGCUGUUCAAGUGAGAGCAUAUUGCAAACUAGCCCCCUCGAGAAGUCCUAUUCCAUAUAUGAGUUUUUUUUCUUGGAACCAGUAUAAGACAUUGCAGUUUUGCUUCCUCGAGGUUUACCUUUUUAGGAGCAAUUAAUUGUGGGAUGUCGGCUGCUCUGAUAAUUAUCAAUUAAGGCAUCAAUUGGGGCCCCGCUGCGCAGCCCCUCUUGCACGCUAAAGUGAUUAUCGCCUGCCUGGUUGCCCUGCGGAUAACGGUACCUCGCGCCGCGAGUCAGGCGGGGAUGUAGGAGCGGCUUCGGCACGUUUCAUUGAUGAUGCACACGACAUCGAAUGCCGCCUGCGCCUUCCCGCGCGGUGGGCCGUAGGCCUAGGGGAUCAGAGUGGGUCACUGCUGGUUGGGGACGAGCCCACCCACCCGCUUUUCGUCGAUGAUGCAUCCCUAAUGGCAACCGGGCACUAGCGAGCGCAGCAGUGCCCGCUCCGCUCUGGCUAGAUCAUUACUUCUCAGGCGACUGGCAUGGCGGCAAAUACUGCAAAUACUUGUAAAACAAUCAUCCUUGGGGGAACAUAGCGCGAGUGCAAUUAGGUCAUGGAGGCAACAGCUGCUGUGUGUUCGUUGGAUAGUACCAGGCUGCGUGGAUUGACCGGGAGUGACUCUACACCUGACCUCGGGGGCUGCACUACGGGCCGGGACAGCACUUCACUGCCUGCACGAAGCAGCAGCUGUUAGCCGCGGGGAAGCGAGUCACAUUCGACCUCACCGCAAUGUGCCGCAGUAAUGAGGCUACUGCGCCUAAGCUUUGCAUGGGCCUUUGAACACCCCUUGUCAUUCCCGUCUUAUCGUACGGGAUGCAAUGUAAGCUUUGAAAGCGCUAUGACUAGCCCUAUGGUCGAGGAACAGCGUGCAUUCAUGCGAUCUGUGGUAGGCGCGCGAAACCCCACACCAUAAUCAGUCUCUACCGUGACCCGUCUCAGCGGCCACUGCAGGCCCACGGGGCCAACCUACUUCUUAGAUAUUGAACCCCGUGGUGGAGAGGCCCGGCGGGACAAUAAUGUGCCAUGGAGCGUUCGUUUCAGACCUUGGGCUUGGGCUUUAGGGUACCACUGAUUGUUGGUCGGAAAAGGUACUUGCCAUUCUGACCAGCAUGGCAGCGUUAGCACCUGUGAGGGCCUACAGGGCGGGAAUUUGGUUUCUCAAUGCUGUUGCAGCUUUUGCCUGUCGGUAAUAUUCUCAAGGAGUUCCCCAUGCGGCUCGAUGCGAGGUGGACGUGUGCUGACACCCUAUAUGGGUUUUAAGGUAAUGCAUGUGUAGCACCACGGUGGCACUUGUGGUGUGUGUCGUGUUAGAGGUCUGUUCGGGGCGAUCAGCUCCACGAACUAGCUCGCAUACGCGUGAAGGACCCCCCUUGGAAUGGCGAUGUGUGCGUGCGGAAAGAUCACGCAGCUAAAGGCUGUGUACGAUACUUCAGUUGGUCUGACUGCUCGCACCGAGUACGACCUGCAGCUGAAGCAGGUGCGCAGUUGUAUUUGGUCCUAGCGCUGAUGAGCCUGGCCUCUCCAUUGGACAAGGUGUGUGAGCCUUCGAGUACCUUGGCCGGGGUUCCAUUGACGUCUGCUCCACAUAUGGGCCCUGCCGACUGUAGGCUCAAGCAGCGCCGCCAGCUGGACCCAUCGCAGCGGGCUACGACUGGGCCGUGUACGGCAGCAACGUGCGCCACAACGUGCGCCACAGCAGCAGUGUUUGGGAGGGGCAACAGUCCACUGACUAAAACACCACCCAUCCACAAAGCGAGGAACUCAGCAUGACCAGAGCCGUACAUAUGAGCUGAUGUGGCUGGUCUAUGCAAAUGAGCAUAGGCUGCUUUGUGCCUUCCGCGGUUUAAUGAGGCGGACUGAUCGCAUCCAGUCCUGUAACCCCUCGACCGUCAUAUGCACGUGCAAUCUUCCGGCGAUGACUGGUUUGAUGCAGCUCCCCGUUCCAUGGGGGGGGGAUCACCAGUUCGUCUAGUAUGGCCUCAUCAAUUUCUGGGCGGACUGCAACCGGGGGGGGCCAACCAGCGGUGCAACCGGGUACCAGAAGGGUCCAGAGCCCACUGACCACCUGAAUGUGUAACAAGAGAAAAGCUAUGCUGCGAGAUUAAGUUGCGACAACCCGGAGAGAGCCACCCGUCCCUAUGCAUCGGACCUCCGUAUGCCAGUUGGCGUCGUAAAUGAGCAGUCAUGUGAUCGCUGGACCUGAUUCUUUGCCGGCACGGAGUGGCGCUAGGACGCAGGUUCGCCGAGGACUUGGUCCUCGCGGUCUGCAGACUGUCCGCAGACUUAGGACUCGGGAGAGGACUGUCAACCCAAUGACUGUCAUGAGGUAGCUUCGGGGCGGGGCAAUGCCAGCUGCACAACUUCACACCGGGACAUAUAUACAUGGGAUUCGUCUUUCCGCGCGACAAUCCGUCGUACACUCUUGAAUCUCGAUGGAGGAAACAGCAUCCCCAUCCUCACGGGGAAAUGCACAUCCCCGGCGGCCACCGCACUGUGCUGGACCAGGAGGUCUGCACAGGAUCAUGUACGGUGGGUAUCAGUUUACAGCAGUCGCAAAGGGAUACAGCACCGUCAGCAAGCCAUCAAAUUUCCGUAGAGUCGGACAAACCAAAUCAAUAACAACAAAAUGAGAAAAUUAAGGUUGAUGACGUUGCCGCCUGGUACGCACCCUCAUGCGCGGAAUGGCCGUGCCGGGGACAUGGAGGUGUUGAGCUGUGAGCUGUAGGAUGGGAGAGUUGUGUCGUGAAAUCUAGGAGCCUAUUACUACUCCAGGCGCUUUUUCGAGUGGACAGCCCACUGCAAUAUCCAGAGUCAGGGCUCUGACUUUGAAUUUGCAAAGCUUUUCAUAACCACCAUAGCGAUGCUGAGGUAAAGGCAUCGCAAUCUCCACAGGCUUACCACACCUAGGCAUGCAGUGUAAUGCGAGUCACGACGCAUUGCGAUUUUCUCCCAAGAUAUGGCCAUCCUAUCAGGCCACGGGUAUCAAGCACCCAAGCAGUGGGGGUGACCAAUAAACCGCAAACACCAAGGACCAACUGCACCAAGCAAAAAAAACUAAUGCUAAAACCUCCUAAAGCACAACAACGCGUCCUGCAUGCCGGUUUCCAAACGCCUCCUACGCGCGCAAAUAAACAUUUAUACAGAGGCAUACUUAAAGCAGCUUGCCAGCAAGGACACACACGCGCAUAUCUGCGCGUUACGUUAAUCGAGCAGUAAGUGGCAGCGUCACUUCGGCCCACUCAAUACUCACAUCGGCGGAAGGACUCCAAAACAACACCGACCGACCACUGCCGUCAGCACACACGCAUAUGCCCUUUAGCUCUGGGAGUACAGUUCGGCCACACGCAUUGCAGCCCUACAGCUCAUUGAACGCAUUCUCACCAUUCGCAAGCAACUCCUGCUGAUCUGUUGCCAUCACAACACACCAUUCGCGCGAGGCCAUCCUUCGCUGACCUUCAUAUUCAUACACGGACGCCCACAUCCCCCCCCCUUCUAGGAAGGAGGCAGGGAAGAGCUGCUCCACCCCCGGGCAGGUAGUAUCCAUCACCAAUCACUUCAGUGCUGGGCACUCGUUCCUAAAGGUUCUAUACUUCACCAUCAGUUCCGGCUCACCCAGCUUGUCCAGCUGGGUGAGGAAAGUGCGCUGCGCUAAGUACAAUACGGGUUGUGCUGCCAGGGGCCCCUCACGUAAAGCCUUCGCCACGUCAGCCGCCUUCACGUAGACAAUGCCCUGCACCAAUGAGGGAUUGCGGAACGAGAAAAGAGCCCAAAACCUGAACGUGGGAAUCCACCUAACCGGAUUUGCAGCCAGCCGCCAAUCACAAUAUAUAGCAGUGUGGGUAGUGCGUGUGCGGGCAUGGUGCUAUGAAAGUGACAUAUGGACCCAAUUCGGGGGGAACUUGGGCAUCAUAAAGUUUACGCUUACCGGCUUCGCCCCACCCAUCAUUAUGGCGACAUAGUUGUCCCCGGUUUUCCGUGGGCGGUUCCCAACAAACUGCCCGUCAACCGCGAACCAACAUGCAGGAAACGGUAGCCGAAAACGGUAGAGCUGUGUGACUGCAAAAAGUAACGAGGUCUCAAAUGCGGCGCGCCUGCAGGAGCUAUCCACCAGGUUGCUCUUGCUGUUGCGCCCUCCCGACUAAGCACCCAUCAACACGUCUCAGCUUGAGGUCUCUUGUAAACACCUUAAAAGGCACCUACCCCGCGAGCAAAGAGACAACAUCAAACAACUCACCUCGGCACGCGGGGGCUCGUCAAACAUGACUGGCCGCUCGCCACGUCCGUUGUCAUCGUAGUCAUCAUUGUUCUGCAGGUGCACUGUGUUGUGCGACCCCGGCUGCGCCACUGACGGCGGCAGCACGCGCAGCAGCAUCUCGAACUCGACGGGCAACAGUCCACGCGCCCCCUCGCGUCGCGGCGGCUCCGGAACCUCAUCCCUGGCAACCUCAGACGACUCAUUGCGCCCGCUGUUCAGCCGCUCGAACAGACACUUUUGGUGCAGCACUACAGCCGGUGUGCACAUCAGUCCUUCCCCAAACGAUCCGUGGGUCAUAAAACGCAAGUUCUGGUUGAGAGGUAGUGCGCGGCGUGACCCGGGAUUUGGCUGCACCCACUUGCUCGCGCACGGCACUGCGGGCCACACGACACGGCGCCCCGUCAGCAGGGCCAGCUGCACCAGCCCACGCGCCAUGCUGGUCCACUGGACCUGCGUGAAGGUGGUGGUGUCGACGUCCGGCAGCAGCGCAACCACUCUCGGCACUUCCGAUGCAUUCGGGGACCCUAGGAAGGGAAACGGCCCGCCAUCCGUGAGCGCUGCCAGCUCCCAGCUGUACUCGCCGUACUGCAUACGCACGGCGUCCUUGCCGAUGCUGGUCGGUCCAGGGGCUCGCACCAAGUGCGCAAAGACCUGCAGGCAUGGCGGCGGCAAGGACAUGUGGGCCGGGUGGGGGUUUACAUGGAGAGGCACAGAUGAGGCGAUAACUGCUCCACCCCCGGGCAGGGGGAAGAGCUGCUCCACCCCCGGGCGGGGGGAAGGGGCGCUCAGGGCGCUGUUACUGAAUGUGAGCUCGCCCAUCCCCGAAAUGGCUAUACACGAUGGCUAUACACGCAACCAAGGCCAUGGGAGCGCAGGAGGCAGCAUCCCGACCACACACAGGGGCUCACAUAGUGCAUAACACGGCCGGAGGGGGAGCGGAGCUAAGCAACGACUUGGGGACAUCACUUGGGGGCUUUCUUGCUUUCUUGAUUUCAUGUGGCGGCUCGGCUCGGGGUGUCCUAUCCCUCAGCAUCCCUAACUGACCUGUCGGGGCAUUCCAUUCGUGAGCUGGGGGUCCCAGUAUCCGAGUACUCCUCGCUGCGUCCAGCCGCCUACCAGCCAGUCAGCCGCAUACGCCAGCAUCUCCAUCUCCCGAUGCAGCGGCGGCAAUGGGCCAUCUGUGACAACGCUGCUGCCGCUGCUGCCCUCGUUAUUACUGUCGCUGUCAUCACUACUGUUGCUAAAACCAUUCUGCUGCAAGCGCCUGAGUGCACCGCCCGUCCGCGACCCAGCAGCUCCCAGGGCAUCUCUGCGCCGGACAUCCGCUGCUGCCUCCUCCCCAGCCAGGUGCCUGCUACUGCUGCUGCAAAGCGCCGUGUCCAAGCUGCCCUGUGCAACAUCGGGUUGGUCUUCGGUGCACCGCGACUUGUCCACAGCGGUUCGUAGACGCCUGUUGCUGUUCAUGGAGCGAAGCACGGACUGCCGACUGGCCCAGAGGUUGUCAUCGUCGGCCAGUACGCGCUGGAAUCUGGCCGCGAAGCCGUCAGGUAAGAAGGGGGGUAGCCUGUAGCUCGGCUCGUCCGCUAGCAGCGGCUGUGGGUCCCGGGGCCUGGUGAGGUUGGCCCAACUUGUCAUGAACGUGUCGGAGCCCACCAGGCCGAGCAGGUCUGGGUCCGUCACUGGGGUGACUUCGCGCUGCAGUUGGAGAUGACAGACAAGGCCCCGAGACGGGAGGGGGCGGGAGGGGGAAGGGAAAGGACCGGUGUUUCGACAGCCAGAUAAGGGUUUGGGUGCAGUCGUCGAUAGACAAAAACACGCAACAGUACAACACAGGGACCACCUAUGCCGUACUUACGACUACAAGGCAAUCCUGCUGUGGUCAGCGCGCGAGUAUGCAUUCGCACCCCUCCCGGGGGCCAGAACGAUAUGCACGAGGGCCAGGACAAGAGAACCUAUCUGGCACCCAGUGCACCUUCACACACUUUGUGCGGCGCUCCCCGGGAAAGCGCCAAGUGGUGCUCAGUGUCAAGGAACACAGAGUCAUUGCGUUGGCUCUUGCCCAGCAGCGCAUGACGCCCAUACCUCCCCAACCAGGUGUGAUGCAAAGGUUGAUAACCUGGGCGAGACUUGUCACUGGCCAUCGAACGGCUCGCUGGAACCCAACGUCCUGAUGGAACAGCUUUCGCCUCCCGACUAUCGAUCAAGGCUGUUGCACCCUUUUGCCCUGUCCAUAAUGCAAAUAAAUCCCGCCCUAGCACCCCGCUGCCGCCGCUGCCGCUACCUCAGCACCGGUAGCAGCAGCAGCAUGCGAUCAAACCACAGCCCAAACCGGGAUGCACCUAACCAUCCCGGAACCCCUACCCACCCCCAGAAGCUCUGAGGGACCUUGUCUGUCCGCCAGUCCCAGUGCCGUACGGUGACGCAUGUUCCAUCCGCCGCUAUCGUCGUCACUGCGUCGAAGCAAGGGUCUGCCGUACCGGUCCGCGGGUCGCGCACAGUAGUACAGUGACAUCUUGCCGGUGAUGCUUGUAAGCACAGCAUCGCCAAACAGAAACUGAUCCCAGCAGCCUCUUCGGGACGCGUCGUGCGGCGUCAUCAGCUGGUGGGCGGCCGAGGAGGACUUAUCCGGUGUUAAAGCUGCUGUUGCUGAGUUCUCAGUCGAGUUCGGCGCCGGUGGUGGCGGCGGCAUGUCCAGCCACCUGAGAUUGCGCUCCACUGCCUCGGACAGCAGCCACGCUACCGGUCCAUUGCGUGACACGUUUUGAAAGUACAUGACUCCAGUGUUGACGAUACUGCCUCCGCGAACACUCUUGCCCACUACCAUGUGCGCGGAGCUGUACGGUGGGGUCUUAAAAAAACUGUACGGCUCACGGAACGCGAUGACGUCCGUGUCCAGGGAAAGCACGUUGUAGCCGUGGCGCACAGUACGAGCCAACAGCAUAAGUCGCUUAGUCAUGAGUCGCCGGUGACCGCCGAACACGUCUGGAAAGGUUUCGUUGUACCAGACGCAACCCAGGUCAGCAGAUGAGGAUGAGGAUGAGGAUGAUGCGGCCGCAGCAAGGCCGGCACCCGCGGCGCUGCUGAUGAUGUUGCGCCGCCCGCUGGCCGCGGCGUCACUAGCUGCCGCGAGCGCAGCCAUGGCAGCUGACACAUUCAGGGCGGGAAGUGCCUGUGCAUUACGCAACUCCCGAGCCUGCCGGGACAAGGAUAGCUGCCCCUCCCAGUCCUGGGCCAUGGAAGUGUACGGCACUGACGCAGACUUUAGAGCUCGGUGGGCAAGGGUGGCGUCUGCGAAGGCGCCGGGCUGCUGACCAUGCAAUUUCGCCCGUGCAAGCAAGAGCACAUCUGCUGCCGCGCAAAACGCCCGCGAGUUUGUCAACCACAGGAUGUGUGCAAGGCCGAGCUGGGCCAAGUUGUCGUGCAAUUGCACGGCGGCCCGCGGGCGCGUGUCGGUGAUGAGGAUCAACUCGCGCCUGAACGAGCGAGCCUCCAGCGCUGACGUAAGAGCUGCCGGGGGUUGCACGUCGCCGGUGAAGGGACGUACCUUCCCAAGGCUAACGUAUGCGCUCGGCCGAUUUGGAUGAAACGGUCGCUUGCGUUUCGCAGCUAGCGUGCGACCUCGAGGUUGUUGUAGUGAGGCAUCUACACCGCCCACCUUCGGCACGAUGUGAUUGUAACUCAAUUCAGUUAGCGAUCCUUGCGAGAAUUCCUCAGUACUACUUUCAAGGUUUCUCAGGCGUCGCUCAAUCACGUCAAGGCCCGCAGCUGCCUUUGAGACCACCGUAGCAUCGCCGCUGCCAGCCGCAUUUAGAGUAACAAUCAGUAAUAUGAUAACAAACAUCCCUACUUUCGUUACAAAAAUAUAUUCUGCUUGCCACCAUAAUCGCUACCUACAAGGACAUGAAACUCCUGAUCCUACAAGCGCGUUAGCCCCUACAGUAAUACCAGGAACGAUUUGCCAAUUUUGCGCAGUGCUUCUCCGCAUUAAGAUAUCAGGCAUCUGCCAGAUCACUAAACAAUGCAUGCACACUCCUUGUGAGAUACAAAUAAAGUGAUCGUCAUGAAUAUCGUUGUUUUCGUGAAAUGAAUUUCAUUCCAGCACAUGGUGGUGCGGAAAUCCGUUACCUACCUACAGCCUGGGAAUGCCGUACUGAAACUGCGAAAGAGGGCUCAGCUCAAUCGUAAGGCACUCUCUUUAAGCAGUCAUUGAACACUUCAGUGUACAAGGAUUAAGCCGACCUUGCCCAGCAGGUGUGCGCGCCUCGGAAUGGUUAUACACUUAUCUACGGACAGGUGGGUUUUGCGUCACUCCAUGAUCCAUUAACGCGUUGCAAACGUCAGCUAGGAAAUACAAACACGCAGGAAGAAGGAUGGUGAAGAGUUAUUCCACGAAACGCGCAGUAAAUUCAGCGGGGCGGAGUGCAGCCCAGGACCACGGCUGCUCCCCCAGGACUACCUUUUACACGCGCGGCCCCCGCGAAUUAACGUGAGAGCUUGUCACAUUGCCCGCGAUGAUGCACGUAGCUAGUUUAGUACGUUUAGGCAUUCAGGUCCAUGGGGCCGGUUUCGAUGCCGCAGUCAGGGCCCUGGUACUGUCGGGCUUGAUGCUGAAGGCGGACCUGGUUCGUCGUGGAGUGGAUUUUCAUUCCGGGACCCUCUAUGUGACGCGAAUUCAUUGCUGGCUUGGCUUGCACACUUGCGCACCGCGCCUGUCGCAUCGUUUUUGCUCUCAUUGAAUUUGGUUUGGCGACAGGGGAGACGCUUCUGCGUUGUGACAAUUCGCGGGCUCAGAGUCCUGGUUAAGGUCCUACAUCGCGAAUGGCGUCCAGCUGGAUGCAUUGCGGCCUCCGGAUUCGGGUGGCGGUCCACUGCAGGACCUCUGGCACAGCUUGCUUCCUGAAAUGACAUCCCAUGGCCCCUUGCUCGAAAGAGCGCUUUGAAGCCCAGAAUACGCUGGAAGGUGCUAACGGACUGCGGCCAGAGGUACAACCUCUAUAUGUAGUCAUGGAUAUGCGUGCGCCUGCGCGCCUCAAAAAGGGCAGUAGGAUUAAAACAAUGUUGGGAAAGAUGUUCUGGUUUUUAACUCUUCUUUAAUCUCCUUUUACUGGGAAGUAGGUGUAGGCACCACGUCCGCAAUUUCAAAACUAUAAUCAUGCAGCCAUGCACGCAUGGUGGGCCUAACGACGGGCCGCACUACAUUAUUAUAAGAAACGUAUUGCUAAUAAUCCAACAUGCAAUUAUGUAAUGAUAAUGCCCAUCGUCGCACAAGAGUUUGAAAGCACCCCCUUUCCCAGAUCGCGUACAGCUUAUACCGUAAUGGAUUCUGGUUCUGUCAAACUUUAGCAGAAUCCUAGCUACCAUUUCAAUUCGUAGAUAAAAAAAACAUUGCCAAUGGUCCGCAUUAAGAUACGUACUUAUACCUUGUCUGCCCCCUCGAGAUUGCAUAUGAACAAUAAUUGUUGAUGUACAGAACCUGCGACUGUAAAUAUGUGCUUUAUGCUGCGUACAUAGAACUUUACGCGGUGCUGAGCUAUUCACGUCCAAUUGACAGGUACCGGGCUCUUAACGGAAAUAUCUACGUUCACACCUUGCAUUUAAUAAGUGUUGUAAUAUUACAACAUACGUUAACAAAAAUACUCGCGACAAAGAAUCCUCUAACAGCAAUGCUGUGCAGGGCUAUCUCGUUGCUGGCUGGUAAGCUCUCUGUUUUCCCAGGAUUUCACAAGCAAAAUGUAUAUAGCACACAUAUAAACUUCCGGCUCAUACACAGCUCUGGUUGCAGUGAUACUGCUAUUUGAGCUCGGUCGCACUGCGCGCACGUCAGCAGCACGGUAAGGGCGUGUGCGCCUUUUAUCCUGGCGGGUAAUUAUAUCUGCGCCGGUGUUGCAAGCCCUAAGAAUCUCCAGAUCGGGUUUCCUAAUCGUAAGCGAAUACUGCGCACUGUGAUCAUGCUGGCGUCUCGUACAGGUGGUUGCCAACGGCUGCCGAGGCGCAGCAGCGUAUCGAACUAGCAGGGAACUCUGGGGCACGGAUGUUACUCGCAGAGGCAUAUAGCACUAUGGACAAUGCCUCGCAAGUUGCGAGUGCGCCAGACGCUUCCCUGCUACGCAGAAGGCGGAAGCCACCGCCUGGCCCGGACCUUUUGCAGCCUGAUUCAGUGAUGUCGACACCUGAAAUCCGUGAACCCCCUAAUUCUCCGCCACCUCCUCCCCCUUCACUGCCGCCACCGCCUCCUCCGUUGUCGCCGCCUUCGCCACAACCACCGGCCUCACGUAAGCCUAGGAAACCGCCACCCGCGCAGCCCCCACCGCAUCCUAGGCCUCCUUCCCCCUACAAGCCUCCAUCAUCCCCAAAGCCCCCGUCACCACCGAAUCCCCCUCCCCCGCCCAAGCCCCCGUCACCACCGAAUCCCCCUCCCCCGCCCAAGCCCCCGUCACCACCGAAUCCCCCUCCCCCGCCCAAGCCCCCGUCGCCACCGAAUCCCCCUCCCCCGCCCAAGCCCCCGUCACCACCGAAUCCCCCUCCCCCGCCCAAGCCUCCAUCACCACCGAAGCCUCUACCAUCCAUGCAAUCGCCACCCAAACCGCCCGCACCCCAGCCAUCCAGCAAGCUACCACCACCACAGAAGGCGUCGCCCAGUCCCGUCCCUCCGCCAUCACGUUCAACACCACCAUCGCCCAGGCUACAGCCGUACAGUUACUUGCCAAUGCUAAAGCCGGGUGCAAUCCGUAAGUACUGAUGAACGGUCGUGGCAUGUCUUUAAGCAAUGCGUUUUAUGGGGGAUGUGCUUAAUUCCAGGUUCGGACCUGGAAUGUACCCAUUCCCGGAAGAACAGCUUUAAAAACAUGUCCUAGCCUGGCGGACUUAUCGGCUCGCUUAACCUUUGCAGUCGAAGCCCAUAACAAGUACCGUUUAUGGAGUGGAGUGCCUAACCUGACAUGGAGUGACGAGUUGGCUGCGUCAGCUCAAAAUUGGAGUGACAAGUGCAUUUUUGAGCACUCGUAUGGCCAGUACGGCGAAAACCUUGGUGAGACCUCACCGCCGUGUCGUUGUUCCCGUAGCUCGCACGGAGAUGUUGCUGCUGGCCCCCCUUGCACGAUGCCGCAGCAAGAGUGUCUGUGCACAUUGGACUGCCUUGUAGCAAACUCACAUGAUUCCCAGUGUAAGCCUUGCCCAAAUCAUGAUUGGAUGAUACAUCGUCACAGCGGCAGUGGGGCAAUCUAAUCGCCAAAGUCCGGGUUUGGUAUGUACUUUGUACAUGUCAGGGACCCAGUGUGGCUCCCGUGUGCCCCAAACUGUUCCCAACACACCCGUACCAGUUCUGGGUACGUUCAACACCAUGGGUGAAAUCCUGUACGGCAUGAGUUUAUGGACAAUCGAGAUGUGCUGGUAUGACUUUGACGCGCCAGGCUUCAACGAAACGACCGGCCACUAUACUCAGGUAAGUGGUGAGCCCCAAGGCACCCACUGGCAUGGCGUUGCUUAGAGUUGUCGGUAGCACUUAACUGCAUGCUUAGGCAUGCAUUUGGGGCAUUGAAGUGUUCACUCUCUUCCAAAACUUCCGCUGUCAAUCGGAGAGCAAAUGAGCGAGCAAAUGAGGUACAGCUUGCACCCUGGUCUUGCCGUGGCCGCCCUGGCUGACUGCGCCGCUGACUCGCGUAUAUAUAGAUGGGUAGGCGGCGAUGCGCCGCCAAGUUCCGGUACCAGCGGUCAUUGCAUUAUAGCCACAAUUUCGGGCCCCUCAAUACCCACAGGUCGUAUGGAAGGAUACACAGAUGGUUGGCUGCGGCUAUAGGACCUGUAAAUCAGUCUCCGGAUUCAGCGGUCAGUGUGACGGAUGUGGCGUUGUCACGUGCCAUUACUCGCCGCCAGGUGGGUCGUUAGGGAGCGUAGGUGCGUGAAGGCGGGAUAGGUGGCGGCGGCCGGCCCGCGGUCGGCCUCCUCCAUCUCGGCUGCUGACGUUUUCGCCUUGUAUUGCGACGCAGGGAACUACUUGUCCGCAACCCUGUUCCGUCUCAACGUCCUGAAACCCAUCAAGUCAUGGUGCCCAGGAGCGACAUGACGUUGGGGAUGGGCGUGAGGUGCCAAGGCAGGUGCAACUAGGAAAGCUGUCCUAAGAGAAUAGUACGACGUGGAUAUAUCGUAACCACCCUAUGACUAAUACGCAGGCAGGACAUGGCAUGGCAUCAUAUAGGAGAUUCAUACACGUAUAGGAAUUAUUGCGAAAAUGUACAGAAUCGGACGCGAUCCGUUUACAAUGCAGGGAAGCAGGGGCCUGAGGUAGGGGGGGGUCCACUUAAUGUUAACGUCACGGAUUAGGGCACGGAAGUCCUUGGUAGGAGCUUGAAACGUAGUUUCGCUCCACAUGGUUGUGAAGACGGGGUAAGUUUGCCAACAACUUAGCCGUUUGCGCAACAGGUAUUAAUGGAGAGCUGGUGGGCAGAGGGUUAAUCCGCGACCUUAAUCCUAUGUGGAAACACUCCCUAAAAACUGUGUGCGGAUGGUGCAGGAUUGUGCAAGAGGGGAGAAUGCAGGGCUCCCCUGAUGUGCAACCUUAUACAGGGACCUGCAGGGAGUGAUAUAUGAUUACAAUACCUGACUUAUUUUACCAUGCCCGCCAACGCGGCAGUUUUGUGAAAUUUUUCAUACGUCAUUCAUUGCUGGCUGUUGCUGUGUACAUAUAACGUGUUGGCUCAUGGAUGAACCAAAAUGGUUCCUUUGACUGACGUGAUUUUUGGUAAUUUUUUGAUUUCCAACUUGUUAUCUAUGUUGUUGCUGUUAGGCUGAGUAACAGCGUGAGAGCCGAUGGCGAGAGUGCAGGAGAAAAUGUGUAGAGUGUCGCUGAUCAGGCAGCAUUUCUUUGCCCAGUUUGGUUGCGCUGUGCUCCUUUUGACGUGGUAACAGUAGCCGAGAGAGAGGGGCUCGGGACCUACUCUCAAACUAGGUUAGCACAUAAACAAAUAUGGCAGUGGCGGGAAGUCCGAACCGCUGCGUCUGCCAACCCUGCCCCCUAUAAGCUGCCGCUUUCGUUUAUCAGCAGCAUUCAGUGGCUGCACCCUCAAUUCACUUGAGAAGACCGCAACGUAGGAAUUACAAUUGCCUGGUAAGUUAGUUAGUUAGAUACAUUCUAGCUUUUAACACAACCAUCAACCUUCAUCGCUGGCUCCACACCAACGCAUGUUCCACUACUGACCCGGCAUCCUCGUUGUCACAACAUCCAGCAGCCCAAAAUAAUCCAAUAUGUUUAUCCAACUAAUUAGCACUUGCUUCGACACAUGCCAACAGCAAUGCACCGAAAAACUGGCACAUUACUUUGGCAGCAGUGCCAGCGCACUCUGUACUCCCCACUUGCACACAAUACCGAUUAGUGUGAACAGACCCGCGUAAAGCAGACUGCCACGCAUACGCUUAUCCGGGUCGCCAGUGGAGUAACCCUACGGCGCAGUCGAGACAAUGUAUAGUGUUAGGGUGUCAGGCUUCGUCGUCACUGAAGUAUUUACUGUGUCGGGUGCAGUGCUAGCGAUGGUCACUAACCGUCGUCUGUGCGUGCGUGUGCGUGUGUGUUGGUUACCUAAGUGCUGGUUACCAUUGCUGUCGACGCCCCAGCGUCACGACCAUCAUAUAGUCUACACUUGCCAUGCCCACGGGGGCUACUGGGUUCGGCUGGUCCUGCUUGCACAGGACCCCACCUGAUCCGUUCACCCAGACACAUGGUGAUGCCAAUCACACAAACAACGGCAGCGACCGAAUGCUCCGCACUGCCUACGUGUUGGUACAACAGCAGCGGUGGCUUGUGGCCGCAUUUCACAACUCUACCACCAUCGUUUUACCGGUAAUAACAAAAGUGCUGGGUAUGAUAACGCGAAUACCCUGGCUUCUCCCUUGCGAAAGCCCUACCUGCAUGUACAUAACGCGUCCCACCAAGUAGAUGACUCCGGCCGCAGCAGCAGUGAUUGGGUGCUGCGAGUCGGGAAGAAGGUACCGUCAGCAUACGACCCAUGUCUCGUCUGGGACACUCCCUCGUCUCCCUUAGUUCACCCCCCAUACGAUACCCCUCUGAGCUUAUUAGUUACCUUAAGGCCCGCAGUGACAAGCAAAGCCAAGAAAAUGGGCUGGUUCUCCAGAGAAUUCUGGUGGCCGCGCUGAACGCAAUUGAACGCCUUACGGUGCCUGAAAGAGAGAGACGAUUCAAGUAGUUACAAUUUACAAGGCAAAGGUGCUGACAGUGCUACAAGGUUGCUGCGAGGUGCGGGAAACAAACAGUUAUCGCUACACGUCCGGACAUACAUAUACGCGUCAAGGCGUACUUACUCUGCGUUCGCGCAAUUCUCCGACGUUGCAUACAGCGCUGGGUAUGUAACGUUAUACCUGUAGUUCACAUGCAAUACCGAAGCGGUAAAUAACCUCACUGUGAUCCCGUACGAUCCAGACCACAGCUUACAAUCUGCCUCACUUUUUCCUUGCUUGCAUCACUUUCACAGCCAUGUAGCCAUGAUGCCUGAGCACCACGAGCGGGCAAUUUCAUGUCAGCGUCAUCAGUCGGCUUUGGGUACUUCGAUACACGUCACACAGACUUACACCAUCCACGAAGCUGCAACAACGCCAGCCACAAGACCAAACUCAUUGGAUAUAGCUGGCAUGGCGACGGUCGCUGGUGAAACAGUCGCGUGAACGCGGGCCGGAAAGGUGCUACGAAGUAGUCUGCGAUCCAAACUCCCAGAUGGAGGACGUAAGGUUGAAUGUUUUGGUAUACCAGUCUUCAUCUCUUGGGGCUUAAUUGCUGGUUUCAGGGCCACCAACCAAGCUGACGCAUUUUUAGGUAUGCCGUACACAUGUAUUUGGUUCUCAAUCACAUGGCGAGCACCUUCAAGUGGCGAGCACCUUCAAGUGGCGAGACUGACAAAGCUUACUCAUAAUACGGUGACGAAAAGCCGAGUGAAUCAGUAUUGAUACUUCAAAGAGACCGCAACAACGGGACUUGAUUAUAUUGAAGCGAAGUGAAUUAGAUCCCAUAAAAACUAAUAACGGUCUUGAUGUCUAAUAGGGGUCUUGCUGAUUGAUAACUAUCCUUGUUGUAGCCGUCGACGGUGGCAUCGCUUGACUGGAUCUGUCUUGCUUGAUGCAUUUGCCUGACAAAUAAUUUGAUAUGGCAGACUACGGUCGUCUUCAAGACAGGGAGCGUGGUGCCACAAUACAUACGCAAAACCCGGCCUUUGAAGGUUACGGAUUGCGCGAUUUGAGUGGACACAGGAAGAAGGUCAGUGGUGGUGGCCAGGGUGCACAGGGAAGUUGACUCUGCGAUGCACGGAAUCCGCCUUGCCUCCGUUAAUCCCACUAUUCCCUCUGCCUUGUUUUAGGUCAACACGGUUGCAUGGAACUGCGAUGGACGACGGCUUGCAAGCGGUGGGUAUUGGGUUAGGGGUUGGGGCUUUGAGGCUUAGCUUCGGACCGGCUGGUGACGCGAGAAUGGGAAUGACGGGUGGGCGGACGGGUAAAGGGGAGGGCGGCCAUGUCCCCCCCGACCAGCAACACGGGCGUAGAUGGAUAUCGUGGGUUACCCGAGGGUCCCCAGGAUCAUCAUCACAAAGAUGUCCAGGUAUGGUAUUUCCUGCGAGGAGACGACUGCACCAUUCCCCGGGUAGAUCCCCCUUUUCCCGCUGGCACAUUCCUAAGCCGUCGCUGCUUCCCGUUCCUCAUUAUGUGUUGAUUGGUCUCCAGGCUCAGGCGAUCGUAUGAUACGCGUGUGGACUGUGGAGCACUACGGGCCUGUGGCUAAACCGGAACGUUCAGACGCCGAGUACAACUCGCAUAAUGAUGCCAUAAGCAGCCUGGAGUGGCGGCCGGACCACCCCGACGUGCUGGCUAGCUGCUCAAACAGCAAGAAUGACACCAACAUACGGUGUGCGAGGCCUUGUCGGGUUAUUACAGGACGUCUAACGAAAGCGGCAGUCGGGCGGUUCCAACCCGAGUCGCUUUGGAGACGCGGUGGAAUCACGAGUAGCGCACGGGUACACUGUAACAAACAAACGUUAGGCGCCCACGGACGGGCAAAUAGGGCCGCAGACACGCCCACGGGCUGUGGACUUGAGGCUGCCGGUAUUCCCGUGCAGGUUUCAUGACGCAAGGACGAACAAGCAGACAGCCGCUGUGCAGCUCGGGAACGAGAAGAACUUGGUGUUGUCGUGGUCACUGGACGGCUUAUCGGUGGUCAUUACGUGCUCAAACGACGAGGUCGUGUUUGUGGACACGCGCAAAAUGCGGAGGUCGCGGCAGUGGGGGCUUUCUGGACAUACGAAGGUGCGUGGCCGUUCCACCAAUAAUGUCUUGCGGAUGGCACCUGAAGCCCUGGUGAUGUUAAAGCAAUGGCAAUUCAGCGUCAAGCGCCCAGGGAACUACUUUUUUUUUGAAUCCUGUUAAGCCGCAUGCCAUUAAGUCGCAUUGCUUUACCUGUCGGUUAAGGAAACCUGCAGCGCCCUUUUAACAAACACUAUUGCAGUUGUCCGAGGUGCGCUGGGGUCCCACACAAAACCUCCUUACAAUGGCGCUUGACGAUGGCACCGUGCGCAUUGCGCCCCUAGCCAAGUUGGACAGUCCCAUCUGGCGUCUCAACUCCCAUGCCAGUCAUACAACGUGCCUGGCGUAUUCGCGUGACUACAAGUGAGAGCUGCUGUGAUAUGUUGCCAGGUUUGGAUCCUUUAUAAGCUGAGCAGGGAAGAACGUUUUCGAGGAACAAUCACCAGACAGAGAGAUCGGGAGCCCCUGUGCUGAACAUAGCCGUUCCGUGCAAUAUAUGUGAUAGUGUGAAGCCAGCUUGGGAGUCCCUACGAGUCCCUAACCCCCCUGAUGCUUUCGGUGCCCUACCCAUGUGUGCCAACUUCUGCGGACUCAGUAACUUUGGGGUUCAGCACCCACCACCACCAGCAUGCAGUGGAAUCUGCCGGAUCAAAGAGGCUGGGAAAUCGCGUCCUGUUACACCUAACGUUAUUCGCACGCUGCUCACAGGUACCUGGCAUCUGGGGGUUCUGACGCGCUCGUCAGUCUCUGGCAUAUGGAGGAGAUGACUUGCCUGCGCACUUACAGCAGGCCCGACCAGUCGGUCCGGACGUUGAGCUUCAGCCAUAACAACAACUGGCUGGCAUAUUGCAGUGAAGACGGGUAUGGGACCAUCGACAUCGUGAGCACGCUGACAGGUGCGUGCGACUUUGCACACGGUUUUAACCGACAUGCUGCAAUAUGCAUGGCGCUACGUAAGCCUCAACGCCGUUGGCAAUCUGGGUUGCCAAUCUGGAUACGAUAACGUACCAUGGUACAUUGCUUUUUCUCUGUAUCGCAUGCCGUCGCUCGGCAUUCCCCAUGCUAGAUGUUACAUACAUGUGUUGUUACGUGUGGUUGGCUUCCCACAGGUGAUGUCGCCAGUACGCUGAACUUGAAGAGCUACUGUGAAACGGUGGCCUGGUGCCCAUCUGCACCAGUGCUUGCCUUCGCAGGAGACGAGAAAGAGGGCUAUGGCGCAGUAAGCAUCUGGGCUCCACCAAAGCCAACAACUAGCUGAUAACUACUACCCGACCGUCGCGGGAUGGACAAACUAACUCAUAUUCGUGCCAUGACUGGGCAUCUGGUCAGGGUGUCGUGCAUUGGCAGACACGACCGGGAUGUGACUGCCUCUAUGGAGACUGAGAAGGGUACGGUGCUUCACCACGAUGAGAUGACAGUGACGCCAUUUGGUUCAUGUUCAUGUGUCACCAUGGCGCGUCAACGUUGUGUUGAAGUCAGGUGGAAUUGUGUUGUUUACACCAUAAGGCGCCGAGUACAGCCGAAGUAAGGAGUUACUGCCAUGUCCACGGGUACUGUUUAUCAGACGCCUUUGGCUGCCACUGCGACGGCUGCUCUCGGACCACAGCCUGUAAUGAAGGUUUAACCAGCAGGCAUCGUAAUAAAAAUGACUGCGAGGCGUUGACUAUCUACAGAACAUGUGCUAUGUGUAGUCUCACCUGCGCGUCGGUGGGUGCCCAAGGGCACACGGAUGAUGGCCGGUGUGACAUCAUAAUUGGUGUUGGUGGAAUGGACGCAGCAAUGGAUGCGCCACCGCUGCUGAACAGAGGCUGGGACGGGCGGUGCGUGUCUCCACGGCUGUACCAGGAGUCCUGUGAGAGCAACACCACGCAUCGAUUCAGGACCAAUGCUGGUUAUGACAAUAGUGUCUGAAGCCGCGCUGGAAAGAAGUCUGCAACUUUUUCGCGCAGGGUUUGAUCAGGCAAACAUUUUUCUAGAAACACCGUACACAAAGACACAUCUUCGAGCUUUCCUCAAAGCGUUACCUGUAUGACGGGCUGACGCCUGGCAUUCUCCUCCAACAACUUCAGCAUCUCCCUCUCCCUGGCCAGCCGCUGGUUUUCUGUGGCAAGGAUGCAGGCGCCAUGCAUCACACUGAGACGCACUAAUCAAGAAACCCACUAUCCCCCACAAGACUUGAGAAUGGGCACUUCAUUGAAGGUGGGCUGUGGCGUGAAUUUCGUGGUAGGUGGCAUAUAUGGAUCUCAGGCGGGCAAGUGCUGUCUGGGGAAAAGCACUCGCCUGCAGCCACUUCAGCUGCAAAACGACGCCGAGCGGCCUCCUCCUCCGCCAGAGAGUAAUGUUGGGUUGCCAUAGAAUGGUGCCACGGUCUCGCCCCAUCCGGCAACCCGUUGCUAGCUGGUACCUGGACUGCCGAGACCUCCUGCUCCGGAAGCUUCGGGCUCCUGGUGGGAUUCGGCGUAAAUAUACGGUGUUGGAUGUAGUGCCCUCAUCACCUGCCGCGGACCGCCUAGUUACUCCUACCUACCUGCUUGCAAGGGUUGCGUUGCUCGCAACCAGCUCCUCCCAGACAGCCGCUUUAUCCCCGGGCUGCAUACGCGAGCAGGUUGUAAUGCAAUGUCCCUGCAGGACUGCCGAAGAUGUGGCUUGCUCUCAGAUGCACACGCCAGGACUCUACCUGCGGGUUCAAGGACCGAAGGAGACGCUGAUGUGUUUCUUGCUGUCGCUCUUGCUUAGCCUUCAGCAGUGCCUGCUCCCUCUGAUAUUGUGCCUCCAAAGACUCCUCAUUUGCGCGACUAGGUUCUGUGCGCUGCCGACGAUGUAGGAUUGAUGGCCUAUGAACGGUGUAACUCAUUGUAACAAAUUGCACUGCACUAGAAGCAAAACAAUGACAGGGCCCCUUAUAAAGCUCUUCUUGCGGGAGCUGUUGUGUAUGAGUCAAAAAACUUUUCUUUCAAAUAAAGCAACAAGAGUUGUUGCGAAACGUCAGGUUUGCAUAGCUAAAAAUAACACGACAAGCGCAAAGGUGACAAAUCGCGAGCUGCAAAUGCGGGGCCAGGUCCUAUGCUUAGGUGAUUUGCUGAUGCGGCCUUCCAGCACGUGGGACCCUGCAGUUUGGCGCUUACACAUAAGCCGUCAAGAAUCAUGUAUUUUUGCUAGCAGGCAUUGUGGUAUCGGGUAGAUAGUUGCAUAAAAAUUGUUCCCAGUCGACCCCAAAUCCAUCUCAGAGGCACCCUUCGAACCAAAUUUUGUAAAACAUGCUUCGCCUUUGUGCUGAUAUCUUGCGGGCCCGUGGACUUGCAGCCAGCGCGUGCAGUAAAGGCUUCGCAUCGCCCACCUUUACCCUGAGGACAUCCCUGUUUCAUACGAGAAAUGCCACUUUACAUCAAUCUGAUUCCCCUGCUGAAGAUCAAGAAACGUAAGUUUGCGCCGGAGACUGCUGCCUGCAAAAGAUAGUUCCCGAUGGCAAACCCAGGAAAAGGCGAAUGUUCAGGGUCCAAAUAACAUACGUCGACAAAGAAGGCAAGGAACACACAGUUGCUGCUCCACUUGGCAAAAACUUGUUGGAGGUGGCACAUGACAACGAAAUUGACCUGGAAGGUGCGGAACGGCUGUGUGAUGUCGUGUGAGGCCGUUGAUGAUAGACCGGUGGGGUGAACCAGCUUGGGCUUAGUUGACCGGUCCAGCAGCCUGUGAUGUCAGGCGGGCGAGCAACUGACACGCCUCUUGUGUAAUUUCCCGCUUCCAGGUGCCUGUGAGGGCUCCCUAGCAUGUUCCACGUGCCACUUAAUCUUCGAGGUAAGUGCCCGCACCUGUGCACAUGUCCGGCACAUACGUGGUUACACUGAGAAGGACCUUUGCGUGCCAAACUAGAAGUCUGCUGCCUUCACGUCUGCAUGGAUUGCGUGCGGCAUGGCAACCAGACGCCGUCCACGUGCGGCCGUGCCGUAUCAUGACCUUUGCAUUAGUGGUGUGGAAAAAACGCUGUCGUCCCAUUUACAAAGGACGAGGACUUCUACAAGAAGGUGCCGGAAGCCACUGAGGACGAGUUGGAUAUGCUAGACCUCGCUUUCGGCCUCACAGACACGUGAGCAAAAUCCGGGUUCAGUGAGAGAGGACGGGCAACGUAGUUUUGAGGGGGUUUCCCAGCUGCAGGUGCUAAGAAGAGCCAAAAACAGCUAAAAACGAGCCAAGCCUUGGGACAGCAGUUCGGUGCCCAUCACCCCUCAACAUGGCCCUGUACAACACGCGGUUCGUGCUUUAUUGGGGAACGCUGGCGCCAUGCUUCUCCUAGAUUGGAUAGAUUUCCCUGCUCACAUAUUUUCCGUCCUGCUAUAUUUUCCGCCAUGCUAAAAUGCACUCCGUUCUUGCAGAAAGGUCCGGCACGACACACUCGUUUCCCCGUGUUGACACCCACACCCCGUUUCCCCCUCAUUUCUCCGGCUUGCCGUGCAGCUCCCGCUUGGGUUGCCAAGUAAUUGUUACCAAAAGCUUGGACGGCGCACGGGUUCGCAUUCCGGCCGCGUCACGGAACUUCUACGUGGAUGGUCACAAACCCAAGCCCCAUUAGCGGUCACAUCUUACUUCACCAAACGAAAUACCCUACGCCGAUUGUUGUCAGUGCCCAAGUAGUAGCUGUUUAGGCAUUUCCAGCUUGUUUACGUGCGCGCCAUUGGUGUUUGCCAUCACGGACUGAUGUAUGCUGGGCGUGUUUGCUGCGGUUACAUAAAGACUCAGUUGUGAUGCCGUUGGCAGUGUUUCUUGCUAUGAUACGAGGCCUGUGGGGCCCCAGUUUUUCCCAUCUGCAGGAGUGCACGUUUCGUGUACGAACGAGGUCAAAUUACGAUUACACGAAAGGAUUUAAUAUGUGAUAGGUAUCUGAAGCCGUCUGGCUUCCCAAAGCCAUUAUUUGUUGAAUGGUUUGCAGCUUUUAAGGGCCUCGUAUAGGGGACACAGGGGAAAUCCCGCUGACCAUUUGAUUUGCGUGAGCCCGCUUAAGCUGCAAAUAUAUAAACCAGCAUUUCGUUCCUCUUGCAGACAGUAUGGUAUGCGGUAGGGUGGCCACGGCAUGAGGUUUGCCAGGGAUGAUGUUCAACUGUUGGCUAGCGUCCGCGGACACAAACGGCACACUGGGCCCACAAGCGUGUGUCGCGCUCUUGGAGGAGUGCACGCAUCGUUAAACAAAUGUGGCGCAUAGACCAUCAAAAUGUUUCAAAAAAAUUCAAGCUGCAAUAAGCUCCGGAAUUAGUAUGCACAUCCACGAGGUACGGAGUCCGGUGUGAAUGGAAUGAUUUGCACGGGUCAAUCCUUAGAUAAAGAGCCUGCAUGUCGCGACCCGGUUAUUACCCCACCACCACCUCACGCGGCUCCCUCGGCCUUAUCCGCCAACUGCUCAAUGAUGUCGUCCUCGCUGGUGCUCAUCAAGCUGUCGUACGCCUUCUGUAUCUCCUGGAACUUGGCCUUAGCCUCCUCUUGGUUGUUAGGGUGCUUGUCGGGGUGCCACUGCAUGGCCAGCCGGCGAUAAGCCUUCUUGACGUCCAAUUUGGAGGCACCCAGCGGGAGCUCAAGCAGCUCGUAGUCCUGCCGGCCGAGGAACGAUGAAAGUGGACAGUGGUUGCCAAAAGUUAUCGCAUACAAAAGGUGAAACGGAACAAACCGGGCUACUGCCCACCUGCUGAGCCCGGCGGCGUCGCACAACGCACGCUGCCAUGUCAUAGCCUGAAAUUCUCAGAUUGGCACAAUCGCGACGCCUUCCUUGUGGGAAGUCGUGAGGAUUACGCUGACCGCGGAAAGCAAAUGACUUGCACAUGUGGGGGCAACGAAUGCUAGAACCCUGACACCCGAUUGGGAUUGAGGGCGCAAGCGUGCGGCCUAAACCCGACGUCGUCACCAAAUCCAAGCAAGGUCGCCACCCACCUUGGCAUGCCGCAGGUGGUAGAGCAUACGCUCCCGUCGCUUGGCCUCGCGCUUACGUUCGUACUCUUUCUGCCGGUUCUUUUGCUUCUGCUCUUUGUUUUCUAUGGCCUCCAUGAUCAUGCGCUCAGCCAUCUCCACUGCCUUCUGGUCACCAAAUAGCAUGAUGGUGGCCAGCUUCUUCUCACCUGCAACAAGUAAAAGAGAUUUCCCAACAUGUAGGCCGACAGAUAAACCCAAAUAUCCCUUCUUAAGGCCGGCAGGCAAAUGCUAGCCAGACAUCGCGCGUCACCUGCCCACCUGCCUGAACCAAAAUUUGCCACAAGUGCGAAACAUGUACACAAUAGGAUGCCAUCGAAAAGGUUGCGGUCGGCAAUGCCCUGACCCGUCACCUAAGAUCUGCUUGCUCUUCCCUAGGCCUAAAACGUCCAGGCCCCACCUUCAUGCAGCCGCCACCUACCCAUCUGCAUUAGGUCUUCCACGUCCAGCUUAAAGCCAGCUCCGAAACCCCGAUUGAGCUCCUUCUCGUCCUUCUUGACCUAUGGUACAGACCCGACAAGGUAGCACUGUGGUCAAAGCCAGCAGAAUGGCAAGGCGCGAUUGCAUGAAACCAACCCACAACGGAAGGUGCCUAGAAGAAAGGCAACCCCCCAGGCCUCUCCACAGCUGCCAACACGCCUCUGUGGACCCCUCAAAAUGAGCCUCAAAGGGACAUUCUCCUCCGUUGCCCCGGGUUAUUCCGCCCGCUGCAGCCCGCCCGAAUACCGCUCGGCCUUUCCGCACGAAGUUAACUAAUUUUCGGACAACCGUCAAAAUGCGGCCGUCGCUCCCCGCCAACCUGCAAAGAAUCUAAUGGGCCCAUUGUCCACCUGCAGGCGCCCUCUAGUAUACCCACAACCGAGUACCUCAGCGCACGAGGCGCUGCAGCGCCACACCGCCUCCACUCUGAGCCUGACCCCCCUCCCAGAUACCCCGGAUAGCCCGACGACAACUUCCCCGGGACACCGACCACAGCAGCUACCUGAAUGCGGCACUUGGAUUUCUUCUGGAUCUCCUUAAUCUUCUCGCCCCCGGGCCCAAUCAUCAGUUUGACCUUGUUGGCAGGAAUCUGAAGCUCCAUGUCGGGGUUGGCGUCCGGGUCGUCGUCGUCCGACUCCUCCAGAACCUUCAGGGGCGGAGGAGCUGCGGCCGGGGGCGGGAGCGGGUGCGGGUAGGAUGGGAUUGCGCACCAUGUAAAGACACCUGUUUGUGCCACCCAGGGGGCUGCUGUGCAGGCCGGUAGUAACACACUAGCACACGGGCCUCAGUUGGCUAAUCGGGAUCGCCCGGGGGACGAAUGUGAGGCGCCAACUGUAAAGCGCAGCGUACAGGAAGACCCCACCUCGCCAUUCAUGCCCCUGCGCAGAUAGCCACGACUACGGACUACAGACGACCUAGGCCGGCGUUGGGGUCCCCGUACAACCCCCAACAGUAUUUCCUUCAAGGGAUUCCGGCAAGCCGUCGUACCCUCCUGCCCUUUCGCAUGACAGACGUCUGUGCCUCCGCCAAGCUGGCAUAUAGCAAUGGACAUCCAAUUGUUUGGAGUGCUUGGUUGAGCAGGUUUGCACCGUGAUUCAGCCUGACCCGCCAUCCAUUCGUCCACAGCCAAUUGCCACCUUUUCAUAAGGUCAACUUUAAAGCAGGUGGACCUCCUACUCUGUCCGGAAGCCCGCGACAGGCGCAGUACCACAUCCCCAACCGCCGCGUCUUCUGAGCGCUCAACUCAGACCCUGACGCCGACCAGCACCCGAAUGUCUUCCCUAUCUCGUCGCUCACUACCUCGCUCCUUCAAUAACAAACCUCACACCCACCUUUCCCAGCCGCCAGCUGCUCCGCCAGCUUGCGUCGCUGCUCCUGCCGCCGCGCCUCCUCCUCUGCCUGCAGCUGCUUCACCUCCGGCAUCACUGCUGCCGCCAUGAAGGCCUCCAGGGGGUCCUCUUCGUCACCGUCAGCAAGCUGGCGGGCGAGGUCAUCCGCCAUGUCCUUGGCACGUUUGGCCGCCACAUUGGGUGGCACGUAGUUGGGAUCAUGACGCAUGCGCUCUCGAAUGGCGGCUUCGCGAGCCUGCGCGGCAGCCACCGCCGCCGCCGGGUCGUCCUCGUCCUCGUCGUCGCCACCUAGCCCAGCCGCUGAGCGGGCCGCGGGGACUGAUGUGACAGGAGCAGCAGCGGUGGUGCCGCCGCCACCGCUGCCGCCGUCCGUCGACGGUGCAGCACCUUCGGCCGCAAGGGCCGCGGGGUCCUCCCAGGGCAUCCAUACCUUGGUUUCAGGCGCAGCAGGUGGGUCUGAAGCAACUGUGGGUGCGUCAACCGGUGCUGCUGGGACGGCAGCUUGGGCCGUCGUUGCGUUAGUUGCAUCUGUUACUGCUGCCUGACGUGCUUUCCAGGCCGCAAGCCGAGCAAGCCUGUCUGCUUCGGCGCCCCCGCCCUGCUGCUGCUGCUGCUGUAGUGGUGGUGGUGGUGGUAGCGGCUGUGAUGCCGAAGAGGUCUGCGCAGCUUGACCACUGCCGCUCAGCUCCCCAUCCCGUGCGCUCCGUGCCCUAUCCCGCUCACGCUCACUGUCCCUAUCCCGAUCCCGGUCUCUGUCUCGGGGCCGAUCUCGGUCUCUGUCAAGAUUUCUAUCUCUAUCCCGCUCGCGAGUGCUGCGGUCUCGGGAACGAGAGCGCCGGCUGCGGUCCCGGCUUGCAGAACGUGACCCGCUCCGUCGCCUUAGUACGAGGUUGGGGAAAAAUGAGACGGAAAAGCUGCUCAAGAUUCCAUGUUAAGGAAGGGAGUGAAUCAUGUUGCCUGACGUGCCAAAGGUUUACGGGGGAAGACCUCCCUGGCCGCUGGGCUUUGUGUACGGCAGGAGAAAGACAUGCACAAAAAACGUGGACGGAGGCCACGUAUUGGGCAUUGCUAUGCGAUGGCGUCUGAGCUUACCGAUCCCUAUCGCGCCGGUCCCUGCUGCGGCUUGGGCGCCGGUCCCGAUCGCGCAACCUUUCACGCCGGUCCCGACUUCUGCUCCGAUAAGACCUUUGAUCUCUGCUAGAGUGGCGCCUGUCUCGGCUACGGCUUCGGCUCUGACUACGCCUCCCCAUCCGGGGGAAGAUCCCCAAGGGGCUAACUGUGUAGAGCUAUCAAGGAGACUGAAACACGCAUCCGCUUAUUUGGCAGGAUAUGACUGCGGCUUAGGUACGAAGCAUACAGGAAUUUGUAUUGCGCGUAUGCGAUACGUCAGUAACGAUCACGGACACUUUGGAAGCGCUAUAAGCGUAGUCCGCAGGCAAUUAUAGGAUUAUCAAUCAUUAGUAACAGCGCCAGUUCACAAAUGGCACCAUUUGCCCGUCGUCCUUUCGCCGUACGGUGUGGUCCGUCCUCAACCCUCACGGCUAAUACCGGCCUCUAGGAUUAGUGAGCUCCUACCCGAUGAGAAUAACAAAUCACAGUAAUAGUAAUCAUUCUUGGUUCCUUGGCCAGUGUGUUGACGAGCCUUAUACACUGAGCCAUGUCGUCGAUAAAUCUGGAAAGAGAGCUACGGUGCUGACCCACUACGUCUUAGGAAGCGGGCAUCUGAUACACCGCUUAAGCAUUACAGCGUUUGGCUUCACCUGUGGGGGCUGCAUACACGCGUAAGUAAUGAACAGAAACAAGUUAUAAGCCUGCAACCCACUUAACAUAGGGCCAGCUGAAAGGGAACAACCAGGCCAUUUGCGUAUUGCGAGACGCUGUGCUCGGGUGACCUCCGUAACUGACACUGCAGAGUUCACUGGUAGCGCACUCUCGAGUUUAGCAUAUGCUUUGUGCAUUUUACUACGGAUUAUGAUAUUUUCCUUCUGUCUCUACCUCUUUUAUGGUAACUUCGGGUGCGCUUCUGGCGCCAUUCCUGCCCGGACGCAUCUACUGCCGCGUCGCUAUGUCGCUGAACCCACGAUUUGCCAUCCCUGUUUUACACAAGCACAUUUGAGCUUAUUUGCCUGCGACGCUGCAACCCAUUCCAGGCAGGUGGCAGCUCCACUAGCCCUACGUACCGCGAGUAGCUAGGGAACGGACGACGCUCUGCCCUUCUCACUGGACUUCUCAACCCCAGACCAGUAAUUCACAGGAGCAGCAGCAGCAUUUCCUGUCGUUGUAUUCCCACCAAGCCAUUUCCCAACCGAAACCCCACCGGCACCACCCGGACAGCGCUGUGGACGACCAGCGAACGAAGUCGGCUCGCCAGCCCUUCGGCAAUCUUUUGCUUGAUAGCGACGAAAAGACCUUCACACCCCACCGCCUAGACCCGAUUGCUCGGAAAUGGCAGCUGCGCAAAAAGACCGGCAGUUCAAGGUCCUCAAAUUCGUGGGAAAAGGCAGCUAUGGCUCCGUGUAAGUUGAAGCGUGUGGCCGUUCCGAUGUUCCAUUCUUCGCGUUGUGGACCUGAGUCGCAGCAGCUGCCGUUAAUGAGCAAGGGAGGCCACCCGAUGGUGGCAAUGUCCAUGGGGGGAUUGUUGGAGCGGGACCGGGCAGGGAAGGAAAGGGAAGGGAGUCGGGCGUGGUGGUGGUGCUGGCGGUAGUGUGGGUGGUGUGGGUGGGGCCUGUCCUCAUGGCCUUGGGCAUACAUAGCGGUAUGCCUGCUCCACCCUGUCCCCUGGGUGCAGCCUCCAUUAGGUCCCACUUAGGGGCGGCCAGAGCCUUUCCUCUCACUCAGCAUCAGACGCGGCAGUAGCAACCACCACAGCAACCACCACAGCAACCACCACAGCAACCACCACAGCAACCACCACAGCAACCACCACAGCAGGAGCUGCACUAAUUGGCAUUAGGGUGUUUAGAGGCCCCAGGCAGCUGUGCCCCCCUAGGCGGGUGGGUGGGUGGGUGGGGGGUCAAGUAAGGACGGGAGGGCGCGGCCCACUCAGCCAGCAUCAGGGCCCGGAGGGGUGAGAGCGCCCCUCCUGAUGCGCCGUGACGAGCCAAGAGACGUCCACACAGCACCGCCCAGUAGUAGUAGUAGUAGCUGCGGGUUUGCUGGACCUUACAGCACUGGCGGGUUGCACGAGGUUUGGGGCCGUGCGUGUAUCGUCCUGCUCACUGCUCACGGUGAAGUAUGGAGGAAAGGUGGCUGGGGUCCCCAGGACCAGACAGGGUGGGGAAAACGAGCCGGGACCCGAGUUUGGGGGGUUGGGGGGAUGCGGAAGGGUGUGGACGACGUGGAGGAGAGGGCGCGUCCUCGCACUGCUGACAGACAGCGAUCGGGGAGGCCACCGUGACAGCACCCGGCGGCCCGGUGUCCCUCAGCGCUCCCCUCCAGUUGUUCUCCACUGCCGCCUAGCAGCAGCCGUGCAUGUCCGGAGCCACCAGUCACGUGGGCCCUCUCGACCAGCACCUUUCCGCAAUUAUCUACAUCCGCGCCUCCUCACCGCCUUGCCUGACAUCCAAGACAUCCAAAACACCCGCUACCAUCAUGCGCCUCCCCUCAAACCCCUCCCCAGGCUGUUGCUGUCAGCUCCCACCACCUCUGAACCCCCUCCCCUCGCCUCUUCUCCCUCUUGCCGCCUCCACGCUUGCGUACCCCUAUGUCUGUGUGUCUGUCUAUCUGUCUGUCUGGCCUCUCAGCUUCCUGGUUCAACGUUUGGCUGACGGACAGACAUACGCACUGAAGGAGAUGGACGUGCGAUCCAUGAGUCAGGCGGAGCGGGAGGACUCGAUCAACGAGAUCCGCCUGCUUGCCUCCGUGUCGCACCCUAACGUCAUCUCCUACAAUGAGGCGUUUCUGGACGGCAACCGGCUGUGCAUCAUCAUGGAGUACGCGGCGGAUGGCGACCUGGCCAAGGUCAUCAAGUAAGCCAUACGGGCCACUACUGGGAUGGGAGUGCAUGAGUCAAGGGAGGGCAGCUGGGGGAGGGCUGACAGAAGUGAAAGGAGCGAGGGAGGAGGGUAGGUGGAAAACCUACAAACCUACAAACCUUAAGACAAGGAUUGCCGAAUAGUGUUGAGAGUGGCGGGAGAGAGAGGAAGGGAGGUAUGGGCAGGGAGAGGGGUGGAGAGGGGUGGGGUGGGGUAUUAACGAAAUCGGGAGGGGCCUAGAGAGGGGCGGGAUGACGUAGAAGCCCUAAGGGUUCUUCCCAGCGCUAGGUGCCCAGGGGGCGCCAAAGCCGGCCCCUUGCCCACACCCCACCAACAUGCAUGUAUCAUUCUGUCAUCCCCACCUCUCAACCCCGCUGGCUGUCCCCUCUCCCUCCCUUUCCUCCCUCUCCGGGCGUGGACCCGCCCUUCGCCCCCGCCCCAGAAAGCAGCAGCAGAUGCGGCGGCCCCUGCCGGAGGACGUCAUUUGGCGCUACUUCAUCCAGGUGGUGAUGGGGCUGCAGGCGCUGCACAAGAUGAAGAUCCUGCACCGGGACAUCAAGCCCGGGAACAUCAUGGUGUUUGAAAACGGAGUCGUCAAGAUCGGGGACCUGGGCAUUGCGAAGCUGCUCACGAAGACGGCAGCGGCCAAGACCCAGAUCGGCACGUGAGUGGUUCUGUGUGUGGCUGGGGGUGUGCAUGGGUGUUGGUGCGGGUGGGUGGAGGUGGGGAAGACUGGCGGGAUGGCGAGUUUUCCCAGACCGCCUCACCACCACCGCCACCACCACCACCACCAUCAACGGUUCUGUACUGCCUGAUGCUCCACCUCCCUGUCACGCACUUGCACCACUCAUCCAUUCCUCCCCGUCCACUGCCACCACCCUCACAUCCAUCCCCAGGCCGCACUACAUGGGGCCCGAAAUCUGGAAAAGCCGGCCGUACUCGUACACCUCGGACACGUGGGCAGUUGGCUGCCUGCUGUACGAGCUGGCCGCGCUGACGGUGCCCUUCGAGGCCCGUUCCAUGAGCGAGCUGCGCUACAAGGUGCUCCGCGGCGCCUACCCGCCCGUGCCCGGCAGCUACUCCCGGGACCUGCAGCAGCUGGUGCGGGAGUGUCUCGACCCCAACCCCGACAAGCGGCCCUCCAUGGACGACAUCCUGGCCCUCCCCUCGGUGGUCUCGCGCACCCGGCAGCUGGUGCCCCAGGAGAGCCGCAACCCCCCCACCACGGCGGGGAGUGCGCUGGUGGAAACCAUCAAGGUGGGGCGGGGUGGGGGAGGGGCGGGGCAGGGGAGGGGUGGGGGAGGGGACAACCAACGCAAACGCAGACCAGGUGGGGUGCGGGCCCCAAUGAUGUAAGAGAUAAGGACUUGGGGUUAAGGACUCUUGCCGGUUCUGGAGUUAUGUGAGGUGGCUGAAAAGGCCGAAACCUUGAUUUGCGAAACAUAGAUAUAUAACACACAGGGACAGGGGGGUAAUAUGGAGAUGGAACGGGAUGUGAUUGUGUGCGAAGUAGGGGGGGUGUAUAUAUGGGUUACACAGAGGGGCUUUCCAACCUAUGGUGGUGGCCACCCACCCUGGACGAGCAUGCUGGCAGUCUCCACCGUCCCCACCCACCCACCCACCCGCGAUGUGGCCUCCUUCCCGGGUAACAUCAUCAUCAUCAUCAUCAUCGUCAUCAUCAUCAGUCAUCAUCAUCAUCAUCAUCAUCAUCAUCAUCAUCAUCAUCAUCAUCAUCAUCAUCAUCAUCAUCAUCAUCAUCAUCAUCAUCAUCAUCAUCAUCAUCAUCAUCAUCAUGAUCNNNNNNNNNNNNNNNNNNNNNNNNNNNNNNNNNNNNNNNNNNNNNNNNNNNNNNNNNNNNNNNNNNNNNNNNNNNNNNNNNNNNNNNNNNNNNNNNNNNNNNNNNNNNNNNNNNNNNNNNNNNNNNNNNNNNNNNNNNNNNNNNNNNNNNNNNNNNNNNNNNNNNNNNNNNNNNNNNNNNNNNNNNNNNNNNNNNNNNNNNNNNNNNNNNNNNNNNNNNNNNNNNNNNNNNNNNNNNNNNNNNNNNNNNNNNNNNNNNNNNNNNNNNNNNNNNNNNNNNNNNNNNNNNNNNNNNNNNNNNNNNNNNNNNNNNNNNNNNNNNNNNNNNNNNNNNNNNNNNNNNNNNNNNNNNNNNNNNNNNNNNNNNNNNNNNNNNNNNNNNNNNNNNNNNNNNNNNNNNNNNNNNNNNNNNNNNNNNNNNNNNNNNNNNNNNNNNNNNNNNNNNNNNNNNNNNNNNNNNNNNNNNNNNNNNNNNNNNNNNNNNNNNNNNNNNNNNNNNNNNNNNNNNNNNNNNNNNNNNNNNNNNNNNNNNNNNNNNNGGCAGCAAAGACCAUACGGUACGUCGUCUUGUGGGUUUUGCCGCCGAGGCCCCCGCGGCCCCCCUCUGCCCCCCGUGGCCCCCCUCUGAGCUGGGAAACAGCCUCGCGGCACGGGGGCUGAAGCCGUGUGCUGGCCAGCUAUGGCAGGAUGGCCAUCCUCCUCCCCAAUGCCUUCCGGCAACGGAAACAUCUAAGCCGUCCCCUGAGGGCUGUGUGUGUAUUGAUGGUAGCACCCUUGAUUAGCCACCUGUGCACCGGCGCAGUUAAGGAGCUUCUGAGAACACUCCCUCCCUCCCUCCCUCCCUCCCUCACUCNNNNNNNNNNNNNNNNNNNNNNNNNNNNNNNNNNNNNNNNNNNNNNNNNNNNNNNNNNNNNNNNNNNNNNNNNNNNNNNNNNNNNNNNNNNNNNNNNNNNNNNNNNNNNNNNNNNNNNNNNNNNNNNNNNNNNNNNNNNNNNNNNNNNNNNNNNNNNNNNNNNNNNNNNNNNNNNNNNNNNNNNNNNNNNNNNNNNNNNNNNNNNNNNNNNNNNNNNNNNNNNNNNNNNNNNNNNNNNNNNNNNNNNNNNNNNNNNNNNNNNNNNNNNNNNNNNNNNNNNNNNNNNNNNNNNNNNNNNNNNNNNNNNNNNNNNNNNNNNNNNNNNNNNNNNNNNNNNNNNNNNNNNNNNNNNNNNNNNNNNNNNNNNNNNNNNNNNNNNNNNNNNNNNNNNNNNNNNNNNNNNNNNNNNNNNNNNNNNNNNNNNNNNNNNNNNNNNNNNNNNNNNNNNNNNNNNNNNNNNNNNNNNNNNNNNNNNNNNNNNNNNNNNNNNNNNNNNNNNNNNNNNNNNNNNNNNNNNNNNNNNNNNNNNNNNNNNNNNNNNNNNNNNNNNNNNNNNNNNNNNNNNNNNNNNNNNNNNNNNNNNNNNNNNNNNNNNNNNNNNNNNNNNNNNNNNNNNNNNNNNNNNNNNNNNNNNNNNNNNNNNNNNNNNNNNNNNNNNNNNNNNNNNNNNNNNNNNNNNNNNNNNNNNAACACCCAGUGCCAGCCCAGAAGAUGCCACCGUGGAACUACGGGGCACAGGCCGCACCCCGUAAGCCCGUGAGGGGGCAGCCCGCUGGGGCGCGCCCUGCGGCGGCGGCGGGGUACUAUGGCGGCGGCGACGUGGGGCAGCAGCAGGGUGACAUGCCCCGCUACCCGCCGCCGCAGUGGGCGCCAAGGCCCUCUAGGUGGUAACCGCAGUAGCAAUAGCAAUAGCAGCAGUAGCAGUAGCAGCAGCAGCAGCAGUGUCACAGCGGUAGCACCCGUCCUGAGACCUGUGUAUCCACAGCUACCCGGAGCUAGAGCCGCUGCUGUUCCAGCAGUGAAGUGGUAGUGACAGCGACAGCUGGCGGCUACAGCCCCCGGAUGGCUGGUUUCGUGGGUUUGGUGGGUGAAUGUACAUUUGGGGGUCUCAAAACAGACACGUCCCUGCUGUGCCGUGUGGUGAUGCGGUUUGGCAUGACAUGACAUGACAUGACUUGGAGCAACGUGUCCUGUUUCACAUCAACAUGGCAUAUGGCAUAUGGACACUAGCUGAAGAUUGGUGAAGUAGUGAUAUAAGCAUGUAUGGACAUUCAACAUGAAGACGGCCUAGCCGGGCACCGUGCCCGUGGUAUGGAUUGUGUGUGCGGUGUGCGUGACUCUGUUCCAAAUGGUGUGCCGCAACAGAGAUCUGGCCCUCAGCUUUCGCAAAUGGAAUGUGAGCCCCCUUUUUCACGAAUUGCCGUACAAGGCUGUGGCUUGAACUGCAGCGUCCUCUGGCCGCUGAUCCAGUUGUCGUACUGCCUUCAGAGGCGAGCGGGCUGCACCCCCGUGUGUGUGUAUUGCUGGUGCCGUCGGCUACUGACUGACUGACGUGCUAACGAACAAACUGCCCACUCCGGUCCAUUGCCAAUACCUGCCACGGUCAGGCAGGGAAGUAAUCAUACGUAGCUACGUUUGGUCUGAUGCGGUGUAGAUCCGUGGUCCGAUGAGCGACUUGUAGAUAAAGGACUGCAACCUGGGCCAAGGAGGAGGGCGCUGACUCAAAGACCUGACCAGGCCAAACUGCUUUGACUGACGAACUGACUGACAGACUGACAGACUGACAGACUGACUUGGCCAAGUAACUGGGCAUGCACAGUAGACCACGACAGAGUGGGCAGGUAGUGGGCUGUGGUGGAGAAGGAGGAAAGGAAAUGGACGAGCCUCCCCGCCGGCAAUCCGCCGCCUGACAUGGCAGGGAAUCGGGCGCGCUGCGAGGAGGACCGGUCGGGGGCGCAGCGGGGCCUGCGGUCCUGGAUCGGCUGGUGGCAGGGCCGCGGAGGGCAGCCUAGCUGUGGGUGCGAAGGGCGGAAACGCACUGUGAUGCUAUACUUCGUAAGGUGUGUAAGAGCCACGUAACAGCGCUCGUAGGGUUUGUUCAUGACGCGGGGUUGUCGCCGGUAAUGCCUGGCAAGUUGAGGCCGUGGUGGCGGUGGCCGCAGGGUUAGGGGCGGGAGGCCGGUUCGAGCACGGUGGCGCUGCGCCAUGCGGUGGUGUACAGGACAAUUGGCGCGGAAGGGGGCACAUGGACGCAUGGCAUGAACGGGGCAACGGGCCGGCAAGAGAAUGGCUGCGGGCAAUAAAGAGUAUGGCAGCGCACUCCUUGGAUAGGUAUGCCGCUAUCAGUUGCCCCAUCUUCCGACUACAACGCAAGCAACAUCCAGACUCGAUACACCGGUGACCGCCAAGUGACCACUGCUGCACCCAGUAAAUAAAUAGCGUUUUGGUUGGCCGGUUGGCAAUCCGUCCUUGGCGUUUGGAUUGCAUCCUGUUUAUCUAUUCAUAGCGUGUGAGUUGCGAACGCAGUGAUCGGCCUGUAGGGUUGCUGGUGGUUCCCAGCUAGGGGAGCUUGUGUAGUGGAGCCUGGUUGCGUCGGUGUACUCACCACUGCUUGCGCGUGUGCUGUGCUGCUUGCGCGCUCUCACUAGGCGAGGGUCGGCUAGGACAAGUGGCUUUUACCUCCUGUCAACUGUGGCACUUUGGACAGAUGCUAAUACAGAUGUGUACAUACUAACUGCACGUGCAUGUUUCGUCGCUUGCGUCUUCCUUGCGGGGGAAGGAGUGUCCCCGGACAUCUCCCCGGGCUGUCUGGCGGGUCCCGCGUCCCCAUGGGGUGCGGCGCUGAACUCACCACACAUGCAAGUGGCGGAACCCAUAUACCUGAUGCGGUAUAAGGGAGACUCAUGAAUGCGGCACAACGCUGGUUCACAGCGGCCUCGAUGCCGCGAGCGGUUUCCAGCAGUUGUGGAGGUUGGCGGGGUCCAUUGCCUUUUGCUUGUUUGUGACACACACUGCCAACCCGGGCGCGGUAUGGGGUCUUCUGCUAUAAAACAAGCAAGAACCUAUAAAAGUGACGCAGAGUUGCAGCCUUUGCAUCUCGCCUGGUCCCGCCCGGCCAUUAUCCGGCCAAGGUGCCGGCGGCCACCAACUCACCGGCAAGGCAAGGCAAGGCAACAUGCAUGCAUGCAAUUGGUCACAUGCAUGUACUGCUUCGUACUCAGCUUGCGUCACGGAGCCGGGUCACGGUACGGGGUACAACGGCCUCCGACGCAUAACUGAAGCCAAAGCGCUCGUCCACCGUACACGACCAAAGUAGCUGGGCGCACGCCAGCAACGAGGGCAGCAUGUAAAGUACGUUCCACUGUUUCCCUUCCCCUGCUGCCCGCCCCGCCGCCGACAACAAAAGGCCAUGUACGGUAUAAGUUACGGGUAGCUGGACAAAUCUAAGAAAUCCAAAGAUCUAGGAAGACAGAGGAAAGGGAGGGUGGGUGGGGUCGUCAAAGAGCCGCGUCCGACUUUGCGCAAUUUGUUGCGGAUUUCUCCUUUCAGUGCAAGUUGUAGUGAUGAACCUUUGGUGCGACUGGUGUGGACCGGUCCCAGUAGGCCUGCCGCCGCCAACAGCCCCGAGGUGAGGUGAGAGACUUGAUGGAAAGUCAAGGAUGUACCGAUGCAUUGAACGUGACGUUGCAUGUACAGAUUGCUACCGUGAGUUUGGACCGAGCCGGGGCGCCCGGCUCCACAACGCGUUCCCAAAGGCCGGCAGCGCUACCAAGUAUCUCGGACCCCAUCGUGGCAGCCUUCCUUCACUCGUUAGAGGGUCGGCCUGGAGUUCCCCAAAUGCCCAGUCCGGCACUGUUAUCUGCGUAUGAGACCAUAUGCCAGCAAUGGACCCUGACAGCUGGCAUAAGAUUCGGACGCAGUCGUAUGAGCUGCAUAGUUGGCUUGCACAGCAUUGGUCUUGGGUGAACCUACUGAACUGUGAUCCAGCGUCACUUUUGACAUUCUUCGAGGAACAUUGGAUCACCGCCACCCAGGCCGGGUUCGUGUAGAUCGCCGGCCUUGCCCUGCAACCUUGCAGGGAGCGAUCUCCCACCUGUCAACAGCUUUUAACCUGCUAAAUCGACGGGGUCCUUACGAUGCAGCGGCAUCAACCGGCAAUCCGUGCGAGUGCUCAGCUAUUCGUGGCUAUGGUAAGGGUUAUCGGCAAAUCCUCACUCGGCAGGGUCACACUGAGCGGGGUGCCAUACCUCUUCCCUACGCCAAAUUGCUAGAUCUAAGUUCGUAUUUGCAGCGGAAUGCUAGCAACACCGCAAGUCCGAUUCCCCGGAUAACUCUGCUACGGGACCGGAGUAUCUUCUGCCUGCUGUGGAGCAUGAGCAUGUGCAGGCAUGACUGCGGAGAGCUUCGGAUGGACGAUCUUCGGGACCCUGAUCAAGUUCGGAGUCCAUUCAGAGGUCUUCAGCUUCCCUUGCCCUGCGUGGACGGGCGAGUCCCUUCCACCUGUCGCCUGCAAAUUGCGAAGCUAGGAAUGAAGACGUAUCGAGGAGUCCGAUCGCCUGGGCAUGUGGUGGAGAGAGGCACUGUUGUAGUGUAGUGCAGUGCUACUGGCCCGUGAAGUAUGUCUCAGGCCGGCACUGCCCCGACCACGGUAUAAGACCGCGCUCCGAACGUGAGUAGAAUAUGAAUUCUAAAAGAACCCACGUCCGUUCUGUGAGCAAAGACGAUUUCAGUAAAUUUAUGGAUUUCGGUAAGGCUGUCGUAUAGAUUCUUGAUGUUCAGUUCCGGUGAAUUCUUACAAACGAUUCUUGACAGCCAGGUCAGUUUUCAGAAGAUUUCAUGUUCAUAAUUGAUUCGCAUAUUUCUUGAUAAGCUCAUCAUUACUGUGUAGCUAUCGCGCUACAACAGGCACUGAUCCCGUCAUCUGUCCGUUGGGCGCCCUUUCAGUGUAUCUUUCGACCUGUUCGGUGUACCAACUUCCUGUUACCGACUACCUCUUCCGGCCCCUGGACAACGACGGGCGCCGAUUCAAGGAAGCCCCACUUUCAACGGAGGCUUUGGGGUCCCCCCUUAAGCAACACUUAAGCGCUUGCGGCCAGUAUGGAGGAGAGAGUGUGCAUAGUUUCCGUCGUGGUUGCUUACAGCAUGCUUUCAACCAGGGUGUGCCCCCCAGUGAAUUGCUAGUGAAAGCCCAAAUGAAGUCAUUGGGCACCUUAUGGCGGUACCUGGAUCCAACCCGUCAUAUCCGGGAGCGCGGGAUAGUAACGAGUGAAAGUGAUAGCAUGGAAGAAUGAGUGCACCGUGGUGGGUGGGAAGGUUUGAACAUGGAACUGUUCAAUCCCAGCAUGUCUUGGAUGCAGUGGCAACUUUCCUUGAGGUUCUCCAUACAAGGAAUGGGAGGGUGUGGUGGCGAAAUGAAGCAGCCGUUGAAUUACAGAUUGUGGGUGACACCUCGGAGAAGGCUUAUGCAGCUCAACGGCGAGCUUGGAGAUGCAGUCAUGCGGGUUCCCUUCUCCAAGGACGAGAUUCAGCUUCUGGCGGAGGGCCGCCUCAGCAGCACGGUGCGAGAACUACAGGCAGCCACGUUUGCAUUGGAAUGGCUGCAGGAGCAGGCACCAGAACUGAUCCGUGGACGGUGAGUGCAGUACCAGACGGAUAGUCAGCCCGCUCACUUCUGUAUUCUGGGACAGAAGAGUGCAGGUCAAUGCCUGGAGGAAGUGGCACAGCUAUAUAGAGUUAGUGCUCGUUCCGACACGGAAUUUGAGACGGUGUGGUACCCCCAAACAGCAGCAGCUCAGCAGCAGGCGGAUUGUAUCAGCAAGGAGGACGACGUCGCCCAGUGGAGCUUGCAUCCCGAGGUUUAUCAACAGCUCCUACGCCGCCCCUCAUUGCAGGGGCGCAACCCGGACAUCGACUGCUUUGCGGAUGCCACCAACACCAAGGUUCCUGGCCGUUUCUUUGCAGCACGGUGGAAUCCGGGAUGCCUUGGCGUUGAUGCCUUGGUGUUGAUGCCUUCACACAAUCCUGGGCCUCCACGAGGAAGGACCUACCCUCGCUUCUCUAUAUGAAUCCCCCUUUCUCCCAAACUGGCCGGGUGCUGGCCAAGGUUCUCACGGACAAGCCGGACUGCAUCAUUAUAUUGCCUGUUUGGCCUAGGUGGUGGGUAGCCCUGUUACGUCGCUUGCCGGUGCGUGAGAUAUGGCGCCUGCCGCAUCGGAAUGACCUGUUCCUGCCAGGGGCCUUGACUGUACGAAGGCAGCCCCAUGCAACCCACUGCCAAGUGUGCGCAUACAUUGUUAUCUGGUAGAGGAACAUCUCAGACACUUCCCUUUCCCUCAACUCAUCCAAUACAUGUGUGGGACCACCCGACUUGCUUUCACGCGGCUUUAGGCCGGGUGGUUGGGGGGGGAGAGAGAAGGGGUGAAGGGGUUGAUGGGAUAAAAGGGAGAGAGGAGGAGAUGUGUGCUGGGCGCGGGUGGCUGGGGCGGUGAGGCAGGCAGCAGGGGAAGGGAAACAGUGGAACGUACUUUACAUGCUGCCCUCGUUGCUGGCGUGCACCCAGCUACUUUGGUCGUGUAUGGUGGACGAGCGCUUUAGCUUCAGUUAUGCGUCGGAGGCCAUUGUACCCCGUACCGUGACCCGGCUCCGUGACGCAAGCUGAGUACGAAGCAGUACAUGCAUGUGACCAAUUGCAUGCAUGCAUGUUGCCUUGCCUUGCCUUGCCGGUGAGUUGGUGGCCGCCGGCACCUUGGCCGGAUAAUGGCCGGGCGGGACCAGGCGAGAUGCAAAGGCUGCAACUCUGCGUCACUUUUAUAGGUUAUUGCUUGUUUUAUAGCAGAAGACCCCAUACCGCGCCCGGGUUGGCAGUGUGUGUCACAAACAAGCAAAAGGCAAUGGACCCCGCCAACCUCCACAACUGCUGGAAACCGCUCGCGGCAUCGAGGCCGCUGCGAACCAGUGUUGUGCCGCAUUCAUGAGUCUCCCUUAUACCGCAUCAGGUAUAUGGGUUCCGCCACUUGCAUGUGUGGUGAGUUCAGCGCCGCACCCCAUGGGGAUGCGGGACCCGCCAGACAGCCCGGGGAGAUGUCCGGGGACACUCCUUCCCCCGCAAGGACGACGCAAGCGACGAAACAUGCACGUGCAGUUAGUAUGUACACAUCUGUAUUAGCAUCUGUCCAAAGUGCCACAGUUGACAGGAGGUAAAAGCCACUUGUCCUAGCCGACCCUCGCCUAGUGAGAGCGCGCAAGCAGCACAGCACACGGGAUAGUAACGAGUGAUAGUGAUAGCGCGGAAGAAUGAGUGCACCGCGGUGGGUGGGAAGGUUUGAACACGGAACUGGGUGGGAAAGCGGUGCACUCAAGUUCUGACCGCCUCCCACUCUAACACUUGGCCUGGCUUCUGCCGAACGACACACUCCGACUGCCUAACCGGUACAUAUAAUUUCUGUAAUAGCACAACGCCUAUCGCACUCCUCUCCUCACUCUAAACAAACAAACUCCACCUCUCCUUGGACCCGUACAACCUUAGCAACCGCCACUACCGUAUCCAGUACUUCUGAAAUUGGCAGAGUACUCGUACGAAAGGGAUGAAAAUUGGAUGUGUUGUAGACUGUUCGACUGCAGUACUGUCCCUUGACACAAGUACGAGUAGCCGUUGACGUGAUGUCACGGCUUUACGGGCGACCUUUGGGUCAGUUUUAGGACUACAAUGCAGCGCACAUCAAUCCAGUCCCCGAGCGUCAUCGUAAUUUUGUACAGUCGAAAGCGACAUAUGCUCAGUCCUGCCCAAGCCACGAUCUUCAUGUUUUAUGUCCCUGUGCAUGUGCGAUGCCAUUUCACCAGUCCAACGGCUUUUACCGAGGAGUAGUCUUCGACUGUUGAAUACUUCUCGUAGUGUGCGUGUGCGUCUGCGGAAUAAAUUUCUUUUUCAAUCUUGUUGGAUACUGUGAUCCUCCAGGGGCUGGAAUUGCGGAACUGGGAAAACCUGAAAUGGAAAGGCCAUGUGACUACCGCCCACCUAAGAACAUUGGAGGUGCAAAAACAUGAAUACAGUUAUGCGUGAAUUUCGAUUAUCGCUCGUUCUUGGCAUAAGGAAACGGCUUUUGUUUUUUAUGUGCGUCGGACGACUAACCGACGAACGAUACGAUAGGCAAAGAGUGACGGCGAAAACCCAAGCAUGGUCGCAAAUUAUCACAGAGCUGUGACCUUAGACAUAUUCCAUUGCUACACCUGUAAGAUGGAAGCUUUAGUGGAAGUGGCAUGGGAGGUGGGCGGUGGAAGUUGCGAGAAAUGCACAGCGUGCAGGCUGCAUCAGUCUUGAGGAUCAUAGAAAUGUAAUUGUAAGCACGAUGCAAGCUAUAAUUAAUCGUGCUGGAGGGUGGGCUAGAUUUCCGCUGUAGAGUACUCCCGUCCGUCUACAAAAGUUUGCCCGGGAGGACGCUCUACAGGGCCGAAAUUUUGCAUAAAAAACAUGAAUCGGAAAACUGUAAAUUUUACCGAAAUCAUGCGACAGGUUUUGACCGGCCAGUCGAACCGCGUGGUCUUCGGUCUCGGUACCUUGCGCGGUUUCGUUUUAACUCGUUUGCGUGGCUACGGGAGCCUCUAAGGGCUGUGGCCAGGUAACGUGCGCUCGCGACAUCUCUCGGCCCAAGCCCAAGCAUCUCCGCACCUGGCCUCGAGCCGGCACAGGCCAUCAGCCCUCGGUAACACCAAGUCUACCCCUUCCUAAAAUCUCACCCGCCGUCCGAUGAAAUCUACAGCGACAUUUCAAAUAUGGCGGACGGUAAUCGCAGUGCAGCGCUAACGUAUAACGUGUUGACAAGGGCGAAACCAGUGUUUCCAUGAUCAUCAUCACACAGCAGUCCCGGUAUAACAUUCAAAACCGUAGACCACCGGUGAUGGUACCAGACACCUCAGUGUACGAACUGCCCACACCGAACACGACAACGGAUGUGGGGAUAAAUAUCCUGUGUGGGGCGUAGCUCGCAACGGGAUCGGGAGGAUGAUGUUCGUUGUCUAAGAACGGCAGUAUCAGACAAUAACCCGUGCCCCAUUCGGACACACGAACCAAUGGGGCUGUACGGCGACGCGCCCAUGGCAUAGAUAGCCACAUUUGGAGGGCCCAAGUACGCUGUCCUUAGGGGCAAGCUACCAAUAUCCACUGGCUCCUUUUGGGGGAGAAUUCACCGCGUCCUGCUUUUGCUGCUUUCCGCGCCAACUAUGAGUGAGUCCAUCCGCAGCUCAGUUCCCGGUUCCCGGGACAAUUAAUUGCGGGAGUGAUGGGUAUGGGCACUAUGCACUCCGUUUUCAUCAGGGGUAUGCGGCUUCCAGCAACCUCUACUUGGUACGGGCUACACCGUCGUGUUUAGGAAAACCCUUGCCUGAGCUCCCCACGCCGUGCUGGUCUGCUCGGAACUAGCCAAAAGGGCAGUGUACCUGGCUAUGGAGAAGGGGCGCGCUGUUCAAAGUGGGUUAGCCUCCAAAGGGUGCCUCGUGUAGCUGUCGGUUGAGGCAUAACAUCGACAUCAGCCUUACUACCCCGUGGUAGUAUGGUAGGUUGCGGCGAUGUAUGGGGCGAGCAAUUCCCCCUUCCCCAAACCAGCAAUAGUGGAGCAGGAGUAAUGAGGUGGUGGGUCAAGGUGUGAUAAGCUGGGUCCGUUGGGUCAUGUCGAGCUGAUCGCAGAGAAAAAAGGCCUACAUUGCGCCUCGAACGGCAUGGUUUGCUAUAUUAGUGCAACGGGGAGGGGAAAUGCAGUGCUGAAGUUGGGAAACUUUACCGUGAGCUGCCCCUUUCAAUUAUGCCGUCCAUUGCCCGGGUUCUGAAGUCCAGUCUUUCAGUUUCAAGUGGACGUGGGGCUAAGCACGGCUCGGAACGGGUCGCGUGGUGCGGGAAUGCAGAAGCCUAGUGGCUAAAUGAAUGUGGAUAGCUAAAAGGGUCCUCGUGCAUUUCGUUUCCCGGCGCCGUCGGGUUUAAAAUGCUGCCAACAGACUCCUUAGCCGAAGGCCUGCAGUUUGGCAAGAGUCCAAAUGUAAUUCGUUUACGGCAUAAGUCUUUCCUUUUACCCUUUAGCUCCACUCAUCCGCGCUCCCUUUUCUAGAGCCAGCGGCAAGAUGGCCGACUGCCUGCAACCCUCAAAAAGCAUUUCGAAAACUAUCCACGUACUAAGUUCCUCAUAUUUUUAAGGCAGUGUGCGCAGAGGGGGCCGGGACCUGCAUUCCACACCGGAAGUACAAUAACGUAUUCGUCCUGAGCUAAUGCCCAUUUAUGUCCCAAAGUAUUCAGCUUUAUUGCAUAGCUAUUGGACGCGCGAGGUGUGUGCAGAACGACAUAGACUACGAGCUCUCGACUGUAAUACCAUUGACAUAAGGCCCUUGAACGGUGAGCAGUUUACCAAAGAUAGUGUUUGGCCCCAAUUAAGGAACAGUGGGCAUAGGGUAGGCGCUCCUAAUCACUGUAGAGCCCCCCUGUAGACACAGCGUUGUCAGUUUCGCUUUGUAACGCUUUUGCGGGGUUUGUUCUGUCAGGUCAUCCAGUGUUAGCCCUACCGUAGCGGACCACCACUGGACACCCUGCCACGCUAAGGCGUGGAUCUUGCGGCGUGUGAUGGCCGCCGUGAAGGAGGAGGAGCAGGCUGUGCCUAGCGGAGGGUGCGCGUUGCUGAUGAUCGCUCGUUAGGUGAUGAACUAGCGGUCACUGGCGCAGUUUCCGCAAUGUCCACAGGUCGGCCGGUGCCAAGCUCUUUCUAGGCGGCCUGUCAUGGGACACAACUGAAGGUGCGGAGCUUUGUUGUCGGAAAAGGUUCUCACAGUCGAACGCCAUACGACCCGCGGCUGAUUGUGCGGGUUGGGGUCUUGCAGAGAAGCUAAAGGAGUACUUCUUGAAGUAUGGGGAGGUCCACGAUGUGGUAGGUCAUACGGCGAAGUUUAUAAAGCGAGGCCCAGCCAGGUCUGGACGCUGAUGGCUCGGGGGCAAUUGCUCUGGCAGGUGGUGAUGCGUGACCGCCAAACCCGUCGACCACGUGGAUUUGGUUUUAUUACAUUUACGGAUCCUGCGGCGGCACAAGCGGCGUGCGCGGAGUCCCAUACGAUAGACGGCAGACAGGUGAAGGCGCAUUGGCGCAAAUACAAUCGUCUUUGCCGCACGUAACGCUUGAUCGGCAUGCGUGGCGCAGAUUGAUGCGAAGCCAUCUGUGCCACAUGGUGAAGGUGGUCAGCAGCCUCGGAGCAAGAAGAUUUUUGUGGGCGGGCUGGCUCCCGACACCGAAGACGGUGCGCUUGUUGGUUGCUUGAACCUAGCUUUUUGCACCCGGUUUUUCAAGGAUCAAAACAUAAUUCUUUUUUGCUGUUGCAUCUUUGCAGUCCACCUUAAGCAGUAUUUCGAGCAGUAUGGCACAGUCGUUGAGGCGUUGGUCAUGGUGGACCACAACAGCGGCCGGUCGCGCGGCUUUGGGUACGUGUGGGCCUUGUGAAGGGAGAUCAUAUGUAUCUUAAUGUGUAUGAGUCAUGUGUACCCGAAAUGGCUUUAUAUGGCCAGCUAGGGCAUCUCCAAUAGCAUGUUUCAUACCAGUGCGGCUGCGUAGUGGCAAGCUGCAGCACCUGGCUCUGCGUCCUUGCUUUCUGUUCAUUGGCAAUUUGUUGCUUGCUUGGAGGGUUAAGGUACGCCUCGCACUCACAUGUACGGGCAUAACCCGGGGGCCCCCUGGGUCUCAUCUCCGUUCCUUUUGCCUUCCCCCAAGCACCGCCCCCAAAAUCCCAAUCGGGUCGCCUGCUGCCUUACGUUCCAUUAAAUGGUGUAGUGAUGACAUCUUCGUUGUGCUUGGUUUCUGGGCUUUUUCGUGUGCAUCUUUAAACCUUCGGGCUUGGUGCGUUGGCCAUUGUUAUGGCACAUGUUAACAUUCAUGCAGCUUCGUAACCUUCGGGGAGGAAUCGUCUGUUGAGAAGGUGUUCGCUGCGGGUCAGAUGCACGAGCUGGGCGGCAAGCAGGUCGAGGUCAAGAGCGCCACGCCCAAGGGUUCAGGCCCUCAAGCAGGUCGAGGGGGGGGCCGUGGCCCAGCGGCAACAGGUAGCUACGGUGGCCGCGGCUAUGGAGGCGGCCGCGGCGGCUUUGGAGGGUAUGGCGGAGGCUACGGGGCCUACGGUGCAGGUAUGGCUUCAACGAUGAAACUUUAUGCCUAGGGCACGGGAGAGCUGUCGCUGUGGGAACACGCCUUAACCAGAAGACAUGGAUAGUGGAAACAUCAAAGUUCAGCAGCAGGCGUCUUAAUUCCCCGUGUCCAUGAGAGCUGGAUGCAGUGCUGGGAUGAAACCUCAAGAGCAACAGGUCUCAAGUCCUAGGCCCCCUGCCUGAGAUGUAGCAGGAGUUUUGAACCAUUGCGGAGAGGCACUUGCCGCACGCUUUGUGGGGCAGUAUCGCCAUCGGUUAGCGUUUGGAUCAUGGGCUAAGUCGGUGAUGCGUCCAGCGCGAUCUUUUUACCACGUCAUGGCACCAUUGGGGUACAUUGGACUAUCGCCAGCUGUCGACCCUGCAUGAUGUAGUUGUCGGCAACAAUCGCCGGUGAUCGGCAUCAUGGUUUGCCGGCGUAUUCUGCGGGCGCUCCUCUCCUUGUAUCGCCCGACUUUUGCCGAGCCAGCUAGCUUUCCGUUCCGCAUCCAAUCUCAGUUGUCAAUUCUUGUGCUCUCGCUUGCGACUCAGGGUUACUUGUCUGGGGUUCUGCACUUGACGGUGUGCAGCCGCAGGCUUCCAUCAAGGGAUCCGCAGGGGAGAUAGUGUAUUAUGGCAGCUGGCAGCCGGCUGGGCCAGUAACUAUAAGCAAAGUUCUUUCGUCGUAGAUCAUUUGACAUCUGUUGUGUAUGCGUCAAAUGUCGCCACCUGCCCUUGCACAGGAGCCUACGGCGCUGGGUUCCCGGGAUACGGAGCUCCGUACGGUGGCUAUGGAGCAGGUGGGGCUUUGGGAAUCAGCAGCAACCUCACCAAUCUUUUGCAAUCUUGCGUGCGCACAUCUAGCCCUUGCUUGAACGACGAGAAUGGCAUCCAAAUACGCCUUAGUAGCGUAGGAUAACCUCCUGCCUUGCACCUUGCUUCGUCCAGAAAUGCUCGUCCGCAAUAUCUGAACCUCUGAUUCUGAUUCAACCUUCAGGCUACGGAAAUUUUGGGAUGAUGGGUUACGGCGCGGGGUAUGGCGGCAUGGUGGGCUACGGUGGCUACGGCGGCUACGGCGGUUACGGAUAUGGUCAACAAGCACCGUACAGCCAAGGGUGAGCGACAGUCCGAGGCACGCCGAGAUGAGCUGAAUCCCUAGCGAUCUUCGGCCAUGUCGCGUGCAUCUAGCAUAUGCUUGAGCAACGGGAAAAUCCGCGGAGGUUGACCCGUGAUCUGGAAGGGCUGCCUGGUUCUAACGCUGCCCACAGGUGUUUGUGUACUCUGCAGCCCACAGCCUGAGCCAUUGAUCAGCACCCAGCAAGUCCGUAUCCAGUUUAAGGUUGCGAAUAGUGUCCGAUAACGCGGUGCUUCAUCGAGCCCGGGGAGCUGUAACACCAUCCAUUUGAGUUUCAUGAGCUCAGGCCAAAAUGCCCCCGAUGUUUGCACAGCGUUCCCCGUCAGGCGCGUCUGAAAGUACGCUCCCCGUGACAUGCCUCCUGUGCAACAGCGGCCGCGGCGGUGGUGGAGAGGGGCAAUACUGAGGCAGCAUGCAUCUGGUAUGAGGCAGAGGGAGGAAUGGGUGUGGGGUGUGGAACCCGCUGCAGAUCAGUUUGAAGAGCAGCGUGCGUGUGCUCCACACUGCGGUAGCCCCCUCGGCAGAAGUUUAAGCUGUGUGUGAAAUCAAGAGGAAGCCGUUGGUUGCAAGGGCUGUGAUGUGAGAUCAUCCAGCGAGUUUGUGUUGUGUGAAAGCCGAGGGCAUGUCCUGCGUGCCUUCAUGUACAGGGAAGUGGCGUGCGGGACAUUUGGGGAGUGGAUUGGUGCGACGCCAUGGGAACCGGCGAGCUCUGGUCCGGCUGCGCUGACCCGCGGGGUAUGACAUGUUUUGGGCCUGGUCUGAGGUGGGGAUUGGGGUUCUUGGGAUUCAAUGGAAGGGUCGUUGUUGCCCGCCCCGUGUCGGAGGUCUGGCGAUUUCCUUACGCCCGCUGUUUCAGCCAAUCAUUCGCUUGGUGCCUGCCAGUCUAAUCCUGAUGGGCCAGGCCGGGCGAAAUGCAUCGGGGCGUGAGGGUGGCACAUUCCCGUUGAGAGCUGGGGCCGUAAAGGUGACUACCCUGCUUCCUAUGUAUUUGGGAAUCCGGGGGAGCUCUUCCAGAGCUUGAGUGGUCGUGGUUACGUCUUGACCGUGGUCUCAUGAUUGGGCGACUAGCCAAGGCCGCGGAUGGGGGAAGGGACGUCCUGUUUACUUUUUAGCUGGUAACGUGUGGCUGAUCUGUCAUCAGUUCAAUGCUUGUGUGCGUUGGGAGGGGUUGUCUGCGACAGUGUAGAGGCACCGACCUGGCCGCAAGAAAGAUGCUGGGGGCCAACACGGCUGUUCAGAAUGCGCUCUUAAAAGUUGGAGGGUCGGCCGGCUUUUCGAUAGUUCAAUUCUGAUUCUAGUUUCACGGGAGUCGAUGAUCAGAUGAAAAGCCCAAUUGAUUUACAAAGAUUGCCGGUUGAUCGUUCGGGUCACAGUUUAUUGGCGCAGGUCGCCAUGAUCCGAGCAAUGUCCACGUCCGUGUGCCCUAGUCGCGCAUCCGCGCAAUGCCCUUAAUCCGAGAGCGAGACACUUGAGAGGUUGUGAGAGAGCGUGCAAGAUGCACAGUUUACAUGAACUAUCGAUUUACCUUCUACCCGCGUGUCAUGCGGGUUCUGCUGUUGCGUGGAGAUUUGGCAGGUUUGGCCGAGUCUGGCAUGCAUAUGUUGUAAGAGGUGGAAGCAUAUACCAUGUUUGUUAUGAAUGAAUUCGAUGCUGCAGCUUGGGAAAGGAGAAGAUGUUGGUUUCUAGGUUGUUUCGUUAUGUAAAGUUAAAUAUGCAUCAGGAGUCACGAUGGUGCACAUAUCAUGGUGCACAUAUGUAGUGACAGAUUAAUAUGCGCAGCACAAUCGUUCAUUUCUAUCAUCAAUACAUUUUAUCAAAAAUAUGACACGUGCCUAACAUUAUUCCUAAUUAUCAAUGCUCAUACAUAUGCAACCCUUCUUCAGACGCUCUUAACUUAAUCGGACUGCUACUUAAUUUGCCACCAUACUCCGUCAAAUGACCAUGUGCACGAAAUUACACGAAACUAUCCAUCACCUGGCAGGGGAGAGUGUUGACCAAAACCCUCUUAAUCGCCCGCAGUUCCCAGCACGAACGCAUCAACGCAACACAACAAGCCAUCGACACUGACACCUGCUGCAGCUCAGAAGAAACGCUACAAACCGCAGCGCAUCCAGCAGCAGGAUGCCGAGACUUUCAUGUCUCCUAUCCUACGGUCUCCCAACACAUAAAUUCAAAACUUACCAAAACCACUUCGCAUUGCACAAAACGUUCCACUAACCUGCACUUCAUGUUCGCUCGAGACAUACUACGUAUCCUUAGUCCCCGCCAGGACCACCUACACGCGCCUGAACGGCUCGAGGAACGGCCCUCGCCCUCACUCAAACACCACUCAUCACUCCUCCCCCCUCCACCUGUGUCCCCUCAAGCCUGCAGUGGCGUAAUCCUCAGCAGACGGUUCUCUUUGGGGUUCAACAUGGUCUGCUGCAGCUUCCAGCCAUUGCGCUCCGCCUGGGAUAUGAAGUCGGGAUACAGCACCGAAACCACUGCCUGGGCCCGCUCCAUGGUCACCCGCCAGCCCUCAUGAUGGGCAGCUCCUCGGCUGGCGGUAUUUAGUGGGCCCCCGGCCCCGCCCCCACCCUGCCAUCCCACCCCCUGGUCCUGUACCUGAUGUCGCCCCUCCGAUACCCGGGUUUCAGCGCACUGCCGUGACCGUGCACAGUCUUCCUUAGAUGCGUCGGAACUACGACACCCACCGCCGCCACUGCUAGUGAUGCUACUGCUGCUGUCGCUGCUGGCAACAGUUGCGCAACAGGAGGCGCCAUUGCCGUUGAGGACGCUGCUCUUGGCGAUCGCCCCCAUGGUGGUGGUGGCAGCGGCGGUUAGUUGCAGAGGUGCAUGGCUGAGGGCGGCCCCGUCCAGCAAGUGCAGGAAUACGUGUCCGAAGAAGGACGCCUGAAGGCAAUCCAUACUGGUGGCGCCCUCGCGUAACAGCACAUAGGCCUUCUUGGUGUCGGGUCUGGAGGGGUGGAAAACAAUUGAAAUACAGGGGAGGUUGGGAAGCGCACGCAAUGAGGGAGAGCGCGACCUAUGUGAACCAUCGAAUAUAGGCUCUGAUUUUGGUUGUGCUAAGGCCUAGGGCGGCGCAGGCUAGUCCGGGUUGGCAGAAAGGAAUACUUUUGACAUGACUAAUGUGUCGUAAUCGUAACGUGCCAAGUUGAGUUGGAAAGUCAAUGCGCGCGACAUUAGGAUUGUGGGCGCAUGCGAAGGCGGGCAAAGGCGGGCGAGCGAUACCCCCAAGAUUGCUAUUCAAUUUUGCGAACAGUCAAGACAAUUAAUUUACACAAUCAAUACUAAUCAAAGUUUGCUUAUAAAACCGAAGUUGGCCUGCCAGACUCUGGAAAACAUGGCGAGCCUACGUAAAAUGUUUUAAACGUUAGCGCGGAGUAUCGAGCAGUCCUUUUGUGUCGUUAGAUAUAUCAUUUCAAACCCUAUACGAAAUAAGAUAUCACAGCAUCGUUCCUUCUACGAAGCACGUAGACGCUGCUGAAUUGCGCAUCGCUGCCAGGGCACCAAUAGUCUGGCAGUCCCACACAUCUGUCCGGUCGGCAAUCACUGUUGCCGGUCUCGUAGCUUCUUGUGUUGAAAGAACAUUAAUCCAAUCGCCUCCGCAAUAGGUUGGUUUUACUCCAUCAGUGACCUCGUCGUCGCCUGCCUAACCCAGCCACAGCGUUUCUUUCCAAAGCUCGACAUGACACCACCAUCAAGGUAAGAAAACUAGAACCUAAAAAUUGGAUCACUUUAUUGAAACAAAUGAUAUUUGGGUUUUCCCCCCUUAAAAUAACUUGCGCGCUAGCACAAGAAUUUCCCAUCUAUACUCGCGUAAAUCCGUCGCGGCGGUGUACGGUCUAAGCGGCCUUAACACGUUUAAGUUGGCACGCAAAAGAUGCCACCGAAAAGGCGUGCAAGGAUCCCGAUCUUGGUCCGCUAAGAAGCCGAAGCGGCAUUCUGUACAAAGUCACGUUGAUUCAUUCGCCUUUUAGUUAGUCUAAUGGGACCAAACAGCGCUUAUCACAGACCUCUAACAAGGAUUUCCAUGACGGCCCCCCGCGAGAUGAUGCCCUCGUCCGCGAGCUCACGUGUGCGCGGCCCCUGGGGCAAUCAUGACCCGAGCCCGCAACCCUAAAAGGACCCGCCGCGAUACGUUCCAGUGCUUAAUUAAGGAAUAAAUGCCUAUUAAUUGGAAAAUUUGGUGUUGGUCUUCGGCCCUCUUUGGUGAAAAGGAGCGAAUUCACGUCCGGCCACACAAACAAGAGUCGGCCACAAAGUCUGCGUCCUGCCAAAAAGCCGGAAGAGCUGAGACGCGACGGGUUGAGCUGGACAGUCCUUGAAACGCUCCUACCAGAAGUAAGCGAUAGAGGUCUUUCAAGGACUAUCCUUACGAGCAAAUCCUGACAAGGCCGCGCACGGCGGAGGGCCGUGCGCUAUACUAAAAGGUUCGCAACGCAAGAACCACCUGAGGUCUAUGACCCGGCUUCGCAUGAAAAGCUGGUCAUUUAUGGGAUUUAUGGGGAAUUCUAUUUUGGGGACUUGAGCAAACACCCCGCAACUCACAGCUAAGGAAUACCGUACUGCCACAAUACGUUGGUCUUCAGUUUUUCCCAAACGCCUGUGAAAAGGUACCUGGAAAUCCUAUUUGGUGCCAUGCAAUUUUGGUAAGGAUUAAGAUAAGGUAUUGCAGUUGUGAUACAGAUUUCGUGGCGCUCCAGGGAACCUCCGCCCGUGUCUCUGCGCGCAACGACCCGCCGUUUGUUCAGCACUGUUACCGAGCGAGCAAAGCAACGACGCGCGACCGUAAAAGAACAUCAUAGAAUUUCUUAAAGAGCUGUAGCUACAACUAUAUAACCGUGUGCAUGUUGGUGUGCACCCACGUAAUUUGGUGUCAAGCAAAUUUCCAGGCAUGCCUUAGGGCUUUUUUCCACUGGCGCAGCUUUGGUGACCUCCCACCACUUGGGUCGCGCCAAUACAUCGUGGCGGUACGGUAGUUUAUCAGCAGCCUGACAUGAAACUCAUUCCUCGGUUUGGAGUAAAACUCUGAUCCCCCUAAGAACCCCUUACCCCUUAAAAACGCGGAGGGCGCUGCGGCCGAGCUGUUGCACAAAAUUACAAACCGCACUACGCCGGGUCCCAAUCCAUUUGGCCCCGGGGAAUUUCAUUUCCCGUCCUAACCCAGAUCCCAGAUCAAGACAAACUAUGUCCCCCAAAGCCUCCUCCCUCCCCCUCUCCUCUCCCUUCCUCUCCCUCCCUUCUCUCCUCCCCUUCUGUCCCCUCCCCUCUCCUCGAAGCGCCGAAACCGCCGGACCUUCCCUGCCCCUAGCAAUCCGUCAGGAGCCAGGAGCCGGGAACAAACCCUCCUGAGGGGCCCCACAUCGCACACAAGGGAGAUACCUCCUGCUCACCCGUCCACGCCCGCUCACCCGCCCCCUUACCCGCCCCCUUACCUAUACGUGACGAGGUAGCGGUACUCCGGCUCGGGGAAGCGCUGGACUGCGUGGGCCAGUUCCGAGGGCCCUGCACAAGCGGACUCCACUGACGCCCCCAGGACCAGGCGGUUCUGGUUGUGACGGCCCCACGGCAGCAGCGGCUCGUUGUGGUUGGCCUCCGCCACGCCGGGGAUGAAGCCGUCAGACAGGUAGCGCUGCGUCGCGUACGCCAGGCGAGCGCGGUUCAUGUACGGCAGCUCAACGCUGUCUACUUCCUUUCGGGAGGACAGCAAAUACCCUGGCGAGGGAAGGAGCGCGGGGGAAUGAGGGGGUUUUAGGUGCGGUAUGUGUGUGUGUGUGCGCGCGCGCCUGCCAACACCGCUGCUGCACACCUCAACUGCUUUAUAGCUUUUAACACCUAUAUCCCCACCACAACCACUACACAUAUACACACAUGCGCACACAGCGCGACCGUCCCCGCCCCUCCCCUCCCUUUCCCCCCCCACCUCACACCCCGGCACCCUCCCCCCCUUUCCUUCAACCCACCUAAGCCACCACACCCUCCCCGCCCUUCAGCCCCUCAUCCAUCCUACCCCACCUGCCGACAGCACGCAGAACGUGGGCAUACGCGGCAGCUUCAUCCUGGACAGCGCAAUACCCGCCACCGUGCCGAGGAUGUCAGCCAGGUUGGCCACAGACUCCCCCUUAGCGGUGAUGUCGGCCAGGUUGUUCUGCAGCGCGAAGGUGCGGUAGAUGGGUGCACGGGUGGAGGAGGCUGCCACGGCAGCCAGGUUCUUGGACAGAUUUGCCGUACAGGCCAGGGGCAGGAAGGCGGGGGGGGCGUAUACGGUGGCGAGCUCCAACGCCGCACCCGCCUCCAUCAGCAGGUCGCCUGAUUGGAUGGGGGGAAGGGGAGGGGAAGGGGAAGGGGACGGCGGUCAACAGGGUAGGGGUGGGGGGAAACGUACCAGGUGGUGCUGCUGCUCCUGCUGGGUGUGGGGCUAGGGGGUAAAGGGAAGGGGGCGAGUGGGGGUGGGAGGGCACUGGUCGCCAGGGCGGGUGGGUAAGUGUGUGGGUAAGACACGCCGCCCAAGAAGUCGCCGGACAGGUAGGGGACGUUUCUUGGCGGCAGAAGGACUGCCCCGCCGCCACCUUGGUUCCGGGGCAACCAUCACACUACUCUAUCAGAGUUGAGCGUAUUCUCAGGCGUGCAGGUCCACCAUACCCGCCCUUGGCCAUGGCUGGCAAGUCAAAACCCAAACCCAGCUGGGGCCGCAUCCUGACGGGGGUAAACGCCCCCAAGAGCCACUUGCUAGCCUAGGCCCCUGACCCCCGCUGGUAGGCGGGCCCCCGGGCCCCGGCGGUGGGAACCAGUGCAUGGUGCAGGCCGAAGCUGGGCGACCAUCCGGCGGCCCAGGCUAUAGUCCAUUGACCCCGCCUAGCGGCCCCCUGCGUUAGGGCCCCCUGCGCACACACACACACCUCGGAGCUCAGACAGGGGCUGGAUAGCGCCGUGCCCUCUCCCUCUGCCCCCCGACGGGAGGACGGGCGGAGAAUGCGCAAGGCCGGUACGGAGCCCGCACAGCUAUGGGUCCGCACCUGGCCCUCAGCGCUCCUCAGCACCUCCCCGCCCCUCCCCACCUCCCGCCCCAGCUUCCCCAUCAACAACAACCGCGAUUAGGCCCUGAGGGCAGUGAGAACCUCCCGCAGCGCCCCGCGGCCGUCCCGCCUCAGCGCACGACCGCAAGGCAGCAACCUCUCCCCCGUGAAUCCCCCCGUCCCUCCUCAAACCCGCCCCCCACACCCCAGCCCCUCCCCCAGGGGUGAAGCAACCCACUCUCCCCUCCACGCGCCCUUCUCUCCAGCUCCCAGCUGGCUGCGGCUGCCAGAUGCCCCCUCCCAAGCCCAGCACUCCCUAUCGCCCUACCCAGGAUAGAUUGCACCCUCCUCCUCCUCCUCCUCCUCCCCCUUACACACACAUGACCACCACCACCUCCUCACUAGCAACCCAGUCCCCAUGGCAAUGAGCCUCCAGCCCUUUCGUAACCCACUACCCCACGUGGAGCUCAGAGGGGCAGCUCUGAUGGCCUUCCCCGGCACAUACACACACACCCCUACCCCGCUUUGGCUCGGCCCCUUCUCUUCCCCCCACCCCAUUCCCCUCCCUCCCUACGGCUCAGCAAGUUAGCUAACAUGGCACACACACAUACAUACACACAUACAUACACACACAGAUGUAUGUAUGUAUGUAUGUAAACCCACCCGCCAGCCUGAACUGCUUUAGUUCGCAGUCCAGCUCGCGGCCCCAGCGGGCGAAGAGCAGUCGGCCCAGGCGACCCGCACCGUCCUUGAUCACCCAGUUGAUGGCCGCAGCCGCCUCGCCCUGGAAGCGGCCCGCGACGCCGAGCGCCCCAAGCAGGGAUUGCGUCGUAAACACGCUGAUGGCGCCACCGAAGAAGUACUGCACGCCGCGCCAGGCCAUGUACGGUGCGUACUGGGGACCUACGCUGUCCGGAAAGCCGUUUGGCAGCAAGUAGGCGUGGAUGAGGGCGCGGAAGUGGUCCUCGUGUGUUUGGCGCUCGUCCACGAUGUCGAAACCCUCCCGGGAGCCGGCGUGCUGGGAUGCGGGGAAAGAGGACGAGGUGGAGGGGUUGAAGUCGCCGCGAGCUAGGUAGACGCGACGGCGGCGGCCCGAGCAUGACUCUACUGCAAUGCUGCCCAGGUCGUCGACUUGGCCUUGCUCGGCCAGCACGUGUCGAUUGGAGGUGCCCCUGUGUGGCGUUAGGCCCAGUUUCUUCCACGGCGGAAACCUAGGUCGGUGGUCUACGGGUUGUCCGUCGCUUUCGUGCGGGGAUUGCAGUGGCGUCAUGUGACAGGAGUUGGGAGGCAGCUGGCGUUUCGGUGCUUCAACCGGAAUGCGCUCCACAUUGUGUCCACCCAAGGCGUCGGUGAACGCAAUACUGAUUGGCGCGCUGAUGACCGCUAACGGCGGAGAGGAGGUCCCUGAAGGCUGCCAGCCAAAAGACAGGCUGGGCUGGUAACCAGUUUCUUUGUCGGGGGCGCCGCCCGGCAACGGCAACGACACAGAUGCGAAGGUCAUGAUUUAAACUACCAUGUUUAAUCAAAGGUUUGGCUUAUGGAAUCAUGUGCCCUUUGGAAUUGCAUCCUCAGUUUGUGUAAACGCUUGCAAUUGGCCGCCAACCAGCAGGCCUUGAAUUGGGUCAGAUGGGACGGAAUGCAUCAUUCAAUGUUUCAUUAGUGCAUUUCGCUGUAUGCCCGCAAUUGGUCAACGCUCGACGGUCCCGAACGGCUGUACCGUAUCGUCACAGGUACGGAAGCAGAAUGACUUGCUUGGGUGCUUUGUGCGUUCGAUCGCCCACAAAUGCAACGUUAUUGCAACAUCUUAACAUGGCAUCCGAGUCCAAUUAUGAGGUUCGCAAACUACAAGCCUCCGAUUUCGAUAAAGGUACAUACGCACAGCGCAAUUGCUUUGGUAAAACUUGGCCCCGGAAGCAGAGCUUGUCGAUCUUUCUUCAGGGUUCUUGGAGCUCCUUGCACACUUAACGACUGUUGGUGAGGUUACCCGGGAAGCCUUUGAAGGUACGUGUCUUCCGACAGGUGUGCCUGUGGGUUCCAUCCCUGCAUCAAUAGAUUUCAUGUCUGCAAGAUCUAGCUUCCAUGCCAGGAAAUAUUGCACGCGCACGUGUGUAAACAACAUUCCUGCCUGUGUGGUAAAAACUCCAUUAAAAUCCCGGGCACCACUCCCAUCUCCCAAAGCUCUGUACCGAAUCCUCGGCGCCAAGCUCUGCAACCUCCCGCAGAACAAGUCACACAACGAAACUCCGCGGGGAACUACUAUACACUUGUGAUUGAAGGUAAGCGGUGCAGCGGCAUAUGCCGCCCUACAAUUAACCACUUUGAAGCACUGAAGCACUGACGAGGCAAGGACCAGCCUUCCAGCAUAGGGCCUGCCUGAACAAGUUUUAAAACCCCCCGAAAAAGACUCGCCCACCCGUUCCCCCGACUUCACCCGACCCCCCGCUCAGCCGCGGGCAGGGUUCCAUGGGUGCCAUAAGCAGACAGCCGCUGUUGAUGUGCCGCGUGCCGUCAGAGUCACACACCCAUACGCCCAUAUGCCCUUGGAGUGUCGAGGGGGGGGACACACGCUAUCUGGCCACAUCAUGGCGGCAGCUGUGAACGCCCGAAUAUACUACUGCACUGUGCCCCGUGCCGUACGCCGUACGCCGUACAAACCCCGGCUUCCACACGUUGUAUUGCUUUUCCAUGGCACGGGAGCAGCGGUCCAGUGCUCUUGCACGGGAGUCCAGUUGGAUCCAACUUGAAUCAGCACAAAGCCCACUAAUCAACCAAAAGUGCGACUGUAAAAGCUGUGGCAGCGCUCAGAGCAGUGGUUCAAGGUGGACCCCAGUGCAGGUCCCGGCUCCCCUGAGAGCGGCUCCCUCAGGCCCACCCACCCCCCUGGCCCCGCCCCGCACGGCCCGGUCCUGCACCCCUCCACUCCACCACUGCCAGAUGGAGGGCGCGUUAUCGCAACUGCGGCCAUGAUUGUGGAGAUCAAGUUCAUUCACAACUGCGGCAAGGUGCGUAUGUAUGUGUGUAAAUGCAUGUGUGCAAGUUUAUGUGUGUGUGUGGAUGGGGAUUGGAGAGAGGCGAUAACGGAGGGGAUCAUUUAUAAGAAGUGAAGCCCUAAACCCUGACACUGAGGUUAAUGGGAGGGUGGAGGCUGGGGAAGUGAAGUGGAGAGGGAGGGGACCCCGCAUGGGAACCUGUCAGGGCGCACGACAGGGGACGACAUCACCGGUGCCGGCUUGCUUGGAAAGCCCCGGGCCGCUGCCUGAAUAUCCCACCCGGUAACAUGUGCUGCUGCUGGUAGUUGGUAGUUGGUACUGCUGGUAGUUGGUAGUUGGUACUGCUGCACCCACCCAGACUCCCCCGUCCCCGCCUGGCCCCCUGUCCUCUCAACCGGCAAGGCGUCGUGUGGGGCGCAGUGCAUUGCAGAUUGCACCCGCCAGACCGUCCCUUCAAUGUGCAACAGUGUGUACACACUCCUCCUCCUCCUUUCCUCUCCCGCCUCCCCCUCCUCGUGGUGUGGUUUGACCGGGCAGGUGGGCCACAUCGAGGAUGUGGUGGUGGACCCCGCGUAUCGCGGAAAGAAGCUCGGGCUCAAGUGGGUCAUCACAACAUCUGGGGGAGGGGAGGGGGAAGGGGUGGGGGAGGAUCAUAUGCUGAGAGGAUACCAGAAGUGAACUGCCGGAAUGCGUCCAGAGUCCGGUACUGGCCCCGUGGGUCCCCGUGAGCAGUGAUGAAGUCAUCGGCCCGUGUUUCUGGAAGUAAAGCCCAUUACGUUUCCGACAUUUAUUUUUGGUGUAGGGGAAAUGUGAGGGGAUCUGGGCCGCGCUGCGGGCGGGGAAGAUGGAGGAGGUCGAAAAGACCUCUUACAGGCGAAUAGAUGCUCCGCACGUGUGUUGAGGCCCCAAGGUGGUGACCAUUCAGCGGCCCAGGAGAAUCUCUUUCCGGUGGAUCUGGAUCUGGAUCUGGAUUUAGAGGUGGUGUUGAUGGAAAUGACGAUCUUCACGAUGUUGUUGUUGUUGGUGGUGGUGGAGGUGUCUGUUGUGAGAGCAGCACUGGCUGUUUAGAGAGGUACAGCUGGAGGUGCACCUGGGGAGCUGGCUGCCGACCUGGAGCGGGGGAUCCUGGCGCGUGCGUGCGCGCGUGGAGGACGUGGCGGGACCGGGGUUGCUCCGGGGGGUGAUGUAACUCCCAGCCGCCAAGUGAAAAAUGGAAAGACAAUUGACCCCAGGUGGGCUUUAAACACCACGAACACUCUUCGUUGCGUACCUGCUUACAUGCCCAUGUAGGGGUGCCGCCUCCCGCCAAUCUUUCUGCCUUUCCUGUCCGCCUUCCCUCCCCUCCUUCCCCCUUGCAGCUCAUUUGCCUCGUCUUGCUCUCCCCCUUGGGAUGAUGGAGUGUUUCCCCCCUCCCCCCUCCCCCUCCCCCCGCUGGCCCACUCGGCCUAGUGCAGGCUGAUCAGUGCACUGGUGGACACGGCUCGUGAGGCGGGGUGUUACAAGACCAUUCUGGACUGCAGCGAGGACAACGCGCCCUUCUACGAGAAGUGCGGUCUGACGCGGAAGGGGGUACAGAUGGUGGGUGCAAGGGGACAGGAAGGGGAGGAAGUGGUGGAGGAAGUGGCUGACAAAGGGGCGGGAUGAGGGGGGCCCAUUAGGGGGGCGGACAAACGCGCACGGCAUGCGGGAGGGAGGGCGUGGGGGAGGGCGUGCGGGAGGGCGUGCGGGAGGGCGUGCGGGAGGCGGGGUGAACACACAUGAUGCCUGUCUUUGGUGUCCGCUCAGGGGGAAGGAGAGAUCUCAGGCUGAUAGCGGCUAAUCCUUUUGAGCGACCUCUAGUUGCGUGUUUUCUUUCAGCUAAAGGGUUGAACCCUUUCCUGCGAGCUGCUUAGGCCCUAAGACAUCAGCUGGAACAGGUGAGCCGGGUGCGGUGCAGCCGCCUGUCCGUCGGCCCCCCGCUGACCUAGGGCGCCGAAACCUCCUUCGCCAUCAUCAUCGCCAUCAGUGCCCUCAUCAUGCUGCUUGCUCCCUGAUGUGAUGGCCGCAGGCCAAAUACCUGGACCAGUGACCAGCGAUCGAUGACCCCGCAGGCAGCACUGCGCGUAUAGACCCUUUUAGAUCUAUGGUAUGCAAAAGUUACAAGUUCCGCACAAGCACUUGUGCGGGGGUGUCCGUAAAAGCCAUGGGGGAGGGGCCGUGGACGGUAAAGUGUUUUUAGUGCGGUUACGCGGUGGACCAUCGUCGUCCUCCCUCGUCCGUCCACCGUCCCGGUAUGUAGAGCACUGCAGAGCGGCGGCGGAGGGAGCCAGGGAGUCGGGCCGUCGGAAUGUCAGAACGGAGGCAGUCAUCCCCGACAGGGCUGCGGUACAGAGCACUGCCCCUGUCAGCCCAGACGUAUGUGAGCACCCGGGGGUCCCCAGCUGCUCCAGGCGACAUGGGGUGUCAGGACACAGCGUCCCGGAUGCGGUCAUGUGGGAACUGCCAUGGGAGUGGAAGUGGAAGAGGGGGGAGUUGUGGGGCGGGUGCGGGGGCGGACGGUUGGUGGUUGCAUCCGCGGGCUUUGCUGCUGCAUAUCCGGAUUGGACUGGACCGAAGCUAGCUAACGCUCGGGGGUUUUGGGGUGGGACGGCUUGCUAUUAAGGUUGCGGACAGGAUGGGCGAGGGAGCUGCUUGCCUGCUACUGCCACUGCUGCUACUGCUUCCCAGGUCCAUAGUAUGGAGUUCAGAGCACUUAGGUGGCAUUGCAUGAAGGGCUGCAUGGUACUCCACUAUGGAGCUGGGUAUUAUGCGGUGAUCUUGUAUUCAGAGACUUAUCAGAAGUAAAGAGGAGUAGCGUAGUUGAUUGCUUGGCUGAUGUGUGCCGGUUCUGCCAGCGAAAAAACAGCUGUUUCCCGGCAGAGUGACUGUAACGGCAGGGAGCCCCAAGGAGUGGAUGCUCUUAGGAGGAACGAUAUGUGUCCAGGUCGCUACGGGGACCCGGCAAACCCGGCAUGUGCACAAGACCGUGGGAACGGAGAAGGGUGCCAUGGCUAAAGUUAUAUCCGUGGGCUUCAGCCCCGGAGAGGCUAAGGCUUGAUGGGCGAGGUUUUUUCGUUCCUUGAAACGGGUUGAAACAGGCGCCCAGCUUGCCACACGCGCGCCCGUAUUCAUGGGAUGUGCCAUUUAUUGGACAUACUGUUAACGGGGUCUGGGUUUUAAAGGCCAUUACCGCGGGGCUUGAUCUGGCCAUGACAACGUUAGAACCGGACGGUUUCUUUCUGAAGACCCAUGGACCGUCAACUGGCGUAGAACCUCAAGUCAAUGGCUUUCGAAUGGCAUGACAAAGAAUAUAGGUAUUAAGUCGUGAGUAAUAUGAAAGGUCUGGAGCAGGGCAGCGUGUAAGCCAGGAUGCUAAGCGCCUUGUCUUGUCUGAGGAGCAGCUCAGAAGCAGGAUGAAAGCAGCUGGAAGUUAAACUAUUAAUAUACAGCAAUGAAAUGUACCGGGGGGUCAUGCAACACCAAAGAUGGGCCCUUGGGGUUCAGAAUACAGAAACUCGUCGUCGGCGCCAACACUCUUGAGAUGAGAGCUCAACGUUUUUUCCAAAUUACUAUCUAUUUGCAAUUGCGUUCUUAUAAAGCUGUGCAGGUUACGAGUGGUCUACAGCUGCAGGCUUCCGUACGGCAAACUUGUUUUGUGUUUGAGAGUAGCAAUGAACUGCGUUGUAUAGCAAUUUCACACAGUGAGACGAAGCGUGCUAACGAGCUGCUGCUUCAGGCCUAACACGUGAAAGAGAGGAAGUCCUCAGUCUAGGUCGCCGAAGGGAAGGAGCAGACCUGUAGGCCCGCAGGGCCAGCGCGGCGCCCAUCUUGGACGCCUGCUGUAGCCAAGAUGAAUCCUGAGUAGUAGGUCCAGCUGGGACUUUGUUGAUCCUUUUGACAAGAAUUUCUAACACGAUCCCUCCCUCCGACCCUUCUCAACGCUCAACCACAGCGAUUACCUGUUCAAGGUGAAAUGGCACUUUAGCAAUGUACCUUUCUCCUCUUCCAUAGCUAGCUGUCUUACAGGCUAUUCAUUAUCUGCGCGCAGCUUCUGCUCAUCGGCGACUCCGGCGUGGGCAAGUCCUGCCUGCUUCUGCGGUUCGCGGUAAGCCUUUCAUUGCAAUUAGACUGCGCAUAACGUAUCUCGAGCUUAUUUGGCGUUGAGAACUUCUCUUCUUCACAGGAUGACACCUACACCGAGAGCUAUAUCAGUACCAUCGGUGUGGACUUUGUAAGUUCCGAACGCAGUGUAGCUUGCUAGUCACCGCCUCCCAGGCGUUGAUUCUUUGCUUGGGUUUGCAGAAAAUCCGCACUGUGGAGCUGGAUGGAAAAGUGAUCAAGCUGCAAAUUGUGAGUAACGUGGCGCGAAGCUGUCCGAUUCUAUCCUUCUUUUGUACAAUGGGUUGUGUGAGGCCUACCUCGUUGCACUGACCUAUGUGCGCAGUGGGAUACGGCUGGGCAGGAGCGCUUCCGGACUAUUACCAGCAGCUACUACCGUGGCGCGCAUGGCAUCAUCGUGAGUGGGGGCUCUCGACAACCCUUCUGCUACAGUGUCGUUUGGGUAUGGCGAUGCACAUACCAAGGGUGGGGCUACUUUUGUAGGUUGUGUACGACGUAACUGACCAGGAGAGCUUCAACAACGUGAAGCAGUGGCUGGCAGAGAUUGAUAGGUACGCGAGCGAGAAUGUCAACAAGUUGCUCGUGGGCAACAAGAGCGACCUCACAGGAAAAAAGGUCGUCGACUACCAGGCAGCCAAGGUAAGGGUGACCUAAGUCAUGCUCUGCGCCACGCCGCGUUACCCUCUUUCUAUGAAGAAUGGUAUGCGUGUGGUGUGUUUUUGCUGUUGGCAGGCCUUUGCCGACGAGAUCGGCAUCCCGUUCCUCGAAACUUCCGCCAAGAACGCAACGAACGUAGAGCAGGCUUUCAUGACAAUGGCGGCGGAGAUCAAGAACAGGUGGGGUACAGCUGUUGCGGGGUGGCAGGCUGUAACAUCUCGAACAAAACGGUAGAAAGUUUAUGUUUGGGGUGUUCAUUGUUUUGCAUAACUCAUGUGAUUGAACUUCCUGUGUUCGUUGUGGCAUUUGCAUAUUGUAGCAACACCACAUAUGCGGCAAUGGAAGCGAAUUUGAAGGUGAUGGCACAUCGAGUUUUGGGGAACUCGUGUCGUCAUAGCUAUGGGAUAUUACACAUGGUUCUCUGUAUUGAAGUACAGUUCAGGACAUCUGGUGCACACAUACAUACACUCUCGGCUGCUAUUGCGACUGCUGCAACCCUUUGCCUCGACGUCACAGGAUGGCCAGCCAGCCCGUUCCACCCAAGCCCGGCGGCCCCGUCGUUCGGCCCACGGAGGGCAAGCCAAUUAACAAUAAGUCGUCCUCUUGCUGCUGAGGAUCGGUUUGGGGCUUUGCCGUGAGGCGGUGAGCGGAGAAGUGUGUGAUGGGAGUGGUGUCUGGACCUAGGGAUCUGGGCGGGGGCGGUAAGGGGUGACUCGGUAAGCGAAGAUGGUUGACUGGACAUAAUCUGACAGCACAUUAGAUGCAGAAAGACGUUAUGAGGUUUACGUUAGCGGGAACAGGCAGAUUUAAACCUGCAUGCAUGGUAAGACUCUGUAACUCCGCUGUGACUCGUCGGCGGUCCGCCAAGUACAUUUGGAAGGGUUGGUUGCCCUGUGUAUACUAUCGCGGCGCUGGCGUUCGUUUACCGUAGCUUUGGAGUCGACGGCCAGAUCCCCAAUGAGUACGAGGCUUUCUCGUGAGGGCGGAAUAUUCUUCUGUUGUGGCGCGUAGUAUGUCGCCCCUAUUGGUUAGCGUUGGUUUCGGAGUGUAGUUCCUGUCCUCCGUGUCAGGCCUAAUUACCUCUUGUCCCGGUCUGUUAAAAGGUGAAAAGGUUUUUACAUCCCACCCAUACGUAGUAGGAAUGCAAAUAGACCGCCCGGCCUUGGGACAAGCCGUCGAUAUUAACUGUCAAAACAUGCCACAGAAAAGCUAGAUGCUUACGUGCAGCUCCAGAAACCAGAUUUGCACGCCGCCUGCCCAGCACGGAAUUCAGCCCGAUGCGCCAGUAUCUUCAGGUAGCAAGGCUAGUGCCUCGCCGUCGACAAUGACCUGACAAAUGUCCUGCAGUUCUGCAACAGUCCUGAAUGUAACUCGGCGCCCGCUAAGCCUCUGAACGGUAACCGUUGCCUUCACUGAUUGCCCUACCUGCGGGGAAACGAUGUUUAAAGAUGCAGGUAAACCUAGCAACUUGCUUCCUGGCUUUCCACAUCUCACCAGAACUGGCGCUCGGAACCGCAACGUUUGUGUGGCAUACAGUGUACCUGGGAAUCUGCUGCCGAUGAUUGCGGGAAAUAAUGAGGCAACGAGUAUUCCGGGUAUCACUGGCGCACCGAAACCUGCACGGACCCAUCCGCCCAUAUCUUCUUUUUUUGGACUAAGUGGCACAAACACACCUCCUGGUUACCUGCUUUUUUCGCAUUAACUAAGUCAGUAUGGAUCGGGUUAGAGUCGCCCGUCAGCUGAACGAAGCUUUGUACCGCGGCUGCAUCGAAAGUCCUAACCUCCGAUGCACUCAGCCUGUAAAGGAAAUUAAGCACUUCAAAAUAAUUUAAAACCGAUCAAAGGGCCGCCGUCUGAGACACACCCGACGUGCAAUGUUCUUGCCCCAUAUGGUAUUUUGCAAUGUCGUGAGAUAGUAUUUAGGAUCAUCCUGUUAUUGACAUGUGCACGCGACGUGCGUGUAGUAAUCUUAAGAUUUGGAUGCAUGGUAUCAAUAACCAAGUCGGUCACUAGCCGUACAGGCACUAGCGGCACUUAAGUGCCUUACAGGGUGUUUCCACUUGGCCGAACACUAACAAUAAGUUUGAAUGUUUUUCGUCCUGGACUCGUCUCUCGCCGUUCUAAAUGCAUAUAUUGAUACUACUAAUGAUAGUAGAAAAUAUUCAUCAAACAAAUUGGAGGUUGGGGCACUCCUGGCGGAGAACCGUAAGGCCUAGUGGAAACACCCCGUACACUAAGUCCACACUAGCGCACACUAAAGUUAAUUGGACCUCAGACCUGCCAUUAACUUUAGUACCUAGCACUAACUAUUUGGCGGGCAACUUUUAUGAGCUGGAUUGUCCCUUCUGACCACAGACUUUAGACGUAAGCAGCUAUCUUUUUUCCUUCCUGCAAACGCCGCGUUGACUUGCGCACGCCCAACACCGACAGCCUCAGAACACCGCCAUUUUGCAAUGGAGCCCUCCUUCAAUAACGUUCAGCAAACAUAUACCGCUAGUUUGCCUUCCUUCGCUGGCCGGACGUUGCCAAUGCACCAUGCGGACUUCAUGGCGGACAUCAUGACGCAGGCUGCGCCGCAGCGGAUCCUACUACGCGAAUUCUUACAGACCUUGACAAUUAUCAGCAAUUAAUCCCUGGCGCUAAAACGUUCAAAAUACGAAAACAAUUUUGGUUUCGGCGCUCCUUAGUGCCGCUAGUGGAAACACCGUCCACACUAAGUCCACACUAGCACAUAGUGUACCGAAGAUAGUGUUCGGACAAGUGGAAACACCCUGUUACUUCCCGUACCGGUUACAAGCAAGUGACUACAUGCGGCCUUUGUGACACUGGAGUGGCCUUUGUGACAGCUCGCGAUAAAGCGAAACCAUAGCCUGGCUCCUCGCUCCUACCACUGACCACUCCUGCGUAUAUGUGCGCUGCUCCUGCACCAUAGGGUUCGCCAUUGCGCUCUCGAAAUUCACACCAAGAAAAUCAGAUCCCCAAACUUGCGCCCCAUACGAAAACACCGGCACAACGAGCGCGUUAUAGAGGGACAAGCACAGCUUAAGGGUACAAAUUUUCUUAUCUCGACACAGGGCACUGAGGCCAAACGUGGCCCGUUUCCCAGCUGCUAGUAGUUGUUUGGUGCAGGCUGAGAGCUGCGUGCCUGGGCCGUAAUGUAGCCCGAGUUAUUGUGCCGUCUCGUUACCCGUCAGUACCCUCAAACACGCCCCACAUAACCGGUACUCGGCUUCCACAAGGCUGCUCCCGUGCUGUGCCCCAAAAAAUGAGGACUUCACACUUGGCUGCGUUGGCGCCCAUUCCCGUCGCCUUGCAAUAGGCCUCAAGGAGUCCGAGUAAGCUUACACCCUGCUCACGGAGGAUGUUCCAUCGGUCAGGAAGGCGCACACGGCAGUCGGUAUCGUGGGCCUGGAUGUAGUGAACGAACACCUCAAUGAAUAAUCCGAAAAGGGUGACACUAAGGGGGCACCCUUGCUUUAUGCCCCGCCCCACGGAGAAUUCAGGCCCCAUCUGACUACCCAACUUGACUCGAACUUUUACGUCUGCGUAGCUGGUCUUUUAAGUGGAGGUUUUGCUCGUCACAUGGGUUUGGCGAUUCACCCGUCGGACAAUGUACAUCCCAACCUAACGGUCACUUUGGGUGAUGGUGGGACUGCGACUUCGGUAGGGUUUGCCGAGGUACCUAUUCGCUUGGACAUCAUACAACCCAUCAGCUUGACCACACACACAUAUACAUACACUCGGGGGGGCGGCUGGCAGGCGGCUGGCAGAGGUUAAGGCCUGACUUCUGCUCCCGGCCGACCCGGGUUCAAAUCCGCCAGCCGGCUCCUCGGGUGUUUGAGGAGUGUCGAAAUGGGAGGUGGCCCCCCAUCUUAUGGAUGGUGUAGGACGUGAUAAAAUCAACUUGCGAGCUGACCAGGAACAAAGUUGAUGCGCCGUUGAUCCGCUAGAUUUGGUUGGAUGCUGGUGGUGAGUUGCCGAACCCAACGAAUACAUUCUGAAGUCGGAUGGGGUGACGGAUUAGGGUGCCCCUCUAGCAGGGGAGAGCAGGGACUGCCUCGGGAAAGGGGGCCGCUGGCGAAGUUAACCACCCUGUAACAACAUACAUACACUCUCUUGCACUUGGAUGUGUCGGACCGUCUGUCUUGCAGCCACUCUGUGGACCACUAUCAGGCUACCGCAGCUCGGUCGCCAUCAUGAAGGCAGCUGCUGUUUUCAUUUUGUUACUUGGUGUUGGGAUGACAGCGCUGUGAUUGAGCUGACCUUGAACUUGUUGGAGCAAGGGAUGGAUGGCAACAAGUGAUAGGGAACGGAAAUGUGGCGGGUUGGGCUAACGGGCGAGGGUGAACGGGAUGGAUAUAGGGUGGUAGGGAGCUGGGCGGGGCGCGAUCUCACUGCUCACAGCAGUGCUGGGUGACGAUGACGGUGCUGGUGACAGCGAGGGUGAGGGCGCCACGCUCGUUAGCAUCCUUGUCAUUGUGUAGGUGGUUGACGAUGACCUCGAAAGAAGUAGCAACGGAUGGGUACAUGCAGGUCAAGAAAAAGAGGAAGUCAGGUGUGGAGGGGGUUCCGCAACGUCGAUGUCGAUGUCGGGUACUUCAAAAGCUCGGCCCCAGGUCACCGAGGAUGGUAUUUCAGAGGACGGCGAGGCCAAUUGAUUGGCGCUGGGGCUGCAGGGAUAGUCGAUGAGCAUUGGAAUGGCUCCAGUUCAGAUAGCGACAUGCUUUGACGCCGGUACUUCUACUUGGGAAGGUGCGUGGGUCGCCUAGGGUAUCCAGGCACUCCCACCGGGCGUCGAGCGGCCUAGCAAACUCUUUAAGUAUGCUUCCCACUGGCAACCUAACGGUGGCAUAAUGCGCUAUGAGGUCGUCACCACGCAGACCGGCUGGGGGCUCAGCUCCCAAACUCCUUAGGAAAGCUAGGACCUUGCUCCUCGUCCCGCACUCAGCAACACCCCCCCCAGCCAGCUCAAGGUCGGCAAUGAAGGCCCGGUGGCGCAGUGUCCCCGGCCUCCUGACAACUGAGUUCUGUUCGUUUGGUGCAGGCUGAGAACUGCGUGCCCGGGCCGUAAUGUAGACCGAGAUAUCGUGCCGUCGCGAGAUGUUACCAGUCAGUACCCUCAAACACCUGGCCUCUUGAUAGCAGAGUUCCAGAACCUUAGCCCCAUUGGAUUGGCCCCAUGGAACUGGAGCGGCAUUGACCCCAUGGAGAAGGAAAGCCCAAAAGGCAUCGCCAAGUAGCAGCGACAUACAGAUGAACCAGGUAUCCCGCAAUCCGAUUGUUGAGCAGCAGUUUAGUUUGUAUAGAAGCACACACACAGGAAAAUGCCGUAAGGGUCCGCCAUGCUGCCGUAUUGACCGGAACGGAGCCUCCUCUCGAAGUCUCAAACCCAACCAGUAAGGCCCACAGUGCUGUGCGCGGUUUGCGCUCGUCACGGUGCUGCACUUGAGCCGUUCGGGCUCCAGUGUAACUAAUGCUGCUCCAUGUGCUGACUCUGAGCGCCUUCCUUCCGCACAUCAUGAGGACCUGGGCCCUACGAGCCAACUUUGUCAUUGUCAUGUCGGCUGGAUGCGGCACGAGUACGGAAACGUUCGGAUCAACCCCCCAGCUCUGGAUCCUUGGUGGAAGCUGAAGCACUAGGGCGCAUGCACGGAUGCCAUUGGGGCAGCUCGAGAAAUCCGAGGGUGAUUCACGUGUUGUUCAAAUGGUAUCCAAACUGAACUUAAACUUGUCGAGCCCUAAAACCCUUCUCCCAUCUCCAAUACAAAGCCCUCCGGGUGCCCUGCCCGUCAGCUCCGACGCAUGUGUGCCCCAUGUGGCGCUGCCCCAGUGGAGGAAAGACCUGCACACAAACACACACGUACACACAGACACACGUACUCACACAAUUAGGACAGCGUCUCGGGCAGUAUCGCAAACCGUUGCCAUUGCGCCCUCAACCAACCAAUCAACGCCUCUCCAGGCAACAUACAACAGGCCGCAGGGAACAACUUCCGCCACCACCGCCAUCAUCGUCAGGCCAACAGACCCCCCCUUUACCGGCAGUGGGCCAGAUGCAGUAAGACGGUACAGGGUACAUUUACACACGACCCGACAUCGCUUCGCUUCGCUCCCGAAUUGCGUGAACUGGUGGACGGACGCUGUCAAAACACCCACGCACGCGCGAGCUGCGGUGGUGCGUCCUCACUCGCCUCUCACACAACGACAAAUUCUCCGCCACCUACACACCUACACAAAAAAUAUACAUACAUAUAUACAUACAGGAGUACAGCUGCGGUAGAGCGAUCCGAUGGGCAUUCGAGCGGCAGUCCCACACGCGUGCGUGGAAGGGGGAGGUAACGGAGCAUUCUGUGUGCCUGCUAAAAUGCUGUAGGCGCUAUAACACACAUACACACAGCUCCCGCCGGUGGCCCGUCCAUCCCCCGAGGGACGACCGAUCAGCCACCGCCCCCCUGCAGUGGCACAAUCCCUGACACGGAGCGGUGCCGGUGCCGGUGCGCCCCCGGCUAGGCUGAUGGAGUGGGCCAACCCCCGGUUUGAGGAGGAGAGGCGGCCGCAUCCCUACAGCGGCCCUACAGCGCCCCAUCACAAGCGCAUCGUGGCGCCGAACUAACACACUCUCAGUCAGUGGAGCAGCAGUACCCGGCGGCAACAAGAGGUCGCACAGUAGCUAGCACUCGCUCCCUCUCGUCCUCCCGUAGCGACACGGCCCCGGUUGAGUCUCUCGUCUCGACCCAGCCCGCCGCGUGCACCCCACCCCACCCCACCCUCCACUCCCCCACCGGUUCCCAGGGGGAAUCUCAGGGGACCCCAGGGAGGGGGGAGAGGCUAGCUCUCCGGCGUCAGUUGGCGGUUGGGAGUUGUGCGUUGCCUGUUCUGUCCUGGUUUGGCAGCUCACCCAACCGCCACCCCGGUGAGGCAAUACCUCCCGCCGCCACUUUGACAUGUAGGGUCGCACAUGCGACGGACCCGACCAGGCCCUCCAGGCACUAUUAGGUCCACUAUUGCCAAAUGCUGCUCUUAGGAAAAUCUGAAUGACAUGAAGAAAGAAUGCCGUACCAAUCCACUUCGAAUGUACGUGGCUGCCCGAAUCGGUUCCACCGUGGCCACCACCACCACCGCCACCACCACAGUGAUGACGGCGGUGAUGAUGAUGAUGAUGACGGCGGCGCACAGGAGUCCUGAAGCCAGCAAGCCAGCAGAAGCUGGCGCCCGUCCACAUCACGCAACAUCCGAAAUUCCAGUUCCUCCAAAUAAUAACCCUUGAUUCGAAAAUCUUCUCCUGUGCGUGUGUGUGUGUGUGUGUGCGUGUGUGUGCGUGUGUGUCUCCAUGGGGGUGAAAAGUAGGCGGGAGAAAGGGUGGGAGUGGGGGGUUAUUCCCGCCAUCGCCGCUUCGAGUAGUGGUGUCGGCAAUAUGCCCUGUACGGAACUCCACCACCACCACCACCACCACCACCACCAUCUCAGCCCAGCCCACCCCCUCACCCACCCGGCCUACAGGGACUGACCCCUCCCCGCAACCGCGCACAUCGCAUCGCCACACCGCACCCGCCACCACCCGCCGCCACCCUGGUUGCCGGGUGGACCCCCCGGGGGCUCCAACUGAGGGCCUUCCACGUCCCUUGCAACCCUUAUAACCUUCCCCUGAAGUGAAGGGCAGCGCAGGGCAGGGCAGUUCAGGGCCAGCUAGCGCCCGCCCGCCCUCCACUGCGCCUCGACGGUGAUGGAAACCUCCGAGCUCUAUCUUGAAGCCACCACGGCACUAACCCCCCCCCCUCCCCAAACGUGAGAUACCAUAGGAAUCCCCAACUAACUAACGAACUAACUAACUCCCCCAAAUACAAAACAGCAUUUUCCCCUUUCCUCGCAUCCAGCACGUUAACACAUACUACAGACGUACGUACAGCAUACGAGUCGAAAACACCUCCUACCCCCCCUCCCCUCCCCGCACAAUAUCCACCUUCCUCCCGACCGUACUAUCGGUCAGGAAACCGCCACCACUACCCCACACGCCCUGCAGACGAACCUCCUGCCACAUCGUACAUGCGGCCGUACCGUGCCGUACCGGCCACCUCACUGCAGGACUCAAGUGCUGUAGCUAUCACCACUUUACCAAUACUUCUAACACUACCAGAGCUGCUACUGCCCCGCCCCCGCCUGCAGCCGUCGCAUGUUCCAGUGCAGGCCCUCCCGCACGCCGCUGAACCAGUCUCGUGAUGCGUCCUUGGAGCACACCGUCGGUACCGGCCAGGCGCUCAUGCGAAUGACCACCGCGUCCCCGGCGUUGAGCGCCUGACGGUCCUUGCCGUCGAAUGAGCACCACAUCUGGGCGCGACUGUUGGCGGGGACCUGCGUUGUUGUUGUUGUUGUUGUUGUGGUGGUGGUGGUGGUGGUGGUGGGAUCGAUCAAUCGAUCGAUUGAUUGAAUGAUUGGUUGGGUGGCGGGGAGGGGAGGGGAGGGGAGGGGGUCUGUGAGGGCAAGGACGGGCUGUGAGGGCCGCAGGGCAUCUCCGGUCCCAGGAGGCGACGCGACAUGAGAUGGAUGGAUAUGUUGGAUAUGUUGGAUUUGAGAGGUCCAUCCAUUUGAGGGAUCAUCGAGUUGUCCUGCCAGCUGAUGUGUAUGUAUGUAUGUAUGUAUGUAUGUAUGUAUGUAUGUAUGUAUGUAUGUAUGUAUGUAUGUAUGUAUGUAUGUAUGUAUGUAUGUAUGUAUGCCUACAGAAACGCACCGCACCGCACCUAGCACCACCUACCCACAACAUGUCCCCCCCCACCUGGUAACACCCCCCCGGGCCCCCCAGCGGCACCCCCCCCGGCCCCCCCCCGCCCACCUGGACGCACAGCGACACGUGGUCAGGGAAGAUGAGGGGGCGGAAUGACAAGCUGUGCGGGCAGAUGGGGGUGAACAGGAUGCCGGGGACCUGAAGAGACGGGGGAACCCCGGGGGGGGGGGGGAGGGGAACGAGGAGGGCGGCGAGGAGGGAGGGGCAGUGGGGGAAUAUGUCACAUACAACAUGUCGCAGCAAUAUCUUCUCCGAGAGCGAACGGGCGAACGGCCGUGCCGACGUCCAUUCGUGCCAUUGAAUUACCGACUGAGCAGCUGAAGGAGCCAAUGUGUUGAGCAGCCGCCGCCGCCGCCGCCACCGCCGCCAUGUGACACGAGGACGCCCAGCGGCCCCUAUGUGGGCGGUACCACCGACCACCGAUAUGUUUUUGGCCCUGCCAUGCGCCUCUCCCGCAUGACAGCCGUCCCCUCAGCGCGUUGACGUCCAGCGCUGUGUCGAAGGGUGUUGCUGCUGCUGCUGCUGCUGUCGUAGACGUGUCGUACUACCGCUGUAGCGAAAAGGAGUUGUGUUGUUGUUACAGAGUGGGAGGCUUCCGGGCCAAUGGAACACAUUGAGGCUGUGUCGUACCCCUGGCCCCCGGCCCCCCGUCGUCUCGGACUGAAACCUGCCGCUACGUGGGCGCGAGGUGGUGUGCGAAGAGGCGCUCCCGCUACCCCAAGGCAACGUAAUACAGGCAGGUGCACAGCCCGGCCGAUGGCGGGGCGCGGACCGUCGAAAAAUCGUGAAGUCUUCUGGCCCCCCCACCCCACUCCCCUCCGCUUCAGGCUGUAAUCCCAACAUAUUACUCCGACUGCUGCUCGCCAAUUCCUCCUCCUCGCCUACCGCCGCCCCCGCCCGCUCCCCGGGAAAUCGCCAUCCCUAUACACACACGUACACACACCCUCCCCCCUCCCCCUCCCCCCUCGUUCGUCUUUCCCCCUCCCCCCCCCACACCUGCGGAUGGACCAUGGACCCGCCGGCCGCUAGAUUGUAGGCGGUGCUCCCCGUGGGGGUGGCCACGAUGAGGCCAUCACCCUGCGGGGGGGGGGGGGAAACAGUGCAGGGGGAGGGGGGAAGGUGUGAGUGUGUUUUACUAGAGCCGCUAGCAUAGAGGCUGCUGGGAAAGGGAAGUGACAAAGAAAGGGGUGUAUGUGCGUGUAUGCGUGCGUCUAUGUGGGGGGUGCUUGUGUGUGUGUGUGUAUGUGUUUUGGAGGGACGGGAGAGCGUGAGGAAGAAAGGUGAAUGUGUGUCUGUUCAGCACGUGUGGCCCCUUACCGCCUUAACCUUCCUCCCCCCCCCGUUCCCGUUCCCGCUCCCCCACCAUACCCCCGGAUGGAUUACUAGCGGAACCGCACCUUCAUCCAACCUUACCCUAUCCCCGCAUUUCCCCCCCAGCACACACACACACACAUACAUACACACGCACACCUGCACAUGCGUCACGAAGGUUCCAUCGCAGUAGCACUCCAGGUUGGUGAGGAAGGAGGAGAUGCCCCGGUCGAUAACCACCUCGUUCAGAACCACCCACUCGCGAGGGGCAACGGAACCAGCAGCAGCAGCAGCAGCAGGGGGAGGAGGCGGCAGGAGUGCCCCGACGGAGGGCCCCCCAGCACCCUCCUGGCACUGGCCCUGCCCAGGGGGGCCCCGUGCGCAGGCUGCUGCUGCUGCUGCUGGCCCCAGGCCGCCGCACUGCCCCACCUCAGCUGCCCGAACUAUGUGGCAGUGCAGCCGGUGUCGCAGCAUGAUGGGGAAGCCGCCUGCAGGGGCCCGAGUGGCAGGGGGAGGGUGAUUGCGGUGGGGGGGGGCGGAGGUUAAGGGAACAACAACUGCCGGCAACGCCCACAUACUUGCUAAGAGGGGGAAGGGGGGAUGCAGGAGCUUGCAGCGGGUUAGAGGCACGCGGCAGCGUGAGGGGCCCGCAGUAAGUGAGGGGGAAGAGGGAGUGAAGGGGGGGAGGGGGGGGAGGGAGUGAAGGGCGGGAGUACAAGGGGGGAGUGAAGGGGGUGAGGAAGAAAGGGGUGAGGGCAAAAGGGGCCGAUGAAUUUCCAGCCGCCGUGCCGCUGCAUCACGCGAGUGAAGGGGUGGGGGAAGGGAGGCGAGGGAUCUCGCCUCCCCNNNNNNNNNNNNNNNNNNNNNNNNNNNNNNNNNNNNNNNNNNNNNNNNNNCCCUCCCCCCCCCCCGUUCCAACCUGUCUCCCCCCUCACCCCCCCUCACCCUCCAUGACGUGAUGCAGCACCUCCUCCGCACUGCCCGGAUCGAAGGGGGUCAGGAAGCCCAGUGAGCCGAGGUUAAACGGCACCACGGGGGGAACGCUCUGGUUGCCAAAGAUGUGACACGUCCACAAAACCGUGCCGUCACCUGUGCCGUACAUGGUGGGAGGGAGCAGGCAGGAGAGUGUGGCGGUGGGGGUGGGGGUGGGGAGUGGAGCUAGAAAAGGUGGGGUAUGGAUGGAACCAGACGCCGUUGGCGGCGCAUUGGCUAGAGGGGGCUUUCCCCCGCCCCUCCCCCCCCCCGGGGGUUCAGGUGACCCGAAUCCCGUCAUGACCCCAUAGGGCCCCCGCUCGGGGGCUGAGAAGUCGCAAGGAGGGGAGGUGGUGCGCGAACUGGAGAACGACGAGGUGUGAGUGUGUGUGUGGGGGGGGGGUAAGGGGAGCCACAAGCCGGAGCUCUGCUGGCUAAUCCCCCGUCCGUCCCUAACCCCCCACUCAACCCCCCCCACACUCAUCCCCCACUCACCCCCCCACUCACCCCCCCCCCACUCACCCCCCCGCGAUACCCCCCCACUCACCCCCCCACUCAACCCCCCCCCACUCAUCCCCCCGCGAUACCCCACAAAAUGGACUCACCUCCCAGCACCACCACGAAGUCCACCGCCGCCGCCACAUCCCCGGGAACCACCUGGCUGUGGCAGUCAUCCCCCUCAUCAGCCGGCCAGCUCAGCAACAUGGGAACACCCGUGUAGCAGCCCGGCAUCAACACGCCCUCCUCCGCCUCCUCCGCCUCCGCCUCCUCUCCACCACCACCACCACCCUCCUCGAACAGCUCGCCCUCUCCUGCCUCCACCCACCCCUCCUCUCCCUCCUCCUCCUCCCCCUCCAUUACCCAACCCUCCCCCCCAACCACGCCUCCGCUCCUUCCGCUACUGCUGCUGCCAUCACCCCGCUCCUGCCCGCUACUGCUGCUGCUGCUUUCCGCGCCUGUGGCCGGCAGCGGCGCUCUGCGCCGCAUGUACGAACUCCCGCGCCGCUGAAGCACCGCCGGCGGCGGCGACGGUGGUUUGCAUGCGAGUCCCGGCCAGCCCCUCAGCAGGGACGGCUCCACGUAGGUCGCCACCCCCCGCUGGUGCAGCCAGGCCAGCACCCGCUCGAAGGUAGGUCGCACCCCCGGACUGGGCUUAGCCACCACCAGCACCGCGGAGGGCGGGGUCACCCAGUACAGCGCCACGAAGGCGGGCUCGGGGCUCAUGGCCUGACAGGUCCGGCAGGAGGGCUCGCUGGGGCCGCCGCCGAGGGGAGCAGCAGCGGUCGCCGCCUCCAGCGGGACGGCCGCCGCCGCCGCCUCCUCUGGCGCCGCUAGCGUCGGCGGCAGCGGAGGACGCAGCAACGUGUCGGUACUGCCGGGUAGCGGUUGCCCCGCCACUGCCACUAGAGGUGGUGAUGGUGGCGCUGUUGCUGGUUGUGAUGGUGGCGCUGCUGCUGCUGCUAAUGGCGUUGACGAGGGGGUACUGGGACAGCUGCGCACAGGUGGCGGCACACCCCGGCUUGGAGACGCGCUCACGUUUUCUACAUCGCCCCCUGACGUGGCCGGCAUGGGCAUGGAACAGGAUCCGAUCCGCGGCGGCAGGUGGUGGUCGGGCCCCGGGUGACCAGACCCAUCACCAGGCGCCGCCGCGCCCUCGUGCGCCGCAGGGGACCCCGCCGCCUCGGAGGUGACGACGCCAAACGGCGCCAGCGCCCCCGCCGCCGCGGCCGCCGGCUCGUGCGGGGGCAGCAGCGGCACCUCCCACCGCGCCAGCGGCGCCGCCGCGGCGGCGGCCGCCGCCGCCGCUGCGCUCAUCAUUCCCCCCCCCGCCCUCGGCGGCGACGCCACUGCCGCCGCGCCCGUGUGCCUUGGCGAGCCCGGCGCCAGAUUACACGUGGCCCUGUUACACCUAAUGAGGUUACUGGACUGCUGUAUGGAGGCCAAGUCGUCCUGCAGCUUGGUGCGCUGCUUGUGGAGGCUGCCGGCAUGCCAGGACAGCUCCUCGUGAAAGGAGCCGCCGCCGCCAGGCACCAUACCCCCACCCCCACCCCCCGCAGCUGCUCCGGGGCCCCCUGGUGCUGCCGCUGGCCCCGUCUCCCUCCGCGGCACCCCCGAGCCGGCAGACAUGCCCAUCAGGGCGGCUGAUAGCGGCGAGCGCGCGAAACCCACACUCUGGGUACGACCCACAUGGCUCGACCCGGAUCCGGAUCCAGAUCCGGGUACGGAAUUGAAUGUCGACGGUGGCUGUGUGACGGAACCGAAUGUCGCGGAACCCGGCGGCGGCGGCGGCGGCGGCGGAGCGCUGGCCGUUUGCUGCUGCUGCUGCUGCGGCGGCGGCGGGGCCGGUGGUGGUAGCGGAUGGUGAGAUGGUGGUUGCAACGGGGAGGAGGCUUCGUGGAGGGUGGUGGUGGUGGUGGUGGUGGUAGCCCCCCGGGGGCCCUGCGGCGCGCGCAGGUGGUGCUCAUGUUGCUGUUGCUGUUGGUGGUGGUGCUGUCGGGCAACCGAGAGCUCCUCCUGCCCUGGGCCUGGACCUGGACCUGGCUCCGAAAACACUACAGUCACGUCCGCAAGGUGAUGACCCUCCUCCUCCUGCUCCUCCUCCCCCUGCACCUGGACAGCUGCCCGCCCGCCCACACUGCGACCACCGCCGCUCACGCGGUCCUCCCCCGGCAACAGCACCGCCCGCCCGCCCAGUCCCCCGGUACCACCACCACCACAACAACAACCAGCACCUCCCCCCCCUUCCCGCCGCGCCAGCUGCCCCUGGCCCUGCUGCACACCACCCGCCCCGCCGUCCCUGUCCCUGUCCGACGAAAACGAGGUGGUCACGGAGCCCCGCGAUGUGGGAGUGGAGGAACAGGACGGAGUCAAGUCCGCCGAGGAACCGGCAGCACCAGCAGUAGCAGCAGGGCGAGGAGGAGGGGGAGGGGGAGGGGGAGAAACAGGAGGGCCCGCCGGCAAAGGCCCAGCCACGGACACUUGCAUGCCCGCCAGCCGGGCGUCCAGACCCGCGCUGGACACGGAAUGGGCUCGGCCGGCCGGAACAACAGCCUCAUCUUCACCGCCGCCGCUGCCGCGGCUGCCGCCGCCACCGCCGCCGCCACCGCCGCCGCCGCCACUGGUCAUCAUCGCGAUGGCGGAUGAGGUGUUGGCGUAGCUCUUAGCGCCCGGUGGGGAGCUUCCUCUCCCCCGUUUCCCCCCACCGGUGGUGUCGGUGCCGGUGCCGGCUCGUGUGAGCUCGCAUGCGGAGACGCUCUCGUGAACCUUGGACGGGCCCGUGUGGGCUCCGGGCCCGUCAGCUCGGCUCGUCCUGCUGCCGCUGCCUGCUGGGGGCGGGAACAUGGCGCCGUAGUUGGACAGCUGCCGCAAACUAGCGGAGUCACCUGCGCGAAUGCACCGCCGGGGGAAGGGUGGGGGAAGAGAAGCUCAAGAGGUAACCUGCAGGGGCGUCCAAAAUCCUAAGUCCUAAAUUGCUCAAGUCCUUAGCGAUGAAGGGUUGGGGGGGAAACACGAACCACAAACGAGUGAAGCUGGUUGGGGGGGGAGAGGGAAACAGCGCGGGAUGAGGGUGCGGGGGGAAGUGGGGUGAUGGUACGGGUUAUACAAAAGACGGCUGCCGGGACGGGAGCCCCUGAUCAAGAGCAGGGUAGGGAAGGUGGUGGGAGACACGGGAACCGAUGCCCCGGCGGCCAGAUGGGGUUUAAGGUUAACAAACAUGAGUGACAUUUGUGUGUAUUGUGUGUGUGUGUGCGUCCAUCCACCCAUCCAUCCACACCUCCCCUGGCCCUUCCUUCGCGCGAACCCCACCCCCCACCCCCAACCCCCAAUCCCCCUCCCACCCCCAACCACACUCACAUCCCACCCCCAACCACACUCACCGUUCCCUCCUCGCAGCACCAGCUUGAACCCCGCUCGGCUGUGUCCCCGAGUGCUGCCUCCCCCGCCCCCUCCCCCUCCCCCUCCCGUCCCCAUGCUGCUCAGACUGCUGCAGCUUGUGUUCCGAGUGCCACUGUCCACCGUGGCCGGGCCCCCUCCUCCAGCGCCGGACGCCCCCUGCAGCAGCUCACUGCCACCGCCGCCGCCAGCACGCCUACUACCCGGCCCAGCAACCAGCAGCAGCCCUUGGUGGCCUGCAGAUGCAGGUCCAUGCCCCACAUGACCAGGGCUCCACCUCAAGCCACCCGACUGCUGCUGCUCAGCUGGGCUGACUUGCGCCGAGAUACUCGAGCCGGGGCCAGGUCCGGGCCCUGGCCCCGGUCCCGGGCUGGCGGAGGUGCGCUGCAGGGCGAGGGAGAGGUCCCCCUCCUGGAUGCCGUGACUGGCUCGCGGGGAGACGGCUGCAAAGGCGCUGAUGGCGGCUGCGCUGGCUGCAGCUGCGGCUGUGGCUACGGCGGUGGUAGAGGAGCAGACCUGGUUCAGGUCGCUGUCGACCUGGCUGCGGGGAUAGCCUCCUGAGAAAAAGGGGGGGUGAGUCGGGCGGUGGUAGAGGAGGGGCGACUGUACUUGGAAGUGCGGGAUACGUUUAGUGCGGGAUACGGAAUGAGGGGCAGGAUGAGCGCGGGGGUAGCAAACACGUAUGCAAGAGAGGGUCAGGGUGAGUUUCUGUGUGUGUGUGUGUGUGUGUGUGUGUUAGGAUUGAUGCUCCCGCUGCCCCUCUCCCCUCUGCCUGCAGGAGAUGAUUCGGCGAGGUGAUGAGGCCUGUUGAGUGCCUGCUGUUGCAGGUGCAAGAGCUGCUCACCUUGCAAGCCCUGCGCGGCGGGUGCGGAGAGCGCGAUUGCCACAGCCAGCAUGGAGCUGAAGUGGUAGGCGGGAGCGUCCGAAUUGGGUCUGCGAAAGGAAUGUACCAGCUGUGCAACUGGGCACAUGGAGUAAAUCAGGGGAAGCCAAGCAAGGUCCGCACCCGUAACGAGUAACCCGACGGAGAGAUGGCGGAAAGCAUUUCGACUGUGAACAUGAUGCAAUCGUCAGCAUGCGGCGCAGCCGCACAUUUCGUCGGUGUUCUUCCUGCGCCCUGCCGGUGGAUGGACCGCGUAAGCCAUUGACGCACGGCUCAUCAGAGCCCAGGGACAGCUUAAGAAGGAUCUGUGAUAAUAACUACCUCGAUCGCCAAGCUUCGCACUCCACGCGUGCGCGGCUUGCCUCCUGCUCCGAACGCUCGGCUGCUUCUCUGUAACCCCGAACAACAUCCAGAAGCUCUGCAAUUAUCAAGUCGUUCAUGAAUUACUUGAUGCUUCUAUAGCAAGAAACGGAACAGAGCAAGCUGCCUCGGUAAAUUGUAGUCACCUUGCAAAGUUGCCCUUGCCUUGUCUUCAAGUUCCAUUGUGACGAUUUGUUGUUACAUGUAGCUACAAAGCCCAACAUAAAUUUUAUUACUAUGGCCGGGGUUAAUCAGGCAUCAGGACUGUUCAGGUCAAUAGAAAGCCGUAACCCUUUUCGUUCUAGGGGCCAAUCAAAACCACCUUUUUGUCAUGCAUCAUUUUGUCUGACAGUUACAUCAAUUCAUCGCCAAUCAUAGUAACUCAUACACCAAUUCUUAAGGGGUCAACUAGCAAUUUCGUGUAUGUCCUUGCAGCACCUUAGUGGUUGCAAACUCCACGAAAGCAACACACACGGUGCAAUUAAAUCAUGGCGAUUUACGGAUUCAGGAUCCUUAGGCAUCUGCCAGUAAAAAGCUGUAUUUUCGUGUUAUUUCACGACCAGUCGACGCACGUUUAUGGUGCUCCGCUCAAGCUCUGAACCUGCGCCACCGUACUCUGGACAUACGAAUCAAAAAGUUGCUUCAUCUCCUGCAAAUCUCGUUCCGCCUUGCAACGUAAAUUAUCCCCCACCGCCAGCUGCUGCUGCAGUUCGGCAAUGUGGGUGGCCGCCUCUGCAAGCAGUCGCCGGGCCGAGGACUCCGCCACCAUCGCAGUUAGGCUUCCGUUAUCACCUCCCUCAUCAAAACUCUCACUACCGCCUGCGGCACCUUCCUGAGCCGGCCCUUCCUCGCCCCGGAUACCCCUCUCCGCUGCUUCCAAUUCCUCAGCCUCUGCCAGAUCCUUUUCCGUUUGAACCAAGCGCUCCAGCAGGGGUCCACCUUGGUUCCGCAGCCUCAGCCCGGUUAGCUCCGCCCGCAGCCUCGAGACCAGGUGGCCGUGGUUGUCCAGGACAGCGCUCAUCCCCUCGAGCUGUGUCUCAAAAUCGUUUCAAAUCAGAUCAGGUUUCGUAGAAGGACACAGAUAAGACCAGGGUUGUGCCGGGGGAGUGCGGGCCGGUGGAGCGGGAGAAAGAGAGUGAGGAACAAGGUCGAUUGGAGAACUCAUGGGAGCAGAAAACGGGUGGGAUGAGAUGUUCGAAGAGCAGGACCGCACAGGCGGCGGCGAGGUAACAGCUCUUGUGCAUCACAAACGCACGCACGUGUGUAUACAUUUUGACUACCUUAGCCGGGGAAGGAAACUGCGAGCCGUCUAUGUGCCGUGUAUGAAUCUUCGGCGAUUGAGUUCCCAUCGACCGCGCUGCUUGAAAAAGGAGAACCAAUGGUGAAGGCGCGAACGCAGGCGCCCCCUUUCCGACGUUAAAGAAAGAAGUAAUUUUUAAAGUAUGCACUCCCCGUGGAUGGAAAAUCACGGGCAACCGCCCCAACAGUAAGCAAGACCUACCUGUUCCUUCCUCCGGGCAGGAAAGAGAGCAUCCCCUUCCGUCCUCCCCCCCUUCUCCCACUAAGCCCUCGCUCACUUGCGCCUGCCGCUGCGCCUCUGCAUCCGCCUCCGCUGCCGCCAGCCGGUUCCGGAGCGCCCACACCUCCCGACCCGUAGACUCCAGCAGCAGCCGCAGCCUCAUGGCCUCAGCAGCUGCAGGGUCCAGCAGACCAGCCGCAGCUGCGGCAGCAGCAGCAGCAGCCCGAGCCGCAGUCGCGUCCCGCGCAUAAGCCUGCUCCGAGUCCAUCAAAUCCGAGCCUCUGCCGCCGCCGCCGCCGCCGCGGAUUCCGCCGGCGGUUGUGGCUGCUAUGGCCUCUCCUCCCGCCGCCAGCAUCAUGUCGUACAGCUGCCGAGGGCCCCCUGGGAAGUCCAUUGAUAUGGCCGUCGGGAAGGGCCCCACAGCCGUGUCUCGUCCGUCCCACGAGCGGCGACCAGGCGCCCCCGCGGACGUCGUACCGCCGCCGCCGGCCGCGUGAGCCCCCAGGCUUGUGGCUCGGGUGCUUAGCUGUAGCUGACCCCCCCUUGACGCCACUGCGGCGCUUGGCGACCGACUAAGCUGCAGCGGGGAGGUGCUGGGGCUGGCCGGCGGCGUCGCGGGCGUUCCGGAACCACCGGAUGCGUACGACAGCAGGCUGCCGCCGCCGGCACCGACUUCGUCAGCGGCGGCACGGCCACCGCUGCCGAACAUUGGUCCAGGCCUGCCGCCACCGCUGCCGCUGCCAGCCACAGACAUGCGACGUGGCGGCAGCGGCGGGAGGUCGUACGAGCCCAGCGGCAGUACGGGUCGUGCCAAGGCGAGGCCGUCACUGAAGGAAGCCCGUCGGGCCCUGUGAAGCCCGCUAGCCGCUGCAGCGUGUUGCUGAGACUGGGACUGGGACUGGGACUGGGACUGGCGCUGCUGAGUUUCCCGUGGAGACGUUUGUUGAUGUUGGUUGAGGAGGACACAGGCGCGGGCCAGCGCCUGGGUGAGCGACUGCACCUGUGUGUGCGGUUGUGUGUGUAAAGGGGGAGGGGGGAGAGGGAAAGAUGAACCACGAACGAGUGAAGGUGCUGCCAAGGAAAGAGGGGGAGGAAAGACGAACCACGAAUGAGUGAAGCUGCUGCCAAGGAAAGAGUGUACCAGACGUAGAACUGACUAAAAGGCGUCCCCCGAAAGAGGGGGAGGGGUGAGGGACGGAUACGCGGGGAGGAACGCGGAAGCAGGAGCUGGCCAAGUUGGGUUGGGGGCUUUGGAGGUAAGGUCGCCUCAUCACUACUACUACUCUACGGCUCAACAACAAUAUUCAGCCAGGUAAGGGAAUAUCAGGAUCCAACACCCGUUAUCCGUUACCCGUUAUAUACACCGCUUCUUAUCUGCACGGUUUCCAACUAGCUGGUACGACAUCCAGCUGGUACGACAUCCAGAAGCAACUGUACGCUGUACGGUCGACAACGUGUUGCUGGAAACCUGCGCUAUCCGCUUCCGGACGACACUCCGUUACGACUACCACUACCGCUACCGCUACUACGACUACAUGUCGGGAUCUUUAGGGAUAAGAAAAUAUUAUCUUGUCCGUAAAGACGGGCCGCGCAAAGGAUUAUAACUCAAACCAGUCGUUCCUUCUUCGCCUUGGACGCCCGGGCGGCGGCUUCGACGCUCCGGGCCCCGGCACUUUCCCUUGGUGGUCCUGCGAUUUGCAUAGCUGCAGAGUAUGAUUCACCUCCCUCCACUUCCCAUCAUCUCUCUCCCGCUCCCGCUCCCCCUCCCCUCGCUGCCCCCCUCAACCCCCUUUACACACACACACCCACACCUGGUCCUCCCUGAACGCCAGCUCCGCCGCCAUCCCCGCCACCUCCUCUUCCCGCCGAGCAGCCGCAGCUAGUUGAGUCCGCAGACACACCACCGCGGAAUCCCGCUCAGCUAGCUGCUCGUCCAACAGCCUCCGCUCGUCCACCUCCAGGGUGGGGACCACCAGUCGUACACGGGCCUAGGCGGGUAGGGGCAGGCGGCGUCACCGAGGGGAAGGCGGGCGGCCCCCCCGACCCCGACCCCGACCCGAAGAAGAGGAAAGUGCGCGAAGGGAAGAUUCCACCAAGCAGUAGUCCUCCUUUCACAUGUGGCACACACAAUCACACACACAAUCACACACACAAUCACACACACAAUCACACACACAAUCACACACAAACACACACACACGCGCAAUCUGGGCAGGCGCCUCCUAAUCUGUUCGCGCCCCCGGCAGCGGGCCUGUUUGGCCUCCACCGCUUCUUCCUCGAACCGCUAAGCCCCCGGCAGAGCCCACCCCACCCCCCUGGGCCUCAUGUCUUGGCUCGCUCCAGAAAGAAAAGUAAAGAUUGGCAGUCCUCCUAGCCUCCAGGAAAGAGGGGUUAAAGAACAAACCUCCUCCUCCACAUGCACAUCCGCGCACACGCACGUCCCCAACUCCUCCCUACCUCCGCCUCCUCCGGCCCCACCACCGCCGCCAGCCGCGCUUCCGCUUCCGCCUUGGCGCGUAAGGCAGCUCGUUCCCGGGCUAGGUGCUCCGAAACCUAAGUGUACGACAAGGCGACGAGGCCCGCAGGCGGAAUUCCCAUGCAAGGAGUGAUUUUACGUCCUGACUACCCAUCCUGGCCAACUUCUUGGCCCCGGGGGUAGGUCCUUUGCAGAGUGCCGUACUACCCCGGAAUGUACGAUAUCAACCCAGGGGCCCCCCAUCCUGCUGAUGGGCGUGUACGUGAGUUUCAUUGAGCUCUAUUCUAAGGAGGUCUCCUCGCCUCCUUCCUGCACCUCCCUUUUCCCCUCCUCCCCUUCUUCCCCGCACUACGCGCGCAUACAUACGUACACACAUACACACGCACUCUCUCUCACUCUCUCUCCCGUACCUACCUGCUGUGUGAGGUUGUUGACUUGUGCCAGGGCAUCCGCCAGGGCCCCCUGGAGCGCCGAAUUUCGUCCUGCCGCCUCCACAUGCAAGGCCCUCAGAGCCGCCCGCACCUCCCGCAGAGCCCCCUCCCUGGAGUCCAGGACCUGGCGCGCGGCAGCCAGCUCCGACUCCGCCUCGCCCAGCUGGGCCUGCGGGAGUGGGGGGAGGGCGGAAGGGAGCGGGUCGGAUAGGGGGGCCUCGUCAGCAGCACAUACACACAGCACGCAUACGGCACAGCAACACGUGGCGCCGUACACCACCAGAAGGCCGCGUCAAGAUGAAACCCCUCGAUAAGGCCUUUAUAUCCUCCCCUGCACCAUCCCCUCCUCCCCUUCCGCCUCCCUGCGCUCAUUCAUUCAUCCGCACACAUACACGGUAAAGGGGGCCGGUGGACAACACAGGCCGCGCAGUCCCCCUCCCCCUCCCCCUCGCCCUCCCCCUCCCCCUCCCCCUCCCCCUCCCCCUCCCCCUCCCCCUCCACCCAGCCUAAGCCCCCUAAUCCCCGGAGCUCCCCCCCCCGCUCACCACCAGUUCCGCAAUUGCCAAGUUAUGCAACCUCAGGGAGUCCGGUGGCAGCCGUGAUCCCCCCCCUCCCCCUCCCCCUCCCCCGCCCCCUCCCCCGCCCCCUCCCUCUAUCCGCGUCAGCUCUCCAGGGGGGUGGCGUGGGGCGGUGGAGAGGCGGCCGGUUGAGGAGGGGGAGGGCGCCUGCUCCACCCCCCCGGGGAACGCCCCGAACAGCAGCUGGCCACCCUCUCGGCUCUGAGCCUGAGCCGGAGCCUGAGGUUGGGGUUGCGGAGGCUGGUGGGCUUGCAGCCGCACCAGCGGGGGGGAGCCCAUCACUCCGAGGGCGCCGCCGCCAUCACCGUCAUUACCGCCGUUGCUGGCAUCGGCCGGGGUGCGAGCGGCGAGGGGCGCGGAGGACAUGCGGGACGCCGGCGGCGCGGCGGCGACGGCAGCGGCAGCGGCGGCAGCGGCGGUGGCUUCGGGGUGCAGGGCCGGUGUCGUGGGGCCCUGGGCCGCCACCGUUCGGAAUGCAGUCCCCAUAGCCGUCACACAGCCGGCGGCGGCGACGGUGUCGGGAUCGUCCAUGUCCGGGACGCGCUUCGCCGCCUGUACGGCAGCUGACGCCAAGUUUUCUGCCACGCACGCCGCCGUCAGGGGCGGCAGGACGCUGCCGGCGGCGGCACGUACGACACCGGAAGCCGCCGCCAGUGACACCGCCAGCGCGGCUUGCUGCUGCUUUGCGGGUGAAAGCCCGACGGAGGUGGCGGUUUGCAGCGGCGGUGGUGGUGGUCGUGGUGGUGAUGCCAGUGCAGGCAGCUGAGAACCAGGAGCUGUCGCGGGUAUGCCGCUGCCGAUUGCCAUGGAGGCUGCGGCUUGGGGACUUGUCGGCGGCGACGUUAUCACGCCCUCCUCCCUGGCUUCCGCGGCCUCCUCCGUCUCUAUGAGCAUGUUUGCUAGUGACGCCACUCGCGGCAGGUCAAUCGCCGCCGCAGCCGUCGCGCCGACGGCGACGCCGGCGCUGUAGCCGCUGUAGUACGCCGCCGCCGCCGCCGGGGACGACUGCGGUACACCCGCCGCACCCAGCGCUGCCCCCUGACCGAUUCCCGUUACUGAAGCCGCCGUCGCGGCAGUCGCCGCCACGUGGUCCAAGUACGGCAUCAGCGCACGUGCACCUGCCGUACGGCGCGGUCGAGCUCCAGCGGCGGCCGGCGUCAUUCCCUGCUCUGCGCUCCUAACUACCUCCCAGGUGGCAGACGGCCCGGUGGACGCUGCCGUCGCCGGCGGAGACGAUGGCGUCACACCUCCGUACGGGCCGCCGUACAUGCCGUCAGUUAUCUCGCUGAUGGGACGCGCAGCGGAAACGUCCGCGACUGCGCCAGCAUGGGUUGACUGGCUGGUGGCGGCGGCCGCAGUUGGGGCGGGUACGGCAGGUGCGGGUACGCCAUGUGUUGGCACCGGCGGUGGCGGCGGCAGGUCCCCUAGGAUAUCAGCCAGGAGAUCGCUGAGGCGGCCGGGGGGGGGAGGGGGUAAUUAUGGGGGCUUGGUGGGGGUCAAAACACGCCGGAAGCGCUCUGCUGUCGACCUCCAAAGCACCGCCACCCCACCCCACCCGGGGGCGAAGGGGCCCCGAGGAAAGCAAGACCGCACGGCUAAACACGGCUAGACAGAGGACAGACAAACCUACAGGCUGACGGAAAGAGGCAUAGACAGACAGGCAGACAGACAGGAAAAUAGACAGGCAGACGGAGAGAGACAGACAGACAGACAGAGAGAGACAAACAGACAGACAAACAGACAGACAAACAGACAGACAGGCAAAUAGACAGACAGACAGAGAGAGACAGAUAGACAGCAAACAGACAGACAGGCAAAUAGACAGACAGACAGAGAGAGACAGAUAGACAGACAGACAGACAGACAGACAGACGAACAGACAGACAGGCAAAUAGACAGACAGGCAAAUAGACAGGCAGACAGACAGACCGACAGACAGGCAGAAAGACAGACAAACAGACAGACAGGCAGAUCGACAGACGGACAGACAGAGAGACAGACAGGCAGACAGACAAACAGACAGACAGACAGGCAAAUAGACAGGCAGACAGACAGGCAAAUAGACAAACAGACAGACAGGCAAAUAGACAGGCAGACAAACAGGCAAAUAGACAGACAGACAGACAGAGAGAGACAAACAGACAGACAAACAGACAGACAAAAAGACAGACAGGCAAAUAGACAGACAAACAGAGAGAGACAGAUAGACAGACAGACAGACAGACAGACGAACAGAAAGACAGACAAACAGACAGACAGGCAAAUCGACAGACAGACAGACAGAGAGAGACAGACAGGCAGACAGACAGACAAACAGACAGACAGGCAAAUAGACAGGCAGACAGACAGGCAAAUAGACAAACAGACAGACAGGCAAAUAGACAGGCAGACAAACAGGCAAAUAGACAGACAGACAGACAGAGACAGACAAACAGACAGACAAACAGACAGACAAACAGACAGACAGGCAAAUAGACAGGCAGACAGAGAGAGACAGAGACAGACAGACAGGAAACAUAAAAGGACACACGGCGAAGCAGUAGGACGGGGCGGCGGCCCUAAAGCGCAUGCCAGCUGCAGAUGUUGCAGGACAGCAGCAGCAGCAACAGAUGGCGGUUGUCGGACCGUUCCUCUCCGCCCCCCCUCCCCGCCCAACACCCCUCUUCUCCAGCCCACCGGCAAUAACGCCGUUCCUCCGCAUCCACCGGAGCUUCAGUCGUACCGCUGACGCUGACGCGGUACGGCCGUACGGGUGACGUUGAUGUCGACCUACGGGACACCUCCGCCGGAGACGACAGCCCCUCCGCCGCCGCUGGCAGGGCUGCGGCCCCGCCCCCACCAAUAGCGAUAGGAGGGCCCGUUACUGACGUUGCCACCGCCUCCGAAGCGAGUUCGGUUCCAAAUCCGAAUCCUUGUGCUGCAGCCGGCAGCCCCAUAGUUGCCCCCGAGCCGCCACCGCUGCCGCCGCCGCUGUCACCUCCGCCGUCACCUCCGCCACCUCCGGCCGCAGCCUCAUCGCUGAUUGGGACUGUCGUUGUCACUGACGUUGUAGUAGGACCCAGUGACGGCGGCACCGCGGGCGCAACCGCCGGCGGAAGCUGGAACUCAAAUCCACCGCCGCCGCCGCCGCCAUUACCUCGCUCCGCAUUGACGUCCCCCUCCUCCCCCUCCCCCUCCCCCNNNNNNNNNNNNNNNNNNNNNNNNNNNNNNNNNNNNNNNNNNNNNNNNNNNNNNNNNNNNNNNNNNNNNNNNNNNNNNNNNNNNNNNNNNNNNNNNNNNNNNNNNNNNNNNNNNNNNNNNNNNNNNNNNNNNNNNNNNNNNNNNNNNNNNNNNNNNNNNNNNNNNNNNNNNNNNNNNNNNNNNNNNNACUCGCGUCUCCAGCUGGCCCUUGUCACGUUGCAGGUGCUCCACCUGGGGGGCGGGUGGGGGGCCGGGUGGGGGGCCGGGGGUAAGUCGAACCACCGGCGAAUGGAGCAGAUGCCCAAGGCGGGUGUACUCCAGGUGCGGGGUUGCGUGCGAUGGGGAGGGCAGUGGUGUAGGGAUUGUGUGGGGGGGGGGACCGCCCGGCCCUCACCACUAACACUGCAAGCGAGACGGCUGCCGAGCGGGCGGCCCCAAUCAGCCAAGUCGGGGUCGGGGUCGGGGUCGGGGUCACAGCCUCCUGGUGGGGACAUCCCCCCGCCACCCCCCACCCCACCCCCCCACCUCACCUGCGCCCUCAGCUGCUCCAGCUCCUCCCUGAGGUCAGAGAUCAGCCGGUCGUCCAGACAGUGCAUCUCCAGAGCGGUGACACCCCCCGCCAGACCGUACGACUCCAACUCGGCCUCCACGGCAGGUCGCAGCUCACCCCCCGCACCCGUCAGGGCCUCCAGCUUCUGUGUGGGGCCCCGGCAGGGGGGGAGGAGGGUGCAGAGGGAGGUGCAGAGGGAGGUGCAGAGGGAGGUGCAGAGGGAGGUGCAGAGGGAGGUGCAGAGGGAGGUGCAGAAAGCGAAACCGCAAUCGCCCAGGACGUUCCAGGACAGAGGCAGGAUGGGGAUAUGAUCGCCAUCAUCACGAGGCCGUAAGGUUUCGAAAACGUCAGAUGCCGAAAAACUGACUUCCAAAGCGGGUGGGUGGGGGGUAGGGGGUUAGGAAGGCCGGAGAUGAUGAUGUCGUGGAGAGCGAUGGAAAGCUGCAGAAAGGGGGAAGAGGAGGUGCAAUAUCGGGGAGGAUGGCGAAGGGCUCCGUCCGGUGUAGGGCAAGGCGACAGGGAGGGAGGAGUGAAUGCGGGGCCCUACAGAGGCUGUCGUGAGGUGGUACGGCGCCUGUCGGCCCCCCGUAACCCACCACCACCACCACCACCACUUGCUACUCGCUUGGCGACAUACAUACCGUAACCAUCCCCACAUAACAUCCCCACAUACAAUACAUAGGCCUCUCCCCCCUCCCCUUUCCUCACAACCAUUAUCAACCCCCUCCCACCUCCCACCUCCCACCUCCCACCUCCCACCUCCCACCUCCCACCUCCACCUCCCCGCCCCACCUGUAUUGCGGCUAUGAGGUCGCUGCUGGGCCCCGGGGGGGGCGAGGUGGGGCGGGAGGCCAUGCGGCUCGCUCCCUCCCCACCGAACCAGCCCAUCUGCUGCUGAUGGUGGUGGUGGUGGUAAUGGUAAUGAUGGGCCGCCGCCACCCCGCCGCCGCCGCCGCCGCCGCCGAACCGUGGCACCGGGGAAUGAGACAUGCUGGCGAGGAGGCUGCCACCGCCGCCGUACCUGCACGCCGUACAAUGCGUAUGCCGUACACUUAAGAUAUUGCAGUACACUGCAGUACACUGCAUGCAUGUCGGUAGUUUAUUUCUCCUAUGUACAUGUCAUAUCUUCAUCACUCUGCCCAACCCCCCGACGCGACCCCUUUUCCCUUCCCCUCAUCACAUCCCCCGCGACCAGAUUGAUCUCUUGGGCGUGCAGGAUGAAUGGAUGAUAACAAUUUUCGCGGGAGGUAAUGAAUGGAUAUGGGUUGUUACGCAACUGCGCACACAACGAACGCAAGUAGCUCAGUCGCAACGGGGGCCCCCUCCAUCCCCCUCAAACGGUGUUUUCCCCCAAACGCCCCGCUGUGCAUCUGGCCCUGCUGAUGCUUCCCUUCCCUUCCCUCCCCGUGCCUUGCCCUGCCCACCGGACCAGGAGCCCUGAAGCCCCCUUACCUCCCCCCUCCCCCCUNNNNNNNNNNNNNNNNNNNNNNNNNNNNNNNNNNNNNNNNNNNNNNNNNNGCCGGGUGGAGCUCGAGCCCAGAGGCUCCAGGACUGCACCUCCACCACCUCCACCACCUCCCGGUGGGGAAUUACAGACACAGGCAGGGUUGAGGGUUGAGGGGCCAGGGGUGAAGGGCAGGGGGUGAGGGCAGGGGGUGAGGGGUAGGGUUGAGGGGUAGGGUUGAGGGGUAGGGUUGAGGGGUAGGGUUGAGGGGCCGGGUUGAGGGGCCGGGGUGAGGGGCCGGGGUGAGGGGCAGGGUGAACAACAACCGGCGCACCUAAACAACCAAAAUGAACAACCCUAAGUUAACAAUUGCAGUUAACCAGCUAACAAUCCAUAUAACGCGCCUCCUGCACCUCCUCUCCUUUUCACCCCUUGAACUCACCCACGGAGUACUGGGAAAUGCGCCUUCCGAUAACGCCGCUUCCUCCUGCGCCUCGGCUCGGCAUCGCCAUGUACAUCAGCCCUCCUCCGCCCUCACCCAGCCCCGAACUGCCGCCUUGAUGACCCGUGGACAUGGAAGUGAGGGUGGGGAUGUUCAUCAUCCCCAUCCCCAUCCCCAUCAUCCCCGCCAUAUCCUCCCCUCCCAACCCCACCUGCACCCCACCCACACCCACACCCACACCACCCGCCGCAGCUUCCAUUGCCGUUGCGGCGGCCGUGUCGAAUACGGACACCAGCCGACAGCCUGACAACGACGGCGUGUCCCUACCCACCCCGGGUGCUGCUUCUGCCAGGCCGCUGUACGGAGGCGGUUGUCCGGACGACGGUGGGGGUGCGGGGCCUGACGGGGCGGUUGGGGCUGCUGCGGCCGCCAGCUCCCCUCCAGGGGGUCGCUGGAGUGGGGGGAGGGCGGGGAGGGGUGCGGGGGGUGCGGGGAGUUGGGAAGCAGAUGCAGAUGUUGGCCUAGGGGGUAGCGGAAGGAGGGGAGUGGGGCCCAAAUAGACGGUGGUGAGGCUGCUGCCGCUGCCGCCGCCGCCGCCGCCGCCGCCGCCCGGCGGAACGGCCACGUCUGAUGCCUCCAUCGCCGCCGCUGGCGUCGCUGCUGCUGCCGCCGCCGCCGCCGCCAGGGAGUUCGUACUGACGGUGCCGGGACCGGAUGGUGGUAGUCGCGGUGAUGGGGACGGGGGGAGGACUGCAGCUGGGGACGACCUCAUCGUGCUGGUGGCGGUGGUGGUGGUGUCCGUGUGGGAGACGAGGGGUGGGGGCCGGGGGCCGGGAGGGGAAGCAGCGGCUGCUGCUGCUGCUGCUGCUGCAUGCAGCGCUGACAGAGCGUCGCACAGUUGCUUUUGCAGAGAGCGCAUCUGUACGGGCGGGGGUUACGGAUGUUGGGGGGUUAGGGUGAGGGCAGGGGAAUGGAGGUGCAUGGGGGGAAGGGGAAUACCCGGGGGGGGCCCAAAAGCGAAGGAUACAACUGCCGAUAUCCGGGGGCAAAGACGAACCCCGAGCGAGUGAAGCUGAUGCCAAGGGAAGACUGCUGCGGUAGACGUAAAGAAAGCAUACCGAACCAGUCGGCAGUUGUUCGGUGGGGGGAAGGGGGCGGGGAGGGGGGAAUCACAGGAUGCAAGGAAACAAGGAAUGGACUGCUGCCACGGCGGUGGUGGUGGUGUCCAAGAGGUCCGAAACUGCCCCUAGGGAGGGGGGGAGUCCUAAGCGGUGUGAUGUCAUCGGUCCGUGGUGGGAGGGGAGGACGGGGCGGAGGGGGAGGGCUAGUAGCUACCGGAACGAUAUGAUUUGGGUUUCCAUGAGAAGUCUCAGUCACAAACCGAAAGGACCCCUGCAAGUACGGAAAGGUAAGCUUCAUGUACGAGUAGGGCCGGUCCGGGCGCACUACCCCGAAGCGAAUAAACCCCAGGUGUACAGAACAACCUACGCUUCAGAACCUUCAGUACUCCCCCCCCCUCCCCCCUAAGUACGUAGCUCUGCGCGCAAAACCCGAAGUAACCAGCACUGUCACACCACCAUCAUGACUCACAACGCCAUGCACGCCACCAAGCCGUACAGGAUCCACUCCGAACUCCGAAUUCCCAAACAUAAAACUUAAAUUAGUUUUUGAACGUUCCGUUACGCUCUCCUAGCAAAGUACCAGGACACUACCACACGGGGGUAGGACAUGGAGGACGUCGCGACAUGACGCCAUGGACGCGGGGGCCCCCUCCUCCACCACCUUCACCUCCUCCACCCCCUUACCUGUAUCUUCAGCUGCUCCUUCUCCGCCGCACUGGCCUUCAGCUGGUGCCGCAGCAGAUCUCGCUCGUAAGUCAGCCGGCGGACCUCAAAACCCGCAGCAGUGACCGCAGCGGCGUCGGUAGCUAAGGCGGGGGGGGCGGCGGCGGCGGCGGCCGCCGCGCCAUCCGGUGCCAUCAGCACGCCCGUAGCCGCCGGAGGAGAUAUCAUCGUACUGUCUGUCGUACCCGCAAACUGUUCUGACUCCGGUUCAGCUGUUACAGCAGCACCAUCAUCACCACCAUCACCAGCAGCACCAGCAGCAGCUUCCUCCGCUGUUGCCGCGGAGGGGGUUGUCGUCCUCAGCGGGGGGGGAGUAGCCAGGUCGCCGGGUGGUGCGGCGGGUGGGCGAGAGGGCGGCUGUUGAGUGUUCAUGAUGGCGGUGAUGGUGCUGGUGGAGCUGCUGCCCCCGAUUGGCUCUCCCUCUUCUUCCUCGCUGCCGGGGGCCCGAGGAGUCAGUCGGUUGAGGGGGGGGUGGGGAAAGCGGCGUCAGUCGGGAAGCGCUUCCGGAAAUCACCAUCCACCGUCCCAUCAGGUGGCGGUGGCAGCGGCAGUGGCGGUGGUGUUGGUGGCGGUGUUGGUGGCAGUGGCAGUGGCUGAUUAUAUAGUUUGGUCGACCGAUAGAAUGACCGAGAUAGACAAAGGGUCGGGACGCCGCCGCCAAGCGCACGUCCGGAUCGCUUCCGGGACCCGCACUCACCCUCACUGUGAGAGGCCCGCCGCCCGCCGUCCAGGAGGAGGUGUUGGUGGUCCUUGAAUCCUGCUCUGCUCACAUAACAUAACAUCGCAUCACAAGCGCGUUGCGCUGACUCAGCCACUUGCGCGUCUAAGCACGCACGCACAGAAGCGUGCACGUCCUGUGCUGUUACUUUGCUAACACAAACAGAUAUACAGAUAUACACAUGCUGCUUACGAUGUAGUCUUGCUUGCUUGGGCAGCCGAAAUGCCUCCGCCGGCAGCCUCCUUCCCUUUUCCCGCCUCGAACAGAUUGCAGCUGAGCAGAGCGCAGACACACCAACGCAGAGAAGAAGAUUAUUUCUAUCUCGGCUUUUUGUCUUUCUGAGGAAGCGAAAUGACGCGCGGACAAGUCCGGAACCUGGGAAAAAAACAAAAAAUCAGAUUUGUGACCCGCGGGUCAGUUGUACCUUCAUCCCUCUCAGUGGAUGCUGCUGGUGCGGACGAUCCAUAAAGCAAUUCUUGCAGCGGAGUCAGAACGGCAGAACGACAACCCAUGAAGACGACGACGCUGUGUACCGUCCUGCAAAAGGCAUUCAUGGCCUCCAUGAACGACCUGAAGGUGAAAACAUUUAUUUCUAAUGUACAUAUGCAAUAUGGCGCACGGGAGGGCCUAACAAUGACAAAAUGGUGGCCGAAAGGGCUGGGCCCUCCUCGUCCCCCGGGAGCUUAGCGACCUCGCACACCGGUGGCAUGUCGCCUCCCAGGCAUCUUCUCGUUCCCAAAUAAACAACAGGAUACCUUUCACCGCUAGUGCACUAAGGGACCAUUUUCUUGCACUCAGGUGGCAGAGAAAGAGAAAGAAGGCGCGAUUCUAUUCAGACGGGCGGUUACAUGAGGGGUGGUCAUGAGCUAUAGGCGCUAUACCUGCUGCUACAGGCGCCGGUACCGAUUUCGGUCCGAUGAUGCGUGUUGCUGCUUUGCCAUCAAGCGCGGCGCCUGCCGCCGCCCCACACAAUUGACCAGGUCAGGGUCUUUGAGAAUGCGGGCACUUUGAUUAUUCCAGCUGGCAUUAAAAUUAUCGGGAUCGCUAAGAAUGCAGAAACGUCGCGUGGCGAUUUACAUGAUGCUUCUUCUGCUCUGCUCUGCUUUGCUCUCCUCAUUAUCGAGUUCCGCCGUUUAUCAGACUACGUCCCAUAAACAUAAGCAUCCUCAGCACAGAGGAGACUUAGAUUAGGUUCGUAUCGGGAAAGCUUAGCGCCGCGUGCGUCCGCCGUCACCGCGCCAGCCGCCGCAUGCUUUGUGCUGGGUGCGGUCGCCCCCUCCCUCGUGGGUGGCUCCUAUGUGGCACAUCACCCGACCCGCGGUACCCGAACACGCCAGCUGCUUCGAUGCCGAACAACUCUAGCCGCGUUGGAAAGAGACUUCGAAUCCUCGUAAGGAUCUGCACUUGCAAUCUGCAUUCCCACACCAACAACAUUUUGUCGUGCGGGCAUCCGAGCCCCGAUCCGCUAAUGGCACCAUAACACAGACAGUAUUUCCUUUGCUUACAUACUUCUGGCGGCGGCUGGCAGAGGUUAAGGCCUGACUUCUGCUCCCGGAGUGUCCAGGGCCAGAUCCGCCUGCCUAUUCCUGGAGUGAUUGAGGAGAGUUGAAAUGGUAGGUGGCCCCCCAUCUAGUGGAAUGUGUAGGACGUUUAAAUAUCAACUUUCUAACUGACCAUCAACUAAGUUGGGGCGCGGAUGAUCCGCCAGAUUUGGUUAUACUGAUGGUGAGUUGAUGAACCCAACGAAUACAUUCUGAAGUCGGAUGGGUUGAAUGGAAUAGGGUGCCCCUCUCGCAGGGGAGAGCAGGGAACUGCCUCGGGAAAGGGGGCCGCUGGUGAAGCUAUACCACCCUGUAACAACAUACAUACAUCUGCCACGCUGACAGGUGGAUGGAUACCUUUGUGCCAAUUAAGAAUGGUGAACACACAAUUGGGAUGCCGUCAGCAAUGUUGAAGCAGAUGUAAUUUCCAAGACUCGUCCAGCGUGGGCGUCACCGCACGGCAAUUUUUUAAUGUAAUGUAAUGUAAUGUAAUGUAAUGUAAUGUAAUGUAAUGUAAUGUAAUGUGUAAUGUAAUGUAAUGUAAUGUGUAAUGUAAUGUUACAGAGUGGGAAGCUUCUGGGCCGCUUUAUCACAUUGUCAGUUCUAGAUCAUUUAUCACCUUAUAGCACCAUCCACCACUACCACACUGUACUUCGCCAUACGAACUGUAAGUCCAAGGCGGCGGAUCCAGCCUUCGGGGACCCCUCCUCAUCCAUUCACCCGAACACCCGAAGAGACGGAGGGUUCGGCAAUCGCCACCAAUCCAGCGUGCGAAUCUGGUCCAUCAACUGUGACCUCAACUCCACAUCUCAGCAGCUAGCCAUAAUCUCGCGCUCCCGACUAAUUCGGGGGUCUCCCCAGGAAUCGAACCCAGGACCUUAAACCGCUAAUUGCAGUAGUGUCAACCCAGACCAGAAUUUUUUUAUAACUUGUACAAAAGCUAAUAAAGCUAAACCAGCUGCUUCAUUGCUUUUUAGAUGAAGAAAUCAAUGUUACAUAUUGUCGAACAUGCUAGCAAGAGGAGGGAAGGGGAAGGGGGAAAAGGCGAGGGGUGAGAAGGGAGAGAAGGAGAAGUGGGAAGGAAGGAGUCUCACAGCCAACUAGUCUCCCAGGAUCCCAAACUUUCAGGCUCCAAGAUUCUCAGGCUCCCAGGAUCCCAAGCACACAGGCCCCCAGUCUCCAAGGCCCUCUGGCCACCAGUCUUCCAGCCUCCCAGUCUCGCCGGCCCCCAGCCCCCAGUCUCCCACUCUCUCAGUCUCCCAGCCACCCAGGCUCUCUGGCUCCUAGCCUCUCGCUCAGGCUCUCCGGCCCUCAGCCCCCAGUCUCCCAAGCUCCCAGUCUCCCAAGCUCCUAGCCACCCAGGGCCUCGGGCUCCAAGGCUCUCCAAGAUCGUGCACGAAAUUGUCCCACACAACUUUAAUGAGAAGUUCAAUCCUGCCUGUAUGCCACACACACAGGGACCAUGCCAGAGCCCAGCCACAACCACUGCCACCACCGAAGGUGUGAUGAACAGUGUUGUCACCCAAGUGCAGCAGCAGGUAUGCAGUGUACCAUAACAUGUCAUUUUGAACAGAUCCUUGGAACAAACAGUGACCCGUGGGGAUGACAGCCGCUUGCUGUUGCUCUGCUGCAUCGGGAAGCCCAGAGUUGCACAGACUGUUGGGCCAUGUGAGGCGAAGUACAUCAACAUCGUGUUGGAGGGCGGCAAGGCUCAGCGGGUACGUAAUGCUACUGGGAUCCGACCAGGUCUAAGAAUACGAAUCACAAGAACCUGUUGUUGCCGUUGUAUGUAGAGUGGGCGGAAGACAGUGAUCGCAUUCUUGCGGGGCGUGACAGCGAUUAAGUGUCCAAUCAGGGCAAUGGCAGAGUACCUGUACGUCCGCUUCACGAUGGAGGGCGAGAACUAUCCAAACCCAUUGUCCUCGUCCUCCUCUUCGUCCCCCUCAUCGGCAACCUCACUGCCAGACUCACUGGACAGUUCUGAUUAUGUAUCGCUGUAGCUGUCCGUCGCCGAAGGGCCCACCGACGACCCACGGCACCCGAUCGGGCGGUCCUAGCGCCCCUAACCCUGUCGGGUCCCCCGACGGGAGCCCUCCGGGCCCCGUCGGGAGCUCCCGAUGGCCGUUUGGCAUUUUCCCCGUUUUUCGUCGGGUCCGCCCGAAAGCAUUUUUCAAAGCCUGUCGGGAUUUUCAGCACAAGUGCCAUUCCUGUCGGGACCCGAUCGGACUGUCGCACCCUGUUACCACCCGUGCCCGCUCGCGCGUGCCCGCUCGCGCGUGUAUGUUGGCCGGUUGCGAGUGUGCGGCCGCGCAUGCUACUAGGUGGCCCCGUGUGUGAGCCGCUUGGGGUGCGGCCACCCGGUUUGGUCGUGGGCGGCAUGGAGUGCCUGGUUUGGCUGUAUUCUUCUGCAGUGUAAGGGCCCUUGGCAGCUGGUCCCCGCUCCCUUUUGUUGCUCUCUCAAAGCACGUUCGUUCUGGUCAAACUUCGGCAGAGCCACGAAAAUACAGGUUAAAAGAAACAGGAGCAUGGAAACAACACAUUAUGGCACAUAAUGAAAGUUAAAUUUUAUAAAAUUUACACAUUUUUAGUUCUCCUGAACCUAUUGAUCGAUCCGGAUUGAAAUUUCACGUCUGAGGGCCUUGUGUUGUGUGGACUCAGAAUUUUUCCAUUAGCAAGUUUGUAAUUCUUAGGGAAUGUUACUCAUUUGACUCUGAUGCCCCUUCUUCUUCAUUAAGCUCCUUCCUAGGUCACGUCAGUUCUGUUGCCGCGAAACCGGCCCAACCCGCCGAGCUGCGUUAGUGGGACGAAGGGCUUUUAUCAAAUCUAACAAAAAGAAGUAUCUCAUCCCCAAGGGGGGGAUAGGAUCGCCAUCUUUCCAGACCUUGCAUUGGUCCUAAAGAUGGUUGAUGCUGCAAGUCAGGGGUUAAAAUGGUGCGGCACGCUAUCGGAUGCCAGCUGGCUGGGCCCAUUCUUAUCUCCCUGCUCCUUCGAGACAAUGUCGUCCACGCUCCUCCUUGCGACAACGCUCAUCUUGUUACUAGCCCAGGGUACCCGAUUGGCCGUGAUGCAGCAGCUAAGGGUGAAGGGACGAAUACGGAGAGGCAUUUCGGGCCUUAACGGCUCGUACAUAGCAGCUGCGCUCUUUCUGUGCGGCACACACUCAAUCCAUUUCGCUGUUGGCCUGGCGGUGCUGCGCACUUGGCCGUUUCACAUUGCCUACCAUGCCUGCUUCGCUCUCUUAUGGUGCACCAUCGCUACAUUUGCAAUCUACUCCGGACGGCUAGCUGUCGGCGUCGAUUUCCGCAUCUCCUCCAUCCCUGCGACACUGGUUUACCUUAUUAGGUGGGAUACUUUUGAAACGUGUGUACGCACGCGGUAGCCUUUAAUGUUGCGAGGGAAUCCUUUUGCCUGUCGAAGGGGGAAAUCCCCGUGCAUGUAACCUUGAACUUUUGCGUGUGUAUGCGCGUUUGUCUGUCUGUCUGUCUGCACACUCUCGUCGACGUCCACGUACAUGUCUAGGUAGAGACUCACCGUUUGCACAUGAAGCUGUUUAUGGUGCUCAAGCAUUUUGGAAAAUACGGCUAGACUUGAUGGCUUGGUCAUGGAAAUGCCCGGCUCAGUGCAGGCGUGGUUAUUACUAUGGGCCACCGAUUUAUGAAUCCAGUCAUACACUACUCCGUCUAAGCACUCUUGACAGUGGAAGUCCUAACACAGCGGUGGUCACGGCGGCGGUCCCCGACCUCCCAGCUCCUCAUACCCAUACCGCCCCGCUGCUCCACUCCACCCCGCCGCCCCCCGCCCACUGCCCCACUCGCUCCCUGCAGCCUCUACUCCUACUUCCAGCUGUACUACGACACCCACGCCAUCCCCCUGCCGUACAUCAAGGCCUCCAUUUGGACCGACAUGCUUCAGGUGGUGGUGGCGGCCAUCAUCAGUUGGUUGGGCACGAGGAGGGUCGCGCGGGAACCUAGGCUCGUGGACCUGCAGGCGCAGUUGGGCCUCAGCCCCACAUUGGGCCCAGAUGGACGAGGGCCCUACCAGCAGCUGCCCGCAGCGGAAGACGGGGGCCGUGCCGGCAGCGCCACCGCAGGCGGGAAGUCGGCGGAGGCCGGCGGGGGGGACGGUGAUGGUGGCGGCGGUGGCGACACCGACAAGAGCACUUGGAUCAGCCUGUUUGUGGACGCCUGCGCGUACGUAUGGCCCGAGUCGUUCUGGCUGCAGCUGCGCGCCGUGAUGUGUCUGCUGCUGCUGGUGGCCAUGCGAGCUCUCAACCUUGCCGUACCCAUCCUGUACAAGAAGGUUGUGGACCGUAUGGCAGAGGGGAGCAGCGGAGGUGGAGCGGCCCAGCCCGAUCAUGCAGCGGCAGCGCGGGAGGGUCGCGGCCUGGGUCUGGACCUGGGCCUGGGCCGGUUGCUGGAGUCGUGGAGGGCUGCUGGUGGUGGUGGUGGGGGUGGGGGUGGUUGGGAAGCAGGGGGCGCGGAUACCCUGAGCUACGGGGCGCUUGUGUGGCCCUGGGUGGUGCUGUACCUGGUGGCGGUGUUCUUCCAGGGCGGUGCCGGGGGCGGCGUGGUGGGCUUCAUCAACAACAUCAGGUAGGUGGAUAGGAUGGAUGGAUGGAUGGAUGAAUGCAGGCAGGCAUGUCUGGGUGGGCGGAUGGGCGGGUGUAUAUAUGAGCAUGUCGACACUCGACCGCGGGAUAACCCAUGGUCCUCACGUCCCCGUCUCCUGUCCCGCACGCCGUCCAGUCCCCGAUCCUCCCCCGGGGCCCCCCCCAGUGAAACUCUGAAUGCCGCUCCGAAUCCCGCACAGGUCCUUCCUGUGGAUCCCCGUGGCCCAGGACUCGUACAGGUGGGUGAGGGGUGAGCAGCAGUAGUGCUGGAGUCGGUGGAGGGAUGGUGGGGGAUUGGGGGAGUUGGACCCCCAGCGACCUCCCUGUCUUUCAAAUCAAUUCAAUUUUAACUACGUAACUUACGGGUGGGAUGGAGGGGUCGCGCCUCUCAGAGACCUGCUCUGCAUGCCGCCCUCAACUCUCACGAUCCGCACCCAGGGGCCGGGGGCCGGUCGGUUGACCAGUCCGGUGGUUACAAGUGUCCGGUGGUUGGCUGCAGCGAUGGCGGUGUAGGUCAUCACGCGCCAUCACGAGCUCCGCCGAUGUCGCUGAUACUGUCAAGAGAUACGGAUACUGACAUAGCUUACCGGGCUUACCCGGCCGGCCACUGCGCCUGGCUGGUUAUCGUCGCCGUAAACCUCCCCACCCCUUUCCCCGCCGCCGCAGACGCAUCAGCAUGCGCACUUUUGACCACGUGAUGGAGCUCGACCUGACCUUCCACUUGCGCAAGAAGACGGGCGAGGUGACCCGGGUGGUGGACAGGGGCACCAACGCCAUGCAGAACGUGUUGUCCACGGUGCUGUUCAACAUAUUGCCGCAGGUAGGGGAUGAUAAAGGGCAGGUAGGGAAGUGGGAGGUGAUAGGUGGUAGGGGACCUCAGUGGGUCGUCGGGAAGGAGUGCUGUGCGCUCAUGACUAGCUUCCGGGUGGCAGGCUGAGGGGGCUUUAAGAGGGGCGGGGCAGAAUCCACUGGAUGGUACUGGUGGUGCUGUUGGUGGUGAUGUGGCUGAAUGAACUCGGAAAAGUCCCUCACUGACUACUCACUGACAGAGGUCGGCACUCUCACACACACACACGGGUGGUGGCCAUGAUGAUGAUGAUGAGGGGGAUGAGGGUGAGGUUACCCGGGGAAGGAGGCCACAUCACGGAUGGGUGGGUGGGGACGGUGGGGACUGCCAGCAUGCUCGUCCAGGGUGGCCACCACCAUAGGUUGGAAAGCCCCUCUGUGUAACCCAUAUAUACACCCCCCCUACUUCACACACAAUCACUUCAGGGAGGCGCCUUUGAGCUGUGAACGGUUGAACACCCGACACAGUCGUCGCCGUCGCGCCUCGCUUGCCGCCCAACCCCUCACCCCCCCCACCCCACCCCAUCCCCCAUUCCUGACCUGACUUGGACUAUCCGUCUACCCCUGGUUUCUGCUUCAAUUGUCAAAGGUUCGUCUUACCCCUACCCCUCUACCCCUACCCCUCUACCCCUACCCCUCUACCCCUACCCCUCUACCCCUACCCCUCUACCCCUCUACCCCUACCCCUACCCCUCUACCCCUACCCCUCUACCCCUACCCCUGACCUCACCUCAUCUGAUCUGACACUGCGCUGUCUUUUCCAGCUGUCCCCACCUCCCAACCAUGUGUGUAAGUGUGUAUAUGUAUGUAUGUGUGUGCCUCCCGGAUGAGCUGCCCACCUCCAGAUAUUCGACGUGCUUGCGGCCGCCACGUACCUGGCUCAGGCGCUUGAACCCACCAUCGCCAUCAUCGUGUUUGUCACCGUGGGCUCCUACAUACCCCUGACCGUCUUCAUCACGGAGUGGCGGGCCAAGCUGAGGAGGGAGAUGAACCAGACGGACCAGGUAGCGGGGGGAGGAGGCUUACUGGGGGGAAGGAGGGAUCGCCGAGUUGUCCUUGAAAACACUAACGGGAACCAAAUUCCUGCUCCGGCUGCUCCUGCUCCCGCUGCUGCUGCUGCUGCUGCUGCUGCUGCUGCUGCUCUCACCCCGCUCCACCCCGGGGCCCCAUCUGUAGGUGAAGAGCGGGCGGGCCACGGAUGCGCUGCUGAACUACGAAACCGUCAAAUACUUCUGCAACGAGAAGUACGUGCGGAGGGUUACGGGGGUGGGGGAGCGUGGGAGGGAUUUGGGGAGGUGGACGGGAAGGGGGGGAGGGGUUUACGGGGCGGAUGCGGAUGUACCCAGAAAUACCUGCUGUAUCCCCGGACUGGAGGGCGCUGGGGGGGCUGAGCGGCUCCCGGGCUCCUGCGGUGGCGGCCGGAGCAGUGGGCCCAGCGGGAAGGGGGGGGGGCAGGGUGAGCCCGCCCUCCAGCCCCUCUCCGCAUCGCACCGGACAACAUAUGACUGACUGCUCUGAGCCCGGAAGCAGAGUCCGCUUCCGGGCCCCGUUCCUCCUCCGCUUUGGCGCCAACCUGAGUGCGCCAACUGCCCCCUCCCGUCAGUUCUACGUCUGGUACACUCUUGCCCUGGCAGCAGCUUCACUCGUUCGUUUCCCCUCCCGUCCUGCCCCCCACUCCCUACACCUACUUCUUUACGGAUUGGCUAUACUAUUCCGCUUUUUUAGUUCUGGCGGCUUAGGUAAUUAGUUUUUCCGACAUCUUCUUCACUUCGUCAUCCCGAGGUCACGGUCGCCACGGACACCUUUCGGUCAUUUCUGCGUUUGUUACUCGCUUGCCCUGGCAGCAGCUUCAAUAGUGUGUGGCUCGUCUUUCCCCCCACUCCCCUACCCCCCAGGCACGAGUCGCAGCAGUACGCCUCCGCCAUUGCUGCCUAUCAGUCCGCGGAGUUCAAGUCCAUGUCCUCCAUCAACAUGCUCAACGUGGUGCAGUCCGCCAUCAUGUUCUGCGGCAUUGCCUCGGGACUGCUGGUGUGCGCGGGUAGGAGGGGGUUGUGGCGUGCGCGGGUAGGAGGGGUUGUAGGAGGGCUUAGAGGGUUGGGUUGCAUCAGUGCCCCCCCCUCCCCUGGGUGCAAGAGGCGAGGAGGCGGCGGCACGUGGGCGAGGACCUUGCCCCUGGAACUGGUUAGGGGGGCUGGCUGACUGCCGGGCUGAAGCCCCGGCCCAUACAUACAUACAUACAUACAUACAUACAUACAUACAUACAUACAUACAUACAUACAUAUAUAUAUACAUACAUACGUCCUCUAUGUCGCAUACCCAGGUGGUGUGUCCGCCCACGUGCUGACGGUGGGAGAUGCGGUGCUGUUCCUCAGCCUUAUGGCCCAGCUGUACGGACCACUCAACUUCUUCGGGUCGUACUAUCGUACCAUUCAGCAGUACAUGGUGAGUGUCGGCGCGCAUGUGUGUGUGUGUGGUAGUGUUCUUGGAGGCGGCAACGCCGUACGUCAGUACUGCCACGACCACACCGUGGUACAGAGGCCGCCUCUGUACCUUAGAACUACCGGGGACUGUGUUCACCCCCCUCCCCCUGGCAGCAGCUUCACUCGUUCGUGGUUCGUCGUUCCCCCCUUCUCCCCCCUUCUCCCCCCUCCCUCAGAUCGACAUGGAGAACCUGAUGGAGCUGCUCGAGCGGCGGUCGGUGGUGGAGGAGAGCCCGGCGGCCCGGGAGCUGGUGGUGACUCAGGGUAGGUGGGGGUAUUGUACGAAAUGAGGGGGGAAGGGGGGGAGGGAGGGGGGGUGGGGGGAGGGAGGAGGGGAGGGAGGGGGGGAGGGAGGGGGGGUGGGAGGGGGUGGGAGGGGGAAGGUGCGUUCAGUGUGUGUGUGUGCGUGUGUGUGUGUGUGUGUGUGUUCUCCCUCGCUCCCUCCGGUUGCCCCUCAACACAUUAUAAUAAACCACAUCACAUGUUGCCCCGCUCACCCCCGCACGCUCUUCCAGGCGAGCUGGUGUUUGAUGACGUGUCUUUCCAGUACGACCGGGGGAAUCUGGUGCUGCGCCGCGUGAGCUUCCGGGUGCCCGGGGGGAGGACCGUCGCGUUCGUGGGGGCGACUGGCAGCGGCAAGUCCACCAUCACCAGGCUCAUAUUCAGGUGGGGGGGAGGGGUAAGGGGGGGGAUGCCCGUAUGUCUUAAUGAUCUGAGUGUUGCGAUGAUGGAAAUGCCAAGGAGGGUGCACGUGUUCGUAUGUAUGUAUGUCUAUGUGUCCUUGGUGGCGCCGUAGAGUGCUGCAGCCGGCCAGGGGUUUCCACCCCUCCGCUGAGCCCUCCCUCCCCCCCGGGGCCAUAUCGGGGUGAGGGGACUGAGCGGCUGCUCCGUGUACACACAUACACAUACACACACUUCCCCCCCACCCCCGGGUGCCCCCUCAGGUUCUACGACGUGUCCUCCGGGGCUAUCCGUGUGGACGGUCAGGACGUGCGGGAGGUGACCCAGGCCUCGCUGAGGAGGGCGGUGGGCAUGGUGCCGCAGGUGGGGGUGAGGGUGGGGGUGGGGGGCCCUCGCCGGGACAUACAUACACACGUACAUACAUACGUACAUACUUGCAUGGGGGAGUAAGCUGAGUUCGUUGCCUUGUGCUCGGCACCCGCCGCCAGCUGCCCGUGUGGUGUGCUGUGGCAUGGCGCUGCUAGUGGGCGGUGGGGGGAGAAGGAAGGAAGUCACCGCCACCCCCAACCCCCACAAGCCUGCACGGCACACGGCGGGGCGGGGUGGGGUGGGGGAGUUGUUGACGGCUCGCCGGAGAGUCGCUCUGCAUUAGGACCAGGUGAAGUUUAUGUGUAUGUGUAUGUGUAUGUAUGUCAGAAGUGAAGUCCAUCCGCGUCAGACAUACGUACAUACACUUACACCCACAUACAUGCAUGCAUACAUACGCAUAUGUACGCACACAUACAUACUCCAAUUUCCUGCUCAGAUUUUAACAUCACCCACACCCACCCACACACACACACCCCUUGCUAUGCUCCGCAGGACACGGUGCUGUUCAACGACACCAUCAUGCACAACAUCCGGUACGGCAAGUUGUCGGCCACAGAUGAAGAGGUGCGCGUGCCGUGAAGUCAGAUGUGGGCUCCUGUGGGGCUGUGUGUGUGUGUGUGGUGGGUUGGAGACUUCCGCCCGCCCGCCCUAUGUAUGUACGUAUGUAUGUAUGUUGUUACAGGGUGGUUAACUUCGCCAGCGGCCCCCUUUCCCGGGGCAGUCCCUGCUCUCCCCUGCUAGAGGGGCACCCUAAUCCGUCACCCCAUCCGACUUCAGAAUGUAUUCGUUGGGUUCGGCAACUCACCACCAGCAUCCAACCAAAUCUAGCGGAUCAACGGCGCAUCAACUUAGUUCCUGGUUAGCUCGCAAGUUGAUUUUAUCACGUCCUACAUCGUCCAUAUGAUGGGGGGCCACCUCCCAUUUCAACACUCCUCAAACACCCGAGGAGCGGGCAGGCGGAUUUGAACCCGGGUCGGCCGGGAGCAGAAGUCAGGCCUUAACCUCUGCCAGCCGCCUGACUGUACGUAUGUAUGUAUGUAUGUAUGUAUGUAUGCUCGGACUGCAUCCAUCCAUUCCGUCGAUGACUUCAUCGCCUAGGACUCCCUCGGGGCAGCUUCACACUUUGGGCGGCGGCAGUGUGUUUCCGGGUUUCCCGCAUAUNNNNNNNNNNNNNNNNNNNNNNNNNNNNNNNNNNNNNNNNNNNNNNNNNNNNNNNNNNNNNNNNNNNNNNNNNNNNNNNNNNNNNNNNNNNNNNNNNNNNNNNNNNNNNNNNNNNNNNNNNNNNNNNNNNNNNNNNNNNNNNNNNNNNNNNNNNNNNNNNNNNNNNNNNNNNNNNNNNNNNNNNNNNNNNNNNNNNNNNNNNNNNNNNNNNNNNNNNNNNNNNNNNNNNNNNNNNNNNNNNNNNNNNNNNNNNNNNNNNNNNNNNNNNNNNNNNNNNNNNNNNNNNNNNNNNNNNNNNNNNNNNNNNNNNNNNNNNNNNNNNNNNNNNNNNNNNNNNNNNNNNNNNNNNNNNNNNNNNNNNNNNNNNNNNNNNNNNNNNNNNNNNNNNNNNNNNNNNNNNNNNNNNNNNNNNNNNNNNNNNNNNNNNNNNNNNNNNNNNNNNNNNNNNNNNNNNNNNNNNNNNNNNNNNNNNNNNNNNNNNNNNNNNNNNNNNNNNNNNNNNNNNNNNNNNNNNNNNNNNNNNNNNNNNNNNNNNNNNNNNNNNNNNNNNNNNNNNNNNNNNNNNNNNNNNNNNNNNNNNNNNNNNNNNNNNNNNNNNNNNNNNNNNNNNNNNNNNNNNNNNNNNNNNNNNNNNNNNNNNNNNNNNNNNNNNNNNNNNNNNNNNNNNNNNNNNNNNNNNNNNNNNNNNNNNNNNNNNNNNNNNNNNNNNNNNNNNNNNNNNNNNNNNNNNNNNNNNNNNNNNNNNNNNNNNNNNNNNNNNNNNNNNNNNNNNNNNNNNNNNNNNNNNNNNNNNNNNNNNNNNNNNNNNNNNNNNNNNNNNNNNNNNNNNNNNNNNNNNNNNNNNNNNNNNNNNNNNNNNNNNNNNNNNNNNNNNNNNNNNNNNNNNNNNNNNNNNNNNNNNNNNNNNNNNNNNNNNNNNNNNNNNNNNNNNNNNNNNNNNNNNNNNNNNNNNNNNNNNNNNNNNNNNNNNNNNNNNNNNNNNNNNNNNNNNNNNNNNNNNNNNNNNNNNNNNNNNNNNNNNNNNNNNNNNNNNNNNNNNNNNNNNNNNNNNNNNNNNNNNNNNNNNNNNNNNNNNNNNNNNNNNNNNNNNNNNNNNNNNNNNNNNNNNNNNNNNNNNNNNNNNNNNNNNNNNNNNNNNNNNNNNNNNNNNNNNNNNNNNNNNNNNNNNNNNNNNNNNNNNNNNNNNNNNNNNNNNNNNNNNNNNNNNNNNNNNNNNNNNNNNNNNNNNNNNNNNNNNNNNNNNNNNNNNNNNNNNNNNNNNNNNNNNNNNNNNNNNNNNNNNNNNNNNNNNNNNNNNNNNNNNNNNNNNNNNNNNNNNNNNNNNNNNNNNNNNNNNNNNNNNNNNNNNNNNNNNNNNNNNNNNNNNNNNNNNNNNNNNNNNNNNNNNNNNNNNNNNNNNNNNNNNNNNNNNNNNNNNNNNNNNNNNNNNNNNNNNNNNNNNNNNNNNNNNNNNNNNNNNNNNNNNNNNNNNNNNNNNNNNNNNNNNNNNNNNNNNNNNNNNNNNNNNNNNNNNNNNNNNNNNNNNNNNNNNNNNNNNNNNNNNNNNNNNNNNNNNNNNNNNNNNNNNNNNNNNNNNNNNNNNNNNNNNNNNNNNNNNNNNNNNNNNNNNNNNNNNNNNNNNNNNNNNNNNNNNNNNNNNNNNNNNNNNNNNNNNNNNNNNNNNNNNNNNNNNGGGUGGUUGGGGUGGGUAGUACCCCCUGUCGGGCAGUGGCGGUGAGGUGCUGGUGGUGUCAGAGGCCGCAGUCCGGGGGCUGCAGUCCAGCUGGCUCGCGUGUAUUUCCCCCGCCCCCUGCCCGACCACUUGGUCGUCUACCACUUCCCCCCCCCUCCUUUCUGGGCUCCCUGACCUGCAAUCUCCUGUAGAUGUAUGUAUGUAGGUAGGUACCUACGAACGAAUGAUAAAAUAUGAAUGAAUGAAUGAGUGCUGGGUCCGUCUCACCCCCCCCCGUUUCACCCCCUUCACCUCCUCUCUCCACACACGCACGUACGUACAUACAUACGUACAUACAGAUGAGGCCACCUCUGCUCUGGACACCAUCACGGAGAAGAAAAUCCAGGUGCGCGUGUAUGUAUAUCCGUGGGCUGUGGGCCAGGGGAGCCCUCAUGGGUUUGCCGUACAAGUGCAGCCAUGUUCCAGGUUUUCCUCCCUCCUUUCCCUUAUUAACCAGUUUGGGCCCAGCCUCUUGAAUGCCGCCGCCAGGCCGGCGGCCUAACAGCUCACGUCAUCCCUUUCUCUUCUCACGACAGUUUUAUUCCUCUUUCGUCGCCUUUACACCUACCUUCUCUAACUUACGGCUUGGCUUUACUGCGGCUUUCCUCCGCGAUCAUUUUAGUCUUGGCAGCUAGGUAGGUAGGUAGGUAGGUCGUCACCGCUGCAUCAUCACUACUCCUCUUCGGUCUUCGGUCUUCUUCACAACCGCCGGCUGGUCAGUUCUGCUUCCUGUACAUCUGCCGCGGAGCACUCUUUCCUCCUGGCAUCAGCUUCACUCUUUCACGUGGUUCGUCUUUCACCCCUCCCCCCCUCCCCCUCCCCCUCCCCCCUCCUCCCCCCUGGUCGCAGUCGGCGCUGACCGAGCUGCGCUCCUCCCGCACCACCGUCAUCGUGGCCCACCGUCUAUCCACAAUCGCCGAUGCGGACACGAUUGUGGUGAUGUCGCUGGGCCAGGUGGCGGAGGUGGGGGACCACCUGGGGCUGCUGGCGAAGGGGGGCCUGUACGCGGAGAUGUGGGCCCGGCAGGCGGCGACAGCGGCGGCACAGGUGGGUGUGGGGGGUGGGGGGUCGGGAGGGGAUGCGUUGUGCUCGCGUUGGCAGUCCGGGGUAGGGGGUUAGGGGGGGAGUAACGGGGGAGAGAGGAGCGCUCCUGCCAGCUCACCCACAUGAUAUACACACCGGUACGGCUCUGGUGAGUGUGUUGCGGCUGCUGUCUAACUGGCUGCCUCCUUAUACUCCUGGUCCCCCCCUUCCUCCUCCACUUCCUCCUCCUAUUCCUCCUGCUGCUGCCUAACUGGCUGCUGCAACCCCCGGGUUACUCAGGGCGGUGAGGACAGCGAGCGAACAACCUCACGGCCGGGCAGCGCAAUGGACCUCACCCGCCUCGGCAGUAACAACAGUAACGGGGCGGCAGUGGCGGCGGCCGGGGGGCCGGGGGGGGCAUCAGCAGCACCCGCUCCAGCCCCCACCCCACCCACCGCCGGCACUGAGGCCGCCGCUGCCGCUCACAUGACGUCCUGGGGCGGUACGGACGCCGCCGCCGCUGCCAGCGGCAGGGGAGCUGUGGCGGCCGGCGGUACGGACACUGCUGGUGUCGUACCGCCUGCUGCAGCGUCCACCCCUCAGCUCCCUCCCCACUCACCCGCACCUUCACCCUCUACUGCCCAGCUGAUUGGCGGUCAGGACGCGGAGUGUGAGGGUGUGGGUGAGGCGCCGGCAGGAGGAGGGGGAGGAGGGCUGGGCAGUGUGGGCGGUCCGGAGGCUGCGGGGGCCGCAGCUGAGGCCACCGCGGCGAUGACUUCAGCAGCAGGUGCCGGGGCGGCUGCGGUAGCGGGACGAGCCACUGAGGCGGCUGGUGAUGGUGGCGGUGGGGGUGGGGGCGGGGCGGCGCGGUUGGUAGCGGAUUCCGGAGCUCAGAUUGGAACAACAGCAGCAGCAGGAGGAGGAGGAGGAGGAGGAGGAGGAGGACCCUCCGGCGGGCGGGGCGGGGGUGGUGGUAGUGGUGGUAGUGGGGGUGGUAGCGGUGGAAGGGGCGGUGGAGCUGCCUCAGGGUCGGGUCGCGGGGGUAAGUCUCGCAAGGGGCGCAAGUAGGCGGCGAGGAAGCCUCCUCCUCCCAAGUAGGGGCCGGAGACCAGCUGCAAGUGGACUGAAGGGUUUGGUGGCAGGUGGUGGGGCUUCACCGCUUGGUGGGCCCCCCCCCCCAGGUGCCCCGCCAGGUGCAAUCCAUAGCGCAACCGCGGGAGGCCGAUGCCCCAUCACUGGCGCCGCGCGUAGCGUAGCGUGUGGCAGGAGUUUGGGUUACAUGCACAUGACCCAGGGUAUAUCCAUCGUCCUUGUGUGUGGGGGGGGAUGAGUUUUGGUGUGGUGUGUGUGUGUAGCGGCUGUUGGGGGUGUUCGAGGGUGCAGGGCCGGAAGGCCCUCGAGGGAGGGAAGUGGCGGUGGCAUGAUGGCUCACGAUAACGAUGAAGGUCGCUCACUCGCGGUGUGUCGCGUGCGUGCACCCCUCUGAUGUGCCCAUCACUACUGCUACCCCGCUAAAGUUGCCUUCCUACCAUGGCCCCUUUGAAUUGUCGAUAGCGUUAUGGGGGCGGCGCAUACAGCGAUGCGUGCGGUCCAGGUCAUAACGAGCUAGCUCUGGGCCAACGGUGUUAGUGGUACGACGGUUACCGGCACAUAAGCCCCACAGCGCGGGGUGGGUAACACGCAGGGGGGCUACUUGUGUGUGUAUGUGUGUAUGUGUCUGUCUGUUUGUCUUUCUGUCAGCAGCGGACAGGGCACCUGGUGCGGUGAGGAGAGCCCCAUAACGAGCAUUUGGUCGUGUAUGACUCCCAGAAGGCCCAAUACAUGAAAUGGCAGGUUGUGCAUGUGUGCAUGUAAUGCGGCUCAUUCGCGCCGUCUGGAGGCCGUCGGGGUCGUUAUGACGUCAUCGUGCAAGGCACUGUACGGCAGACCAGACACGGUUUGGGCCAGAGGAAGAGGGGCCGACAAAACCUCAUUCCGCUGAUAUUGUGGAAAGCCGUGCGUCCAUACAUAUGUACAUACUUACAUAUGUACAUAUGUACAUACAUGCAUACAUACAUGUGGGCGCCCACGGCUUCACCCGUGCUGGCCGUGCUGACAUGCAAGGCAGGCCAUUGCUUCAUGGGCAGGUGGCGGCGAAUAUGUACAGUGAUGCAGUGCGCUGCGGUGUGGUGUGGUGUGGUGUGGUGUGGUGUGGUGUGGUGUGGUGUGGUGUGCAUUGCAUGCGGUGGGAAUUCCUGCAGGAUGUGUGAAUGCUGGCUGCUGCGCAUUUAACUUACAUACGUCGCGGCUAGCCGCAUGGUGCCGCCUCUUCCCACCGGCAUCGCUGCUCAAGGCGCCCUCUUGUGGGUGGAAAAUUGAAACUUAGAUGUAAUAAAAAACCCACAUCGUAAAUAGCUUUAUUAAUCAAAUUAGAGUCCAGAUGGCAGCGGGGAAUUUGUAUGAGGGUCGGCACGCUGCAGUCCGUUGUGUUGUGUGUAUUCAUCGGAUUGGGGGAGGGGUAACGCCAGGGCCAGGUGGUCGCGCUGCAAGGGGGGGGGGAAAUGCCCCAGCUGCCCCUCAGCCCGCACCCUCAGCAGUAGUGGCUAACCGCGCGCGUACUCCUUGCUGCACACCGGCACAACAGGCUGCCUAACAAACCGCGCACAUUCACAUUCCGCAAAUCGUCACCACCCACCACCACCACUACCUACGUGGUUCGCUGCGUUUUCACAUUUACGCGGUUUGGGGACGUGAUCGUCCUCUCACGGCAGACCAUAUACCGUCUUUACGGGCAAGGAGCGCUGCUUGCAACCGACUGGUUGCCCAGUAAGCUGUUGCCAAGUCAAGGAGGCCCCACCCACUGAGUGGGUGAGUGCUGACCAGGGCCUGGAGUGAUCACUCCAUGUUGAAUACCAAGCAUUGGCAUCAGAACAUCAGCAAAAUAAAACAAUACAGACCCAGAACUAAAAAUUUAAAAACGUGCGGAAACAACCCCUCAACGUGGGCAACUUCCAAGGAACGCGCCUGAGCGAAAACCUGGGAAUCGACCCGCAAACCACCCCUCUCCCCCUUCUUCUGCAGUACUCUUUGCUGGCGCCCACGUGUUAGCGAACAAGAAAACUGAAUUGCGCGGCCAAGUCCGGGCCUCAUUCGACCCGUGUCGAUUAGGUCUUUCGACAUAUUGCCGCCGUGUUUGUCGAGCGGUCGAAUCGGGCCCCGUCGGUCGUAUCGUAUUAUCGCUUUACCAGUACGUUUAUAGUCCUUGAGCAGUUUGCGCGCUAGUGUGGUGGUGUAGUGCACUACAAGGCUAUCAUUUAUAGGAGUCAGAAUUUCGCUGAAAUGCGUAAAAAUGAGGGAUUACAAACUUAGAGAGGGUUUUAGGUGAGGUGAGAUUCUUGAUCAAUGAUUUCACGCAAAGCGCAGCUGUGACUCAGCUGGCCUUUCUGCAUACAUUUGCGCAAUAAUAUACGAUGUGUACAGUAAGUAGACCAGCAAGGUUUGUGCGGUUCGGGCCGAAAGGGUUUGCGCCCGCCAUUGGGAUAGCGCUGUGUAGCCGUAGCAGCCGAACGAACGCCCCGAGUGUGUAAAGAUAUUCCGCUCUCGUGUUUCAGUAAAAGCUGCACCUCAUAUGAGACAUGCACACAUUUGUGCGCCAUAAACGACAAACUUCCGCUUUGUAAGCCGCCACAGGAAUGCUUUUGCUUGGCUUUCACAGGAAUGACCAUCUUUCGCGAGAGGCAACGCCGCUCACCGGAAGGAGGUGCGUGGGGGGCACACAAUUGUGUCCUACGUGCCCCGCUGUAGAUAAACGUUUGCUGUUAACACAGCUAGUUUUCUGAUAGACGCGGCCAGCGUUGUGCGCCUCUACGAUAGGCCCCAGGCAACCACACUGCUUGUAAGCGUUCCUUAAUCGCAUCUGCGCACAUCGCCACAAACUAGCUACAAAUAAAUAUCAAAUUAAGAACUGUUCGUAAACUAGGCACCCCGAUCUUGGGUUUGCAGCUACAUGGCCCGGCACGUGCGUCCUCGUUGGGCCGGAUGGGGCUCAGCGUGUAAUGCGCGGGUAUUGCAUUGGAUUGGCCCACAGCAUCAGCAACUAGCACGUUUUUGACAAAAGGCGGGGAUGGAUCUCCGUUGAGUUGUGAAUGUUUUCGGGGAGGGAUAGAGCGCACGUGGCUUGUUCCUGGGCGAUGUUUGUCAUCGAGGUUUCUGGGGUACCCAAUAAAAAGGUCAUCGGGGAUAUUGGCUUUGCCUGAUGACCUGUCGAACCUUUCGGUGACCACACGCAAGUAGUCCAAAACCACAUGGAAAUCCGAAUUGCACGACAAGGCAGCACAUCCAUACGUAAGCCCUCAGAAGUUUCGAUAUGUACCCAUUGAUUAUUUUGAAAAUGAUAGCAGUGGGUACUGUAUCAUAGUUUGCCAGCAUGCCGCAGUGACAAGUUUCGGAAAGACCUGGUAGCCAUCUUUAUUAUCGUAGGAUGUUUAGUUUGUAAUGUCUUGUAUGUUACGUAAUUAGUCGGAAGCCAUGUUGGAAAAUCCCAUCGAGCGUGUGACGACGCGGUCGAUGAGCCGGCAGAAGGUUGCGCAGCUGCCGGAGAGGAAGCCCAGCAGCAAGCGAAACAUUUCAGAAAUAGAAGAUAAAGCACAUGUUAAGUUGACAGAUCUAAAAAGUCCUCGGCUUGCAUCUUGCGCAAAGCCCUUAGCGGCGCCCACCGCGACUACUACGGCGCCCCAGGACAACGGAGGGCCCUGUGGACUGCAUCAGUCAACAGAUGCAACUGCUAUGCGGCCAAAUGGAGACGUCGUUGUCCAAUCCACCGCCAUCGCUAUCUCUGCCGACACAGCAGGUCAAGCCGCCACCCGUAAGCGACAGCGUCGGUAUCCACCACCCGUAAGCGAGCCGCCUCCAUCACAGCUGCUACAACACCCGCUACCACAACCACCACAACCACCACCUCCGGAACCGCAGCAAGGCCCGCAUCAGAUCCAGGCCCCCAGAGCACCGCCGGCCUCCUUCCAUGACGCAUGUCAGCCGUCCUGCUGUGAGAUGGCCACUAUACCUACUGCCGUACACCCACCCUCACUGGCAACCGCACAGCAGUUGGCGCCCGCCACUGCAAACGGCUCCUGUGAAUCAGGUUGGUUAGUUGGUUGAUUGGUUAGUUGGUAUGGCAAAGUGCUGCCCCAGCGCACGUAUGUGCAAACAAAAACAAAAUCGCGAUUUGUUUUCAUCAGCCGGUACAUCCCCCAUAUACCGGAUACCAACUCAUUAUCAAUACUGGCACCACUUGUACAACCGGUACGCAGUUGCAGGCAGCGAAAUCUGCCAUGUAUCCAAUAUGGUUUUCCUGUCCGGCCUGUCCGCCAGAAAGUACAUGAAGGCCUUAGAACACAGGCGACAAUCCGGCUGAAGCCUUUGGCCGGUUUUGCCUUUGCGUGCCGUCUGUCACUCUUUAGUCCCUCUGCCGGUGUGCAGUGCUUUGUUGUUUGUUUGUAUGUAUACCGUUGCUCCUGCUUCCGACCGUUUGGCCCUCAUCCCCCGGCGCCCAUUUCUUCUCCUUCGCUGUCCCACAAUUCAUGCGGCCAUGGAUGGAUGGAUGGAUGGAUGGAUGGAUGGCCAUGCAACAAUGCCUUCAGAAGCUGCCAAGCCACUCGUGGCUGCAGAGGCUCCGAAACCACCACCCGCGGGAGGGCCAGUUGCUAUCGAAGUCCCAUCGCCCCCGGAGGCACCAGUAGAGGUGCCAGUAGAGGUAUCACCGGUACCGGCGGCUGCAUCGGUGCCGUCGGUGCUGCUGACCGCGGUCGCCGGCGGCAUGUCGUCCACGGCGCCCCGCUGCCCCACCACCGCUACCGCUGGGACCCCUGGGACCAAUGCAAUGAACUGCGGCGGCGCCGCCGCCGAGAUACAGCCCGCCGGGUCCAUGAUCUGCUCAUCCGCCAGUGCCUUACAUCAGCACGUCAUCAGCUGCGCGUCAGCCGCCGCCGCCGCCGCCGCUGCCGGCACUUCCGCAUCCACCUCCGCCGCGAGCAGCUGCCCCGCUACUGCCGCUAUUGCCACUGCCCUUACGGCUGUUGGUGCUACUGCCAUUCCCGUUGCUGGUGCAGCCGGGGGUAUGGCUGCUGGUACGGCGGCCGCUGUUGGCGCCGUCAUGAGCAGCGGCAUGGCGUUGUACCUGCAGCUAGUGGCGGAGGCCGCCGCCGCUGGUGGUGGUGUCGGGAGUCGAGGCGGGAGUCGGGGCGGUGGCGGGGAGCAGCAGCGGCCGGCGGAGGGCAGUCGGGUUUGGAUCAAGGUGUGCAUCGAGGUUCGGGAGGGCAGAGGGAGAGGGAGACGGAGACGGUAUCGGACAGAGCAGGCGGGCUGAGAACCAGGGGGGGAAGGGUCGGAGGACAGACAGACAGACAGACAGACAGACUAACAGGCGUACAGCGGGGGCCAUGCAGCGAGGGGCAUGUCGAGCACACAGACAUCGGUAGUGUGAUGAUGCAGCGGGACUGAUUUUCAGUGUUCAGGCGGCCGCGGCGGCGGCGGGGGUAUGUGAGCACGGCCUCAUUCAGGCAAUUGAAUUCAAUGUCAAUAUAAUGCAAUGUAAAGCAGGUGAGGUCCCUGCCGGCCUUACUCAGCCAAGGAGAACCCCAGGGGAUAUGGAUGGGGUGGUUGGGUGGUUGGGUGGUUGGGUGGUUGGGUGGUUGGGACAUGUAUGACAUAACAUAGACACCCGGUUCAACCUCUCGGCCCGCUGGCCCCCCGUGCAACAAACCUAUCAGAUGGCUGGCUACUGCCACUGGCCCGCGGUGGUGUUUUCACUUCGCUACUGCCGCAAGUCUGAGGUUCCCGACCUGCUGGCGAGCUACCAACCCGGUCGUACUCUCGUACAUUUUUACGGUACGGUACAGCAAAUGACACCUGGUGGGAAAUACGGUCUAACAGCUACCUGGAGCCGUUUGUUUGCAAUCGUUUGAUUAUAAAGCAGCGCCGCAUAGCGGCUAUUCCAUUAUCUGGCACUUAGGGCACUUGGUUUGUUUGUUUGUUGUUUGCAGUUGAGUUUUAACAUCGAACGGUCGCCCACCAUUUCUCAUGACAUAGCUGAGCUGAGCUGGGAAAGCUGUACCCAAAUAUCAUCGCAAGUGUAUGAAAUUCGUUUUUUGUCAUGCAUAUUGUUGUUACGUGCAUUACGACAAUUAUUGCGUACUUGCGGUUAAACGUUUCUGCUGCCACCGGCUUGAAGCUGUCGGUGUGGGCGCCGUAAGCCGCGCAACUGUACAACUGGCAAAUAACAGACACAUGACACGUGACUGACCAUUAAUAAGGAUCAGCGCCCACACUGGUACUGCGGAGGCUAUGCGCUCUGAGGAUGUCGCUAUCGCCGGAUUGCAGCAACUCCAGGACACUCCGUAUCGACCGCAUUCGCGACCGCCCCGACAGCGAUGAAGCAACUCCUCCUCUUGAUGAUGACCCUCCCUCGCAAAUUGCACCUCAUUAUAAAGCGGCGUAUAACGCAAUCACGAUACAUUUUUACAUUCUUAGUAUGUUCUUAGUUCUUGGGGUUUUAGGUUUCUUCGGCUUUAGUUCUUAGCCUGGGUGCAUGGGACCGUCCGGACUUCCCCCCUACAUAUAUCUCGUUCACGUACUAGCGGGCACCUCCUACUAACACUCCUACUCCUACUAACAUUUCGCUUCCCAGGCUCCCAUGACCACGUGUGGGCCACUCAAGCAUCGCUGUCGUCCUGGACCACGGAAAGGGAGGUCCGCCUAGCCGCACUCAAGGCGGCGGCGAGGAGGUGAGCGCGAGCUGGGCGACUGAGCGACUGAGCGCGGGCUGCUGAGCGCCAUUGCUGAGCGCCAUGAGUUGAAUGGUGAUGUGCACAAAUCACUGCCCUCAUCACGACAUCCCGUCUGCCCGGUCGAGGUCCUAAGCAGCUGCACCAGCAGCACCAGCAGCACCAGCAGCACCAGCAGCACCAGCAGCACCAGCAGCACCAGCAGCACCAGCAGCACCAGCAGCACCAGCAGCACCAGCAGCAAUAACGUGCUCUUUUUGACCCCCACUAGCUAGCUAGCUACCUAUCACCUGGUCCGGCACUUGUACGCUGUUGCUUGUUGCUGUUGCCCACUGUCAGACGGUACGGUGCUUCCGGCCGAGCUAGGAGUAACAAGGGCUAACUAACCACGCACCAUCGCUCUCAAUACGUUACCUACCUACCUAUCUAACCUACCUACCUACCUACCUACCUACGUACCUACCUACCUACCUAUCUAACCUACCUACCUACCUAACCUACCUACCUACCUAACUGCUCUUGCCAACCGCUUCUGCCAGUCGAAGCUGCCUCACCUGCUAUCUGCGCUAUCGCCUACACAUAUUCCGCAACCCCAACUGUCAUACACCUGACCCCCCCUCCCCUCGCGAUCUCACUCACCCACUCGCCCAUCCAAUGCAUCCAUGCAUCCAAAUGCAACAUAGCUCCAAAGUCGCCGCUGCCACCCUGGCUGAGCUGAGCGGCUCCCUGGGGGCUAAUGCCGCCUCCGACCGCGGGAGGGAGCUCGAGAGGGUGGUGCAGAUGCGGGAGGUGGCGCUCGGACAGCCGCUGGGCGGGAAGGGGGGUGGCGGCAACAGUGGUGGCGGCGGCGGUGGCGGUGGUGGCAGGAAAGGCGGGAAGGCGCAGUGCGGUGGAUGCCGCGAAAGCGGGACGCAGGUGGGGAGCGGCCUUUACAUUACAGUCCAGCUACAUACAUACAUAUACACAACACUUGCCGCUCAUAUGGGGCAUUGGAAAACGCCGCAGCGUGCGGCCCCAGCGUCCUCAUCCAGCCACUACCACGCACGCAGUUCGCCCACCACCGAAACACCGCAACUGCCACCGCGCCUGUCACCACCCACAUCCUUUCCGCAAUGCCGUGCCGCAGGUCACCUGCGCGUCUUGCCGUACCGGCUUCCACACGUUGUGCCUACCGCAGCCCGACCUCAGCCCGGCGCACAUGCUGGCAACCGCAGCACUGCUUUCGGCGGCAACGACAGAACAGACAGCGCAGCCGCACCCUAUCCAACAGCAGCAGCAGCGGCAGCAUUUAGUUGUGGCCGUGUGGAUCUGCGGAGUUUGUGGGAAGCAGAACGAGGUGAGCGCCGGUGCAGGCACGGCACGAGGGCAUGUGUGAUGCAGGCUGGGGCAGAGCAAGUCGGGGGAUGUGCCUUCAUCAAACAAUUUUACAAGGGGGUUACAAGUUCCUGUCUAAUGCGGGCCCCGGCCAUAAAAGUCCCCGUGGAAGAGGGGACCCCCCGUGGACGGUCAGGUCACUAGCCAUUACUGCGGCACCCCGUGUGAGGACGUCGACGGCCUCCUCUCCCGCUCGCCUGGGUUCGGAGCGCCCGAGCGCGAUGCGCCUGUUGGUCUCCUGAGCAUACCUCCGAUAGAGAAAACUAGCCAUACAGCUACAGGGGGGGGAGUCCGCCAUUAUAGUAGCCAUUUCGCGCCGUUGGAAGCCCGCACUAUGGCCCCCUCUUAUUACUGCUGCCCGACCUGAUGCCCAUGUCUAUGUACCACAUAAAGCUGCCCGUCGUCCCUAACACUCCGCCACCGGCAUCAACGCCACCCCGUACAACCCUUUAACUGCAACAGCUGAAGGGACCGGUGCCUGCAAGUGUUGCGCAUCGUACCGCCGCCCCGCCUCGGGAAGGUGGGUGGGUGGGUGGGUGGGUGGGUGGGUGGGUGGGUGGGUGGGUGCGGCAGGUGGGUGGGUGGCCGCAGGCAGCGGCAAGCAGGACAGUCUGGGGGUGGCAGAUGUAGGCGGUUUGAAUUCGUAUUGCGUCUCUACGUAAUCCACAACAUACGUGUGUGCGCGGAGUAGGAUACAUAAGGACCCGUAUGAGCGUCUGCAUGUGCGUCUGUAUGUGCAUCUGUAUGUGCGUCUGUAUGUGCGUCCGUAUAUGCGUCUGUAUGUGCGUGUGUGUGUGGAUGUGUGUGUGUGUGUGUGUGUGGGCUGGACUACUGACUGCAGUCUAAAGGCACUACGGCACUCGCCUGCCACUGCUGCUGCUGCUGCUGGUGUCGACAGCCGACUUCAAAGUCAAGUAACAGCAUGCUGCAGGGAGUUGAUGAUAUGCGCAACAAUGUCGCCCACUUCUGCUGAUAUGAUGCUGAUAUUGUUCUGCUGAUAUGUGCUGAUAUGUGCUAAUAUGUGCUGAUAUGAUGCUGGUAUGCUGAUGGUGGUGUUGGUACUGGUGGAUGGUGGUGCACACACAGGAGGCGGCGGUGGCGCUCCCCGAGGCGGUGGCCGCCCACCGGGAGGCGGGUGGAGGGCGGGGGACGCAGCGGGAGGGGCGUCGGGGGCGUGUGGUGCCGGCACUGGCACUGGCACUGGCACUGGCACUGGCAGCGGCGGUGCCGACCUCAGCCCGAACAGCCCACAGCUGCCGCAGCCGCAGCAGCAGCCCCAGGUCCCACAACACGCGGAAUUACUGGCGCUGUACGAGCAGCUGGUGGCGGAGGAUGAGGCACUAGAGGCCUCAGUGGCAGCAGCAGCAGCAGAAGCACCAGCAAUACCAGCAAGGGAUAUCGUACAGGUAGAUCCUCAAACAGAAUUCGUAACUGCAUUCUUCACUACAGAAAAUGCCUCAGCGGGUGCCGGGAAGAAAAUUGCCGUACCGGUUUCAGAGCCGAGAUCUGGGCCGUCAUUAUUACCGUCAAUCGGCCAACUGCAGCUCCAGCCACCCGCGGCAGCAGCGGCGAUGGGCGCCACCACUUCCGCAGCCGCUACAGCAGUAGCAGUAGCAGCUAGCAGCAGCAGUAGUGGUGCUGUCCCCGGCGGCCAGGGGUCGAGGCCGCCGCCGGGAACCAGGCUCUGGGUAAAGGUGGGUUCGUGCACUAGAUAACCAGCUAACUAUGAAAUGUCCGUUUGUGUCUUUGGGCAUCAUGGCUCUUAAUAUUCAUUGUGCAUGAAUACAAGACAAAUCCGUGUUAAGGCGCGACACAUUUGUCGUUGCAAUGCAUAAUCACUUCCUCUCUAUUUAUGAAAAAGAGCGGAAUGAUAAUGACGAUGGUGGUGAUGGUGUUGAUAUGUUUUGAGGGCCCCCCCUGCCCUUGCAGACCCCGGGCUACUGCCACUGGCCCGCGGUGGUGUUUUCACUUCGCUAUUGCCGCAAGUCUGAGGUCCCCGACCUGCUGGCGAGCUACCAACCCGGUUGUACCCUCGUACACUUUUAUGGUACGGAGUUCCAAAGGAUUUAAAAGAGGGUACGGAUAAACACGCAGUUACAACAGUGCUUGACUUUACGAGCCGCCGCCGCCAACGCUGCCGCCGCCUAGCAUACAUCUAAAUUUCUCCACACACCUCACUACUACCCCUCACCUGAUCCACGUGCGGUACGUGGGCCCCGACGGAUGCAGGGGAGCACAACCACAUGUGGCUGCCCGCAGAGGAGGUGGCGCUGCUGGCGGCGGCGGCGGCGGACCCGCGCGAGGAGCAGGAGAGGCGGGAGGGGCUGGUGGCCUGGACCAGCAGGAGAAAGAAGGGGNNNNNNNNNNNNNNNNNNNNNNNNNNNNNNNNNNNNNNNNNNNNNNNNNNNNNNNNNNNNNNNNNNNNNNNNNNNNNNNNNNNNNNNNNNNNNNNNNNNNNNNNNNNNNNNNNNNNNNNNNNNNNNNNNNNNNNNNNNNNNNNNNNNNNNNNNNNNNNNNNNNNNNNNNNNNNNNNNNNNNNNNNNNNNNNNNNNNNNNNNNNNNNNNNNNNNNNNNNNNNNNNNNNNNNNNNNNNNNNNNNNNNNNNNNNNNNNNNNNNNNNNNNNNNNNNNNNNNNNNNNNNNNNNNNNNNNNNNNNNNNNNNNNNNNNNNNNNNNNNNNNNNNNNNNNNNNNNNNNNNNNNNNNNNNNNNNNNNGGGGAAGGGGGAGGGGGAAGGGGGAGUUCCUGCUGGUCCAGGUUAAGAGACGGGCGGGUAGCCGGCAAUAGCAGGCGAGGCGGUUCCGUGCGUUCAUGGUUCAUGGAGGGGUUGGGCGCCUGUCACUGAGUGUGCUCGCGACCCUUUUUACAGAUGCUUCGCCUGCUGCACCCUGCCCUGCAGGUGCGGGGGGGGGGACCCCAUCCGGAGCGGAACCCCAAAAUCCAUCCCCUAACCAGCAAGCCCUUUCCCACCCCAUCCCCAACCCCCUCCAACUCCCCCACCGCAGUGCCGUCAGCGGCCACACGGCCCUGGCGGAACUGGAGGACGCACAACCUCCUCUGCCACCCCCUGAAGCGGCUGCGGCGGCUGCUACCACUUCCCCUGACUCCACUCCAACUCCAACUGCUGGUACCCCCUUCGCCGCCAUGGCCGAAAUGGGGAGUGACAGCAGUAGUGCGGGACUUAUGGGUGUCGCCUCCAACAGCGACUCCAACUCCAAUCCCACUUCACCCUCCCCUUCCUUCCAACUGCCUUUCGGACAAGAAGUACAGCCUCUACCACCUCCUCCUCCCCCUUCUCCUCCACCUCCACCACCUCAGCAGUCGGUGGUAACCCCGGGCCCAGUCUGGGGGGGCGCUGCCCGGCGGGAAGUGGUGCGGGUGGUGGCAUUGCGGGAGGCGCGGAUGGCGGCGGAGGAGGAGCGCCGGGAGCAGGAGGCGUGGGAGUUGCUGCUCACGGGGGCCAGGGAGGGGGCUGCGGCCACUGCGGGACCUCCAGGCGGCGGCAGGCGGGGAGGCGGAGGCGGGGCCCCGGGGGGCAGUAGCGGCGCUGGGUUUGGGGGUGCGGGUGGCGGCCGCGAUAGAGAUGGGCUGGGGAUGCGUGCUGCGGGAGGUGGCGGGGAGGGCGGUGUGGGCGGGUGGCGCUCCCGGCUGCGAGUGUGUGCCGCCUGCGAGGAGCCCGGAGGCCAGGUGUGUGGAGGGGGAGGCGUGGGGGGGUUCCCAGGACUGUGAAGAGAGGGAUGUCUGGAGUACCUGCUGCGACCCACGCGGUUCUUUCUUUCCGGGGCCCCCAAUGAACCGUGCUGUGUCUGUUGGGGAUAGGGAGUAGUAGUGCUGAAAGCUAGAGCGAGAUUGGGAGAGCGGGUUUUCCCCCUUUGGUGGGCUGGGGCCCGAAGCACCUGUUCUCGGUCAAGUAACACCAACCAUGAAGUGCCCUUGCUUGUCUGUCUGUCUGUCUUCUGUCUGUCCCGCUGUUGGCCACCCUAAGCUGCGUCCGGGUUGAUUGUUCCCUUACAGAUAUGUAAUGCUUGACCUCACGGGCGAUAUGUAUAUAUGUAUGUAUAUAUGUCCGUGCAGGUGAGCUGCCCGCACUGCCGGCGGGCCUACCACACGCUGUGCCUCACACCACGCUGGCUAAGCCCCGCCUUCAUGCCGCCGCACCACCCCUGGACCUGCGCCAACUGCGGUAGCGAGAACGAGGUAGGCCCCGUGUCUGGUGGGGUUGGUCAGUGAAGGGUUGGGGGGCCAAGGCUUGUGUGUGUGUGUGAGGGGCUGGGCUGGGUGGGUGAUGCUGUAGUAGUGGAGAGCAGUGGUGCACCGCACCAGGAGUGGGCGCUGGGCAUUGAGCGCUUGGCAGGGUCCUCGAACCGUUGAGAUCGUUCACUGAGGUACGGCACCCGACUGACCCCAUCACCGCAUGCCACCGUGUUAAGGACCACAGCGGUGGUGGGCGGUGAAGGCACCGCAUGGGGGUCCCUUCACACCUGUACAGCCAGUUCGUUGUACAGCUGCUGCUGCUGCUGCUGCUGCUGGUCGCUGUUGUCGUCUUUGGGGCUGUUGGUCCGCGGUGCUCGUUGUUCGCUUUGGUCGUACAUUGUCGUACAGUCAUGUUGCUGGUUCUUUCCUUCGGUUCCUUUGGGAACCGCUGCUUGGGAACACCACUCCCCUGGGCCUGCCUAACCCUAGCCCCAGCCUUAGCCCUGGCCACCUACCACCGCACACCUACAGGCAUUCUUUAUGUGCACGAGGCCCUUUCGCCUCUUUUGAGCCCCAUGAUUUUACCCGGUCCCUUCUCUUAUUCUCAACCCCCACCCUGCACCCGGACUCCUGCACAGGCCCCCCAGGGACCCCAGUCCAGUGGCGGCAACCAGGAUGGUUCACUGGAGGCGGGUGAGUGAGUGAGUGAGUGAGUGCCCGCGACCCAUAGGCCUAGGCCCGCAGGGGAAGGGUGAUGUCUGGAUGAUGCCGAUAGUGCUCGGGGGAGGUCGGGAGGGGGAUCCGUGUAGAGAGUGUGUGUGUGGGGGGGUGGGGGGAUGGGGGGAUGCGUGUGUGCGUGCAUGUGUGUGUGUGUCGUGGUAGGUAACACUAGGGGGCCCGUUCCUAUGGUGCGUCUAUGUGUAUGUCUGCAUAUGUAUGUCUGCAUCAUGCAUGUCUGUAUGUCUGUAUGCAUGUAUGUGAGCCCUCCUCUGCGCUUGUGUUUAUGUGCACCAAGGACAGGACUAGGAGGGGCUCCCCCGCCCCCGACCCGCCCCACACACUUCCCCCAUGAAACCCUCCAACAAACCCUCCCAACCCACUUUCCCCAACUAAACAGAGCGCAUGGGUCUGACCCCCGACUGGAUCAUCAUGGCAGCGGCCUUCAAGGUCUUCCAGCUCCCGGUGAGGCGGGGAGGGGAGGGAGGGGAGGGUCAGGGGGUGCGGGUGGGGGGGAUGGGGGUGUUUGAAGGCUGUGUUUAAAUGUGGAGUUUUUGUUACACAAAGGAACACCGACGCUUGAAGUGGAUACCAGCGAUAGACCGUGGGGGUUGGCUGGGCUAGGGUAGGGGGUUGGUCAGGGCGGGGGUUGGGUGUUCAGCAAGUAAAGCGACAUCGUUGCUGCGACAUGGUGGCCAUCUGCCACGUGCCACCUAGCCGCGAUGGGCUAGGCUAGGCUAGACUAGGCAACAGGGGCCCCGACCCCGGGACCAGCACGGUUAGCAGUCGGGAACCCAGAACACAACGGGACAGGCGGUCAACCUCCUUAAACUGCUGCAGGGUAGGUUGAAGAUGCGCUUGCCUGGUAAGCUGCAGAGCUGCACCGAUGGGGCUCGCGGCGCUCUCACACUGUUGGUCAUCCGUGGCUACAUCCACCAUGCUUUGUUGUGGCUCCAAGUUCCUCGCCACCCGAUGACUGCCGACUGCGCGCUGCUCGGGGCACCAUCAUCCAUUAGCCAGGGGUGUUAGCCAGCAGGCCAACAUCUCCGGGGCCGACCGGCCAGUCAGCCAGAACGUUUCAAGGACUUGCCCGUGAUCGUGUUUAUGUCGCUUUCUUAAUGACUCUUCCCCCCUGCCGACUCCCUCCUCCUCUCCCCCCCCCCAACCCCACCAGCGCCCCACCGCCUCUGCCCCCUACAUCCGGGGCCUGCUGGACCCUUGCACCAAUAGCAAGGUGAGCAGGUGGGGGUUGGGGAGCCUGGGGGAAGGGGCUGCUUAGGGUAGGCGCUGCUUAGGGUUGGGGCUCUUGCACUGCUGUGCCCUCCCCUCCCUGCUCGGCGCUGCUAGGCCAGUGUUAGGCCAGUGUUAGGCCCGUGUUAGGCCCGUGUUAGGCCCGUGUUAGGCCCGUGUUAGGCCCGUGUUAGGCCCGUGUUAGGCCCGUGUUAGGCCCGUGUUAGGCCCGUGUUAGGCCAGUGUUAGGCGAGUGUUAGGCCAGUGUUAGGCCAGUGUUAGGCCAGUGUUAGGCCAGUGUUAGGCCAGUGUUAGGCCAGUGUUAGGCGAGUGUUAGGCCAGUGUUAGGCCAGUGGUUUCUCUAGGGAGGCGGAAUCAUGUUUGCCCUGCAGCUGGACAGGAUCCCUCCCCUCUACCUACCUACCUACCUACCUACCUAACUACCUAACUACCUAACUACCUAACUACCUACCUACCUAACUACCUUGAAAGUGGAUUUGUUCCCCACCCCCUGAACAACAUUUGGAUACAUUCCCCGGCCGGAGGGCUUGCGAGCCCAUCACGGGAGGGGGAGGAGGGGGCGGGGGAGGGGGAGGGGGCGGGGGAGGGGCUCUUCACAGCGGAGCACCUACGGCUCUACCCCCCCCGGCAUGUCUGUGGCAAUCCCCGCCCGACGGCUUGUAACGGUUUGACACCGCACAUGCACCCAUGCGCAGGCAAAUCCGAAUAUUCCCGCUGAGAAGCUGUACGACAAGUCGGAUGACGGUCUCAAGCUGUCCAACAGCUGGUCUGGCUACCACGUCAUUCUGAAUCCCGAGUACACCUCACAGACUCAGUGGAGGUUCGUGAACCGGGCCAUAGAUGAGGUGGAGAACGGCUGUGUGCCCGCAGUGCUGCUGCUGUGCCGCAACUCCACCGACACAGCGUACUUCCAGAGACUGCGGCCCUACCCCAGAGUCAUGCUCAAGAGGUAGGUGGCUGGCUGGCUGGGAAGGAGGAGUAGAGGGUGGCUGGCUGGCUGGCUGGCUGGCUGGCUGGCUGGCUGGCUGGCUGGCUGGCUGGCUGGCUGGCUGGCUGGCUGGCUGGCUGGCUGGCUGGCUGGCUGGCUGGCUGGCUGGCUGGCUGGCUGGCUGGCUGGCUGGCUGGCUGGCUGGCUGGGGGGUGGCUGGCGGGCUGGGAAGGAAGAGCCCGGGAGGGGAGGGCGGUGCAGCGCGAGUGCGCUUCUAACUGCGUUACCAUGCAGCCUUUACUGCAUUACCACUGCCUACAUCGCAUACAUCUGUUGGUACAGAGUGGGAGGCUUCUGGGCCAUUUGAACACAUUGUCAAUUCUACGAUUUAUCACACCAUGCAGCACCAGCCACCAUUACCACACUGCACUACGCCGAAUAUGCAUUUCCCAGAUGCCCUAUCCUCCGUUCAUUCCCCCGGCCCCACUUCCCGCCGCAUGGCCCCACCCUCCUUCAGGACCAGCGCCCGCUUCAAGGACUAUGAGAAGACCCCCAUCGGCUUCGGCAUCGCGGUGUUCUGUAUCGCCCCGCGGGGCCCGGGUCGGACGACCCUCUACCGGAGAUUCAUUGACGCGUUUGGAGACUGGGGGGAGCCCAACAUACCCAUUGAUGCGGGUGUGUGUACGUAUGUGUGUACGUAUGUGUGUAAUGGCGGGGCCAGGGGAAGUGGGGAGGAGGGGAGCGGGAAGGCUGCGUGCAGUUGCAACACGGGGGUGGCUGAGAGGAGGGGCAUGCGGGACUGGGCUCUGGUAUGCGGUGGCCAUGCGCCUAUCGACGGCCCCACCCUCCCUCUCCCUCCCCCUCCUCCCCACUGGGGGGUUGGGAGGAGCACUUGCAUACCGACAGCCUUUCAGUAUCAGCAAUGCAGCUUUCUCUCCUGGCCAGCAACUUUACGCCACUUUUACGUCAGCACAUUUUUUUCUCGCCGCCUUCACUACUUUUUCUACACCUACUAGUUUACGGUUUGGCUAUAAUAUUUCUGGCGGCUUAGGUAGGUAGGACUUCCAACAUCUACGUCAAUUCUUCAUCCCGAGGUUACAGUCGUCAUCCCGAGGUUACAGUCGUCACAGUCGCCACGGACGCCUUUCGGUCAGUUCUUUCGGUUGCUACUAUCUUGCCCUGGCAGCAGCUUCAAUCGCGUGUGGUUCGUCUUUCCCCUCCUCCCCCUCCCUCGCCCUCCCCCUAGGUUCCCACCCUUCCCAUAUCGCUCAAAACUGACCAGUUUCCAUUGACAUGGGGCACUGUGCACCAACUGCCACCAACUGCCACCAACUGCCACCACGCCGAGCAACUCUCCCUUUCCGCUCUCUCCUGCCCUUGGCCUCAUGUUUCGUCUUUCUCCCAACCUCGAGCAGCCUUCGUGUCCAGCCCCGCCUUUUCGGAGCUGCUGGACCGCCUGGCGGACCACACCACCCGGCACAUGCGGGACACCUGGGUGCAGUGCAGCGCGUGCAGGAAGGUGAGGGAGGGUAGACAGGGGGCUGGGCGGGCAAGAGACAGGGGGGGCCCUUCCCCUCCCCUCCCCUCCCCUUCUUUCUAUCCUACAAAUCUAACGAAUCGAAUGUAUCCUAUGUAUGUAUCUAUGUAUGUGCUACCCCAGUGGCGCAUUGUGCCGUACGAGGUGUACCGGCUUCUGGAGGACCAGCAGCGCCAACAGCAGCCCCAGCUCCAGCUCCAGCUCCAGGACCAGCCGCAUCAAGUUGCGAGCCAGGAGGAGGAGAGGGAAGCGGAGCGGCGGGAGGGCAGCCGUGACGCAGGGACCGGGGACGACACGCCGCCGCCGUCAGCAGGGGUACCGGGCUUAGGGCCAGUUCCAGGUCCGGGUAUUGAAGCUGCUGAAGCUGCUGGCGGUGCCGGUGCCGGUGCCGGUGGCAGAGAGGCAGAACGGGCGAGGGCGGUGGACCGGCGGCCGCUGCUGGCCGGGUCCUGGACUUGCGCGCAACUCGGGUGAGGAGGGUCCGUAGGUGGUCCCAGGGGGGUUACACACGUAGUACGGAUGUACGGAGGGGGGCCCAGGGGGGUUAAGCACGUAGUACGGAUGUACGGAGGGGGCCUCCCAGGGGCCAUAUGAGGGUCGCUCAUGUGGCUGUGUGAGUGUGGCGACCUGCAGCCGAUGUACACCAACUUUUAACCUUCCCGUCUCCCCGCAUUGCCCCCUUCCUCCCCCAAUCUCCUCCCCCCCCGGGUGGUGUCGCUGCUGGCGGUGGUUCGCAUGUGGGGCCUGGUGGGCCUCACCUCCUGUGUGUGUGUGUGUGUGUGUGUGUGUGUGUGUGUGUCUCUUAGCUCUGGCUCGGGCUGUUACCGCCCUCAGAGCCGGGUGGAGGCCGCCGGAGUGCACUACGCCCGGCAGCGGGGAGCCCCGCGACCCCCAGGAGCCCACCGGGCUGCUGGGGCGGGGCCGGUAGGGGCUGGAGCUGGGGGUGGAGCUGGGGGUGGGGUUGGGGGUGGGGGUGGGGGUGUGGAGGGGCCCUUCCCCAUGUGGCCGCAGGAGCCACCGGAGCCACCACAGUCGCCACAGGAGCCGCCGCCACAUCCUCCGGAGCAGCAGCAGCAGCAGCUGCAGCUGCAGCAUGGGGGCGGACCAGCUGCGGGUGUGUGCGGGCCGUUGCCGGAGGAAGGGACUCAGCCGGAGGGGGCCCCCAAGCACCCGCAGAAGCACCAACAGGGGGUUGUAGUGGCAGCAGACCAGGCUGUGGCAGUAGCAGUGGCAGUAGCAGCAGUAGCUGAGGCAGUAGCUGGGGGACUGCUGUCCUGCCUGGACGUGGGGAUCCCCCCCCCAGGUCGACCAGCACCAGCACCAGCACCAGCACCAGCACCAGCGCAGGUGGAGACACUGUCCGGAGGGGGGUCUCAAGGGCUUGCCGGGGAGUUUGGUGUCGCGGUUGUAAGGAGGGCUGAAAGGGGGAUGGUGGGUUUGACGGUGCCCGCAGGACUCCUCCCCGCGCCACCGGAGGGAGGAGCCGCCGUCGCGGAGGCAUUAAUCGGGGAUGCUGGGGGGAGUGAUAAGGGAGCAGUGCCAUCAGCGGCAGCGACGAGCGGCGGGGCAGUGCUACCGGCAGAUGCAGAUGCAGAUGCCCUGGCGGCCCCACCUGCUGCUGCUGCUGCUGCUGCUGUGUUGGUGCCGGUCCCGGUGUUCCCCCUUCCGGACGACAUGGAGACGGAGGAGAAGGGUGACCAGUUGUGCCACUUGGGGGGGUGAGACGCUGACUGAUGGGGUACUUCCCCUGCCCUGCCCUUUCUCUUUCCGCAUCCAUUCUCCGGGGUUGAGGGCGGGCACGGAGGGGCACGGGAGGGGCACUCCCGCCACCCCAUGCCCUCAGAAGACGGCCUCAGAGAUACCGACUCAAGAGGGCCUACAGGUCUGCAGUAGCCGCUGACCGGAGGAGCGCACUCAGGAUAUACAUACAUACAUACGUAGGCAAAUGGCUGGCAGAAGUUAAGGCCUGAUUUCUGCUCACGGAGUUUCCGGGUUCGAAUCCGCCUGCCGACCUCUCGGUGUGUGAGAGGUGCUGAAUUAGGUGGUGGAUCCCCCAUCGUAUGGACGGUGUAGGACGUGAUAAUCAACUUGCGAGCUGACCAGUUGUGGCGCCGUUGAUCCGCUAGAUUUGGUUGGAUGCUGGUGGUAAGUUGCUGAACCCAACUAAUACAUUCUGAAAUUGGAUGGGGUGAAUGGGAGGGGAGAGCAGGGAACUGCCUCGGGAAAGGGGGCCGCUGGUGAAGCUAUACCACCCUGUAACAACAUCAUACAUUGGAACGGGUGGAUUUGGCCUUUUUGUGCCGUGACGGCAACAGGAAGGAGGAGGCGGAGGAGAAAGGGUCGUCAAGGUUAUCGAUAUCGUCGUGGUGGAUGCGUUAAUUAAUGUCGGUUUUUACCGUUGACUCUUGAACAACGGUCGGCAGUUCACAGUGUACCAUAAUACGACAGGACAGGACCUUGUGGAACCGUGGAGAUGGACCGGCAGCAGCCGCCGCCGCUGAAGUCACGAGGGGAGCGGAGGGGAGGGGAGGGGAGGGGACUAUUUGGUCAUUCCGAAUGAUGACCAGCGGGCGGGUGAGUGGUGGGUGAAGGGUGAGUGAUGACCAGCGGGCGACCAGACAGGCAACCCAGUGUACGGCGACAUACAUAUUCGCUGCUACUUACUCCACCGAACGGUACGCCCCAUAUGAUUGGUCGCACACCUACCGGUGGUGCACUGCGCGCGUCGUAAAGUUAUGUAGUUUUGUUCCUUUUUUGUGGUGCUGGUGCGCUCUGAGCAGAGCGCAUUCAAGAGCCAACUGACAACGGGGUCCAAUGGCCCAACGGCGAUUACGUGAUACGUUACAGUGUACGGCCGGUUGGUUGGUCGGUUGCUCGUAGUUUACACUUUUUGUGGGACACGUGGGACAGUUAUGGACAGUUGCUCACUAAUCCGGUGCAGGUUGGCAGACGGACGGUUAAUUUGUUAGUUAGACUGUACGGCAGCUUUUGGGCGAAAGACGACAAACCGGUGUCAGAAACCUCGACGUUGCUGCACUGUCUGCUCACUUGGCACAUACACCGGUUAGACCCACCAUCCAGGAGGCGUCCCGACCCGACCCGACCCGACUCCACACCCAGCCCGGUGUGUAAAUCGGGGUGUAAGCCGGGGGCUAUGGAGCCAAUUUGGAACGACUUUCGUCCCCCCGGGGGAACUCGUCGUUACCUCUAUACACAUGUCAUGUGCUGAGGCUGUUUAUAUGCUUGGACUGGAAUCAUUUCUUUGACGUGGACGGUGGACUAUGGGCUACGACUGCUGCUGCUGCUGGCUAUGGUAGUGUGUCUGCUGGCUCCGCUUCACCCGCGACCAAUCGCGGCGCCCGCUGGACUACUGGCUAUGUGCGGUGCUAGCACCCACCUACACCGCUAGUCGGCCCCAGAUCCGUCUACCGUCCCGUUCACGCCGCGGUGUUGGGUUGUGUUGUAGAUAUCGGGGUGCGGCCGUUGCACCCCCUAGGGGUCCCCCCAGCAGUUUAGGUGGUGGAUCCGUUUCAGAUCCUCUCCAGAACCCGCUACCCCUCAGGGAAAAGGGGGGAGUUAAAGCGGGGGCCAUAUCGUACCUAAAUGGUAUGUGUAUGUGUAUGUGUAUAUGUAUAUGUAUAUGUAUGUGUAUGUAUAUCUGGUGGGGGCCGGUGAUGGUGGGGACAUGCCGGCUUUUCAGCAACAUUCCCUCCAGCGGCGGCGGCGGCAGCAGCAGCGGCCUGCAUAGCGACCCCGGCCACUCGAUCUCCCAGAUGUGUACGGUACGGUACGGUAUGGUACGGUAUGGCGCAGUGCAUCCCCUUUAAGCGAUGGACCCGUGGAUCAGCCUUCGUUCGCUUGGUUGUGAGUGUAUUGUCGUACAUCUUGACGGCUAUUAUAGCGUGGUCUGCCUCCCCAAGUGGCCCUUCUUUGUAACAUGAAAGCGCGACAUCCACGCACCUACUUACAUACAUACAUACACGUGCACAACCCAGCGGACCGAUCAGCACUCCGUCAUGUCUUCGACGUAUGAACACCGUGUUCACUUAUACCCGGGGGGGUGUACGUAUAUAUAGUUAUGUGUAUGUGGUGGUGUAUAUUGUGGUUUAUGUUGCCAUACACAUGGUUGGUGAGAUGUGCAGAUAGGGAGCCGCACGAGAUAGGGAGCCGCACUGACGGGUCGCCACGAGCAACAUCCAGAUAUCAGCUUCCGUUAGUGGACCGUUCAAGUGCCGUACUGGUCACUCAGCAGUGAGCUGCAGCUCGAAGGGGCUUCAGCAACUACCCGCCCUGCCCUGCCCGUUGCAGGGUCCAACACAGCACAUCGGGGUUGCCUGCCAUCCACACCCGAUAAUGCGGUUAUCGGUCUUAUAAACAUUAUUCUUUACUUAGUUAUAGCGUGUAUAUGAACUUACGACACGAUGGUGUAGUUGGUUAUCACAUCUGUCUCACACACAGGAGGUCCCCAGUUCGAUCCUGGGUCGUGUCAUAUUAUGGAACUCCGGAGGCAUCUAUAUUACUAUGUUACAACAGGUCAGGCACUACUGACAGCGCACACACCUAUGCCCCCGGGAGAUUCCGCGCUCAAGACCUGUCUGGGUCGCAAUUCCUUCUGAUGGUGGAAGGUAAUGUAGAGAUCCUGAGAGCUGACCAGGAAUACAGUCGAGCCGCCGUUGAUCUGAUUACGUUGGAUGCCAGUGGUUGAGCAACCCACUGAGAAGUUAACUGGGUGACUGGAUGAGGGUGCCCCAAAAUCCCGGGGAAGACAGGGUUUCGCCAGGUACCGGCCACGGGCGGAGAUAUGAACCCCCUGUCUCACACAUCGUGCAUGCAAGUUGGAGACAUCCAAGCCGGAAGCGAGGGUGCUCCCCUCAGGAAGGGUGGGACGGGGAGGAUGAGGAGUAGGAAGAGGCGGACACACGCACGCACACACACAUGCACACACACGCACACACACGCGCACACACGCGCACACGCACACACAUAUACACACACGCACACACACGCACACGCACACACACGCACACACACAUACACACACGCACACACGCGCACACGCGAACACACACACAUACACACACGCACACACACACGCACACACACACGCACACACACAUACACACGCACACACACGCACACACACGCACACACACAUACACACGCACACGCACACACACGCACACACACGCACACGCACGCACACACACGCACACGCACGCGCGCACGCACGCGGGAACAAUAGCCAGCCAGCCAUACCGCCUGGUCACCCAGGGGUGGGCCCCCUGUUGAUCUACCCAUCUGGCGGGUUGCGAUGGUGUAUUGUGGUGGUGUGUUGUCCUCACUCACUCACCACUCACCCAUCUCCAUGCGCCACCACCCAACUCGCACGGACCGUCGCUGCGCCCGAAAUCCUCAUCCGCCACUAGUGUGUACCCACCGCCUGAUGCCGCCUCAUGUCGACAGUAUCCACCGUCGGUCUGUGCUGUGCAGUGCUCUACGCAACACGUGUAUUAAUUACAUUAUGUAUGUGUGUGUAGAUAUGCUAGACCGCUGGUCAAGAGCGCGUGGAGUCCUUCGCCAUCACCUCCUGCACUCCCAUCCAGCCACACACACACACACACAUCCCGAUCCCUCCCUUCGAUUCGCGGGGGGAAAAGAGAGGGGCGUGCGGUGAUAGCCCGUCCGACUACAACUCGUCAUGCGGUUGUGGCGAGGAGGAUGCCCCCUCAGUAUCAUCACCUUCAGGUUCACUGCCGACGGACGCCACCCCAGCAGCGCCAUCACCAACAUCGGGAUCGGCACCUGCAGCCUCUGCAGCCUCUGCAGCUGCUGGCUGCCCAGCGGGCUUCGUCCGCACCUCCAUCUGCUGCAUGGACUGCGCCAGCCUCUCCCGCAGCCCGGCCUCAAAGUCCGCCUGCGCCACCAUCGCCGCGAACUCGGGCUCACCCGCCAGCAACCUCCGCAGCCACGAGGGCAUGCGGGCCACUCCAUUCUCCCGGGCGUAACGCCGCAGAGACUCAAGGCGGGAGUCCUCACCACCACCACCACCACCACCACCACCACCAGCACCGUCACCGUCACCACCGUCACCGUCACCACCGUCACCACCCCCAGCAACCCCCCCACCCCCCGCCACCUCCGGCUCCUGCUCCGCCGCUGUGGAGCCCUCCUGCUCCGCCGCACCAACAGACCCCGCAUCGGCAGCAGCAGCAGUAGCAGGCAUCGACACCGCCACACUGACAGCCUCCACACGUGACGCAGUAGCAGCAGUGGCAGUAGCAGCAGUGGCAGUAGCAGCAGUGGCAGUAGCAGCAGUGGCAGCAGCAGUGGCAGUAGCAGCAGUGGCAGUAGCAGCAGCAGCCGGGGUGCCUGCAGCCGGAGGGACCUCCUCCUCCACUGCCGCAGAACGGGCAGCAGACGGAUCAGUCUGCUCCUGCUGCUGGCCCCCCUGUAGCUGCCGGUGCUGCUGCUGCUGCCUUGCAAUCCACUCUGUCGCCAGCGCCGCGUGCAGGGCGGCCCCCAGCGGCAGCUGGUCCUCAUCCAUCCGGAAGCGGGGGGAGUGCAGACCCACGUCGGUGCCCUUGGCGGGGUCGCCAAUGCCGAGGAAGGUGAAGGCGGCCUGGCAGCAGGGGGAGGGGGGAGGAGACGGGCGGUAGGGGGGAGGGGGGAGGAGACGGGCGGUAGGGGGGAGGGGGGAGGAGACGGGCGGUAGGGGGGAGGGGGGAGGGGAGGGGUGGUGCAAGGAGAGGGGCAAAGGGAGUGGGGAAGUCCCGCCCCACUGCGCAGAGGUCGACCUCAUAAUAAGAGGUAUCCCUUGCCCGCCUACCCACCCACAAGCCCAACUACAACCCCCUUCAGCUCUCUGACCUCCCCCCGCCUCACCACCUCCCACCCUCCCCACACACGCCCACCCUAACCCCCCUACCUGCGGCAACACCUCCCCGUAAAAUGAAAAGUCNNNNNNNNNNNNNNNNNNNNNNNNNNNNNNNNNNNNNNNNNNNNNNNNNNNNNNNNNNNNNNNNNNNNNNNNNNNNNNNNNNNNNNNNNNNNNNNNNNNNNNNNNNNNNNNNNNNNNNNNNNNNNNNNNNNNNNNNNNNNNNNNNNNNNNNNNNNNNNNNNNNNNNNNNNNNNNNNNNNNNNNNNNNNNACCUCCAGGUGGCCCUUUGUGGCGGGGGGACCUCCCCAAGAAGGGGGCCGACACCGGGCUGAGGGUGCUGGGGGGCCCACUUAACCCAGAGCCACGCGGAUGCUAGAUGAUCUCCCCCUCACCCCUCACCCUGUGUGUGUACGGCCCCUCUUUGACCUGUGUGUACGGCCCUUGUGGCCUGAACCCCCAAGUAACGACUCCCCUUCCUGUACCGUCGUACUGCGCGGCGUGUCCUAGGGAAACCCAGCGGCUUUAAAUGGGGCCCCGAAAUGGUGGUGGGUGUGGUGGGGUGAUGGGAUGGUGCGUGUAUGUAUGUAAUGUAUAUGGGGGGGCCGGAGGGGACGGCCUCUGCAGACCUGAGCUACAAGAGGGGAGUUGGGAGUUGGGAGUUGUGGGAAGGGGCCACCAUGCAGCCCCUGCUGGUCCCCGGACACCGUCCCUGACCACACCAGUGUUUUCAAAACGUUUUUACCGUGGUAAUUCUUUCCCCCGCUACCCCCCAGGGAAAUGGUAAUUCUUUCGUGACCAAGUGGUUACUGUGCGGGGGGUUUUCCUUUCUAGGUAACCACCUUGCACAGGUUCUUCCCAGCGAGUAUGCGGAACUGGAGCCCACUAGAACUGUACAUCCAAAGAUCCAACUUUGACUCUAUGUACGGCUCACUGAAGCAUCACUGCUCCCAUCUAAGCGUCAAAAACAUUUCUAGGUGGUCACUACCACUGCGGGGGUCUGUGGCCCCCAAUAUCCUUGCGACCACCUGGUUACUGGCAGGUGACUCGAAACAUUUCCUAGUGACCACCUUCUGGAAGGGAAUUAUUUUCCCAGUAACCACUUGGCCCCUAGUAACCACUUUUAAAAACACUGGACCACACCCCUCCCACUCCCCGACCCGUACAUACCCGAGUUGGAGGGUACGGCACCUCGCUCCACGUCAUGUUGUCUACGACACAGCCGUACCCCGCCGCCACCCCAGCCGCCAUUUGCUCCACACGGUGGUGCAGGCGGGCGAAGGUGUCGGCCGUAAGAGCCCGUACAGUGCCGGACAGGUGUACGGCGUCGGGGAUGACGUUGGACGCGCCCGGACCGGUGUUGAACCUGCGGGGGCGGGAGUGGGGGCAGGGGCGGGAGUGCCGGAAAAGCUGGACGUCAGCACACAACUAUGAUUACUCAGUUGCAGCGGCUGGGUCAAGACACGCGCGCACUAACAGACAGACAGACAGGCACGGCAGACAAACACGACACGACACGACAGACACGCCACAAAACUGACAUCAAAUCACCCCUUACUGUGUUUUCCCUUUCCCCUCCCCCUUCCCCUCCCCCUUUCCUCUCCCCCCCCUUUACCUGGCCACCGUCACCACCGCCGAGUCCACGGGUGACGUCUCUCGCGCCACCAGCGCCUGCAGCGCCACCACCACCGCCGCCGCAGCCACCACGGGGUCCCGGGCCGUGUGGGGUAUGGCACCGUGACCCCCCACACCCCGCACCGUAAAGGAGAACCGGUCGGAGGCCGCCAGCAGCACACCGCCACGAGUGCCGAUCACACCUGCAGGUGGGGGGAAAGAGGAGGAGAGGAGAGGAGAGGAGGGGGUGUUGGUGCCAAGCGAGGCUGUACGGCAGGGCUGUGUCAAAAUCGAACUGAGGCCCUAGCGGCGUUGCGUCCAAGGUGCCGCAGCCGUCCUCAUGAGUACCCAUCUGAUGCAUCACUAACUAUAACUGUAUCCUGACGUGCCCGUAAGAAAGUGUGCGUACAGUACGACAGGAGGGCGAAGGCGCUGGUGUCUGUCCCCAGACCCCCCCCCCGCUUGUGACGUGUCGUUUGCCCCUUUCCACCCCGCCAUAAUCCCAACCCUCGCUUCCCCCUCACCUGCCGGCAAUGCUGGCCACACAUGCAGCCCGUGUAUUGCCCCCACCCCCCUGACAGCCCCCCCUCGUAUCAUCUCCCGCGCUCCCCCCAUCCCCUCCUCAGCCGGCUGGAACAGCAGCACCACUCGACCCCCCAGAGCCGCCAGGGAAGUCUCCCGUGACUUGAGCAACCUGAGGGGGGAGGGGUUGGGGGAAGGGGGGGGGAGAGGGGAAGUUACCGAUAACGAGGGAGGCACACAAAACCCCUGGAGCCCCUCUGCUCCAGGGCCCAGAUGGCGGGGGUGGGGGGUUACACAGCAGCAGCACAGCAGCAGCAGCAGCAGCAGCACAGGGCCAGAUGCUAACCUCCACCAACAACCCAACUGACGACUCUGAAACUAGGAGGACACAGGGAAACCCUCUCUCUCCCAAAACCAUCCAAGGCCCUCAAGCCUCAACCACUCACUUGGCAGCACCCAGCAGCAUCGCCAUAUGGGCAUCGUGACCGCAUGCGUGCAUGCGACCAGGUGUCUUACUUUUGUACAGCACAUCGUCUUCCUCGGUUAUCGGCAGGCCAUCCAUGUCGGCUCUCAAUGCAAUGGUUGGGGCGUCCUCGUCGGUGCUGCCUGAGGAAAUAGUGUAAUUAUGGGUCACGAGGUUGGGCUCUAGGUGAAGGAGGUCUGUGUUAAUUGUCGCCCGCCUUUAAAACCUAUGCAGUAGCGCUAGCAUCUUGUUCGACACCGUCCACAUGGAAGAUAGGACCUUGUUGCCCUUAAUCCAAUAUAAAUUGCUUCAUCGUGACCUAAUGGCAUGCUGCGUUUGGCCCUGUCCUGUGAACUUCGGUGCGCACCAAACCAAGCAACUACACAGCUCACCAAGUGGCCCAGCACGAAUUCCUGUGCCAGCAAUAGGAUACUCAUACGGGAUGCCAAGUUGAUCGAGCUGUGCACGUAUAUAUUGAGAUGUGUUGAAUUCUGAGAAAUACAAUUCUGGCAUCGUAUGCAGCUCCCGUCGCCAUUUCAACAAGCUGUCAAAUAUUUCAGGACUAUUUGAUUCUUCCAGGUAAGACGCAUAUGCUUGGCCAUGCGCAAUGCACGAGUACUGUGCACAGAGCACCCAGAUGAGGAGCACACUAACUGUAGAUACUUGCAUCGCAGUAAAGAAACUCCAAGGACACGAUGAUUUGAAAUGUAUGCACAUAAACCAUCCCGGAAGUCUACCGAGAUAGAAUCCAACUGAUCGUCUCGCUGUGCGCGAUCACAAUUCCACAACGACCUAAGAACGCAACAAGGGCCUUACUACUAGACAGGGCUUUCCUACUCACCAGCCAUAUACACAGAACUCGUUAUUUAUUACUUUAUAUGUGCCUCUCAAACAGCUCGAAUCGUUGGCCUUCGGUGUAGCGCAAGCAUAUUGCUUGCGGCAGCCCCGAACACUCAACCAAAAGCGAUCCACCCUGCAAGCUUCCGCCUUCAAAUAGCAGUAAGAGUCCUGCACCAGUCACUUUUAAAAUUUUAGCUGAAAUAAGCUCUUCACGAUACGUUGUCGCUCGUCCACCGGCUUGACAUCAUCGUCGCGCACACGCCAUACCCCAUGUCUUCCAUACCGUACAGGAAUAUGGCUCUCAUGCAAACGACCCAGCUUCCUUCCAGAUCUUCCCACCUGCCGACCGCAAAGUGGGGCACAGCAGCUCGCGGCCCGCGGCCCUUUUGCUCGGGAGGUGCGCCCGCUACCUCCUUUCGCCCUCGAUCCCACCGUCCCACGACCGCAUCCGCACUGCCCGCCGACGGUCAGGCGGAUGUCGUCAUAGUGGGAGCGGGUGUAGCGGGCCUCAGCUGCGCGGUGACUCUGGCCCAGCGCGGUGUGAAGCCGAUUGUGCUGGAGGCGAGUGACGGAGUGGGCGGGCGGGUGCGGACCGAUGUGGUGGAUGGCUUCCUGCUGGACCGCGGCUUCCAGAUCUUUCUGACGGGUGAGGAAAGGGAGGGAGUGUGGCUGUGAGGGGUUCGAGCCGAGCCGGGGAGAGGGUGGGUUGUGGGCCCAGACGUGCGGCGCUCGUGUGUGUGCAAGUAUUAGCUGGCGUCAUAGCGGGUUGGGGUUGUGGCAGCCUCACUAGCCGUACCCUGCCGUACCCCACUUCACCCGCCGUUAAUGAAUGGAUGAAUAAAUGGAUCCCGCCCUUCGGAGACGCGAGCAUGAAGAGCUGUUGGACAUACAUGGCAGUACGAUAAUCAUAAUCAUCAUCGUAAUCACCACCAUGAUGACGCCAAUUCCCCUCCGUCCCCACGCGGAGGGGAUCACUACUCCCUCUUCCCUAUCACUACUCCCUCUUCCCUCCCCCCUCUCCCCCACCCCCGCCCCCCCCUCGCAGGCUACCCCGAGGCCCAGUCCUCCCUGGACUACUCGGCUCUGCAGCUGCGGCCCUUCUAUGCGGGGGCCCUGGUCUGGCAGGGCGGCUCCUUCCACCGGGUGGCCGACCCGCUGCGGCACCCGCUGGACGGCCUGGCCUCGCUCACCAACCCGGUGGGCUCGCCGCUGGAUAAGGUCCGGGUGGGGCUGUUUAGGUGAGGUGGAGGGCGGGGAAGGGGGAGCGGGAGAGAGGGAAAAGGGGGUUGGGGCUGCGGGUGUUGGAGCUCAGCCAUCCCACUGGGCAGGUGGGUAGGUGAUAUGAUUUUAUGAAUUCCCCCACAACCAAAACCCUGUCGCUCGCUCUUUCCCCCCACCCAAACCCCACGCCUGAAGGCUGAAGAGCUUGUUGGGCAGUUUGGACGAGCUGCUGGCCCGCCCCGAAACCACCACUGCGGAGCGACUCAAGGUGGGGCUGCGGAGGGAAGUGGGGGGGGAGGGAGGGAGGUGGGAGGCAGGUGGGAGGGAGGGAGGGAGGCCCCAUAAGGCGCCAAUAAGGAUCAGGCAGGGUGCGGGGGCAGGGGGCUCCCGGUGGAGGUGACGAACUCCCCUAAGUACUUACGACACACACUGUACUGCACACGUGGUGACAUGGCCUGUCCCAACGCCCUCUCGCUAACGCCACCCAUGUACCCCAUACACCCACAUACCGAACCACCGGCUUACCUGCCAACUGCCAACCGCUAACUGCCAACCCACCCGCAAUCCUCCCCUACCAGGCCGAGGGCUUCACGGACGCCAUCAUCCUGCGCUUCUUUCGCCCCUUCCUGGGCGGCAUCUUCUUCGACCGGCAGCUGCGCACCUCCUCGCGCCUGUUCGAGUUCGUGAUGCGCAUGUUGGCCACGGGCUCCAACUGCCUACCGGCGGGGGGUAUCGGGGCGGUGGCGGAGCAGCUCGCGGGCAAACUGCCGCAGGGCGCCAUCACACUGAGUGGGUGGUACUGGGGGACGGGAGGGAAAGGGAAGUGGGGGAGGGAAGCGGGGGAGGGGGAGGGGAGGACCCGUCCGCACUCCGCAAGCCUACCCAUGCGGCCAGCGCCCUACUGCGCAUGGAGCCACACAGCAUCACAGCGACGUGGUGGCCUCAGCACCCCGGCCCGCCCGGCCCCCUACCAGUGCCAACCCCUUUCCCCCAUCCCGCCCUGUUCCCGUGUUCAGACGCGCGGGCUGAUGCCGUACGCGGUCGUGAGGUGACCCUGGCUGACGGCACCAAGCUGACGGCUCGGCGGGGGGUGGUAGUGGCGGUGGAGGGUCCGGAAGCCGGCCGCAUACUGGGGGGCGCUCUCCAGGUGGGUGGGUGGGUUGGGGGAGGCGGCUAGGGCGGUUCCCGCGCCUGGGGCCCUGACCCGCCUUUCCCGUCCGGCUAGCCCUACUCCCGGCCCCCUACUCCUGGGGCCCUGCCCGUGUCGGGUGGGUGGGUUGGGUCUGCUAAGGACUUCCGCUGGACACCACUUCCUAUCACCCCCACCCUCACCCCCACCCGCACCCGCAUCCCCACCCUCAUCCCGCAGUCCUCUCCCAGCAAGCCUGAGCCGGGCGUGGGCACCUGCUGUGUGUAUUUCCGGGCUCCGAAACCCCCCUCCUCCGAGAACAUUCUCUACCUCAACGGGGAGGAUGACGGCAUCGUCAACAACUGCUGCUUUCCAUCCACCGUGGCGCCGUCGUACGCACCUCCUGGUCAGGUGGGUAGGACCGUACGGCGGGCGCCUCAUCCUGAUCAUGAUAAUCCGAAUGCCGGGAGAGGGGGGGGGGUGAUGAAUUGAGGGGAAAGAGAGAGAGAGAGAGAGAGAGAGAGAGAGAGAGAGAGAGAGAGAGAGGGAGGGAGCGACAGGCACCGAAGCUCAGCCCUUAAUAUGGCGGAGUCCAGCAACCAAUCAACUAACCAAUCAACUAACCAAUCAACUAAUCAGCCCUCAACCUCCUUCCUCCCUGGAGUCUAGGCCCUCGUGUCCGUAUCCACGGUGGGCACACACCCCGAGCUGAGUGAUGAGGCCCUGCAGGAGGCUGUACGGCAGCAGUUAUCCCGGUGGUUCGGGGCGGCGGAGGUGGCCACGUGGUCCCACCUGCGCACCUACCGCAUCCCAUUUGCACAACCUAACCAGGUACCGGAGGGGAUUGGGGGGGAAGGGGAGGGGAGGGGAGGGGAGGGGAGGGGAGGAGGGGGACAAGGGGAAGAGGGGGCCCCUACCACUAGCGACUGUAUACCUCCCCCUCGCCUACCUCUACCCCUUUCUACCUGCACCCUCACCAUGCUGCGGUCCAUCUCACCUCACCUGCCCUUGCGGUGUACCUGUAUCUUGGUAGUCCUCUCCCCUUAGUGCAUACCUCUGCGCUCGCAGUCCACAUCCAUGGUGUACCACUCCGUCACCCUGCUGCGGGUGCUGCUGCUCGGCAUUCGCUGGUCUCCGCCACCUCUUUGCCACCUCACACUGUGUUUUCUCCCCCGCCCUCUCCCCCUCAGGCCCCGCCCACCAACUUCAGCCGGCCCGUGUCCCUGGGUGGUGGUGUGUUCGUGUGCGGUGACCACCGUGACAGCGCCACGCUGGAGGGCGCCCUCAGGUCGGGGCGCAGGGCUGCAGAGGCGGUACUCAUGAAGCAGUGAGGCACUGGGAUGAUACAAUAGUAGCGGUAAUGCGACGGUGAAAGUGGGGGUAGUGGGGGUAGUGGUGGAAGUGGAAGCGGGCGGGGCGCUCUUGAGUACGGGGGUUCGGGUGGGGAGUGCAAUACACAGUGCGGCCCCCUCUAGCUAUAAGACUAUGAAAGCUGUACGGGGCAGGUGGGAGUGGAGGUGGAUUCUUGUGUGCCGUGAGGUGGGUUGCCCCGCCGGGGAGGCAGGUUGGGGAGGAAAGGUCGGGUGGCGCGUGUGGCGGUUGUUAACUGGUUGUUUGGCAGUAGUAGUACGUUUGUUUUUCGGUCAGUACCAGUUCGUCAUCAAGUGUUUCCUGCUCUCAUUAUGAGAUUUUAUGCAUUUGUGGUGGUGAUGAUGCUUGGUCUGAAGUACGGUAUCGGCUUGUGUUGAUUAACUCCCUCGAUGACCUCCUUGGCAAGUCGGACAAAUUGCGAAAAUGGAAGGUUUGCUACCAGGCGAGCUUAGCCCAGUCAACCGGGUGGGCCUCAACUUGCCUGACGACGUGUUCCGCUGCUUCGGCUGCACACAGCCCGCUUGCCAGGUUCAAAUCCACGCCCAUGUCAAGAUGUCGGUGCCAGACCAAACUCCAUGCAACUGCGUCCUUUUCCCCCAACGCCAAGCGAACCCCCAAGACCUUUCACACGUUCCACGCCUUUUCUUAUAGCAUAAACGCCGCAGCGCAGGGAUGCUAGAUGCUACGCUGCCCCGAGCACAACUAGUGAUCCAACACUGUCCGGCAAAGGCGCGCUGCUGUAGCCGGCCCUGCUACUAUCCCAAUAACGUACAGCACCCUUCACGGCAUCCUCUUUCACCAACGUCGAAUUAUAGCUGCUGGGCUCCGAAAAAACUUUUUACCGUUGCCUUUCCGCACAGCUUCCCGCGCCAGACCUUGGAUUCGGACAUUGGUUUUUGCCUCACAGCACGACAGAGCGGCUCUGCUGAAACACACCACCUCACUCCCGCUGCGCCCACCGAUACCCAUGGAAGCUACCCAUGGAAGCCAGUAGACCCCUAGCAUCUAGGAUUGUUAAGUCGGUUAGGGCCACUCGCUCAAUAUCUCACAUGCAUGCAAGGGGAUGGGGUGUUUACUGGGUUGCUGUCCCCCCUGGUGUUUGCUUCCGAACCAGCCUCUCGUGCCUUGCCUUAGGUGUGAGCCUUAAACGCACAUACCUACAUGCCCUUGGGCCUUCGGCUCGUAUGGGUAGUUUUACAGGUAUGGGGUCACGCACCCCCAAACCAUGUAACACACACAUACAUACAAUAAAAACAAAUACAUACAUACGUACGUACGAAUAUACAGACGCGCAGGCGCUCUGCCCCCGUCGGGUCGUUUGCCCUGACGGCAAGGAAUGUCAACUGUUUUGCCUGGGUCGCAUCAGCAACCAGCUACGGAUGUGACCCACAUGGGAACUAUGUCGUAAACCUCUACAGCCGAUAAUCCACGGACAACAUUGCAGCAGCGAAAGACAAUUCCGAGGAUAUGAUAAUGGCUGAAAGAACUUGCCGCUUCGUACGAAUCCGGCCUUUCAGUCUGUCAACCGUAAUAACCAACUUCCGUACAUCGUUAAUAUCACAUCACAGCAUCACUUGAUGACAUCAUCGCAAUAUGCGUCAGUAACCUUGCGAUGGCAGCCGUGAUGAAAAUACCAACGGUGAAUUAUUAACAAACGCUUUUGAGUAUUUCACUUCCCCUGCACACGCGCGUGCCGUACACACAGGGCCCGGAAGGCUGUGCCGCCAACAAGUGGCGCUUCGCGCCGGACGGCUACCUUCGGGAGAUCCUGACGGCACGAGUGUACGAUGUCGCGGUACGAAUUUGAUACAUUGGUAUGGAAAUACGAGAGGGGCGGACAGGGAAAUGGUUUUUUUCCUAUCAUAUAAAAUUUCCCCUCCUUCCUUUCCUCGUCUUCUUCCCCCCACAUACACAAAAAACAGAGUUCAUUUCUUGUUUUUUGUCAUAUGCUCUCCAACCCACCCACGCACCUUCAACUCAGAUCCAGUCCCCCCUGGAGAAGGCGCAAAAGCUGAGUGAGGCGGUUGGCAACACCGUUCUACUCAAGAGGGAGGACCUGCAGCCCGUGUUUUCGUUUAAAUUGAGGGGUAGGUGGAUUGGGGCAGGGGGGUUGGAGCGGGGCGGGGCGGACGGAAAAUUUUCGUUAGAAAAGAGUUUGGGGAGGGGUGGGGUUUGAAAUGGUUUGCUCGUUGUUUGAUGGAGAGAUGGUUUGCUCGUUGUUUGAUGGAGGGAUAGGUUGCUCAUUGUUUGAUAGAAGUUAGGGUUUGGGAGCGGUGAAAGGUGGUGAGGUGGAGGGAUGUAGGGUGGAGAGGGGUGCGGAUGGGGCUUCGGAGUGUGUGGGCCCCGGGGCUGGCCCAGGAGAUGACAGGAAAAGAUACCACCGGCUUUCUCACACACACAUACAUACAUACAUACAUACAUACAUACAUGCCCUAGCUGAGACUUGUGGACUCGCUCUGGAUAUGGCUACUUCUCCCCUGGACCAGCCCAGGAAGGGACAGGUAGAGGGGGUCAGUUGUUGUAAGGUGGUUGCAAGACGUCUUGUGGUGUCGAGCUCUCUUAGCCUUUCUUUCUUGGAGGUCUUUCUUUUUUGGCUUGUUAGAUGUAUCAGGAGCCCUCCCCUGCCGGGACUGCCCUAACCGUAUUUUUAUUUUCUGUUUUUUUCCCUUGCAAUCCCAUUGUCGUUGGUGGUGUUUUUGGGGGGGUGUUUCAGAGAGCCUUUGACUUUGCCCUAGCUGAGACUUGUGGACUCGCUCUAGCGGGACCUGAGAGCCCUUCGUGGUGUUUUCACUGCAGCGCCAUCCCCGGAUGGAGGGGCUGCAGAGUGGCUGUGUAGAGUGUUGGCAGUCUGAGAUAGGGUCGGGAGCACACGAGACUAACCGACUUGCUGUGUGCUCCCGACCCUUGUGCUGGGUUUCGGCUUCGGCCCCCGGCUCUAGCAGCCCACAGUGUAAUCUACCAGGAGGCAUGGGUCCGGGUGCAGAGGCUGGGGCUGCAGGGCGAGGUGCAGAUGAGUAGGCCGCCAACGGAUCACUGCCGUAGGGGAGAGGAGAGAGGGGAGACCCGGUAGGGAAGAUGAACAGAUUAAGGGGGAGGUAAGCAGUCCUGGACAUAUCAGGGGAAGAGGGGAGGCAAAUGGAGUCGGUAGAGAGUGUGUAGAAAAGAAAGAGGACUCAUAGCUGUUCCUGGCAAUCGCGGAGGACGAGGGGGGCGGGCGAGGGGCAAGAUGACACAGCGGCGGGGUCCAACAGGUUGCCAUCUGAUUAGCAGCUGGGCAGCCUAAAUACGGAAAAACCGCAGGGCCAUGCUUGCCUGCUGUUGGGGGUGGGCAACACAUAUCAUGCUCAGCAGCAUUGGAAAGCUAUUGGAGCAAGUGUCGGUGGCCAGCACGAAAGACGUGUGUCACACUCCAUGCAGCAAACUUUGCGGCCAAAGUGGCAUGCAAUGUCACCGAGGCCUCCGAUGGCCUGUGCGUGCUGGGUGUUGGCAGCUAGCUGCGAAAGCUUGAUUUCUAGGGUGAGUGCGAGACAUAGAACCAGAGGUUGGCAAAAAGGGCGGGUACUGCAGUGCCGUACCACAGUACCCUGCAGCCGAAAUUCGGCUUAAGGCCCUGACUGCGGGUCUCUCAUGACCAAAAUUUGACAAAAAGACGUGAUUUGCAGCCUCGAUUGCGGCCCGUAGGGCUGCAUGCUGAAUUUGAACUCUGUGUUUGACUUUGAAUUUUUUUUAGGUUGUCGUUAGGUAGGUCGUUAGGUUAGUCGUUGGUCUGCAAACCACCUAGUCGUAUUCAAAGUGACCAUUGUAAGAUUCCUAUUUAUUUAUUUAUUUAUUUAUUUAUUUAUUCAUGCUAUGCUUGCGUCAUGAGCCUAAAUCACGUCAUUGUUCGUGAAAAUACCAGAGCUGNNNNNNNNNNNNNNNNNNNNNNNNNNNNNNNNNNNNNNNNNNNNNNNNNNNNNNNNNNNNNNNNNNNNNNNNNNNNNNNNNNNNNNNNNNNNNNNNNNNNNNNNNNNNNNNNNNNNNNNNNNNNNNNNNNNNNNNNNNNNNNNNNNNNNNNNNNNNNNNNNNNNNNNNNNNNNNNNNNNNNNNNNNNNNNNNNNNNNNNNNNNNNNNNNNNNNNNNNNNNNNNNNNNNNNNNNNNNNNNNNNNNNNNNNNNNNNNNNNNNNNNNNNNNNNNNNNNNNNNNNNNNNNNNNNNNNNNNNNNNNNNNNNNNNNNNNNNNNNNNNNNNNNNNNNNNNNNNNNNNNNNNNNNNNNNNNNNNNNNNNNNNNNNNNNNNNNNNNNNNNNNNNNNNNNNNNNNNNNNNNNNNNNNNNNNNNNNNNNNNNNNNNNNNNNNNNNNNNNNNNNNNNNNNNNNNNNNNNNNNNNNNNNNNNNNNNNNNNNNNNNNNNNNNNNNNNNNNNNNNNNNNNNNNNNNNNNNNNNNNNNNNNNNNNNNNNNNNNNNNNNNNNNNNNNNNNNNNNNNNNNNNNNNNNNNNNNNNNNNNNNNNNNNNNNNNNNNNNNNNNNNNNNNNNNNNNNNNNNNNNNNNNNNNNNNNNNNNNNNNNNNNNNNNNNNNNNNNNNNNNNNNNNNNNNNNNNNNNNNNNNNNNNNNNNNNNNNNNNNNNNNNNNNNNNNNNNNNNNNNNNNNNNNNNNNNNNNNNNNNNNNNNNNNNNNNNNNNNNNNNNNNNNNNNNNNNNNNNNNNNNNNNNNNNNNNNNNNNNNNNNNNNNNNNNNNNNNNNNNNNNNNNNNNNNNNNNNNNNNNNNNNNNNNNNNNNNNNNNNNNNNNNNNNNNNNNNNNNNNNNNNNNNNNNNNNNNNNNNNNNNNNNNNNNNNNNNNNNNNNNNNNNNNNNNNNNNNNNNNNNNNNNNNNNNNNNNNNNNNNNNNNNNNNNNNNNNNNNNNNNNNNNNNNNNNNNNNNNNNNNNNNNNNNNNNNNNNNNNNNNNNNNNNNNNNNNNNNNNNNNNNNNNNNNNNNNNNNNNNNNNNNNNNNNNNNNNNNNNNNNNNNNNNNNNNNNNNNNNNNNNNNNNNNNNNNNNNNNNNNNNNNNNNNNNNNNNNNNNNNNNNNNNNNNNNNNNNNNNNNNNNNNNNNNNNNNNNNNNNNNNNNNNNNNNNNNNNNNNNNNNNNNNNNNNNNNNNNNNNNNNNNNNNNNNNNNNNNNNNNNNNNNNNNNNNNNNNNNNNNNNNNNNNNNNNNNNNNNNNNNNNNNNNNNNNNNNNNNNNNNNNNNNNNNNNNNNNNNNNNNNNNNNNNNNNNNNNNNNNNNNNNNNNNNNNNNNNNNNNNNNNNNNNNNNNNNNNNNNNNNNNNNNNNNNNNNNNNNNNNNNNNNNNNNNNNNNNNNNNNNNNNNNNNNNNNNNNNNNNNNNNNNNNNNNNNNNNNNNNNNNNNNNNNNNNNNNNNNNNNNNNNNNNNNNNNNNNNNNNNNNNNNNNNNNNNNNNNNNNNNNNNNNNNNNNNNNNNNNNNNNNNNNNNNNNNNNNNNNNNNNNNNNNNNNNNNNNNNNNNNNNNNNNNNNNNNNNNNNNNNNNNNNNNNNNNNNNNNNNNNNNNNNNNNNNNNNNNNNNNNNNNNNNNNNNNNNNNNNNNNNNNNNNNNNNNNNNNNNNNNNNNNNNNNNNNNNNNNNNNNNNNNNNNNNNNNNNNNNNNNNNNNNNNNNNNNNNNNNNNNNNNNNNNNNNNNNNNNNNNNNNNNNNNNNNNNNNNNNNNNNNNNNNNNNNNNNNNNNNNNNNNNNNNNNNNNNNNNNNNNNNNNNNNNNNNNNNNNNNNNNNNNNNNNNNNNNNCCUUCCCGGAACUGAGUGUCAGGCGCCCCCCCCACACACCCCAACACCCUUCACUGGCAUUCUUACCUGGAUGAACCAGUCCGCCUUCAGUAGCUUGUCCGGUGUAAGCGCCAGCGCAGAUGCCAUGGCUUCCAGGAGGCUGUGCAGGUCCUCAUAGCUGUCGAAGUUCUCAUCCUUGCAGCACUCACCGAGCACAACCAGCUCCCUGAACAUCGUGGAGCUGAACGACGGGAUGGCAAUGAUCUCUUCCAACAGCUCCCCAGACUCCGUGGUGGCCGCCUGAGCAGGGAAGAGCAGGCGGCAACAGGUAGUGAGUUGUUGUGUGUAGGGCAGCAGUACAAGUUAGCAUCCUUUAGCCUAGCACAGUCCAGUCUCCUGAGUCCCAGAAACCCUUCUGAUUCUGUGUUGCAGCAACACCCUGCAUGCCUUGAGAACCGACACCCAGGUGAGCGCCUCAAACACCCACUUCUCCAGGUGUGCACCUGAACACAACAACUGCAUGCAUUGGCCCUCUGUGUGUUCGUCCACCAAGCCUCUAGGGCCUCCUGGUUGGUGAACAUGCGCUACUCAGAAGGUAUCCUUGAUGUACAUGGGCAUGUGUUGGCUUUACACUCGUACCUGCAGCACCUGAGCGAACAGCAGGUUAUCCAGGUAUAGCCUGCCGUUACGCUCGGUGGUGAAGCUGGACAGCAGUGCCUCAAACGCCGGCGGGAGCUUGGCACGCUCCACUCCAGCCAUCGGGUCCAGCAGCUCACGCAGGAGCAGCACCUGUGAAGUAGGCUGGCCCAGCACUGGCACCACCAUGCGUGGGUCUGUCGGCACUUGCAGCGCCAUGCGCAGGUCUAUCAGCACCUGAAUAGGAAUCACAUGCAGCNNNNNNNNNNNNNNNNNNNNNNNNNNNNNNNNNNNNNNNNNNNNNNNNNNUAGCUGCUCCCAGGCGACUUGCAGCACACCCUUGGACACCGUGGCGCUCAGGUUGAGUCGGUGGUGGUGCGAGAUUAGGGCAAAACCGUUGGUCUGCGGCCGUGCACAGCAGAGGUGUUCAGCUCUACAGAAGCUACAGUCAUGGGUAGGAAAGGCUGGGGGGGGAGCAUGAGAAGCUGAGUGGGGGUCAUGGCUGGGGUUGUGACAAUGAAGCAGGCGGGAAGUGAGCUGAGGGUCCACCCAAAGGCGCUGGGUCCUGGGACUGCAACCAAGGGGGGGUACAUACUUUUUUCCGGAACACAUGCUACAUUUUUUGCCCGGCGACCCUAGGACCACCCACCCACUGUCAUACAUGCCCAAAACAGUCAUUUUCACCCAGGAAAAGACCAGCAUGAUCUGCGCAUUAAGACUUUUCAAUAUCCGUCACAAAAACUGCGGUGCAGCCAAUCACAGCAGCAGCUGUGUGAGAACAGCCACCACCAGCAUGUCCCCUGUUGGAAAACCCGCUCGGAUGAAGGCCAUACAUAUGGCCCAAGCGCAGCUUAGAAACGAGCACACAAAAUCAAUACGCACAGCAGGACCAUCACAACUAAGGCAGCGUUGCAGAACCAGUUUCGGUAGACAAAGCGUGGCCGUCAACCCCGAUGGGGAACCCUGAAGGGGAACCCUGAAGUUCCAAAAACAGCAAGCAGCAUCAUAACGAAGUCUAAGCGCCUGGACAAACGCAGGAGCCAGGAACAUGCCUGACGUGCAACGCCAGAAUAUGCAGCCCAUAAGCAGAGCUCCACACCAAAAGCUGACAUGCCCGCAGCAUUCACAAGUGUUGCAAGCAGGCAUGCAUGCAGGCCAGUAACCACAAGAGACAGGGAUGCCAGUUUGCGUUCACACAUUUGCCACAUGUGAUAUGGGCUUUCCACGCUUCGAACAUAUGAAGGACGCUAUGAAGUGGGAGCCUGAACGCCUGGCAAGGAUGCUGGAACGCAUAUGGUCCCACCGCAACUCUAUCGUUCCCUUUGGUCGUUAGUAUACUUCAUCACUUGUCUCGUUGGAAGUGCGAGGUAGGAUGGUGCUUAUAGGCGAUUUGGCAGCCCUCGGCUCGUAUUAGGGUGGUUUGCAGGUACGGGGAACACACCCACGACCAUGUAACAACAACAACAACAUUUGCCAGUAGUUCAGUGACAUGAUUGAGUUCACACCGACACACGGCUGCUGCUGUUCACAGCACCACCGCGUCAGCUGUGCUGCCAGCAAUGUUGGCCCAGAAGCAUGACACGCCACUGCUGAGGGCCUGGAUGCCGCUUCAUGUCUGCUAUCCACACAUCCAUUUUCUUGCUCGCCUUCUUUAGCACGCACGUUACAUGAACCCAGUUGUUACAACUGCCUAGGAAGAUAUAUCGACAUGUUCACAGCGACAAUGAAGGUCCAUGGCCCAGUGGCCCACCAUGGCUCUUGCCGUACAUGCAACAAGUGCCCACUCAGUCCUUGCACCCAAUCUGUCCGGCGCGCCUAUGACACAUUGUCACACCGAAAGGAGACGUGUAAACAACUCUGGUUCACACGUGUUGUGUGGCGCCAAGAGGUGCUGGGAGACAAGGCCCCAGGCCUUAAGGGCCCCCCAUCAACUAUCCUCCCUAGCAUCACAGCAGACUAGUGCAAUCGAUAGAUCUCAUCAAGGUGAAGCGAUUGAUGUCCAUAUUGGCAUGUUUUAGCCACUGGUGACAUUGUUUCGGGACCCCUUUGUUCCCGGACCCCCGGACCCACCACUCCACAUGCUGCAGUACAACCAACUUUGGAGACCAAUAACUUAUGUAUUCCUGGGUCCUUUUGCAUUCUAAAAGCAGUUACAGAACGCCCUCGCCUAGCUGUAGUUCCCCCAGAAGUGCCUCCUACCCCCCCCUGCAACACCAAUUGCUUACCGGGGUGGCAGCAAUGUUGGCCCAUAGCGUCGCCAUGCCGCUGCCCGUGAUGGCCCAGGCGACCCAGUGGGGGCUGUCCAGCAGGAGUUUCUUGAAGAUGCUGCAGUACACACGACAGUUGAGGGAAGGAAAAUGGUGCAUGUGUCAGCUCCUUUGUGUCGUACGCCUGCUGUAGGCAUGAGUGCAGACCUCUGCCCCUUGUGCAAUAUGCUUAUGUCAUACAAUUGAUUCUCGCAGCAAUCUCCUCUUAGUGCCUUCUGCCCCCUCGUGUGAAGCUCCGCCUGGGCACGUUUCACUGGCCAUUGCCCCUCAUCCUCGCCCAUGUGAUCACACGACACGGUUAGGGAAACCUUGUGCUGAUUUACCGCCGCAUGAGCUGCACUUCGUCCAUGUCCAGAGUUGAGCCGCGCGGCGAAAAGCCAUCCCCCGAAAAGUCAUCCCACAUGCUCCGCUCAAGCAGGUAAAAGCUCUGCGCCUCGUCAAUCAGCAGGAAGUUCAGGCGGUCCCGUGGCAGGCGCCACAUGAAGUCCUGAAUGGCGUCCACUACAGCACCAGCCGAGUUGUCGCUGGGUGCAGGCGUGCUGGCGGCAGCAGAGAGCUGCUGGUCGGCAGCGCUCCGCUUGAGUUUAAUGAGGAAUUCCUGAAGGAAGACACUGCUGCCGCUCCAGCGAUCUAAGGUCAAGCACUUCACAUGCAGGAAGUUGGGCUCUGAAAACACCGUGCCGGCAUGCUGCCGGCCGCUGCUGUAGUAGGUGUUGGCCACAGCAGGCAGAACCUCCUUGAGCAUGUAGGACUUGCCACUCUGCACAACAGGCACAAGAUGGGUGCAAGAUGGCUAGGUAAAUGCGCAUUCCUCUUGGUCGCUCAGCUGCGUAUCACUCGACAGUGCACAAAGAUGCAUGCACCUGCAUGUAUCGCAUCUAUCACACCUAACCUUCUCACUCCAAACCAUGUUGCAUGUGGAUGACGCAAGCUGCACAAGGAGCUCUCCAACCUUGGUCAGGCCCUUAUAUCCCACCUUGAUCAGACCGUUGAUGAUCAGCGGUGGGAUGGGUCUGCCAUUACGGUGCUCAUCCUCGACAAGGCCCAGCCACUUCUGCAGCUCAUCUAUCUGCCUGCCCUCGGGGUCCAGGAAGAACCUGCUGCUCACGCCAGCGCGUACAGCAGCUGCAGUGCUGUUGGUGUCCAUGGGCUCAAAGAAGAACAGGUCCUGGUUCUGUGAGUCUCGCCGGAGCUGCAGCUUGCAAGCUGGCAGGCCUGCACAAGGAUAGCCCAUCAUGCCCACAAGGUGCAUACACAUUAAACAGCCAGCCACUGUCGCCCAGUUGCAAUGCAUGCAGGAUCACAACACAACGAAAGGAGGCAGGAACGAAGGGGUGCAGAGCAGCAGAGUGACGAAGCAACUUCAAGCUGAAUCAAGCCAUAAGUCACACCCCUCAGGCAGCAGGAGGUGUAUGUCAUGCAGAACACUGAACCGCCCCUUUAUGGCGGGUAGAGAAAGUGUGUGCUCUCCCACAACCGAGCAUCCAUGCACUCAAGCCCAGUGCUGCAAUGAAACGGGCACACCAAGCCCACAAAACCUGUUUCCCCCCCAUCCCGUGUCAGGCACAGUCGGCUCACCUGCUGCAGCAUUGCUGGUGCCAGAAUCAGCACCUGCAGGCGGCAGGCCCACGGCAGGGCAAGCGGGAUGGGUCACCGGAACACCAGUGCUGUACAACAUGAGCAGCAUUAAAUCGUCAAACAUAACGACAAUGCAGUGCGUGCACACAUCAUAGACAUGGUCGCCAGACAACGUGCAGGGUGGGCCACUAUCACAAUGGGUGUAGCAAGCUACAUUUACCUUAGAAUAUCUUUAAGCUAUUAAAGCUUAAUCACAGUAACGGUACGGUCCCGUAGUUACAAAUCAUACUCGUUAACUGUACGAACUCACUUUCUGUUGCGCUAUCACAACCUAGCGUACGACACCAAGACUCCAGGAAUGGAGAUGGCGGCAGGUGGGCCGCAUUUAAGCCACCCAGGUGAAGUGCUUCGGCCAGACACUUAUCGUAUCACUAUACCAGUGUUCGGAUGUUCAAGACUCUGCUGUCACCGUUCUCGAUGUAUGUCUUCGAAUUCCGACUUCCCGUAUCUGUUCUCGCGCCUAAUGCUGGGUCAUCAAUCGUGGACCAGACCCUCCGCUUCCGCUCAAACAGCUAAGGUAAGAGACGGCUGUUACAAUGGGGCACACAGCUGCACGGCGGGGUGCGGGGUGCUGUACUUUUAACAGCUGGUGGUAAAGUGUCCACACAAUGCUGAUACGCAGUGGAGGGGGUUGUGUGUGAUUCAAGCAUCAGGGCAUGCCGACCCAAGGUGCUUCAAUAGUGCAAACAAAGACGGAUGCACACUACAACAAUUUCAACGUGAGCUUUGGUGUUGCACUGCUGCCGUAACAGUGGUUGGUGUUCAGCCGAUGUCAUGCUGUGUGAGGAACACUCUUCUGCCCGACCCCAACCAACCGCGUGCCAAUCCAUACCCUACAGCACCGUGAACAUGCUCACCGGCAGCCGCAGGCAGCAAGCAUGCAGGGGGAGCAAAGUAGAACGGAUCCCAGUGAGACGGCAGCUUUAUCCAUGCCGUGAGCCGUGAGCGAAAAACAACCCCAACACGCUUUGAGUAUUUACAUUGGUCAGUCAGGCAGGCAGUCGCCAUUCAGACACACUCAGCUGUGCCCAUAGCAGCAAGGUAGAUCCCCCACCAUGACCAGCCUACUCUGCUGCAAUCUUCACGGUAGCUCAAUCGUUGUGUACAUACUGAACCACCUCAGGAUGUUUGAGCUUCUGCUUUUGCACAGGUCAAGUCGCCAACGAGGGGAUUUUCACGCACAUACUUGUUGUUUGACUGGCAACCAAGCAGGCCUUACCUGGUUACCAGCCGCCUUCCACCCGAAACCAUGUAGAUUGAUGCUAAAAUAUCUUUCGAGUUUUUGCAAAAAAACUUAGGGAUAAUUGUGGGGCCCCUGAAGCCAUGCUUCAAAAGGACUCAAACCCUUUUGGGUCACUCCAGGGUGCCUCAAUUUCCUCUGUAGGGCAAAAUGGAAAAUUGUCUAAUGAACUCUGUUUUCGGUUGGGAGUCAUCGACUUGGGUUUCACUGAUCUCUCUUUGGUCGGUGGUAAGCUCACAGUCGACACACAAGUGGCACUUAUUACCACAGAUAUGAGACUCAGCAUGGGAAAUAUAUCUAUUGACAUGCAGAGCAAGUUUCCCUCUAUAGGAUUGAACUUCGAAAAAAAAUUACCACUGUUUUAAAUCCGAUGUUUUAAUACAUUAUCCAGCCGCCUGAUGCAGGUACAGCUGCCUGGGUUUAUCCCCCUGGUAACACAUUACCACCCUCUUCUAUCCAGAUCCACCCAAAGAGAGGCUGCACCAGUAUGUGUAGGAAUUAAUUCCCGGGGUUUUCUCUAGGUUAUCAUUAUAAAGGAACCAGCCCCCCUUAAGAGGUCAUACAGCCAGAAGGGCAAACAAGAGGCAGGAUUAGGGCUGGGAAUUACGGUUACGGUCCUUACGAAAUUGCGCAUUACACCGUAAGCAAUUACGGUGACCCCCCAAAAACACAGUAAAAUGACGGUCCUUACGGUGUAAUGUAAUUACGGUUACCAAAAGGUCCAAAUUGCGGUCCGACGGCAAGCGUGCGAGCCAAUACCGACGACCACACCUCGAAACAUGCCAUUUCGUCCCUUGGAGCUACGGGAUAGUCUUAAAAAGCUUAUUAUACAUUAACCUAUGAUUAAAUUAUCACAAAAGACAGCCAAAAAAUGCUGAAUGAGGCGAAUACAUUUCAACCGGAGCACCGCGCGCGCAUUGAGGACUGCAUCUGUUGUAUGUCAUCAUGCCAUAUGGUAGAUCCUCAACCAAGAAUGAUGCUCCUAAUAUAUACGGGCCGAACGUGCGUAACAGUGUCAGCCUCCGUGUCAGCCCGCCUUUGGCUGGAUGUCACCCAUAUCGCGGCUAAAUACAAGCUUAGGUGCAAGUAACCCUGAUAAAACUAUGUAAAAAGGUAUGAAAUAAGCUUAUAUAUCGUUAUAUAAAAAGGAAAGUAAGGAUUUGGCUCCGACAACGAGGACCGUAAAUCGUUACGGUCCAAUUUGCCCCGGAACCCACCGUAAAUUUCAGUAUUUACGGCGUUGCGCAUUACACCGUUAGCAAUUACGGUCCAUUUUAUGGGAUUACGGUGUUUUUCCCAGCCCUAGGCAGGAUACAUAGCUAGAUAGGUGUGCAAAGUCAUCCUUAAGUGCAGGUAGAUAGGCAAGCCAGAGCCACAACAUUGCCAAAGCUGUUAGCACUUCACUACCUAGUAAAAAAAAUGAGGACACAAAGGAUUCAGCUCCAAGAAGUAACAUAAAAAUGAGGCGAACUCACCAGAGCUGGGACCCGGUGGCGGGACAGUAGUUGCCGCAGCUGUAGAUCAAGGAAAAACGAGGGUGCAGUAUGCAGGUAGGUCAUUUGUCACGAAAUUGUAAAGAAACACACAGCUUACUAUCGGUUCAGAAGACCAUGACCAUGCAUGGUACGCAGUGCACCAAAGAAGCGUGUGGCAUUCUCAUCCAGAACCACUGUGGUAGAUGUAAGAAGGGAUCAGCUCCCCUGGCAUCUCCCUGAGUACUCUUUGCCUGGUGUUACAUUGGUGCGAUUUUCUAGGAGGUGAGUACUCCCCGGAUUGGAUUUGGUUGAGAACAUAUCGCACACCAGGCAAGAUGCAGCAUACUCUUACCCCCAAAGGUGGAUGCAGGGGUGGGUGAGAAGUAUACCAGCCGAGUAAAAGCAAAGUCCUCCAUCUCGGACGGGGACUGACGAAAUCUCACAAUAACAAACUAAUUCACAAUCCUACAGGAUCUCAAACAACCCAAAUCCUACGGGAUAUGCCCGGGGGCGCCCGAGAACGUUCACUCGAGGGGGGGAGGAAUGUAAGAAGGGAUCAGCUCCCCUGGCAUCUUCCUGAGUACUCUUUGCCUGGUGUUACAGUAGAAGCCGUGGACUUGGCCGUUUAGCAUGCACAAAGUCGAAAGGGCAUGCAGCUACCAAAGCCACCAGAAUCUUCGCUAACACAACCAUGCUCAUAGGUGCAUAUUAACGGCCAAAAGCUAAUGCAGGUCGGUAUAUCAGGAAGACCACGUGCAUCCUGGAUUCCCGAUAUGUGGCGGGUGCAGGUAGAGGCAGCGCGGCUCGCAUGUAGUAGCAAUCUUUAUGCAGCAUUCUUAACACCUUAGGUAGCUUCACGCGCAAGUUUGCAAAGGCUAUCUGCAAAACCUAGGUUUGGAACUCGCCACCAGCACCUCGGCGUGCUAGCGGGAAAGGGCGUGCGUCCUGUCUACUCUCAACCACAAUGCCUAAGCAUCGCAGCACAAUUGAGGGACAAUUCUCGCAGGGCUUGACGAGACACUCCUAACGCCCUAUGCGUCCAAUGGCACUCCUAACGGCCCCAUGCGCAAAUUUUACAAGUGCGUGCCUGCAGUGGCGGUUUACAGGAUACGAGCCCAACAAUGCUUAAGUACGCGAUUGCAUACAACGGACCUUGGAUGGCGGCCUUUAGAGCCAAACGCUGUCGAAGAGUGAGGCCUGCUGCUUGUUCCGCGUUCAGCAUGCGGAAAGCGCUGCUGACCUCGGCAUCUACGUCAAAGCCUAAAUCUGAAAGGGCAGCAACAAUUGGCGAAAUGGAACUAGCGUCCUCGCCCCUCACAGAAAGCAGGGCUUGCCGAAUGGUCACCAUGUCUAGGUAGACCCGGACCCUGUGUGCUUAUUCGAUUGUAUUGGAGGUCACUGUUGCAUUUCGGCGAGGCCUUCCUCCUGUCUUCACUGCGUUAAGUACGCUGGGUUAGUUGGACGUAAGGCCCAGUGCGUAGCUGAUAGUCUAACUGUUUAUCGACGGCCCGUGUCCUCAGGGCCGUCAUUUAUUGCGCGCAUUCAUCUGGUUAGGUUAUCAUGUUUUAGUUGUUCAGCGCGCGCUGAUCAGCAAAACGGGUCCCGCGCCUCCGGCGCUACUUUACCGUUGUGCCUUCGGCUCGUCAGCGAGACCCAUCGGGUAGAGUGCAGAGAAUAUAAAACACUAGCACCAAAUUGGAGCGUUGGGAGAUGGUUGAGUAAUGUGGAAUGGAUGGAGAUGCACUGAGGGAAAGGAAGGGGGCUUGGAUGUUUUUUGGGCGGGGCCCCAGCGCGAAGCGCCCAGGGGGGCCCCGCUCUGUAGGAUUGCCCAUGUCCGGGUGGCCGUGUGUAACGGACCAAACAUAAUAUCUCGCCCGGCUGAAACGCGUUAUUGGUAAUAUAUAGCAUUCUCUGUUGCAAGGUAUCUCGCCUGUAGCCAACAAAAAUCGUAUGAGCCAAAGUCACAUCAACGCCUCUCGAGCUAAAUUUAAUCUCAAAAGGUGCCGCGUAUCUCAUAAUUGAAUUCUUAGAUUACCGGCGUAUGAUAACUCGAACACCCACGGGCAUUCCGACUGAAGUAUGCAAGCUGUUCGUUUGUACAAUUACUUCGGCCAAUGGCAGUGUGCCGCGGCGGCUGUGGAGCGGAUUGCUGAGGCCGCUGGCGCUUCGGGGAUAAACUUCACGGACAGCAUCGGAAAGUGCUGCGGGCUUUUGGGAAGUGUGUCGAGCUAGGCUUUGAGGGGGGGCGCCUAGGGCGCGUGAGCGCCCGAAUGGGCAGGUCAAUGCCUGAAGGGGCGCCAUAGGCAGUGUGUACGGUGCUCUACGGCGCUACGGCGCUGUUUUCCGUGUGUGUUCGGGCUGCGGCACCAGACCGCAAAGCCAGCAGGCUGAAGGCUGGCAAGCUGCGAUUGUGUCUCCUGAGCGUUGAGCAUCCGGCCUGGACUGCGGACUUGGCGGCCGAGCCCCUGCUGUGUGCCGGCAACGGCACCUCUGACUCAUACGUUUACGCCCAAGCAAGGGGCUGUCGGUGGCAGGUCGCGGACCUCCCGAAUACGUGUAACGGCCAAUGAUUUUUAGCCGUGUCUGCUAGGUUCCAGAGAGACACCGUCUCUUCAGCAGGUUAUGAGCCCCGGCUUCCUGCCUCCCGCGCUCUGACAAGCAUAGCUCCCACAGCAUCAGCACUGCUGCAACAAGCACAGCUCCCACCAUGUUGGCACUACCCUAGCUACCGGCCUGUACGGAUGUGUGUGUGUGUGUGUGUGUGUCAGGUGUGGGGCGCGGAAUGGUGUAAAACAGGAGGGAACGUAUUUUCCUAUGGCAAAGCGCAGCGCGAGUAAAUGAUGCCAUGCGAUGCUUGGGAAUGUAUAUGUUCAUAUUUGUGUUUGGGUGCAGGGGGAGGAAGCUAAGAGGAAAUCCCCUAAGAGGAGGGAAUCGCCAGCUACAUAAUCGCGCCCACCCCAGAAACUAUGGGCACGAUUAUGUGGCUGGCGGGGCCCUGGCUGCUGUCCUGCCGUUCCGCGGCCUUGUCGAUUGAGGUUGCGCGCCGGUAAACCAUGUCGCAGUUUGGGACACGUCGUAGUUGGGGACUGACCUUGUGGAUUUUAAUAAGGUGGAUUUUGGAAUCGGUUCUCCUGGAGCGUGGAGCGUGUCAAAAGACCAUUGUGGCACAGAGUGAUGGAACGGAAUAACGACCGUUCAACAACCGAACGCGAAGGUUAAAUCCACGGUAAUGCGUCUGCCAUGGACACGAAGAGCGUUUGCAUUCUCCUGAAGAAGGAAAUUUAUUUAGGAAAUGGAUUGCCUUUUCAAGGAAUGAACAACUCACAAGCAAUAAGGUUCUGGUUUAAAGCGCGAAACUCCUACCCAUCUGGUAUUUGUCCUAUUCGAGAUGGUCUUUCUAUUCUGCAAUGUUAUGUGUAGGCCCUAACACAGUUUCGGGUGAGAGGAUCGAUGGCCAGCUGGAGGUGCCCGGUAUGUUAUCGUGAGCGCCUCUCAUCAAAGUGGCGAUACGCGGUCCUGCAUUGUGGUCACCAAUACUGUGAAGAGGUGCGUAUGGCUUCGUUUUGAGAUGGCUGUUGGUUUCGGAUGAACGGUCUUCUUUGCCGAAGCGAUGUGCAAGAUACGGCCCCAGGCAUACAUUCCCGUCAAGUUUCACAUCAACACCCUUAUUCAUGCAGCGGUACCAACUGCUGUGCCGUUGGCGCCUCGCAGUGUCUAGCGGAAAUUGUCUGGCGACAACAGAGCGUUCGAAGGCCGGCAUGCCCAAUAUGUCGCCAGCCCAUGCUUCAUUGCGGUCCAGUGUCCGACACCCCAGAUGGUGGGCCUAGAGAUGAAGCCAACGCAGCACCUUUACUUGCGGCACCACGCUGUGCAACUGGGGCAUUGCCAUCGAACCACGGACCGCACGGAGGACUUCCCGCCCCUGCCUACGAUGUACUGCCCUUGCAGGUUGGCAGAGUCCGAUUUGAGGUGUGUAAGGUGUGUAUAGUCAUUUGAAGGAAUUGCUAGUACGCACUAAACAAGAUCCAACUUGGAGGGAGGGAGGAAGGGAUGUAUGGAGGGAGGGAGGGAGGGAGGGAGGGAGGGAGGGAGGGAGGGCCCUAGGGCAUACAUUCGGCCGUAACCGAUCGGUAGCCGAUCCGGCCCAACCGAUCGGUGGGAUGGGGCCUUGGUAGGUUUACCGAGGAGUUACCUACCGGCCUUUACCCUACCCUGCCGAUAGUUCACCCUACAGAUAGGCUAGUAGCCUAUCAUGUUUUCGGGCGCAGACGGGGCCUGGAAACUGGGCUUGCCGUAUAAGGCCCGCUUGGUCACCAGUCAAACAACAAGCUUAACCACCCUGUAACAACAUCAACAAGCACAAAUGUGCAUUGCGGCUGUUUCGCGGCUGUAUCGCAGACAUUUUCAUACAUCUAAGCAUAUCCAUAUGCCACAUAAAAUAAAGUCAAACACCUGUUAAUUCAGCCGUCCUAGCAUAUUACGAUAGAAUCCAGCUAAAAUUACCCCGAAAACCGCUUCAGACAGUUUCGGGGUACCCGAAAACACUCUCCGGCUGACAGGAAAUUUUUCGGGGAGGGCCCCGAAAGGUUGGUUAUUCAGAGGGUUUCGGACACGACCGAAAUUUUUGGGUGAAGAACCUCGGUGGCUACCCGUCCUACCAGUCGGUUACCUGCCGGGGCAAAACUCGGUUGACCGUAACGGAAUGUAACGGAAAGUGCCCGGAACCAUGCACAAGAAGUGCCUUGCCUUGUCUACACCUGCUGGUUCAGUGAAGCGGCCAUAUGGAAAUGUAGUAGCUGGCCCAGCUGAAAAGGCCUCUCAAGAUGCGGCUGGAGCGCUUAGCGUGUAUUUGUAGACGAUGUAUGUGUGGCGUACUGUGUACCAGCGAUUACACCACAAUACUCUAGAGAAGCUUGUUCACCAUGUUCGCGCGGAAAUUCGCAUCCUGAAAAAGCAACUAGAACAGGCAGGCGGCUGGCAGAGGUUAAGGCCUGGCUUCUGCUCCCGUCCGGGUUCAAAUCCGCCUGCCGACCUCUCGGGGUGUUUGAGAGGUGAUGUAAUGGGAGGUGGCCCCCCAUCUUGUGGACGGUGUAGGACGUGAUAAAAUCAACUCGCGAGCUGACCAGGAACUAAGUUGACGCGCCGUUGAUCCGCUAGAUUUGGUUGGAUGCUGGUGGUGAGUUGCCGAACCCAACGAAUACACUCUGAAGUCGGAUGGGGUGAACGGAUUAGGGUGCCCCUCUAGCAGGGGAGAGCGGGGAAUUGCCUCGGGAAGGAGGCCACUGGUGAAGCUUAACCACCCUGUAACAACAUCAACUAGAAAUAUAAAGGUUGGCUUUAUAGAACCGGUUGUUAUUUAUUAGGGUUUUAUUUUUAUAGAAUCUGCUGUUACGUAUGCCGCUGCAAGCUGGGCGACAAGCUGCUGGUCGAUGGCUGCUGGGAGGCAGUUGCUCCUCUGCAUUUGUCGCCAAGUGUCGUUAUGGAGAUCGUUCGGAUUAUGUCCUUGCUUGUCACCAGCAGCCGGUAAUAACCCUACCAAACCGGUAGUCGGUAACUGGUCGCUUCGGUACCUGGCCGUUAGGGGUAACCGACGUAACGAACUAACCAUGGCUUCAAAGCUAACUAUCCAGGAGGUUUUCCAACGUGGACCAGAUUGCCCGACCCAUUUCCGCUUUCCAAAACCAGCUCGCUGUUCAAACUGAUUUCUCUAGUGCCGUGCAGCUAGCUGCGUUCCCAAUGUUGCUUGUCUUUCUUCCCCCAAGACCCCUACGGCAUCCUUUUUCAUGUUCUGAAGGACCCAUCGACUCCCGCGCGGACUGUCACCAAAUUCCCUUUUCCCUUCAG
This 233967-nucleotide long non-coding RNA is filed under the name Volvox carteri. Its description in RNAcentral is "long non-coding RNA (VCAR_LNC000885)". The stretch from base 205512 to 205585 matches the Rfam family "tRNA". Lineage: Eukaryota; Viridiplantae; Chlorophyta; Chlorophyceae; Chlamydomonadales; Volvocaceae. The record is from RNAcentral.